This 215111-nucleotide long non-coding RNA is filed under the name Malus domestica (apple). RNAcentral describes it as "long non-coding RNA (MDOM_LNC001348)". Lineage: Eukaryota; Viridiplantae; Streptophyta; Magnoliopsida; Rosales; Rosaceae. The record is from RNAcentral.
GACGAUCAGUACUCCAUCAACAAUACAAGCACUGACUCAGAAGCCACCCAGUUUAGCAUUCCGCUAAUAGACCUUGAAGACCAUGGUAAUCCAACUAAGCGCAAUGAGAUUGUUGCAAAAGUUGGAGAGGCAUCAGAGACUUGGGGCUUCUUUCAAAUAGUGAAUCAUGGGAUACCUGUAGGUGUUCUGGAGGCGAUAAAGGAUGGGGUACGUGGGUUUUAUGAGCAGGACACUCGAGUCAAGAAAGAGUUUUACACUCGUGAUCACUCUAAACCUUUGUUUUACAAUAGCAACUUUGAUCUUUAUAGUUCACUGGCAACGAAUUGGAGGGAUACUUUUAAGUGUUACAUGGCUCCAUAUCCUCCUAAGCCAGAAGACUUGCCAGAAGUAUGCAGGUAUUUGACAACCCAAUUCUCUGGUUUAAUUGGUGACAUUAACCUGGUGCAGAUUCCUUCCUUGAUGGAUUAGAUCAUUAAACUCCAUACUUUUGACAAGUUUAAUGUGCUUUCCUGGUUUUCAACUUGCAGAGACGUACUGAUCGAGUAUUCAAAGCGAGUAAUGGAGUUGGGGAAAUUGUUGUUCGAGUUGUUGUCGGAGGCCCUUGGGCUAAAGCCAAGCCACUUGAAUAGCAUAGAUUGUAGUAAGGGGCUACAGGUUUUUAGGCCAUUUACUAUCCUGCUUGUCCACAGCCAGAGUUAACUUUGGGCACAAGCAAGCACGCUGAUGAUUCCUUCCUUACGGUCCUUCUGCAAGAUCAUAUUGGUGGUCUGCAAGUUGUUGAUCGUCAAAAGAAGUGGAUAGAUGUACCCCCUGUGCCUGGGGCUUUAGUGGUGAACAUUGGAGAUCUUUUACAAGUAAGCACACGUAUUACAAUUGCCCUUUUUUUUUUCUCCCUAAAAACUACUAUUAAAUUAAGAGAAUAGUAUCGUAAACUAAGCUAGUUUGUUAAUGACUAAUACUCGAGACAAGCUUUGGUCGCAUGUUAGCGUUUCUCUUAGAAUAUGUCUUAGAAUUCUUCGAUUAUCAUAAUUAGGUCUUUUAUGUUCAAUUCUUUUUGGGAUUUUCAGCUCAUAUCAAAUGAUAGAUUCAAAAGCGUAGAACACAGGGUAUUGGCGAACCGUGAAGGUCCAAGGAUAUCCAUUGCCAGCUUCUUUAGCACAGGUUUGCUACCAUUUACAAAUCUCUAUGGACCUAUUAAGGAGUUGGUAUCAGAAGACAACCCUCCAAAGUACAGGGAGACUACUGUGAGGGACUACGACACCCAUUUCUAUGACAAAGGCCUAGAUGGAACCUCUGCCUUAUCUCAUUUUAAGAUCCCAACUUAGACAUGGAGGAGCACAGACCGCAACGAACAAAUCCUGUCUACUAAAUAAUUUUGCAUGAAAAUAUAUAUUGGUUGUUUAAUCUGAAAGCGCUUUCGCACCACAAAAUUCUGGAUAUGCAUAUUAUUUUGUUUUCUGUUUGCAUAUGGUCUAAUAUACUUGUAGAAAGGGUUGGGCUUCUACCCAUGCAUCUCAGGUACAAACUUCCCCUCCUAUAAAUUAUUGUAAUAGUUUCGAACUCUCUAUCUUCCGCAAAAAAAUUUAAAAAGUAAAUAAAGAAGUAAAAUUUAAAAAAUAAAAGGGGGUUUUCUAACACUUUUAUUCAUCAUGUUUACAGUUUUUGUGGCAUGCUGCUUAGCGCUUAACGAAUUCAACUGUGGUUGUGGUUGCGGUUGCGGUUGCAUAUCAAUACUAUUAUACCAUAAGUGUGGGCUUGUUUGAGAAUGUUUUUAUUUGUAAGAAGCGGUUUUACACAAUUGUGUCGAAAACCUGUUAAAGUAUUUAUUAUAAUCCAACUGCUUCUUGGAGAAUCACUCUCCGUAAAGUCAGCUAAAAAAAGUAGCCAAUCCCGUCCAUCCUCCACACUAUAUAACCCGUACACGAAAGAGGAAGCUGAGGAGAAAGCAGCCAAAAAUGCUAAGAAGAUUAUAUUUUUAUACUAUAUUGAUGUAUGACAAGUGAUAUGUACAUUUCCGGUUGCAAAUUUUGGUUCGCCGGUGUAGUGCACAUGGGAGGGGAUUGUCUAGCAUUGUUCCAAGCAGUUAGAGGCGGUCGGUUGCGAUGAUGUGUUUUCUACGGCGAGAACAUACAGGAGUCAUCAGUUAUUCUCGCAACCGUCUUCCAUAAUGAAGGACGAGAGAGAAAAAAACGAAUGUAGAAAGAAAACAUACAAGUUGGUUGACAAAAGGGGAAGAAAAAUUGAGAGAUACAGAGAAUAAGAAAAGAAGAAAAUCGAUGCAAAUUUUAAUACAUAUGUAGUAGAUCCAGGUAUCCAAAGGAUUCGGGGCUAAUGUACCUGCAUUGGUGAAAAAACAAAGAUGAGAUUUUUGGAAACGCAUCACAUGGUAGUUAAAACAUCCGGCCGUAAAUGAAGGGUUUGAGAUACGGCCAUAAUGGCAUCCCUCAGGUGUGAGUUUCUCCAUCGGAUCACUUAUUGUAAGAAUAUCAGUAGUGAAAGUUAAAUACCCAUGUCAGGAAAGGAAGUCGAUGAUGACAGAAGAGAGAUUUGGCUUGAAAAAUGUAUGAUGUUUGCAACAUGCGUCACCGGAGUAUGAACUUGAAGCUCUCCCUCUCUCCGUCGUUAAAUGUUUCGUAAGCAGCAUUGUUAAAGUUCUCUAUGUCAGGGGGGAAUCUGAAGAUGGUUUUGAAUGAAGAAGAAUGGAAAAUAUAAUUUAGAAAAUGAGAAAGAAAAUUAUAAUUGAAACUUAAAAAAUGAGAAAUAUAAAAAGAGAUUUACUAUUUUCUAGGAGGUCUUGGAGUUGGCCGUGACUGUAUGAGAGGAUAAGCUAAGUUCCAAUGGAAAGUGGAAAUUUUCAGAGCGAGAGGGUAGCGGUUUUUUCGCUUGCUCUCUUGGACUUUGGGCUUUUGGAUUGGAUUGGGCCAAUUACUUACUUAGGCCCCAUCCCAACUUAUGACCUUUUGUCGGUCUGUAUUGACUCAUGAGUCAGACUUGUAAGGCUGUCUUUAAUAAGUUGCCGCGUUUUGUCAAAACUGGUCCAUCUAAUUACAAAAUUGUAACCAUAUUAGUUGAGUGCAUAUUCUAAAUCACAUUUAGUGAAUAUUCAGUACGGGUGACACGUGGUCAAACUUGUAAGGUUGUUCAAUAAGAAGUUAUCACGUUCUCAAGAGUGGAGCUAGAGGGGAGCAUUUCCCUACCAAAGUGUUUUCCUUGUCCCCUUUACAAGGGAUUUAUGUCACCAUUAGACAGGAGAUUUGAACACAAAACCUUGAAUUGAGAGGUAAACGCUAUUACAAAGCUUCUACGAGCACCUUCUUGUUUACCAAACUUAUUGAGACUAAAUGAGGCCUUAACGCUUAUAUCUUAGGUCUUAUGAGUGCUCGUAAUACACUAAAAUGACACUUGUUUUCUGGCCAGGACAGAAACAAAAUCAUGCAGGAAAUUGUCAUGAAAACUUAAGUGUAAAAUGUGACCGGAAGAACACUAAACAGGAUAGCUAUGCUCUCUUAGUGUAAACCUUAACAAGAAAGACCAUACCGUAUCUGUCACAGUGAUAUGCGACCAUAAGCCCAACUCCAAGGAUCACCUUUCCAAGAGCUUUGAAGGCUACAAAUCAAAAGUUACAUGCAGUGAUGACAUACUCAUGAAAAAAUACAAUCAUAAAUUGAAGGAAAACAUACCGACUUCUAGUUCUGGCAAUUCACUAUCGGGCCAUAUAUUUGAACCACAGUAUGAGGGAUACCUACAAUACAGAUCACAAAUAAAAUCUGAGCAGACACAAAGUAUUAUGUUCUGUUUACGCAAAAUCUGUCAGUUCUCAGAUAGGAUAAAUAAAGAUAAACAUAUCCGAGCAUAAAGACGAUUUGUCCUGGCUAAUUCUGAAAAACCUUGUAUCAAAUGUAUGAUAGUUAUUCAUAACUAGCACAAACAACAGUUUGGCCAAACAUUACUGGUCGAGCCAUAUACUGUGUGACCUCAGACAAAACAGAUCCCACAUGUACUCAGAUUAUGAUUGAUGUCCGUAUAGACUUUUACCUUUGAAUUAGAGAUUCAUCUGUUGUAGGGGUAUCCAAUAUUGGAUUUGCAUAAAACGAGCCUUUUAACGUAUCUGCAAAACCAGAACACAAACGGACAAUGAUUGAUCCUAAGUUCUUAGAGUUUCCAAAGAAACAAAAUUUAAAACAAAGAACAUAAAGUGAUAUCAGGCUUUCCAGAUUUCUUUUCCAUGACUCCAUCCAAAAUUUAUGAGUUAUGAAUGGAAUAAUGGAGCAAAAUAUCGUCGCCAAAACAGCGCAAUCUACAAUGUACAUGAUGGAGAAAGUACAGCAACAUUACAUUAAGUUCAUGUAACCUUUGGUUUCACAUGUAAGCCUUUGGUUUAUAUUUUUAACCGAUUCGUUAAUAAAUUCUUCCUGCACAUAUAGUUUCAACCCGAAACCGAAAAUUCCAUUGUCAAACAAAUAUGUAUAAUACCAGAAUUAAGUAAAUUACAACAUAUCACCAUACCGAUACUGAUGUGAUUCAGAAUUAAGCAUUUUUAACUUAUCAUAACUGGUAAUGGAAGAGAGAAUCAGUAAUUAACACUGGUGAUUCAGAAUUAAGCAUUUUUAACUUAUCAAAACGCGUAACGGAAUCAUACACGAGUGAUUGAUAGAAUUCCCAACCCAUUUGGUCCAAAUCCUUCUUCAAUCUUCACUGACAAGUCUUUGUCCUUGUCCUGUAUCAAUCAAUCCAAAAUCAAAAAACGCAAAACUAGAAAAAUUGAAUCCUCGACAUGAUCGACGAGUUAAAACAAAACUAUGAAUAAAACAAUUAUAUUCUGUUUGGUUGCUGAGAAAAUGAAGAGAAUAACAACCAAAAAGUCAACUGAAAUAAAAUUUUGCUCAACUUUCAACGAAUUCUCUUGAGUUUCUGACCACCCAAACAGAAAAUAAAUUAAAGCCAAUUAAACCAAACUCUCAUGCUCAAUUUUCUCGGCAACCACAAACAGAACUUAGAGGGGGGAGGAGAGAGUUACUUGGAGCUCGGAGUAGGAUAUGGUGACCGGUGUGACGGUGGGGACGGCGGGGUCGGAGGACGGAGGCAUAGUUCGACAAGAAAUUUGGCGGGAAACACGGCGGUUGGACUUUGACGGUGGGGAAGAAUCCGUGGGACAGAAGAGGAAUUUUGGUGCGGAAGGAGGCAUUUUAUAUAGGAGGGAGGGAGAGAGGUUGAGAGCGAAAGGCGUGAUUGUCAAUUUCUUUUUUUUUUUUAAGGAAUAAAGAAAGAAAAGAGGUUGAGCAUCAAUUGCUUUUCCCUCCAAACCAAAGAAUAUAGAGAGUUUUAACGAAAAGUCCACGAUACUAUUUACUUUAAUGAAAAAUUAUAUUUUUACACUAAAAAAUCAAACCUGCUAUUAUUCACUUUAACCUUUAUUUUGUCUUUAUCGUUGAAACUCAAAGUUUUCAAAUCAUUUUCAUUAGUUUUCCUAAGAAUAUAUUCACGAUCACGAUGUGCGGCAAAAAUUGGUGGUGAGGACAAAUAUAUUAAAUACAUGUAAGUAUUAGUUAAAUUUAAAAUUAUUUGUGUACUAUUAAGGAUUUGUUUGAAAGUGUUUUUAAAAUGAUUGAAAGUAAUUUUGGUUAAAAUGUUUUUUAUAUCAACUUUUAGUAAAACCAAGUGGAUCCCAAAAAAACAUUUGGUGUACUUUUUUACAAAAAAUGCAAUUUUAGAAUCCAAAAUUAAUUUAAUAAAAGUGGGUUUAGUCUUUUUUUAUUAUUUUUUAUUUUAACAAAGGAUAUAAUCUAUCUUGAAGGUGAGAGGGUAGACUUAACCUCACAAUGAGCUAGCACAUUAAUAAUGUGAUUCAAAUUCGCCUUUGCGAAAAUUGAAUUUAAGACCUCUCACUUACAAGUGAGGAGGAAUGCCUUAAAUCGUAGUACUAAGUAAUGUGUUUAAUCAUUUUUAAAAGACUUUAAAACGAGCCCUAAUUUGUAUCAAAUUAAAAAAUGUUGAAUUGGCCGGAUGUAAUAUGUAUUGGGUAUUUCCUCAUUCAAUAAUAUUUACGUUGUUUUCGGCAAAAAAAGAAAGAAUUCAAUUGGAAAAAAUAAAAAAAUGGGAAAUAAGGAUAUUCUAAUUAAGGUUUUUAUUCAUUGUUUUAGGUGGAUGGUUCAUAUGAAGAUUAUGAAACACUUUAAUUCUCUAAUGUGAGGUUCCGCCUCGAUCCAAAGUUAAACAGUGAAAAAUAUAAUUAAGAUUGUUAUUAAUUAUCAAUUCAUGUAUAUUUCCCCAUGUAUUACGUUUACUAAGUUAGACAAUGAAAAAUACAUAUAAGGCGUUACGAGAAUAUGCGUGGCUGUCAAGUCUGACACGCAAAUAGCAUGCUCAACUUGUAUUACUCCCUAAGGAUUUUAUCCAAAAUUGACGAUGAGUGAACAAGUUGAAAGAUUAUGCACUACUUUAAUUAUGUAACAAGUGAAGAGUCAAUAUUCGCCAACCCGACAAGUUCCACUUUUUGUUCAUUUUCUUGACGAAACAAUCACAUUUACCCUUACGAUUCCGGGCAUAGAGUAUGUGUUGGGUUCCGUUACAGUUCCAACACUACUUAGCACCGUAGAGAAGGAAAUAAAAAGACAACUUUGGAUUUCUUACAACGUAUUGAGUCUCUCUUCAUGGCUCUUGCUGUGUUGUUCUUAUCUCACGUCCUGUUUCUCGAGCUUGGUGUUUCCGGUUGCAAAUUUUGGUUCGCCGGUGUAGUGCUCAGGGGAGGGGACUGUGUCACAUUGUUCCAAGCAGACAGAGGCGGUUGACAACGAUUGCGAUAAUGUGUUUUUCUACGGGGAGAACAUACAGCAGUCAGCAGUUACCUUUUCACAACCGUCUUCAGUAUUUGGAGGCACCUCAAGAAAUUGUCGAGGACAGAAUGUAGAAAAGAACAAAUAUCGAAGUUGAUUGACAAAAGGGGACGAAAAAUUGAGAGAUACAAAAAAGAGGAAGAUAAGAAGAAAUUCGAUGCAAAUUUUAAGCUUGAUUAGUUAUUUUUCAUUAAUGAGCGAUACAGAGAAGAAGAAACAGCUGCAUUUGGAGAUAGCCGCUUUAGUUGCCUAGUUUGUAACAUUAGCUUUAUGUAAAUCCGGGGAAGAAACAGGAGUAAAAAAAACACAAUCAGGCAGUACCAAAGAAGAAAAAUGUACAGUUAGGAACAAUCACCACUUCUCAAACUUUGUAGUAGAUCCAGGUAUCCGAAGGACUCGGGGCUAAUGUACCUGCAUUAACCAGAAACAAAUAUCAGAUUUGUGGAAGGGAGUCGCAUAGUAGUUAAAAUACUUGGCCGUGCGUGAAUGGUUUGAGAUACCACCAUAGAGGCAUCCUCCAGGUGUGAGUUUCUCUCGUAUCCGAUAACUUAUUGUAAGAAUAUUAGCAGUGAAAAAGAAAUACCUGUGUCGGGAAAGGAAGUCAAUGACAAAAAAGCAAUUUGGCUUGAAACAUUGUGUCCCCGUAUGGAGCUUGCAACAUGCAUCACGGAAUCAACUUGAAGCUCUCCACCUCUCCAUCUGUUAUGUUUCAUAAGCAGCAUUGUUAAAGUUCCAUCUGUUUGUGGGGAUAUACCUACAGAUCCUCCUCCUGGAUUCUUUGCCUCUAUACGUGAAAACCCAACAUCUGGGAACAAACAAAUUACAUUCUCUGGCAUAGCAAGAACAGUCCUCUGAAAUGUAUCCAUACAAAGUUAGGACACAACAAAUUCAAUAAGGCAAUGUAAUUCACAACAUUGACAAUCUCUGUCUGACAAGGCAAUAAUACCUCUGUAAUGAUCCGGUAGCGACCGUGACCUGAUAGGCCAAUACCAAAGCCCACUGUUAUGCCAUCCAUGAAGCUUAUAUGGGCUUCUUGAACUCAGAGAGUUUGCAUAUUAGAGAAUACUCAGCAGUGAAUACCUGAAAAACGUGCAGCACAAAUAUCAUAUCGGCAGCCUCUCAAAUCUUAAGAAAACUACAAAUGGUAUCUUAGAAUAGAAAUGAAUCCUCUCCAACCAAUACAAAUCAUAUUACCCAAGUUCAAGCAAAAUCAAGAUUAAACAAAUGAUCAGAUUUGUAGGUUGCCCGAGAAUGUCAAACAUGAUAUUACAAAAGAAAAAAAAAUAUUGUAUGUAUUGAUAUUAAUAAAUACAUGCUGAAAGCACAAUCUUAGCCGCAAUUUUCGCCCAUGAGCGGUAGGUCUCGGGUUCGAGACUUGGGAGCAGCCUCUCCAUAAAUUGGGGUAAGGCUAGCCGACAUUCACCUCUCCCAGACCCUGCGUAAAGCGGGAGCCUUGUGCACUGGGUACGACCUUUUUUUUUAUACGAGAUUGAAUAGCCAAAGCAAUUAAAGAAGUAGCAGAACUCAUAUAAGUGACUUUCACAUUGAACUUUUAGGCUUAUCAACAAAUACAUCAUUAUGAUUCUAAUACAUGAAUUUUGUUAAAAGGGCUUGCUUGCUUGUAUUAAGGCUUAAUCAUCAAUGAUUUUGCAAGGGUCAAUCGUAUUGCUAGUUAUAAAUAUAUUCACUAUGAAAAUUACCAAAAUUACAUCUAAUAUGGUAGUGAAGGAAGUCAUCUUAUAUUAUCUUGAUUUUAGAAAACUGUGUAAGGUUAUAAGUCUGCUAUUAUAUAUAGUUAAAAGGACACAAUUAGACCUCAAUCAUAUUCGGUGGUUGGUUUUUGGUCGUGAUCUGCUUCACAUCACCGCCUGCAGGUAAUCUAAAUCUGGGUUAUUACUUAUCAACAUAGUUGCCAGAUACGGAUACAGUUCGAGUUCCUGAUUCGGUUCGGGUACGGAAUUCGAUGGUAACCUAAAGUAUCAUUCGUUAGAGAGUAUACAUAGACAGCACGAUAUUUAGUUCGAUCCGUUCUUAAUUCGUUAAAAAUAUAAAUUAAAAAUAUUUAUAAUAUACAUUUUACAAUAAUAUUUAUAGUUAUUGUAAACAACUAUUUUUGUUUAAAUUGAUUAUUUUAUAAGCAACUAGUUAUUUACCCAGAUGGGUCCCCCCCCCCCACUAACACAAUAAAAAAAUGUAAAAAUUACAAUUAAACUAAACAUUUUCUCUUCGUCUGCCCUCUACCUGAUGGAGAGCUUCCCAAAAUUCCAGUUGUUUCCAUCCUCUCUUCUCAAAAAAUUAAAGGUGUUUUUUCUUUUCUGUAUUCUGAUUAAAAAUUAUUAAAGAUUAUUGGAUGAAUCACCGAACUGACCACCGAAUCCAAAAAGUACUGGUGCGUACGUACCGAUACGGGAUUCGGACACCAUUUCACCGAAUCCGGCAACUAUGCUUAUCAAUGAAUCAACGUGCCAACUUAAUGGACACCAUCUAUCUCUAUAUGGCAAAAAAACAACACAAAAAUGAACAAUGAAGUGAAACAAUAAACAACAUGACGUGAAACAGCAUGAACAUCAAAGACUAACUUUGGUUCAAAGCAAAGCGUAAUGUAGAAACCUUCGGCAGAACAGGGGUGUUUUUGUCCUUUUGAAACAACCACUUUAAUAUCCUUUCCUGCAUUUACCAUGAUUGGUCACUCUUAAAACCUUACCUAAGAGACCCAAAAACAAAAAUAACCGCCGAAAGAGCUAAACAUACAUAUCUAGAAAAACUUAUUUAACUGCAUGCUAAAAUGGAAGUGUAAAAUUGCCAGGAAAGAUAAGAAACUAUUCAAAUACGAGUUCUGGGCGUUACCGCCACAAAAGGCACGACCCGAGCGGCUAUCAACAAGAACACACUUCACAUUUGUGUCAGCUUCCCCUUCAUCUAGAUAGCUCUUGUAUUUCACAUCCAUAUCUGCAUUUUCCAACAAUUCCCACUUAAACUGAAACACAUAAUUCUUUGGAAAAAAGCUAACUUCUUCGAAAUUUGAAUCCAACGUUUCGUCUUAUAACAAAUGCAAUACCAUAGAUUUGUAAUCAAUACGAUGCCAUAAAGUUCAAGCUCAAAAAUUCAAAUCAGCUCCAAAUCAAAAGCAUUUACAGAUACAUACAUAUAUACAUGUGCGUGUGUGUGUGUUUAUCUACAUACCUAGGUUCAUGGCGUUGAGAGCUCGGGGGGCGACCGAGGGUGAUGACGGCGACGCCAAUUGGGUGGAUGCUGCUCUUGACGAACGCGUCGGCGGCGGCCAUGAUCCCGAAGGGGCGGAGGAGGCGAGGGGAUUUGGAGGGUUUGUAAAGAGGGAGGUUCGAAUUUGGAUUGAGGAAGAAGAAAGCGGACGACGAUUUGCUCAGAAUUUGGGUCGCUCCUCCCAAUAAGCUUCCCAUUACUUCCGUUCGAGAGUGACUCUGUCAGUGUAGAGAGAGAUAUAAUUUUUGUGCUUCUAGACCGGACUACCCUUGAUAUUUCGAUUAAAUUACCGGGAAAAAAGAACUGCCGCGGUGGCUCCAGAGGGAAACUUGAAAUUUGAAAGAAAUUUGAAAGAAAUAUGAAAUAUGGACUUGCCUUCAUUUAUCGAACUGAUUGUGAUGAUGACGAUGCAUCACCACCUUGAUUGUGCCUCUGGAUCAAAAACACAUCUUCAGGAUCAAAACCGUGCAUAUUUUCCUUCAGAGGUUUGUCCCAUACUAGAUUAACCCCUGUUCCCUUAAUUGUCACAUAAUGAAUUUUUUUGAAUGCCUCUGGCAUUUCAAAAGUUACAUCAACUUUAUCCCCGCUUUGCAAAUUGAGCUUAUCGUUCGAUAUUUGUCCUUGCCAAAGAAAACAUUCUUUAAAUACAAUAUCGCGCAUUUUUAUAACCCAAUCUUCCUUGCUUAUGCAGGUGUGCAACUCGAUACGCUUGGUAUUAUUUAUAUCAAUACUGGCACGAUGAUGACCAUUCCAUCUGAUACAAGUUCUUGGCUGAUAAGGAUUGAAGCAGUAAAGGCAUAACAGAGUCAGCCCUUCAAACUUACGACCAUCACUCAGGGGGAUAUCAAAACUGACUUUAUUACCAUCGUUGACAAACUCGAACCAAUCAGGAACAUAAUUCCCAUUGAGAAAAAUGCCACCAUAUCCGCAAGAAGUCCAUCCCUAUAUACACAGUGCAAGUGUCAUAUAUAUAUACAUGUACAUGUGCGUUGUGUGUGUGCAUGUGCCCAAUAGGAAGACAAUUAAAAAGAGAGAUACCUUUAGGAUGUUCCUCCUUAAAUCAAUCCUGAGUUUGGUGCAGUUACUCAUAUCAAUCCAUGUCAUGGAGUUUAAUGACUUAUCCAAGUCUGGAACCUCAGUGAGUGCGUGUGAAUCACUUACAUCCAGUUCUCUCAUAUUCGACAUUUUCGAAAAAUUGGGCAUUGUUACCAAACAAUAGCAACUAGAUGCACCCAGAAAUUUCAAAUUUGUUGGUAAAUCAUAGAUUGUAUGAAGGUAACGGCAGUUACUUAACUGCAAACUUUCAAGAUUUGAAAGAUCACUGAGGAUGGGUAGGGUAUGAAAAUAAUUACCCGAAAGAUUCAAACCUUGUAAAGAAAUUAGACUCCCAAAACCUUUUGGGAAUGCAUCAUCGCUUAAUCUGCACCAUGAGAUCUAAAUUUCUUAAAGAAUCUAAGCCGUGUAACGAAUCGGGAAAUUGCAAAGGAAACUUCGAUUGCACACGCUCUAGAGAUAAAUAAGUGAGAUUUUUCAAUCUUACUGUGGAACGCGGUACUUGUCUUAUGGCUGUGGUAGAUGCUCUAAGUUCUCUCAAUGAUGUCAUCUUCCCUAAAUCCUCGGGCAGUUCACUGAAUUGACAACAUAGAUAAAGAUCAAGAAUCUGAACGGAUUUGGACUCGUAGAAAUCCCCAGGAAGAGAAUUAAGAUUCUUGCAGGCUAUGAAGUUCACAAAAGAGAGUUUUUUAAGAUGACCAAUGGAGGGGUGAAUCUCGGACAAUCUCUCACACCUUUCCAAUAUCAAAUCUUCAAGAUUUGGGAGAUUUGAUAAGUCUGGUGAUUUUUUUAAGUCCUGGCAAUAACUGAGAUUAAGGAUUUUCAAGUUUCCAAGCGACUGUUGCAAAAUCAAAGGAAUAUUAAAAUUAAUAUCCAAAAGGAAUAUCUCAUAUAAAAAAGAGAAGUAAAUAAAAAAAACAAAUAGAAACAUAACAUCAUGAUGUGUAAUCGAUUGUACCUUGGAGCCCUCCCAAACUUGUACCAGUUUGCUAUUCGUUAUCUCUAAAAUAACUAGUCUUGGUUGAUCAAAGAAGUCAUCUGGUAUAGACUUUAAGGGGCAUCCUUCCCAAAGCAACCAUAUUAACUCUUUGGGGAGAUGUUUGUAUUCUCCAUUGAGCUGCACGUUGUAGAGCCUGAGCAGUCUCAGUUUCUUCAUGAUGGCAAAUGCUUCUGUACUGAAACUAGGCAUGUUAGAGCUUGGAGGCAAAGAAGGGAAAUAUGGUGCUAGCCAUUCAGGGAAAGGAGGGAAAUAUAGUGCUAGUCCUUCAACUUCUUCAGUUCCCUGUUAACAAAAGGUUAUAUUAAUGUGUAAGAAACGGAUUAUUUGCAUACGUUUACAUGUAUGAGUACAUGCAAGUACUAUCGUUGGCUAAUUGAGAUGAAUGUUACUUAUUGUAUAAUUCACACCCGUGAGUUAUAUGUGCUUUUCGUGUACAAUGCAUUAAUUCAGAAUUUUAUUGGGAAUGUACUUACAGAUUUAUCUCUCAAUACAUUAGUGACAUCUUGAUGGUUCCACAACCUACUCCAUUCUCUAGGGGGACGACGGUAAUUACCAGAAAUGAUUACUUUGGCCAUUUCUCGAAGCAAAUCAUGCAUAUUCAACUUGUUGUCUUCAACAGUUAUAAGGCAUCGUUCACGGAGGUCAUUGAUUCCUAUUGUUGCAAAAAAGUUACAUCCAUCUAAUAUUUUUGCGACAUAAUCCUUUUUCCAUCCAAUAAAGAAACAAGAUAUGUCAAGGAAUAUAUCCCUCUGGGUAGGAUCUAGCCUUUCAAAGCUUACUCUUAGCGGUUUCAUUAUUCCUUCAUUAGGAAUUUUUUUCAAUUUCUCCAACUGGCUUUUCCACUCUGUUGGGGAUCUUUCAACCAUAGAAGAACCUAAAACUUCAAGGGCUAGUGGCAAACCACCACAGUAAGAAACAACCUCUUUUGAGAGUUCAAGAUAUCCUUCAUUAGGCCUACUAUUUCCAAAGGCAUGCCAACUAAAGAGCUUCAGAGCUUCUUCUUCAUUCAUUUCCUUAAGUGGAUAUGUCUUGUCCACUUUCAUGUUCACUUGCUUUAGUAAACGUUCAUCUCGUGUCGUUAUGAUAAUUCUACUUCCUGGGCCAAACCAAUCACGAUUUCCAGCUAUUGCAUUUAGUUGUUCCACUUUGUCUACAUUGUCAAUAAUGACAAGUACGCUUCUACGUUGGAGAUGAUUUUUUAUCAGACUGAUACCUUCAUCAACACUGGUUAUCUUAGACUUGUUCCGUUUCAAGAUGUCAGAAACAAGUUUGCCUUGCAAAUCAGCCAGAUCAUAUUCACUAACGUUGGCAAGGAAGCUUUUGAAUUGGAACUUAUGAUGAAUUUGGUUAUAAAUGGCUUUGGCAGCUGUUGUUUUACCCAAUCCGCCCAUCCCCCAAAUUCCAACCAUGCGAACUUCUGAUCCACCACUUGAAAGAUAACUGAUAAUAUCUUGAACGCGAGAAUUGAUUCCAACCGGGUGCUUGGCCACAUGUAAUUUGUUUGUGCUUAGAAGCCAUUCCGGAAUAAUCUUAUCAACAAUUUCUCUAAUCAGCUGUGCUUCGCACCUGAAAAUUGAAUUGGUAAGCUUAGUAGGCUUAGUAGGAGCCAUUAGAACAUAAACAAUUUUCCUUCUUUCCUUCGUGUGUGUGUGUAUACACACACACACACACACAAUAACUAGCUACUAGCUAAUAUGUGAUUUUGUGACCAACUUGAAUAGAAGAAACAAUUUCAUGCAUUGAUUUAUUAAAGUUUGGUGUAUCAAUUAAACUCCAAUUAUGGUUUAGAUUUUAAAGGAAAUUGGAGAAAUGGUCCCUGAACUAUGAUCAAAUUGUGGCUUUGGUUCUUAAAACUUUAAAUUAUUAAAGUUAACUCUCUCCCACCUCCCUCCCACCUCACCUCCUCCAAACCCCAGCCACACCAUUGUAGCACUUUCCCAACAGCCAAAACAAAAGAAAGUUUCUAAUCCAAAUUUGGAACACAUCUCCCCUUGCAAACAAAUUCACAAUGACAUCCAUCCACGCUAUCUCGAAAGGUAAAAUUCAAGAAAUUUGUGGGAUGCGGGAUCGGGGUUAAAGUGAAGGCUGUGGUCCAUGGGCUAUAGGUUGGGGCCGGCUGGGGAGUGGGGAUUAGGGAUUGGGGGUUGGAAGUGGGACGUUGACGAGGUGUGAAUCAACGAUUGAAGGUGAAGGGGUGGGCUGCGAGCCUGCGAAUGUUGGUGGGACGAGGUAGGCCUGCAAUUAUAUAUAUAUAUAUAUAUAUAUAUAGGUGAAACUAACAUGUAAAGUUGUAAACACUUUCAACUAAAACUUAAAGAUAUUGGUUACGAAGGACUAACGCUCCAUAUUAUCAAGUUCAAGGACAAAAUAUAAUGAAUUUUUAGUUUAGGAACCAAACUACAAUUUUCCUGUAGAUUUUAAAUGAGAGAUUAAGGUGUAUUAAUUAAGCAUGUUAAUUAGAGUAAUACAACUUAAAUAUUGAAAUGUAGGAGAAUGAUUACCUAUUAUCAGUGAUUUGAAGAUGGUGGCCAGACAAAUUUGCAGCUUUUGUAAGAGCCUCUCCCCACUGCUUUACCCCUUGUUUAGCUUCACGUUUCUUGUCAUCCUUUUCUUCACCGAUGCCUUCUUUGUGCUUCUGAAAUUCUUCGGCCAACUUUGCAGCUGUUGUAAGAGCCUUUCUCCACUGCUUUACCCUUUCUCGUUUAUCUUCACGUUCCUUGUCAUCUUUUUCUUCACGGAUGUCUUGUUUGUGCUUCUUAAACGCUUGGGCUAAAACUCCGUUCUGCUUCCUGACAUGUGAAGGAUCAACAUGAUAGAAUAUUGGCAAAACAUGUCGCCCCAGUUUGUCUCUGCACUCCAUGAUCUUCACCAGCUCGUUAAGACACCAACUCGAAUCCGCAUACCUCUCUGAGAAGACAAUGAUAGAGAUCUUCGAUUCUUCGAUUGCCUGGAACAGUUCUUUUUGUAUUUCUUCCCCUCUUUCUAGAUCAUCCUCAUCGAUAUAAGCCUGGUAUCCCUUGUCUGUUAAUGCCGCAUGGAGGUGGCCCGUGAAACCAUUGCGUGUGUCUACACCGCUGAAGCUCAAGAACACGUCGUAAUUCCAAAGUUUUGACUUGGAGGAGAAUGAAGAGGAGGCUUCGUGGGUUGUCAUGGUGGUAUCCACCGUUAUGGCACUGUAGUUGUUCAGAUCACGACUAAAAAAUGGCAGUAGUUGUGUUCAUACUGUCGAACGGAUGAUCCUGAAAUACCUAAACCCAAGUCAAGCUCCUUCAGUCAACAAGAACAAAUAUUAUAUAUAAUAAUGUUGGCCGGAAGGUGCAGAGAAAGGGAGAGGAAAAGAGAUAAGAAAGGAACGAAAGGAAUGAAAGGACAAAGACUAUCCAAAAGAUUCUUGGCUGUGAUUACAGCUAUUCAUAGGAGAAACAACGGACAUAUUUUUAUAGGAGAAACAACCUGCCCAUCUUCAUAUAUAAUGCAUUUCAAUAGGAGAAACAACUUUAGUUUGUACUAGAAUUUUUUACCCGCGCGUUGCUGUGGGAUUUGAAAUUGUAUGAAAGAUUAUCUUUGAAAUAUAUAAUAGAUUGUGUGAUCGAAGAUUAAUACUAUUUACAUUGCAAAUGUUGAAAAAAGUUUUACAUACAAAAGAUUUUACGAUACAAUCCACAUACAAAAGAUGGUAAAUUUUUUUCUAUCUACAACAUGCAUUAUGUUAUGGAAUGAUAUAUAUAACUAAGUGCCAGAAUACAUAACUUCAUAACUUAUAUUUUUUUUGACAAAUUAAUCACAUUCAACUGUGGGAUAGCAAGGUUGCCUAUAAAAUUGUGAAGUCAUGGAAGCAUAAAGGACAAAUAACAAAUGAGUUUUGAGAAAUUAUUCCACAAAUGUCAUUCUGCAAAAUGUAUUAAAGACGAUUGGUAUAAGAUUAGUAAUCAUGAGUAGUGUAACAACAUCAACAAAGUAACUAUAAACCAUAGUUGAACAUAAUCCAAAUAUCGUUUGCAAAAACAAAAGAAAAAGAAAACAGACUUACAAUAAUUCAGCCUUCAAUCCUGAAGUCCUACUCAAAGAGCCAAACUUGAAUGCAAGCUUUCUGAAAUCUUCCAAACAAUACAGAUAAAAAGGUAACACCCUAGUCAGAAAUGAACCGAGCUGCUAGCUUUCAAAGAAACCCAGAUGACAAAAUAAAAAAAUAGAAUGGAAAAAUGACUUGCACAUUUAAGGCUUGCUCGAAUCUUGAUCUAAAAUUGGUGGCGGGUUGAUUGUUGGUCACCAACUCUAAAUAAAGAAUUCAUCAGAACCUAGAAAUUUAAACAAAGAAUUUUCCAAAAUCAACAUUUACUAAAAACCAGUUACUUGGUUAUCAUGCAUGAUGGCUUGCCAAAGACUGAAUUAAGGAAUGCACAACUUUACUUUUAUGAUUAUUUUCAAUGACAGCUAAAAGGUCAGAUCCAAAUGACAGUUAAAUUCCUUUUCUACAAAGUUCGAAAUUAUAUGGCAGUUUGGCAUCUGUUGAAUAACAUGGUUGAAAGAUUUAAAAUUGAUACAUUCAAUUUUUAUGUGUAAAACUAUAACAUAUACCUAAAGCUAUUUGGUCUAUAUAUCCAUAUCAAUCAUGUUGUAAUUAAAUGUUUAUCGAUGUAAAUAGAUGAUUUCAGUCAUGUGAUAACAUGUUUCUUGAUGGUAUACGCUGAAGUUUGGUCUAAGUUGGAUAAAAAUCGACCAAAAUCUUAGUAAGAGACUCUUUUAACUUUUAACCAAAAAAUGAGCACCACAAUACUACACUUAUAAGUUUUUAUCAUGCACAAAAUAUACAGCACUGAUAGCCACUUUUAGAGCAAGAACAAUACUUUACCAGACGAAAACAACAAAACACUCAAAACCCAGAAACAAAAACACACUUAGGACUCAAACUCCUCAAAAACAUGAGAAAGAGAGUGCGUGAGGAGAGAGAAUAAAAAAAAAUAUUAUUUUUCACAAACUCAAAAUUGUUUAUAAAAUUACAAAUCAAAACAAAUGAAAAUCCAAAAUUGCCCUAAAUUAAAUCUGUUUAGUUAAAUGUUUAUUGCCCUUCAAAUGUUAUUACACCUGACAAUUGCUUUGAAGUUGAUAUUUUGGUCAAUCCAGGGGAAAAGGAGUUAUUGCUUUUGGAGCAGUUGUCAUGGAGAAUCCCAUCUCCAUGUUAAAUAAAAAAAGGUCGUACCCAGUGCACAAGGCUCCCGCUUUACGCAGGGUCUGGGAGAGGUGAAUGUCGGCUAGCCUUACCCCAUUUUAUGGAGAGGCUGCUCCCAACUCUCGAACCCGAGACCUACCGCUUAUGGGCGAAGACACUUGCCAUCGCACCAAGUGGCCACAAUAAUUUAGGAGGCCCUUCUCUCCAGAUUUUCUCAAUAACUUUCCUUUUCGUAGCUGGUAAGAUUGCAACUCCAAGAAUUGCUCUGAAGAGAUAUAUACAAACAAAAUCAAACUAAAACUAAGCUAUUGGAAGAAAUUUACAAAACAAAAACACAAUUUCAACUCAGAGUUAAAGUCAACAGAAACCAAAUGGUACAAGUUGACAAAAUAUAUGGUCAUGAAUCGAGAACUUCAUCAAACUAACAGCAAUAAAAUCUCCUAUAAUCUGUCUAAAACCAAAAAAGAGAGAGGUAAUUUCAAGACCUUGUAACGCUGAGGCCUCGUACAGUUGUAGUAAUAAUAUAUGGUUGAUGCACCUGUUGCUCAAUCAAAUCCUUUGUCUGGCUAAAAAAAUAAAAAUCUAUAAAUACAUUCACGUCCAAUUUAUGAGAAAUCAUGGGAAAGCAAAUGCACUGAUAACGGAAUCAUGAAUAUGAAGAACUUGCCAAAAAGAAAAAGAAAACUUCUUGUAGUGUGCCAAGAACAUCCUCCUACUCCUAGCAAAUUUUUUAUGGCAUUAUCCACUUCUCAAUUCAUAAUUCAACCAGUAACUCAAAGUCUAUAGUGUAUGAAAAAGUGAUAUCUUAGUUGAUCUCGAUGAUAAUUAAGUAGAUUAAAUGACGACCCAUAAAGCAUACAAAUUCAGAAAAGAAAAGGUUGAAAACUGCCAUAAGAAAACGCAGAAUAUAUAAAUGGGAAAUCAAAAGAAGAGAAGCGAAAAAGGAAGAAAAAACCAAACAAAAUUAUUAGGUUUGGGAUAUACCUUUAUCCGAAAGGCCACAACCAUCAAAGUCAAACAUAAACAAUCCAAAAAUUUGUGGAAAAUAACAAUAAAUGCUUAACUAAAAAUGAAAGAAAACGUAGAAUAAGUUUACCUGUUCUCCCCCUAAUUAAACUGGAAUACAAUUCACCACUAAUAUUCUUGUCAUCCUCUUCAGCCUGAAAAAUUUAGUAGAAAUAUUCAAUGAAGACGCUUAAUGGAGACAGUAAUAUUAGCAAUGGAGGAAUUGAAUUGAUAACUAAAACUGCAAGACCAAAUGACUACAAUAGGUUCAAAACAGAAACUCGUCUGUUAGAUGUCUCAUCUUUAGGCAGUGCCUUGUUCUUUGUUGCAUGUCUUGUGAAGUUCAUGUAAAUCAACAAAAUUGAUACUUUGGACACACCAACAAUGGAGAGGUAAAAAGUGAAAAACAGAAGGAAUGUCUUCAGAUUUGUAAUGGAUUUUGCAAGUCAGAAAUUCUGUUCGAGAAUUUGCAACCCAGAAAGUCCACCAGCAAUUAUUAACAAUCACAGAUAAGCACCGAAUGAAGGCCAAUCUAAUACAACAACAACAACAACAACAACAAAGCCUUUUCCCACUAAGUGCGGUCGGCUUGAAGGCCAAUCUAAUACGCCAAAAUAUUCAGGGCACUAAAGAACUUAUUGCCCAGUAUCAACGAUAGAUAAGCACAUGUGAAACUAAAGAAAUUUUUCAUUACUAUCAACUCCAAAAAAGAUAACCUAUGCAAUCCAAAAAAUGUUGAUACAGAGUUGGAGUAUCGAUGCUUGAAAUUGGUAUUUGAACCACCAACUACCUCCGUGAAUAUGUUUGUUUGCUUAAUGGUUUGGGUUGAAGUUGCGAAAGGAAAUAUAAUUUCUUAAAAGGAGAGAAUGCAGAGACAAUACAGAAUGGUUCACGUGGCCACCUCAAAACAGAUUGACAAUUAAGCUUCAUUAUGAAUGGAAAGAUUAAUAGAUGAUAAUUAAGAAGGCCUGAUACCCAAGCCGAAAUCAGAGAUAUCCUUUGUAAACAAAGAGAUUGAGCAUUUCCACUAAAAAAUAACCUUUUUUGUGAGGGGUGGGAUUGGGUGGAAGGCUAGAUAAAGACAUCAAAUUUUAUACUUAUUGCAUGCAAGGUAUGCAACAGCCUCCCGCCGAUUAAAAAUCCCAGAAAUAAAAGAAAUCGAAUCAAGAAAGAAGAUAAUUGCACAAUAAUUACACCUUCACUAAGAAAAUAAAUUAUAAAAUCGAAGACCGUGAGAAUAAUGUCUUAUACAUUAAGCCUGCCAAUUACUAAAAACAAAACAUUUUGCCAUGAGGAGAAGUAAGAACAUACCCAAACUUGUUUGCAAAUAGAUGAGAAAAAUUUAUACCUGAAACAGAUGGAAAAUUUAUUAGGAAAGAUAAAUCAGCCCACAUGUGUGUAAUCUAUAUACAAAAAACCACUCUUUUCAUUAACCAAAUCGUUUCACAAAUCCAAAAACACAGAAUUAUAUCUUGAACAAUGCCAAUUAAUGAUUUCCCAUUUACUUAAGCCCAACAUCAAAGCCAAUGAACUGAUGAAAGAGCGAAAAUGAGAAACAUAAAACCUCAAUUAAGCAAUUAAAUGGAGUAUUACUUGAUAGAGCUGGAAAAUUACCCAGUAAGAUUAAAAAAAAGAGAGAUGAGAUGGAGUGAGAAUCACAUACCGGCAUCACCUUUAAAUAUGUAGUGCUCCUCAGAGAGAGGAUCAAGAGUGACUGAUGAGAGGGCAGAGAACGAAUGAUUGAGAAAUUCAAGCUCUGAGCUCAAAGUUGGGGCCUCCACUUUCCAACUGGGGAAGAAAUAACAGAGAAAACACAGAGAGCCAAUCCACCAAAACUAUUAAUCAAAUGGGUUCCGUCUAAUUCAAAAUUUGGACCACCCAAAUUCCGAUGAAGCAAUAACCAUUCAAAAUUCCAACAGAUUGAAGCCCUCACAGACUACAAAUUAUCAAUACCCAGCAAUAAAAAAUUUGAAAACAGUAAUAAUGAAGGAAAAAGAAAUUAAAGCCGCAAGCCAUUCUCUAAAUCUCAGGCACCAAUCCAAAUCACCAGUAAUUUGCACAUAAUGAUAAGAAUCUAGCAGUAUUUCCAUUGUUUAAAACCCAAAUUCAAGAAAUCAUGAAAAAUGGAAACUUUAUAUAGAAAUUGAAGCUUUACCUGCAGAUCAGCAGCAGCAAACGGAAUCCAACGGCAUGUACCUCAAAAGUGAGAGAGAGCUGAGAGAUGAGUAAGAGAAUCGGUAAACAAAACCCCCAAAAUCACAGAAGGAAAUUUAAACAGAAAACAAAUUUGCAAAUCCAAAAUCACAAAAACGAAAUUGAAACACGAAAGCUGUAAAACUGACCAGGAACGCUAGCUUUUCUGGGUAAAAACUUUAUUCGAAUCGAAUAGAAGAACCGAGGAAAGUUCUACUGGUUCAGUGGUUAUUCCAGCAAGAAAGCACCUUGUUUGUAAUUCGUGAGAGGUUGGAACUUGGAGAGCGAGAGAAGCCGAUUUGGGAGCCAAAGAAAGCGAGGUUGGAGAACGACGGAAGCUGAGAAUUGCGAGAGAGAAAAACGAAAAGGAAAGGAAAAGCGGAGAAAAAGUCACGAUUAUCGAAGCGUGCGAAAAUGAACGGGGAAUGGGGAUCUGGCUGAGGGAGACAGAAUUCGAGAAAGCGGAAUGAAGAGAAUCGAGAAGAGGAGGAAUCAUUUUAAGCGGAUGAUCGACGCGUGGGAAGUAAACUAUUAUUUACAAAUCUAAAGCAUUACCCGAACUUAUAAUACAAUAGCUACUUUGACAGAAGAAAAGAUGGAGAGUGAGAUGAUUGCAUUCCUUUUCAAAACAACUUUUAAGAUUCCAUAAUAAACUAAUAUAUAUGAAGAUGUGCCCCGUGGUAAAAGAGAGGAAGGAAAGAUUAUCAAAAGUUUAUUGUUCGUGAAUCGUGAUUACAGCUAUUCAACUUUUGUAAAUUUUCUUAACAUGAGUGAGAUUUGCAUUCUUUUUCAACCGAACUUCUUUUGAUUUCAUAAUAGAUUAUUAUACGAAGGAUAAAUGCUUAACAGAUUCUCUCAAAAUCGAUGCUUUUCAUGAACUUUUUAGCUAUCUUAUGUUUUUAGACUUAAUUACACUAACACUUUCUGUGGUUUAAGAUAGUCUUACGUUUGAAAUAUUACACUAACAUCCUUUUAAUGUAAUGUCUCAAACGUAAAGGAAUUUUGUGAAAACUCGACUAACUUUAGGAGUGUUAGUGUAAUUAAUCUAUUUUGUGCAAAUAUUGUAAAAUAUUUUACCAAAUACAUUAAGAGCUCGUUUUGAUGUGUUUUUAAAAUGACUAAAAACGUUUUUAAAUAAAAUAUUUUUUUGUUCCAAAAGCACUUAAAUUGUUUUAUGCAAGAAGCACCAGUUAUGUGCUUAUUCCAGAAAGCACUUUAAAUGUUUUUCUAGAAUUUACUUACAUUUUUAUUAAGGAUUGGUUUAAAAAACAUUUUCACAAAAAACGUUUUCAGUUAUUUUAAAAACACAUCCAAACAAGCACUAAGUAGCGGAUAGUUUAUAGACACUUUCACUUUAAAAAGUAGGGAACUUUAACGAAAAGCACCCGGUACUGUUCACUUUAACGAAAAACCAUAUUUUUACACUAAAAAAUCAAUCUUGGUACUAUUCACUUUACCCUUUAUUUUGUUCUUAUCAUUAAAACUCAAAAUUUUCAAGCCAUUUUCAUUAGUUUUCUUUAAAAAGUAUUCUUGCAUAUUUCUAACAGACAUGUACGGUGGAAAAAGAUCACUUCAUAAUUAAAUAUUAUGUUGUUGAUUACGCCUCUCUCUAUUUGAUUAAGUUUCUUUUCACUCUUCUCUAAAAAAUAAUGGUUUCUUUUCACAUUAUUAAACCGUUGUAAAGUAAACUUUUUUUUUGUAAAAGUGUUUUUAAUUAAAAAAAGUAAUGUCAAAGUGUUUGGUAAAUUUUUAUAUAAAUUACUUUGAAUAUAUUAAAUAACUAUAAAAUAUAUACUAUUUAAUGUGAUAUAAUAAUUGUCAAAGACAAUAAUGUAUGAGCAAAAAUUGUAAUUUGUAAAACAUGUAGAGGUAUACUAUUUGAAAAGUUCAUUAAAUGAGCGUUAAUUAUUAUACUUUGAAAAAGAAAAAAAAAUAUACUUUUUUAGAAGCAUAGUACACCCUACUUCUCAUUUUCUGUACUUUUUUCUACUUUUAUUGACAGUAGUUUAAUAAGUUGCUUUCUUUGAGAGUACUCAAACCAAUCCUUAAUAAGUGACCAUUUUGAACUUUCUUGGCGCCAUCGGUGUGGAGGGAGAGAAAAGAAACUAGCGCAAAACUACAGACACUCGAUUCGUUGUAAUAUAUAAUAAAAAAUAAUAGUCACGUAUAAAAUAUGGUACAAUUAUAGUUCUGGCAUAUGUCUCUACCAAAGAUAAUCGCCGUGUCUUUCAAAUUUGUUGUUAAAUUGGGGACAACAUGAAGAUUUUCACACUAAUCUAAGUACAACGUUUCAAACCUUGAAAGACCACUAAAGCUUUGAAAAGUCUGGUGAUUUUGUUAGGUCAUGUGAAUGACUGAAAUUAUCGAUUUUCAACUUCCCAAGCAACUAUUACACAAAAUAUAAUUUAAAACUCAAGAGGAGGAAUCAAAAUCGAUAGUGUCUUCAACUUAACCACUAAUAAGUGUAGAGUACAAAAGACCAUGCAAUUAGUAGUUGUGCCCUUCAACAAAAAGAGAAUCACAAUGUUAGUUGGUCACAUCACAUGCCCAAGGAAAACACGGUACAAAAGCACUAAAAGCGUCCAAGCGAAAGUGCUUUCUUCUCAUGUAGUUUCAUUUAACUUAUUUUACCACAACAGUAAAUAUAUUUUACCACUGCGCCAAUUACGAAAAUGAACGGGGAAUGGGGAGCUGGCUGAGGGAGACAGAAUUCGAGAAAGCGGAGUGAAGAGAAUCGAGAAGAGGAGGAAUCGUUUUAAGCGAUGAUCGACGCGUGGGAAGUAAACUAUUAUUUACAAAUCCAAAGCAUUACCCGAACUCAUAAAGAUGCUCUAAAAACUUUCAAAGAUUCCACAAUUUCUGUUUGAUUUCAUAAUAAACUAUUAUACGAAGGAUAAAUGCUAAAAAUUAGUCUCAGGAAAGCACUUUGUUUGUAAUUCGUGAGGUUGGACAGCGAGAGAAGCCGAUUUGGGAGCCAAAGAAAGCGAGGUUGGAGACAGAAUUUGAGAAGCAGCUUCCUGAUUUUUUUUUUUUUAUGAGAGAAGGCGGAAUGAAGAGAAUCGAGGAGAUGAAUCAUUUUAAGCGAUGAUCGACAUGUGAGAAUUGAGACGAUCUUAUAGCAACGCGAUAUUCAGUUUCAUCACACCAGUUAACUUGUAUUGGUCGAGUAAAGCACAUGUUACUUUCUGAAAAUUUGAAAUACUACAACGCAAAACCUAUCAAGAGGAUGCUACCAUGUGAUGCAAGAAACGAAAAGGUACAAAGUCCAGACUCACUCUGGUUGUCAUUUUCCCCAAGCGCAGAUGCAACUUUAGCGAAUUAAGUUUGUCUCAAAGAAAGUGUCUUUCCAAAAAAAAAAAAAAAAGUGAAAACGGAGCACCCUUCCCCAGACAUUAAGGGCGUGUUUACGUACACGUAAUCAGAAUAAGAAUGUGGAAUUGAAUUUCGAUUACGGAGUACUCUGAUGUUUACUAAACAUGGAGAAUAAAAAAAGCAAUGGGGCCCACACAAAUUUUGGAAUUCAAUUCCUUGUAUUGGUGGAAUUUGAUUCCCUAGAUAUAUGUUGUAAUUCAAUUCCUGCUUGUUUGGACAAUCGGAAUAACACUUUUGUUCCCUUUAUGUCCUCACUUACUUUUUUUAUUUCCAAGACUAUCCUUUAUAAACUCAUUAAAGUAUAUAAAAUAUUUGAUUUGGGACAAGGGUAUUUUAGUAAUCAUACUGGUUUAUAAUUCGAUUCUGCUGAAUUAGUAAAAAUCUUUAUGGAAUUAUAUUCUGAUUUCAGAACAUUUAAGUAAACAGUUUCAACAAGAAUCUGAUUCUGACUUCUCUUCAUUCCAACUCCUCCUUAAUUUAAUUCCUCAUUUUUUUCAUUACCGUUAUAUAAAUGUGCCACAAAGAGCUUCAUUAGCCCACUCACCACUGCAAUAGAAACAAUUUGAUAGAAAAUACUUGAUAGCAACAUACAAGCCUCUAUUUUAUUGGAAAAAUCAAAAUACAAAAUCAAUGUUAUCAAUUUUCUAUCUAAAUGAGAAUUACGGUUUAAGCGAGUUAUGUGGAUACCUAAGCAGGUCUAGCGCACUUUCUUAAUUUUCAAAUGCUUAAGAACUAAUUAGGACGCUGAUCAGCAGCCUAACGUUAGGCGAAGAUUUUUAGAACAUUAAUUACUUGUUCUCCUAGAUCUCCGAGUCCAAGAAAAUUAUGAUCACCCAUUGUUCAAUCUUAAUAUAGUCAGUACGUGGUUAUUUAACCAUUUUGUUAUAUUUAUCCUUUCUCGUUAAAUUAAGUAAGUGAUAAUAACUUUCCUGGAUCCUGUAAUCUAGAAGAACAAGACUAUAUAUCACAUGGAUAAACAUAAUCAGGCAUAAGAAAAAGUCGAAGAAUUCAUAACAUAGAGUAAUGCUAAAAAUACUAAAUUUGUAAACUAAAUGACAUAGAAGUUGAUCGUUAAAUUAUUAUUUAAAUAUUAAUAAACGUGUUCAUGCUCACACAUCAUUUAAUUUGUAAAUUUUAUUUAUAAAUCUUAAGCAUUACCUGAACGCAUAUAAUACAAUAGCUGCUUUGACAGAAGAAAAGAUGGAGAGUGAGAUGAUUGCAUUCUUUUUAAAAGCAACUUUUGAAGAUUCCAUAAUAAACUAUUAUGUAUGAAGAUGUGCCGUGGUAAAAGAGAAGUAAAAAGGAGGGAAGGAUUAUCCAAAAAAUUAUUGACCGUGAUUACAAUUAUUCAACUUUUAUACAUUUCUUCGAACGGAGAUCCAAGAAAAGAUGGAGAGAGAGAUUGGCAUUGUUUUUCGACACAACUUCUGUUGAGUCCAUAAUAAACUAUUAUAAGAAGAAGGAAUGCUAAAGAGAUUCUUUCAAAAUCAAAACUUUCUCAUGUUUUUGGGGUUAGUUAUACUAACAUUUUUUCUUUCGUAUAAGAUAUUACGCCAACACUCCUUUUAGUGUAAUGUCAAACGUAAGGGGAUUUUGUAAAAUUUGAUUAACUUCGACGUUAGUGUAACUAACCUAUUUUUAUGCAAAUAUUAUGUCAAAUACAUUAAAUGGCGGAUAAUUUAUAAACAAUGUCACUUUAACAGAGUUUUCUUACAUCUUUUUUAUAGAUAUGGACGGUGGAAAAAGAUCACUCCAUAAUUAAAUAUUGUGCUAUUGAGCGCGCUUUCGGGGCGCUUUCGGUGCGGGGUUUUGGCCUCCGCCGCUCCGCGUGCUGUUCUUUUACCUUUUUAUCUGCCAUUCGCGUGCUCCGCUGGUCCCAGACCCCUGAACAAUGUGAUGAUGCCAACUAACGUUAACCCCACUAAAGCAUCGGAAAUUGCGUCUGAGGAUAGAAAAGGCAUACAUGCAGAUCCUCCUCCCGGACUCUUUGCCUCUCUAUAUGUGAAAACCCAUCUGGGAACAAACCAAUUCCAUUCUCUGGCAUAGCAAGAACGGUCCUCUGAAAUGUAUCCAUACAAAGUUCGACACACAAAAUUCAAAAAGCCAUUGCAAUGUAAUUGACAACAUUGACAAUCUCUGUCCGACAAGGCAAUAAUACCGAAGCCCACUGUAAUGAUGGUAACCUGAUAGGCCAAUACCGAAGCCCACUGUUAUGAAAUCCAUGAAGCUUAUAUGGGCUUCUUGUACUCUCAGAUUUUGCAUAUUAGAGAAUACUCAGCAGUGAAUACCUGAAAAACGUGCAGCACGAAUAUCAUAUCGGUAGCCUCUCGAAUCUUAAGAAAACUACAAAUGGUAGCUUAGAAAAGAAAUGAAUCCUCUCCAACCAAUACAAAUCAUAUUACCCAAGUUCAAGAAAAAUCAAGACUAAACAAAUGACCAGAUGUUGUAGGGUGCCUGAGAAUGUCAAACAUGAAAUUACAAAAGAAAAAAAUAAUCGUAUGUAUUGAACAUUAAUAAAUACAUGCUGAAAGCACAAUCUUAGCCGCAAUUUAUGACAUUCAUACAAGAUGGAAUCGCCAAAGCAGUUAAAGAAAUUGCAGAGCUCAUAUAAGUGAUUUUCACUAUGAACUUUUAAGCUUAUCAACAAAUACAUCAUUUCGAUUCUAAGGCUUAAUCAUCAAUGAUUUUGCCGUUGGAUAGUGGCCAAAUUAGCGGCCGACUGAACAACAAGCCAACUCUCCUUUCGGCUAUUAAACAAAGAAAAGUUUGGUGGACAUCAUCAUGAGUAAAGACACAAUGAUGAUGUUUGUUGAAAAGAAAAAGGAAGGUCAUAAUGAUGUUUGUAACUUUGGAUUUUUUAUAGUCAAAUGGAAUUGGGUUUAUUUGGCUCCUUCCUUUGCAACUUGACAAAAGAGCUUUUUUUUGGUAUUUUCUAAGGCAGCAGCAGCUGCUAUAUGUUUGAGGAGAAGCCGAGAGAUACCAAGAAGAGCGUUCGGCUCUCCCAUUUGAAAUUUUGUUAGUAAUCACUCAAUCAAAGAUGUUGGUGCUACUUGUGUAGCUUUUGGGAGAGAAGGAUUUUGAUAUGUGUUUCUUCUUCUCCAUUUGUUUCUUAGUUUGAGUGAGAGCUAUUGGUUGUAUGUGGGAUUUAGGUUUGAGAGUUAAAACUCUAUUUGUAAUUUCCUUUUGAUAUUAGUGGAAUUUCCUCGCCGUCUCGGAACUGGACGUAGGCUUACGCCGAACCAGUAUAAAUCCUUGUGUUUUUUGGAUUAUUUGUCUUGUCAUAUUUUGCCGUAUUAGCUUUGGUUUCAUAUUUGAAGCUUUCACACAACAUUUGCAAGGGUCAAUCGUAUUGCUGGUUGUAAAUCUAUUCACUAUGAAAAUUACCAAAAUUACAUCUAAUAUGGUAGUGAAGGAAGUCAUCUUAUAUUAUCUGGAUCCAAAAUUGUACCUAAACAUGCAUGACAGGUAAAAAGAAGAUGAGCAAUAAAACAUUAUAAAGAUUCCCAAGAAAAGCAAUAAAACUACGUAAAUAUUAGUUAAUAAUGUCAAGACCAUAGUCUGUGACAAAUCCAAGAGUUGAGAUGAGACUAUCUUUCCGGCAGGAAUUUUUGGAAUUUUUCUCUAUUGUAAGGAAAACAUAGAUUGAUGUUUGUGUUUACACGAAAAUUAUGCCAACGGCUUAGGAGAAAUCAAAGCAUAACAAUGGGACUAAAAUGACUUACCUACUAUGAGGAUCUUCAAGUUCCUUCUUCACCUCUUCGGGCAGAUUGGCUAAUCUAAUAAACGAAAAGAAAACUCCCAUGAGCAGUGCUAUAACAAACUAUCUUCCUAAAUUCAUUAUGAAUUGCAGUUAAAACUUAAAAUGAACAUGAAAAUCCUACGUAGAAGGGAUAUACCUAGGUGACAAGCCUAGAAGAUUCCCGCGCAAGGAAGAAUAUCCCGGAACCUGCAAUUGGAAACUCAAAGAAACAAUUACAAAGAUGCUAGAAAGAAAAUACGUAUCAGUUUACAACAAAACGCUAGCGCUCAUGAGAAUCGAUUAGGUAUGAAGCAUCAAAACAAUAGCAUGAGACAUCAUAACUUAUGAGCUAUGAAUGGAAUAAUGGAGCAAAAUAUCGUUGCCCAAACAGCACAAUCUACAAUCUACAUGACGGAGAAAGUACCCCGACAUUACAUAUGCAAGUUCAUGUGGUUUAUCUUUUUAACCGAUUCGUUAACAAAUUCUUUCUGCACAUAUAGUUUUAACUUACCAAAACUGGUAAUGGAAGAGAGAUAAUCAGUAAUUAAAAACGGUAAUCGCAUAACGAAAUCAUACUUGAGUGAUUGAUAGGAUUCCCAACCCAUUUGGUCCAAAUCCUUCUUCAAUCUUCACUGACAAAUCUUUGUCCCUGUCCUGUAUCAAUCCAAAAUCAAAAAACGACAAUUAGAAAAAUCGAAUUCUCGACAUGAUCGACGAGUUAAAACAUAGCAAUUAAACAAAACUAUGAAUAAAACAAUUAGAUUCUGUUUGGUUGCUGAGAAAAUGAAGAGAAUAACAACCAAAAAGUCAACUGAAAUAAAAUUUUGCUCUAACUUCAACGAAUUCUCUUGAGUUUCUGAGCACCCAAACAGAAAAAAAAAAAUUAUAGGCAAUCAAACCAAACUCUCAUGCUCAAUUUUCUCGGCAACCGCAAAAAGAACUUAGAGGGGGGGGGGAGAGAGAGAGAGAGUUACUUGGAGCUCGGAGUAGGAUAUGGUGACUGGUGUGACGGUGGGGACGGCGGGGUCGGAGGACGGAGGCAUAGUUCGACAAUAAAUUUGGCGGGAAAGACGGCGGUUGGAGCGUGACGAUGGGGAAGAAUCCGUGGGAACGAAGAGCAAUUUUGGUGCGGAAGGAGGGUUUUUAUAUCGGAGGGAGGGAGGGAGGGAGGGAGGUUGAGAGCGAAAGGCGUGAUUGUCAAUUUCAAAUUUUUUUUUUUAGGAAUAAAGAAAGAAGAGAGGUUGAGUAUCAAUUCCCUUUCCCUCCAAACCAAAUAAUACAUUCACGUUCAUGAUGUGUGGCAAAAAAUUGAAGGUGGAGACGAAUAUAUUAAAGGGAUGUGCUAUCCACACACCUUUUUUACUUCUCACACACCAUUUGUUAAUUUCUGUCCGUUGAUCUUCUUCAUUUCAUCUGAUCUAACGAUCGAAAAUUAAAAGGGUGUGUGAGAAGUAAAAAGGGGUGUGUGGAUAUCACACCCCUAUAUUAAAUAGGUAUAAGUAUUAGUUAAAUUUAAAAUUAAUUGUGUACUAUUAAAAAUUUGUUUGAAAAUAUUUUUAUAAUAACUGAAAGCGUUUUUUAUUAAAAUGUUCUUUAAAUCAAUCCUUAGUAAAACCAAGUGGAUUCUAAAAAGUCAUUUGGAUUACUUUCUACAAAAAUCACAUAUCUUGAGCACUUGAAGCGCUUUUGGAACCCAAAAUUAAUUUAACAAAAGUGUGUCUAGUCUUUUUUAUUUUUGAACAAACGAUAUUAUCUACUUUAAGGGAGGGGAUGAGCUUAACCUCACAAUGGACUAUCAUAUUAAUAAUGUUCAAAUUCACCUUUAUUCAUUUUUAAAAGACUUUAAAACCAGCACUAAUUUGUAUUAAAUUCUAAAACUUUGAAUUGGGAUGUAAUAUGCAUUGGGUCUUUAAUAAUAUUUAAGUUGUUUCCGGCAAAAAAGAAAGGAUUCAAUUGGGAAAAAUAACAAAAUAUGAAAUAAGGAUAUUCUAAUUAAGGUUUUUAUUAAUUAUUUUAGGCGGAUGGUUCAUGUGAAGAUUAUGAAACGCUUUAAUUCUCUAACGUGCGAUUCCAUUUCGAUCCAAAGCUAAAUUUAUAAAUUUCUAAUUUUUACUUUCUAAUUUUUACAAAUUUCUUUUCAUAAGAGUAUAAAUUUAUAAAAUUUGGUUAAAGGAUCAAGAAGUUUAAUUAGAAGCAAUGGUUUUUGUUGUUUAAAAUUAGCAAGAGGUCCUAAGUUCGAAACGCUUUGGGCAUGUUUAUUUUUUUCAAUUUUAACAAAUUUUUGUUUGGUUGUUAAUUUAUUUUUAGUUACUAGCUAGUAGCUAUGUAGGUUGUUAUUUAAAUAUUCGUUUCAAUUCAAGUCCAAUCUUCAACAAUGAGUAAUACGUAAACCAAAUUUGUAGCGCAAAUUUGUAAAUUAUAUGACGUGUUAUCAAAAUAUUUAAUUUAAUGCUCAUUCAUUACUAAUACAUAUCAAUUAAGGACUCGAAAACAUCAUUAUUGUUUUUAGUCCCAUAUUGACAAGGUUAGUAAAUAAGAAAAAACACCUCAUGAUUUAUACAAAAACACUUUCAAAGUUCAAAUGGAAAACAAAACUCAUCGUCUAUCUACUUAUAAGCCCAGAGUUGUUUGGUUUUCUUCUCUCAAUACAAAAUAAAUUAGUCCUUUUGUGUUUCUAAAUUAUUGAGUUUGAAGUGCUUUUCUAAGUAUAAUUUUAUUAAUGUCUUACGUGUGAAAAUAAAUAAUUUUCUUAUAUGAAGUUAGGGCACUUUUUUUUGUGUCGUCCCGAGCCUCAAAAAUCUCUGGACCGGCCCUGGAUGUUAUGAGAAUAUGUGUGGUUGUCAAGCCCGACACGUGAAUAACAUGCUCUCUACUACUUUAUUACACUGUGAAGAUUUUAUCCAAAAUUAAUUGACGAUGAGCGAAUAAACUGAAAGAUUAUGCGCAACUUUGAUUAUGCAACGAGUGAAGAAGCAAUUUACACCAACCUCCAGUCAAGAAUUUGGGCUCACAAUCACUAGCCAAUAUGCUUUUUUCUCAUGCCUUAAGUUCAUAGUUCAAUAUUCUGGUGUCCGAUGACCCUGACACGACAAGUUCCACUUUUUGUUCAUUUUCUUGACGAAACCAUCACAUUUACCCUUACGGCACGGCACAGUUCCGGGCAUGGAGUAUGGAUUGGGUUCCGUUGCAGUCCCGACACUAUUUAGCACUGUAGAGAAGGAAAUACAAAGACAACUUUGGAUUUCUUACAACGUAUUGAGUCUCUCGUCAUGGCUCUUGCUGUGUUGUUCUUAUUUCACGUCCUGUUUCUCGAGCUUGGUGUUUCCGGUUGCAAAUUUUGGUUCGGCAGUGUAGUGCUCAGGAGAGGGGACUGUUUCACGUUGUUCCAGGCAGACAGAGGCGGUUGACAACGAUUGUGAUAAUGUGUUUUUCUACUGGGAGAACAUACAGCAGUCAUCAGUUAUCUUUUCACAACUGUCUUCAGUAUUUCGAGGCACCUCAAGAAAUUAUCAAGGACAAACGAAUGUAGAAAAGAAGAAAUAUCGAAGUUAGUUGACAAAGGGGACGAAAAAUUGUGAGAUACAGAGAAAAAGAAGAUAAGAAGAAACUCGAUGCAAAUUACUUGAGUCUAAAGUAGGAGGGGAAAUCGUACUAUUCAUAUGAACAGUGUUUUAGACCACAUUUCAGUUUAUUUACAAGAUUGCCACUCAGAUGCUUUUAGCUUUUAACGAAGAUGCCAUCAGUUCGAAUGAUGGGAAUGCCCGUAUGGGGUUAACAUCACACGGUUGGGGGUAAAAGUUGUGUUUGGAUCAAAACUUAACUUUGGGCCCAAGCAAAAGAAUGCCCAAAAGAAGGCCUGAAGGAAGAGUCGGCCGAAGCCCAGCCGAGACCCAGAAAAGCAGGAAAGGGCCUCCUCUGACUUGGUGCAGCUCAUGAAGACCACUUGCCCACCUACCCAAAGGUCAAGUGGUAUAGACUGACCAGCUACACAGCCCGUAAAGUACUUUAUGGUGGCAUUACAUGUAAAAAAACUGAUGAGUCAUCACCCUCAAACCGCAUUCGGGCAAGGCUGUUGCUACAGGAGGACAUGCUGGGUUGUCUAUAAAAAAAGAAAGAGAAAUCAGGAUUAAGGACACUCAAUCAAACAAACAAAUGCAAGCACAAACUCUGCUCAAAAGCUAGAUUUGCCUUCAAAACGAAGUUGUAGUCAGCCCAAGCCUUCAUCCCUCGCGGGAUAACCUUUCCUUCAAACCUUUGUAAUAGCUCUGCUACCUUGUUCAACCUUGUUGUAGUAUCGAUUCACCUUUUGUAAUCUUUCUCCCUCUCUCAAAACUUUCAGACCUUUAACAAAACUACAAAGAUAGGAGCCUGCAAGACGAGCAGCCUUGCCUGAUAAGGUUUAACCUUGCCCGACCUUCUAUGCUUUGUAUUUUUUGUCUUUUCAUUCAUUAAGCCUAGUAAUAUGUUGUAUGAUCCCAGUUAUAUGCAAGUUAUUUCUAGCAAGAUGACCAUUAAAAAGCUUUCUCAGUACAUAGACCCGAUUUGAAUAGAUCUUCAGUAUUCAAAUCAGAUCUAAGUCAUAAGCCCUCGGGCAUGUAUAUUUGAUCAGUUAAAAGUCCUUGGCCUCCAGGCAUAAAAAAGAACCUUAUGUGGACUUAACCCAUCCACAACAAUCCUUGAUAAACGAGAAGUCCAAAGUUACUUGGGGCGCAAGUAAUCGACCUACCAUUUAGUUUUAUUUCUAUUAUAUGAUGAUUAUCAUAGAACGUUUAUGCAUGGAAUGGAUUCUGAUAGGAAGCCUCAAGGCCUACACCUAAGGCCCCACAAAGGCACCUAUUUGGGUUCAUUCCGUUCUGCGGUCUAGAGCGUUCUGAGUAGAAAGAACAAAUUCUGAUAGGAAGCCUCAAGGCCUACACCUAAGGCCCCACAAAGGCACCUAUUUGGGUUCAUUCCGUUCUGCGGUCUAGAGCGUUCUGAGUAGAAAGAACAAAUUUCUGAUAGGAAGCCUCAAGGCCUACACCUAAGGCCCCACAAAGGCACCUAUUUGGGUUUGUUCUAUCUCUCGGACGCAGGUAAUCAGAAGUAUAAUAGUUAUAAAACUCCUGCAAUCAAUGGAAUAAGUAUUAUGUAUUCGAGUACUGGUUUAGUAACCGAUGGGAAGCCUCAAGGCCUACACCUAAGGCCCCACAAAGGCACCUAUCAUAACUAACCCGGUUCCUCGGGCACAUAUAUAUAUACAUACAACUAAAACUCGACAUCCAUUUCAUAUCUGCCAUGCUGAAGAUGGCAGUGGCACGCCUGAGUACCUAAAAGUUAAUUUUGAUUGUGAGCCUCAAGGCCUACACCUAAGGCCCCACAAAGGCACAUUUCAAAGUUAACUUUGUCCUUUUCUUUCAGCCUUGCCCGACGAGCCUUGCCGACGAGUCUUGCCCGAUAAAGAUUCGCCUGACGAGACUUGCCCGACAAAGCCCAACCGUGAAGCAGAAGCCCGACAGCAGCCCUCAACCGACGCAAAACCUCCAGGGGAGCUGUGCAUUUCGCCGACCAGGAUGGAAGAAUGGACAGCCUACUAAACCGAUGGGAGCCUACUAAACCGAUGGGAGCCUCUAUGAUCAGGAGAGUUCAAAGGCAGCACAAAGCCUACAUGAAUUCUCUGAAGACCCCCGCAACAUCUGAAGCCUCCCAGAAUAAAAAACUGGAGAAGACAUCAUCUGGGGGAAGUAAUCAGCUCCGCUGGAGAAGUAAGAAAGAGGUGGAAAAUGCCAGCAGCAAAAAAGAAGGUGUGGGGAAUCAUGUACCGCAGAACCAGCACCCUGGGAAGUAUAGGAUCUUGAGGAGAGCUCAAGAAGAUCUGAUCAUGGUGCCAACCCCUGGAUGGAAGCCAAAGCCUACUUGCGUUGGAGCUGUUUCAUCUGAAAGGAAACCACCUUCUCUGCCAUUGGUAGAUCCUUUUGGUGAAGUUCCAAAACAAACACUAUAUGCGGGCAUGAAUCAACAGCAACAGGAGGGGGCACCAGAACCACUACUUCCAGCCGAUGCCAUGGCCUGGUUGGAUGAGUUUAUGGACCAGAUUGGGAGCAAGAAAGAAGAUUUGCUCGAGCCUAGUAAUUUCCAUAUCAACAUGACAUACGUAUUAUCUGCCACGUUUGGUGCCCGACCUGAUCAGCCAGCUACUAUGGAAGGUGAUUACUUGACAACUGAGCCAAUGAUGGCACAUGUCAAUAUAGAGGAAGUCAAAGAAGGAGAAUCGGGCAAGGCUGAAACUUCUGAAGCAUCCAAAAGUGGUCCUUUAAGGAUUUAUACCGAUGAAAUGGUGUUCAGCCGCCCGAACAUCUCGCUAGCCAACCAUCUGAAGCCCAUAUACGUUACAGCUCACCUGGAAUGUGUGCCCUUCAAAAGAAUUUUAAUAGAUGGUGGAGCAGCUGUUAAUGUGUUACCAGCCAAGCAAAUGAAGAAAAUGGGAAGAGGAACGGAGGAUCUUAUUCCGACAGACCUCACGGUCUCUAGCUUCUCAGGCGCUAUCACCAAGACCCAUGGGAUAUUGCCUUUAGAAGUGGAUUUGGGGUCUAAGCAAAUCAUGCUGGCAUUCUUUGUGGUGGACUGCACCUCCACUUAUGGAGCCUUACUCGGAAGAGAUUGGAUCCACCAAAGUCUGGCCAUACCCUCCACUCUUCAUCAACAGGUAGCUGUUUACCAUGAGGCGGGCACAGAAGGACCAGGUUUUUGGGAGAUGGUGGAGGCCGAAUCAGGGCCAUUUCUCCCCACAGCCAACGUUGCGGAAACAAGUUUCUACAACCCCAACGUAGGAAUCUUGAAAUGUUCAGGAGCUGAUGAGAACGGCCGCCCUACCAAUGUGACGACCCAAAAGCUUUUGGAACAAGGAAUGCUCCUCACAAGAGAUGAGUGAGAUAGACCUUGUAUCAUCCCAAAUCCCCUACACCAUCAAUGACUGGACAGAAGAAAAAAGAUCAGGUAAUGGCAGUCAGAUCCCUGAUUAAAAGACUGUUGGUGUAUGAGAAUGGAAGAAGGCAAGAAAGAGAGCUCUUGGACAAGGAAGAGCAGGAAUAGCAGGUGGGAGAUACGAUCUAGACGGGCCAGAAGACCUGCCCGAGAGCCCGGAGUUGGUCGAGUUUUUGUGUGCAGAACCGGAUAAGCCACCACCAGAAGUCCAGGAUCCUCUGGAAGUUAUUGCUAGGAACAAAGGAGGAUCCGAGACCAAUACAAAUUAGUGGUUUAUUGGGGGUUGAUGAUCGGGCAAAGGUUGUCGAUCUGUUGCGAGAGUUCAAAGACUGUUUUGCUUGGCAUUAUACUGAGAUGCCAGGGUUAGAUUCAGCCUUGGUGGAACAUAGAAUGCCCAUCAAGGAGGGAUAUAAACCAGUUAAGCAAGCACCACGAAGGAUGUCAAAGGAGAUAGAAGAAAAUGUCAAAGAAGAGAUCGAAAGGCUAGUAAAAGCUGGCUUUAUCAGACCGGCCAAAUAUGUAGAGUGGUUAGCCAACAUUGUACCCGUUUUAAAAGCUAUAACAAAAGCAGUACGAUGUUGUGUUGAUUACAAAAAUCUUAAUAGUGCUACACCAAAAGAUGAGUAUCCUAUGCCCAUGGCCGAUCUAUCCAUAGAUGCAGUAGCAAAACAUAAAGUCUUAUCUUUUAUGGAUGGGAAUGCCGGGUAUAAUCAGAUAAAGAUGGCUUCAGAAGAUAUACAUAAAACAACAUUCAAGUGUCCCGGUCAUGUGGGGGUAUAUGAAUAUCUGGUCAUGCCAUUCGGGCUCAAGAAUGCUGGUGCCACCUACCAGAGGGCAAUGAAUGUCAUCUUUCACGAUCUGAUUGGCCAGAGUAUGAAAGUAUACAUUGAUGACAUCGUAGUGAAGUCUAAGACAGAAGAGCAGCAUUUGGAAGACCUCAGACAAGCAUUAACAAGGAUGAGGAUCCACAAAUUGAAGAUGAAUCCAAAGAAGUGCGUGUUUGGAGUGAGAGCAGGCAACUUCUUGGGAUUCCUGGUGCAUCAAAGAGGUGUAGAAGUAGACAAGAACAAGUCUCGGGCAAUAAUGGAGUCACCGUCACCCACCAACAAGGUACAACUCCAGAGGCUAUUGGGCAAAAUCAAUUUCUUGAGGAGAUUCAUUGCCAAUUUAGCGAGCAAGAUCCAGCCGUUGACUCCUUUAUUAAGACUGAAAGAUAAAGAAAACUUUGAGUGGGGACCACCACAUCAACAAGCCUUUGACAGCAUCAAGGUCUAUUUAACUUCUCCACCAGUGUUGGUGCCACCUCAAAGGGGAAAACCCUUAAAGCUGUAUAUUUCUGCCUUAGAGAAGUCAAUCGGGAGUUUGCUAGCCCAAAAUAAUGAAGGCGGGAAGGAGCAGGCAUCGUACUACCUCAGUAGGAUUCUGACCGAGGUAGAAACUAGAUAUUCCCCAGUGGAAAGAUUAUGCUUGGCUCUAUAUUUCACUGCCAGCAAGCUAAGGCAUUACAUGUUACCUUGUCACGUACACAUCAUCGCCAAGACAGAUGUGAUAAAGUACAUGUUGUCAAAGCCAAUGCUAACAGGGAGGAUUGGGAAGUGGAUUCUAGCAUUGUCAGAAUUCAGUUUCCAGUAUGUACCCCAGAGAGCGGUCAAAGGCCAAGCAAUUGCUGACUUCCUGGCCGAACAUCAAGAAUCUCAAGACGAAGUAAUCAAUAUCCCAGGAAGCCUGGAGGUCACUAGCAUUUGGAUCCCGCUAAGAGAAGAUAUCUCGGGCAAAGAAGAUUGGGUCCAGCAAGAGAUAAGAAGAGUGACUGGUCUCUGGAUCACUCCUUGGAGGUUAUAUUUUGAUGGAUCUCACACUCAGAAGGCUUAAGAAGCAGGGAUUGUGAUUAUAAACCCUCAUGGGGUCUAUCAUUAUUAUUCAUUCCUCCUAGACUACCAAGGAAAUACUAAUAAUCGGGCAGAGUAUGAAGCUUUGAUAAUUGGUCUGGAAAUCUUGAUGGAUCUGGGGGCAGUAGAGGUGGAGAUCUUUGGAGAUUCAGAGUUAGUAAUAAACCAGCUAAAUGGGGAGUUCAAGUGCAGACAUAUUACCAUGGCAGGAUAUUACUUGACGGCUACGCAAUUACUGAGUUUCUGGGAUUCUGAGAUAUCAGUCAAUCAUGUUCCCAGGGAAUCCAACUUAGCAGCCAACGAGAUGGCACAACUAGCCUCAGGAGUGCCAAUACAGGAGAGAAGAUAUGGGGUAGAUGUCGAGAUCCAAAGAAGGAACCUCCCUUCUAUCUUAGAAAGGGGAUUCAGCCUGGAUGUAAUAGCUCUAGAAACCGAAAUAGAAGAUUGGAGGUCCCCUAUCAUUCGUCAUUUGAAGGAUCCCUCUUCACCUACAAGCAAGAAGAAUAGACAGCAAGCAACCAAGUAUGUCUUGUGGGCGAAGAACUUGCUAAGGAAAACUCCAGAUGGAUUACUAUUGAAAUGCUUGGGCCAAGAAGAAUCCAUGAGGGUAAUGGCCGAAGUACAUGAAGGGGUAUGUGGAGCACAUCAGGCAGGAACUAAGAUGAGGUGGUUGCUUAGAAGAUAUGGUUAUUUCUGGCCCGACAUGGAAAAAGAUUGCAAGUCUUAUGCCAAAGGUUGUGAAGAAUGUCAACGGCACGGACCUCUCCAGCAUGUGCCCUCAGUACCUUUAAAUCCAGUAGUCAAGCCUUGGCCUUUCAGAGGAUGGGCAAUGGACUUCAUCGGGCAAAUCUAUCCAGCUUCUAGUAAAUGGCACACUUUCAUAAUUGUGGCAACGGAUUACUUCACCAAGUGGGUGGAAGCAUCAACAGUAAAAUCCAUAACUUCGGCCGAGGUCAAGAAUUUUAUCGAGACCAAGAUUCUGCACAGGUAUGGGGUGCCCGAAACUAUAGUAACGGAUCGUGGGCCAUCUUUUAUCUCAAAAGAAGUUGAGGAGUUUGCAAGCAAGUACAAAAUAAAGAUGAUCCAAUCCAGUCCAUACUACCCUCAAUCAAAUGGCCAAGCAGAGGCCAGCAACAAGAUCUUGGUCAACAUCAUCAAAAGAAUGGUGGUAGAUAGUCCAGAAAAGUGGCAUGAAAGGCUGGGGAACACUUUGUGGGCAUACAGAACUUCCAAGAGGGCAGGAACAGGGACAACUCCUUAUGCUUUAACUUUCGGGCAAGAUGCGGUACUCCCUAUGGAGAUCAAUGUAAGUUCGGUCAGAAUUCAGAACCAAUUUGGGUUACAUAGUGAAGAAUACAUCGAAGCCAUGUGUCAAGGAAUUGAAGACUUGGAUGUAGCCCGAAUUGAAGCCUUGAACCAGAUUCAAGAAGGAAAGAAAGUUGUUGCCCGAGCUUAUAACAAGAAGGUGAAGAUAAAGUCUUUCAAAGAAGGAGAUUUAGUGUGGAAAACAGUCAUCCCGCUAGGAGCUCAGCUCAGGGGCUUUGGAAAGUGGAGCCCGACAUGGGAAGGUCCUUUCAUUAUUAGUCGAGUUUUGAAUAAAGGAGGAUACUACCUAGCAUACCUCGAAGGAAAUGGGCAGAAACAUCCCAUUAAUGUUAAAUUCUUAAAGAAAUACUGUCCUACAUUAUGGGAUGUUAGAGAUUGUUACAUUGAAGAGGGGGCAAAGUAAAGCAGGCGUCGGGAGUUUCAUAUGCAGUGUUUGUUCAUCAACCAUUCAAAGAAAACAAAAAGACAAAAGUUGCUGAAAUAAUUUUUAUUUCAUGUCGACAAAUUGGUGAAAUUAACAAAAGAUUCAAUUUCUACAUAUUACAUUUGAUUCUCUCUAAGUAUAGUGAUUUCUUCAGCUGGUUUUCCGAUGUCUUCAUGGAUGGAACCCGAUCAGGUGAUCGGGUUGUGCGGCCAACAUAUGCUUGGUAGAGGAUCAUCCGACAGAGCCACCACCAUAUGUGAUGGUGAAGCCUGACUUAUGACGGCAGCAAGCAGGAAAUCAAGCCUUCGUGAAGAACUCGCCUGACCAAGGGUGUUGGGGAUAGCAGGGUGUUCGACCAAUGGUGUUGGAGAUAGCAGUCAUUUGAUGAAACCCCCUUUUUUCUCACGAAAAGGGAGUUUUAGGAAACUCCACUCAAAAUCUGAAGAACCCAUUUCUCAGUUUUUUUUUUUCCGAGGAAGAUUAGAUGGUUUUGACAGGAGGGGUUCCAAGCCAGAAUUUAUAGGACCCAGAGGACAGUUCAAAGGUCGUGGGAAGAUCAAGAGACUCCGGGUGCCAUUAAUUUCAUCCAAAAAACACAAGUUCCAAGGGCAAAGAUGCAGCCGCAUGAAGAACUUUUCAAUUAAUAUUGGCGCCUGGAAUUCCAGGCUAAAUAUCAAUUGAAGGGGGCACUGUUUGGAUCAAAACUUAACUUUGGGCCCAAGCAAAGAAGGCCCAAAAGAAGGCCUGAAGGAAGAGUCGGCCGAAGCCCAGCCGAGACCUAGAAAAGCAGGAAAGGGUCUCCUCUGACUUGGUGCAGCUCAUGAAGACCACUUGCCCACCUACCCAAAGGUCAAGUGGUAUAGACUGACCAGCUACACAGCCCAUAAAGUACUUUAUGGUGGCAUUACAUGUAAAAAAGCUGAUGAGUCAUCACCCUCAAACCACAUUCGGGCAAGGCUGUUGCUACAGGAGGACAUGCUGGGUUGUCUAUAAAAGAAGAAAGAGAAAUCAGGAUUAAGGACACUCAAUCAAACAAACAAAUGCAAGCACAAACUCUGCUCAAAAGCCAUAUUUGCCUUCAAAACGAAGCUGUAGUCAGCCCAAGCCUUCAUCCAUCGCGGGAUAACCUUUCCUUCAAACCUUUGUAAUAGCUCUGCUACCUUGUUCAACCUUGUUGUAGUAUCGAUUCACCUUUUGUAAUCUCUCUCCCUCUCUCAAAACUUUCAGACCUUUAACAAAACUACAAAGAUAGGAGCCUGCAAGACGAGCAGCCUUGCCUGAUAAGGUUUAACCUUGCCUGACCUUCUAUGCUUUGUAUUUUUUGUCUUUUCAUUCAUUAAGCCUAGUAAUAUGUUGUAUGAUCCCAGUUAUAUGCAAGUUAUUUCUAGCAAGAUGACCAUUAAAAAGCUUUCUCAGUACAUAGACCCGAUUUGAAUAGAUCUUCAGUAUUCAAAUCAGAUCUAAGUCCUAAGCCCUCGGGCAUGCAUAUUUGAUCAGUUAAAAGUCCUUGGCCUCAAGGCAUAAAAAAGAACCUUAUGUGGACUUAACCCAUCCACGACAAUCCUUGAUAAACGAGAAGUCCAAAGUUACUUGGGGCGCAAGUAAUCGACCUACCACUUAGUUUUAUUUCUAUUAUAUGAUGAUUAUCAUAGAACGUUUAUGCAUGGAAUGGAUUCUGAUAGGAAGCCUCAAGGCCUACACCUAAGGCCCCACAAAAGCACCUAUUUGGGUUCAUUCCGUUCUGCGAUCUAGAGCGUUCUGAGUAGAAAGAACAAAUUCUGAUAGAAAGCCUCAAGGCCUACACCUAAGGCCCCACAAAGGCACAUAUUUGGGUUUGUUCUAUCUCUCGGACGCAGGUAAUCAGAAGUAUAAUAGUUAUAAAACUCCUGCAAUCAAUGGAAUAAGUAUUAUGUAUUCGAGUACUGGUUUAGUAACCGAUGGGAAGCCUCAAGGCCUACACCUAAGGCCCCACAAAGGCACCUAUCAUAACUAACCCGGUUCCUCGGGCACAUAUAUAUAUACAUACAACUAAAACUCGACAUCCAUUUCAUAUCUGCCAUGCUGAAGAUGGCAGUGGCACGCCUGAGCACCUAAAAGUUAAUUUUGAUUGUGAGCCUCAAGGCCUACACCUAAGGCCCCACAAAGGCACAUUUCAAAGUUAACUUUGUCCUUCUCUUUCAGCCUUGCCCGACGAGCCUUGCCCGACGAGUCUUGCCCGAUAAAGAUUCGCCUGACGAAACUUGCCCGACAGAGCCCAACCGUGAAGCAGAAGCCCGACAGCAGCCCUCAACCGACGCCAAACCUCCAGGGGAGCUGUGCAUCUCGCCGACCAGGAAACUUGCCCGACGGGAAUUCCUGAAGCGAACAAGUUAGGUGGGCAUUGUUGUCAGUUAGGGUUGCAUUCGGUGGGAUCGAUGGCUCGGUGUGGGAUUUGGUGGGAAUGCAUGUUGCUUGCAAAGAGGAGGAGAGAGGGAAUGAGGGAGGGGGAGGGAGAGAUAUGGGUUUGGUGAGGGGAAGGCAUGCGACUUGCAGAGAGGAGUGAGGGAGAGAGGAUGAGAGAGGGAAUGAGGGAAGGGGAGGGAGAGAGAGAGGGGUUUGGUGAGGGGAAGGCAUGCGACUUGCAGAGAGGAAGGAGGGAGAGAGUUGGAGAGAGAGGGAAGGAUGGAGGGGGAGGGAGAGAGAGAGGGGUUUGGUGAGGGGAAGGCAUGCGACUUGUAGAGGGACGGAGCGAAGCUUAAAAGCAACUGCAAAAAGUUCAAUGGACAGGGUCGCAGCAAUGGAGACACCUCGCUCUGAACCAUUUCCCCUCUCCUCAGGCGAAUGCUGAACAAAGUUUUGAAGGAACAAAAAGAAGAAGAGCUACACAUAAUAGAAUCCGAUUUGCAAGGAAAAGAAGAAAGCCAGCUUUUCAAUGAAAAAGCUAAAAUCAAUCCCUUCAACCUCCUCAUCGGCAGCGGCACCCACGACCACCAGGUUCACUUUUAAUUUAAUUUUAAUUUUAAUUUUUUGCUUUUUUAGUGGAUUAAAGAAUAUGAAACGAAUUAUAAUUUAAAAUGGGGAAAUUUUGUUGAUUUUUGCGUUCAGUGUUCUGACUUUUGAGUGAUCAUCGAGCUGUGAUGGGUUGGUGUUGGAUUUGAUUCAAUUGAGGUAAAAGCUCUGCAUGAUUGUGAUACGGAGAAAAUGCUAGAAUCUUACCUUCGAUCCAAAUAUCUGAUUUUUGUUACAAUUGCUAUUUUCAUUGCAGGAAAAUGUGGCGGAGACAAUAAUUCCCAAAUCCUCGAGUUUUAUAAAUGCAUUCCAAUUGAUAGCCAUGUCAAAUGAUCUCGAUUUGUCAGGUAUGUUCGAGGAACAGGCAAGUUUACAAGAAAUAGAUUUACUAAAAUAACUAAUCCUACUUUUUUAGCUUAUAACGAAUAAUGUUGAACUGUUAACUUAAUUUAGGAUGAGAAAUAGAAGACAACAAGAAUUGGACCCAAGCAUACCAUUACUGAAACCAUGAAGAAAAUAGAAGCGGCUGCAACAGAUGCGAGUAUUCUGUAGCAAGAACAAACAACUUCAGGGUACAUGAAACUUAUAUUCAAUCGUACUUCUUUAUCUGCUUAUCAAAGUUCCUUCCUGCCAACUAAUGAUGUAUUAUUUUUUCAUCAGAUGUAAAUGCAUGCAAAAAUUCCAAUGGAAACGUAAAUCACCAUAUCCAGGUAAAUCCGAAUUGUAGAUCAGACUUAUAUUACAAUUUGCUUUCUUUGUGAAAUUUUAUUGUAAUCUCUGGCUUUUGAAAUUCUAUAUGAAAUUGUGAAUGUCAUUCGGAAUCAAGUCUGGCCGAGUUCUUUACUAAAUAGUGCGAAAAUAUGCAUGAUGAAACUAAAUUACUUUUGUAUCAUCUAUAUUUACCUGUUAUCAUAACAGGAUUUAAAAUAUAGAAACAUACUGCUUAAUGUAUAAUUGAGUGAAAUGCUAGUUUACAUAGAUAUUGUGCUUAUUUGUUUUAGGUGGAUUACCAAAAGGAGCUCAUCAAGUAUUCUGCGAGCACGAUCGACCUUGAUCAUUUGGAUAUUUAAAGGAGCCAUUGAUAAAGGGAAGACGACGAGUUGUGAACCUGUGUGCCAAUUUUGCCAAUUUUGCAGACAAGCAGAAACUCUGGCACUUGCCUCUGUCCUAUCCUCCUCUCGCCGCCGUCUCCCUUCUCUCACCUCCGUCGUCUUACUCCUCCUUUCUCUGUCUCUGGAAUCCUAUCGUCAUCUUCCUCGCAUGCAAGGCUCUGGCCCUUUCAAUUGAAACCAAAACGUGUUUCAGGUGCCUAACACAACCUCUCACUACUCACUCACAUCAGUUGGUUUUUGUAAUUUGAACUUUUUUUUCUAAUAAAUUUGUAUGCUUUCUGGAUUUUUAUGGCAGUUUUGGACCUUAUCUUUUCUGAAUUUGUGUGCUUCUCUGGGUUUUUUAAUGGCAGUUCUGAGGAAGAGCAAGAAAAAGGAAGAACCAGUAUUAGAAGAUCUUCCCAAAGAGUACUGUGAUGAUGUGAGUGCCUUUAUUCUUUAACUUGGCCAAAUGGGUGCUCAAAUUUCACGUUUUUCUGUGAUUAUACGAGUAAAUUUAUGUUUUUUGUUUUUGGGUUUUGCCAAAUUCAAUGGUGGUAUUUAUGGGUUUGGUAUUGAUUUUCAGAUUAACAAUGACUUUGGGGAAAUUGAUUGAGUCUGCAUUCAAUGUAACUUUUCAUGCAGUUACAUACUGAUGAAAUAGAAUUCAAUUUUUUCAUUCCUUUUUUUUUAAAUGCAGUUACAUUUAUAUGAUGAUUUACAGCAUAUAUUUAUCUUUUAGAUUCUAAUUCUUCAUGCAGUCUAAGCCAUGAAGGAUUUGAUAAACCCACAAUUGAUAACAAUGUGCGGCGGCACCAACGGUUUUGGACAAGGAACAAGUAAGUACCAUUUUGUUUCAUUGUUUCAAAGUAUUAUGUAGAGAUUGCUUUAAUAUCUUGGCUUCUUUGCUGUUUGUGGGGUGUAUGAGAUAGGAUUUAGGAGAUCUGGUUUAGAUUUUGCAAAGAGAGUGUGUCCGAGAGAAAUGUGGGAGGAUUUAGGCGAGGGAUUUCAGGGAUUUGUUUAGGGUUUCUUUUCUGCGAUUUGCAGACAGAGAGAUGGGACAAGGGUGAGAGAGAGAUGGGAGGAUUUUCUGCGAGGGUAGAGGGAACGGGUAAGGGAGGUAUGGGUAUGGGUAGGGGAUGGAAAAACAUUUCGUUUUCCAUUUGCUUCCUCAAACCCGAGGGAUUGCUGCAAUUGCAGAGAGAGAUGGGGGUGUUCGUUAGGUCCCCUUUCAGUGUCACAUUUGUGCUUUGUCCACCCUUGAUUGUUGUGUGAUUCAUUCUCACGAACGUUCUAUGCACAAGGUUUCAUGUUAUUCCUUCCUUUUAAUUUUGAUAUUAUUGUGCUUAAUUUCUAUUUUAUUUUAUUGGGUGAUUAGAUUAACAGACUUUGGAUAUUUGGUAUAAUAAUUUCACAUCACGUGUUGCCCUUUUGCAUCACCUUAAUUGUUCAUCAGAUGCUAACUUUUAAUUAUGUUUUCUUUGGGUCAGUCUCCAUCUGGUACAUGUGUCCAUCCUUCUGGAGUGGAGCACUAUCUUUCUGACAGCAUAAAUGCUCUGAGAAGCUACUAUGGAGACAAGCAGUUGUUUACUCCGUUCUAGGUAUGUUUUUCUUUAGUAUUUUAGAGGGAUUCUUAACUAUUCCCCAUUGUAAUCUUUACCUUUGUAUCUAUCUCUCUCAAAAGACGAUGAGAGUAGCAACUGUUGCAAAGCAAAUUCUCAGAUGUAUAUAAGCAUAUACAUACAUUGGACAAAAACCGAAUCUUAAAUUGGGGCAGUGAGUUCUGCAACAUCUUGGUGCUGCAUAUAUUCUCACACUUUUAAAAGUUGUAUUUCUCAUAUACAUUGGGAAUUUUAAUUAGUUUUAUUUCAUUUUUGUAGGGCAAUUUAGUAGAUAUUUAGACAUAAAAGAAGAUGCGUGAAUCAAUACAAUUAACCUAAUAGUGAUUUGGUUCAGCGUAAAGACCAUUGCUAGGGCACUCAAGCCAUUUUCUUAAUUUAUGCGCAUAUAUAUUAUACGUAACCAGAACAUGUUUCCAAAGGAUGUUAGUUAGUGUUCAUGCUCUGCUGAUAUUUUAUUCUGUUCAUUUUGAUUUUGUUUUUCAGUUGUGGUUAUAGGAUUGUUUUGUCUCUCUUUUUUUCUUUUUUGUUUUCCCUCGUACAACUUUUCUAAAAUUGAACUGUAGUUCUCAAUUUGGUUCUUUGAACCGAGGCCAAUUGGGCUGUGCCUUUGGAAGGUCUCACUGCUAUUAAAGUUGAAUGGUGCUAACUGAAUAUAAUGCGUUCAUUCUUCGGUGUGUGUGAGUGUAUGUGUAUGCAGUCUAUGCGAGUGCAUGCAGUGCGGUUAGGUUCAUUCCCGCAUGGGUUUUCGUCUUUUUUUCGUUAAAUGGUUAGGUUCAUUCCCGUAUGGGAGAGGUGUGUUUUUGCCAUCAAAUUGGUAGAGACUGAUCUUAAUCAAAUAUCAUGCCAUAGUGUUAUUUUGUUUGCAUCUAUGGAACUAUAUAUUUACUUCGUUGUUGUUGACAGCUUCGCAUGUUCCUUCCAGAUAAUGCUGCCUUUUUGGAUUUCGUAUGAGUGUCCCGGGUCGGUUCUGGACCAACAAAAGAGGGAUGAUCGCUGUCAUUCGGACUGCAGGCGUCCACUUCAAAAUCCCGGUAAACACAUCCUUUUCUUGAUUUCAGGCCAUGCAAAAUUCAUGGUGAAAAAACUGAGCUCAUGUCGUUGGUUUGUGCCUCUGUCCUAUUUCUUAUUUAUUUAUUUAUUUUAUCAAUCCUUUUCCUUCUUGGUUCUAUUUGUUGCUGCUGGUUCCGAUAUUUCAUUGCCCUAUGUGUGCAUGAUAUCAGUGCUGCCACUUUUCAUAUUCUUAUCAAUGCUUACAUCUUCACUCUUUUCCUUCUGUUUCUUUUGCUUAACAUGGUUUCGGCUUUUUGAGAUUGUGUGUUUGAUUAACAUUUGAUCGUAUGGUGUUAGAUUUUAAAUUUGAUGUGAAUAAAUUCUGCCAGCGGGGAUUUUGGUCUCUGGAUUUUUCAUGGUGUAAUUUUUAUGGCAUGAUCCAUUGGUGUUGUGUGCAUUUUUAUCAACAAUAAUAAGCUUUUUCUCAGCAUUGCAAACAAGUUUUCUUAUAACUAAGAGACGAGUGCAUGGUGCAUGUGUCUUAAUUUAUUCAGGUUAAAUAUAUCUUAUUUAUGCAGUUAAGGUGGGUGCAUUCAAGUCCCGCAGCAACACGCGGGCAUAUUUUCUCGUUGAGACUAAAGGAGGUCUUAACGCCAAAUACUGUUCUGUAUAUUUACGAAUGGUUUAAAGUUUGGGUUUAAUUGGAUAAUCAGAGAGUAGUGCGUCAGACUAUGGAUAUUCAGAAACUGAAAGCAUAAUUCAUAUUCUUCUAACAAGUCCACGCAAAUAACCACAAUCACAAUGUUAUUUAUAACUGGCCAUGUAGAACGCAGUACAAAAGCACUAAAAGCGUCCAAGUGAAAGUACUUUCUUCUCAUGUAGUUUCAUUUAACUUAGUUUUGACAUGCCAAUCAGUCACACACUCAAGUCCUGAACGUUCGGGCUCAAUGGCUCCAAGAGAGCUUCCACUUCACUCUGAUUCACCUCCUCUAACCUUGACAGGUUCCACUUCGGAUUCUGCAUUGACAAGAAACCGAAGCCAAAGAUAAAGAUCCGUUCUGAUAUACAGAAAGUAAGAUGAUUAUAUAACUGUAGGUCUUGUAGAGGCGAUCUUAUAGCAACUCAGUCCACAAAGACGAUCUUAUAGCAAGGCGAUAUUAUCACAUCAGUCAACUUUUGUUGGUCAAGUAAAGCACAUGUUACUCACAGAAAAUGUGAAAUACUACAAAACAAAACCUAUCAAAAGGAUGCAACCAUGUGAUGAAAGAAACGAAAAGGUACGAAGUCCAGACUCACUGGAUAAUUCAUAAUUGGUUGUCAUUUUUCCCAAGCGCAGAUGCCAACUUUGGAGAAGUAAUUUUUUGUCAAAUAAAGUGAAAAAGGAGCACCCUCUCCAAGACCUUGAAGAGCUUUGUUAGCCCACUCCACUGCAAUAGAAACAAUUUGGUCGAAAAUACUUGACAGUGACAUACAAGCCUCUCAAUAGAAGAGUACGACAAACUUACCAGUAGCAUCUGAACUCAGCUGCUGCUUUUUAAGUUCAUCAAUUGUCUCAAGAACCGACUUAUUUACACCAAAUGCUGAAGUUAUUUGAGGCAAAAGCCUCUUGAGUUGCGUUCCAGAAUCUGGGUUGCUGCUGAAUUUGGCCACAGUUGUUUCAAUGUUCUGAAGGGGAUCCUGGGAACUGCAUCAACAAUGGAGUUGCUUUUAUCUCAACAAACGCAUUAGACAAUGUGAUGAUGCCAACUAAAGCAUCGGAAACGCAUAGCAAGAACAGUGCUCUGAAAUUUGAAAAGCCACUGCAAUGUAAUUGACAACAUUGACAAUCUCUGUCUGACAAGGCAAUAGUACCUCUGCAAUGAUCCGGUAGCGACCGGUGACCUGAUAGGCCAAUACCAAAGCCCACUGUUAUGUCACCCAUGAAGCUUAUAUAGGGCUUCUUGCACAGAGAUUUUGCAUAUUAGAGAAUACUCAGCAGUGGAUACCUGAAAAACCUGCAGCACAGAUAUCAUAUCGCUAGCCUCUGAAUCUUGAGAAUACUAUAAAUGGUAGCUUAUAAAAGAAAUGAAUCCUAUCCAACCAAUACAUAUCAUACUACCCAAGUCAAAGCAAAAUCAAGACUAACAAAUGAUCAGAUGUUGUAGGUUGCCCGAGAAUGCCAAACAUGAAAUUACAAAAGGAAAAAUCGUAUGUGUUGGACAUUAGUAAAUAAAUGAUGAAAGCACAAUCUUAGCAAUUAAAGAAAUGUUGAAAUUUUACAUGGGUUUUUGUAAUGUUGAAAUGUUUCCGGAUGCAAUAUGUCUUCAAAAUUCAAAACAAUUACUUACUGGAAAAUCAUAAGAAUCUGAAAGAAGUAUGAAAUGUUGACUUGCUGAUGAUGAAGCUGGAGGUAAUCUGUAGUCCAGGAGCUCAGAAUGUGAUGAUGAGGAUGAGUCUGAUGAUGACAAUGCAACACGACCUUGAUCGUGUCUCACCAUAGAACCGAUCUGGGUGUGACUUAAUCUUGACAGAAGAUGCUUUCACUUCAAAAUUUUUGCCUUUUCCCCUUUCUGUCAUCUGUAGUAAUUCUCAUUUGAUUACUGGGAUUACUAUUAUCAGAUGAUUCAUGGCUUGGUUCUGCCUCAUCAUAGAACCAAGCUGGAUGUGGGUCAGAAACAUAACCAGCACUAUUCAUAGCAAGCAUAUUUUCUUUCAUUGGCUUAUCCCACGCUAGAUUAACUCCUGUUCUCUUAACAGUAAAUAAAUAAUAAGGAUCCACACUUACAAAAGGUUCUUCAAAAAUUAUAUCAACUUUAUCCCCGCCUUGCAAAUUGAGCUUAUCGUUCGAUAGUUGUCCUAGCCAAAUAUAAUCAGGUUCAGGCAUGUCGUCUAUUUCUUCUCCGUCUAUUUCUUCUCCGCGUAUGGCUAUGCAGGCUCGCAACUCAGUACGCUUGGUGUGAUUUAUAACAGUAAUGUGAAGAGAAUAAUAAUUAUUUUUUGAGUGGUAAAAGCAGAAUAGAGUCAGGCCUUUAAAAUUACGAACACUCCGGGGAAUAUCAAAACUGACUUUAUUGCCAUUGUUGACAAACUCAAACCAACCAGGAACAUAAUUCCCAUGGAAGAAAAUGCCACCAAAUCCGCAAGAAGUCCAUCCCUAUAUAAACAAUGCAAGUGUCAUAUAUAUACAUGUACAUGUGCGUUUGUGCGUGCAUGCGCACGAUAGGAAGGCAAUUAAAAGAAAGAGGGAGAGAUACCUGUAGGAUGUUCUUCUUAAAAUUAUCUGUGAGAUUGGUGCACCUUUUCAUAUCAAUCAAUGUCAUGGAGGAUAAUGACUUAUCCAAGCCUGGAACCUCAGUGAGUUUGGACGAAUCACUUAAAUUCAGUUUUCUCAUCUUUGACAUUUCCGAAAAAUUGGGCAUUAUUUUCAAUGUAGGGCAACCAGGUGCCUUCAAGACUUCCAAAUUUGUUGGUAAAUUGGGGAUUGUAUGAAGAUUUCUGCAUUUACUGAGCUUCAGAGUUUCAAGCUUUGAAAGAUCAUUGAGGCUCGGUAGGCUACAAAAAGAAUUCCCUUUAAGAUUCAAAUCUUGUAAGGAAAUUAGACUCCCAAGAUCCUUAGGGAUUUUAUUAUCAUCUAAUUUGCACCAUGAGAGAUCUAACCGAGUGAGAUUGUUCAAUCUUACUAUGGAAGGUGGUACUCGUUUUAUGGCUGUGGAAUCUGCAUCAAGUAUUUUCAAUGAUAUCAUCUUCCCUAAAUCCUUAUGCAGUUUUUUGAAAUUUGAACAGAACGAAAGAAAAAGAGUCUCAACAGAUUUCGACUUAUAGAAAUCCCCUGGAAGAAAAAUAAGAUUGUCACAGAAUCUAAGGUUCACCAAAGAAAGUCUUUUAAGAUAACCAAUAGAGGGGUGAAUUCCGGACAAUUUAUUGCAGUAUUCCAAUAUCAACUCUUCAAGAUUUGGGACUUGUGAAAAGUCUGGUGAUUUAAUUAGGUCACUAGAAAAACUGAGAUCAAUGAUCUUCAACUUCUGGAGCGAGAGCGACUAAUGCACAAAACCAAAGAAAAAUUGAAAUUAAUAUCCAAAAAGAAAAUCUUAUAAAAAAGAAGGAAUCCAAAAACAAAUAGAAACAGAACAUUAUGACGUGUAAUUGAUUAUACCUUGGAACCCUGCCAAAACUGUACCAAUUUACUAUCGUGCAUCUGUAUAGCAACUAGUUUCUCUUGAUUUAAAAAGUCAUCUGGUAUGGACUGUAAAGGGAAUUUACUCCAACAGAACCAUAUUAACUCUUUGGGAAGAUGUUCGUAUUUUCCAUUGAGCUUAUUAGCGUAGUCGAGCCGAAGUAAUCUCAGUUUCUUCAUAUUGGCAAAUGCUUCUGUACUGAAACUAGUCUUGUCAGAGCUUGGUAACCCGGGAUAAGGGAUAUCUAGAGCAAGUCCUUCAACUUCUUCAGUUCCCUGUUAAAAAAAAAAAAAAAAAGUUUAAGUAAGAAAUAGAUUAUUUGCAUAUGUUUACAUGAUUUUGCAUAAUGAAUUAUACUUGCAUUCCCCCUUUGGGGUGACAAGCUCAUUCUGCCGCUUGCAAAUAACAUUUCUUAAUCGUACAAAUUUUCAUUGUGGAACCAUUCAAUUUCUUACUCUUAUAAUCAUUACAAAAAAUUUGAAUCAGAGAUCACUUAAUUUAGACAUCCAAAUGUAUCAAUAAAUGGAUAAUUCAUUAUUGAUAUGUUACUUAGGCAAAAUCACGUACUAUGAAUAAAUGCGAGUACUAUUGUUGGCUAAUUGAGCUUUCCUUGUGCAACUAACAUAUAUACACAUGAAUGUUGUCUAAUGUAUAAUAGACAUUUUGUUAAAGAAAAAAUGUAUAAUAGACAUACGUGGGUUAUAUAUGCUUUUCCUGUACAAUGCAUUAAUCCAAAAUUUUAUUGGGAAUAUACUUACAAAUUUAUUUGUUAAUACAUUGGUGACCUCUCGAGAAUUCCACAACCUGCUCCAUUUUCCAGGGUGACCGGGGGACUUUUCAGAAAUGAUUACUCUGGCCAUUUCUCGAAGCAAAUCAUGCAUAUACAAUAUGUUGCGUUCAACAGUUACAAGGCAUCGUUCACAGAGGACACUGAUUUCUAUUGUUGCAAAAAAUUCACAUCCAUCUAAUACUUUUGCGACAUAGUCCUUUUCCCAUCCAAUAAAGAAACAAGAUAUGUCAAGGAAAGUAGCCUUUUGUGUACGAUCCAGCUUUUCAAAGCUUACUCUUAGCGGUUUCAUUAUUCCUUCAUGAGGAAUUUUUUUUAAUUUCUCCAACUGACUUUUCCACUCUGUUGGGACUCUUUCAAUCAUAGAAGAACCUAAAACUUCAAGGGCUAGUGGCAAACCACCACAGUGAGAAACAACCUCUUUUGAGAGUUCAAGAUAUCCUUCAUUAGGACAACUAUUUCCAAAGGCAUGCCAACUAAAGAGUUUCAAAGCUUCUUCUUCAUUCAUUUCCUUAAGCGGAUAUGUCUCGUCCACUUUCAUGUUCACUUGCUUUAGUAAACGAUCAUCUCGUGUCGUUAUGAUAAUUCUACUUCCUAGGCCAAACCAAUCACGAUUUCCAGCUAUUGCAUUUAGUUGUUCCACUUUGUCUACAUUGUCAAUAAUGACAAGUACUCUUCUACUUUGGAGAUGAUGUUUUAUCAGACUGAUACCUUCAUCAACACUGGUUAUCUCACGCUUGUUCUGUUUCAAGAUGUUAGAAACAAGUUGUUCUUGCGAAACAACCAGAUCUUUUUCACUAACGUUGUUAAGGAAACUUUUGAAUUGGAACUCAUGAUGAAUUUUGUUAUAAAUGGCUUUGGCAGCUGUUGUUUUACCCAAUCCACCCAUCCCCCAAAUUCCAACCAUGCGAACAACAUUUGAUCCACCAUUUGAAAGAAAAGUGAUGAUAUCUUGAAUGCGAGUAUAUAUUCCAACUGGGUGCUUGGCCACAUGUAAACUUUCUGCGCUCGGAAGCCAUUCCGGGAUAAUCUUGUUAACAAUUUCUCUAAUAAGCUUUGCUUCGCACCUGAAAAAUUGAAUUGGUAAGCUUAGUAAGUAGGCUCAGUAUGAGCUAUUAGUAUAUUUCCUUGUUUCCUUCGCGCGCGUGUGUGCACACAAACUAUCUACUAUAGCUAGUAUGUGAUUUUGGGACCAACGUCAAUAAAAGAAACAAAUUCAUUCAUGGAUAUAUUAAAGUUUGGUGUAUCAAUUAAACUCCAAUUAUGGUUUAGGUUUUACAGGAAAUUGGAGAAAUGGUCCCUGAACUAUGAUUGAACUGUAGCUUUGGUUCUUAAACUAAAAAAUUCAAUAAAUCUUGUCCUUGAACUUAACAAAAUAUGGAGCAUUCAUCCCUCCAUGUUAACACCGUAAGAUUUUCUGUUAAUUUGAUGACGUCAUCUUUGUGGGCUCUAUAUUUUUGUUUACUAGAUGCCACGUGGCUUGAAAAUUCAAAAUAAAAGAAAAUAAAUACAAACAUAGAGAAAGAAAAAGAAAAAAAAAAUAUUUCAAUUAUAAAAGUUAACUCUCUCCAAUCCUCCCUUCCGCCUCCCCUCCUCCAAACCCCAGCCACACCAUUGUAGCACUUUCCCAACAGCAAAAACAAAGAAAGUUUAUAAUCCAAAUUUGGAACACAUCUCCCUUUGCAAACAAAUUCACAAUGACAUCCAUCCACGUUGUCUCGACAGGUAAGAUUCAAGAAAUUUGUGAGAUGUGGGUUUGGGUGACGGCUGUGGUCCAUGGGCUACAGGUUGGGGCCGGCUGGGGAGUGGGGAUUAGGGAUUUGGGGUUGGAAGUGGGAGGUUGACGGGUGUGAAUCAAAGAUUGAAGGUGAAGGGGUGGGCUGCGAGCCUGCGAGUGUUGGUGGGAUGAGGUACGCCUGCAAUUAUAUAUAUAUAUAUAUAGUAGACACUUUUAACUAAAAUUUAAAGGAAUUGGUUACGAAGGACUAAUGCUCCAUAUUUUAUCAAGUUCAAGGACAAAAUAUAAUGAAUUUUUAAUUUAGGAACCAAAGCUACAAUUUUCCUCAAGAUUUUAUAUGAGAGAUUAAGGUGUAUUAAUUAAGCAUGUUAAUUAGAGUAAUACAACUUAAAUAUUGAAAAGCACAAUGAUUACCUGCAAUUAUAUAUAUAUAUAUAUAUAUAUAUAUAUAGUAGACACUUUUAACUAAAAUUUAAAGGAAUUGGUUACGAAGGACUAACGCUCCAUAUUUUAUCAAGUUCAAGGACAAAAUAUAAUGAAUUUUUAAUUUAGGAACCAAAGCUACAAUUUUCCUCUAGAUUUUAUAUGAGAGAUUAAGGUGUAUUAAUUAAGCAUGUUAAUUAGAGUAAUACAACUUAAAUAUUGAAAAGCACAAUGAUUACCUCUUAUCAGUGAUUUGAAGAUGGUAGCCAGACAAAUUUGCAGCUUUUGUAAGAACCUCUCCCCACUGCUUUAUCCCUUCUUGUUUAGCUUCACGUUUCUUGUCAUCCUUUUCUUCACCGAUGCCCUCUUCGUGCUUCUGAAAUUCUUCAGCCAACUCUGCAGCUUCUCUAAGAGCCUCUGUCCACUGCUUUACCCUUUCUCGUUUUUCUUCACGUUUCUUGUCAUCUUUUUCUUUACUGAUGUUCUCUUCGUGUUUCUUAAAUGCUUGGGCCAAAACUCCAUUCUGCUUCCUGACAUGUGAAGGAUCAACGUGAUAGAAUAUUGGCAAAACAUGUCGCCCCAAUUUGUCUCUGCACUCCAUGAUCUUCACCAGCUCGUUAAGACACCAACUCGAAUCCGCAUACCUCUCUGAGAAGACAAUGAUAUAGAUCUUCGAUUUUUCGAUUGCCUGUUCCAGUUCUUUUUUUAUUUCUUCCCCUCUUUCUAGAUCGUCCUCAUCGAUAUACGCUUGAUAUCCCCUAUCUGUUAAUGCCGCGUGGAGGUGGUCCGUGAAGCCACUGUGUGUGUCUACACCGCUGAAGCUCAAGAACACGUCGUAAUUCCAAAGUUUUGACUUGGGGGAGGAUGAAGAGGAGGCUUCAUGGUUUGUCAUGGCGGUAUCCACUGUUAUGGCACUGCAGUGGUUCAGAUUAUGACUGAAAAAUGGCAGUAGUUGUGUUUGUGCUAUUGAACAGAUGAUCCUGAAACACCUAAACCCAAGUCAAGCUCCUUAAGUCAACAAGAACAAAGUUUAUAAUAUAAUAAUGUUGGCGUAUGGAAACGACAUAAUGUUGGCCAGAAGGUGCAGAGACAAACUUGAAUGCAAGCUUUCUGAAAUCUUCCAACCAAUACAGAUAAAAAGGUAACACCCUAGUCAGAAAUGAACUGAGGUGUUAGCUUUCUAAGACACCCAGAUGACAAAAUCAACAAAAUAGAAUGGAAAACUGACUUACACUUUUAAGGCAUGCUAGAAUCUUGAUCUAAAAUUGGUGGUGGGUCGAUUGUUGGUCACCAACUCUAAAUGAAGAAUUCAUCAGAACCUAGAAAAUUAAACAAAGAACUUUCCAAAAUCAACAUUUACUAAAAACCAUUUACUUGGUUAUCAUGCAAGAUGGCUUGCCAAAGAUUGAAUUAAGGAAUGCAAAACUUUACUUUUAUGAUGAUUUCCAAUGACAGCUAAAAGGUCAGAACCAAAUGAAAAUAAAAGUUAGGACUUCACAAAACCAAUUAAAAUCUAAUUCCAAAGUUACAAACACCCACCAAAUGAUUCCAGAUAAAGUUUUAAACUCAAGGUCAGACCCAAAUGAAAUUAAAAGUUAGGACUUCACAAAACCAAUUGAAAAUCUGAUUCCAAAGUUUCAAACACACACCAAAUGAUUCCGAAUAAAGUUUAAACUAAAAAACCCAACAGAAACAAAAGCAUUGGUGUGAAUUAACAGUAUCUAAUUGAAGAAACUAAAACAAAAGUAAAGUAAAGUAUAUACCUCAAAAUAUCAAGCAAUUAAGUUCUUCCUCCGAUGACCCAAAACUCUGAAAAUUCCACACAAAAAAAAAGGUAAAUCCAUUAGCAAUUCAUAGCUUUCAAAAUCAGCAAAAACUUGGGCAACAAUAAAGAUGCGUUGAGAACCAUCACUCUUUCUCCUUAUGUAUUUGAAAAGAUAUUUUAUAAGCAAUUUAUGUAGUCAUUCUGAUCAUGUUGCAUAUAAAUUCCUUUUCUACAGAGUUCAAAAAAAAUAGGGCAGUUUAUGGCAUCUGUUGAAUAACAUGGUUGAAAGAUUUAAAAUUGAUAAAUUCAAUUUUUAUGUGUAAAACUAUAACAUAUAGCUAAAGCUAUUGGGUCUAUAUAUCCAUAUCAAUCAUGUCGUAAUUGAAGGUUUAUCGAUGUAAAUAGAUGAUUUCAGUCAUGUGAAGUAUAUGCUGAAGUUUGGUCUAAGUUAGAUAAAAAUUGACCAAAAUCUUAAUAAGAGACUCUUUUAGCUUUUAACCAAAAAAUGAGCACCACAAUACUACACUUAUAAGUUUUAUCAUGCACAAAAUACAUAGCACUGAUUGCUACUUUUAGAGCAAGAACAAUACUUUCCAAGAAAACAACAAAACACUCAAAACCCAGAAACAGAAACACACUUAGGACUCCAACUCCUCAAAAACAUGAGAAAGAGAGAGAGUGUGUGCGAGGAGAGAGAAUAAAAAACCAUAUUAAUUUUCACACAAACUCAAAAUUGCUUAUAAAAUUACAAAUCAAAACAAAUGAAAGCAAAUCCAAAUUGCCCUAAAUUAAAUCUGAUUAGUUAAACGUUUGUUGCCCUACAAAUGUCGUUACACCCGACACAACUUGCUUUGAAGUUGAUAUUUUGGUCAAUCCAGGGAAAAAGGAGUUAUUGGUUUUGGAGCGGUUGUCAUGGAGAAUACCAUCUCCCUGUUGAAUGAUCUAAAAAAGGACUUACAGCUUCUGCUGGCCAUAAUAAGGCCCUUCUCUCCAGAUUUUCUCAAUAACUUUCCUUUUCGUAGCUGGUAAGAUUGCAACUCCAAGAAUUGCUCUGAAGAGAUAUACAAAAAAAUCAAACUAAAACUAAGCUAUUGGAAGAAAUUUAGAAAACACAAACAUCACUACAACUCAGAUUUAAAGUCAACAGAAACCAAAUGGUAGAAGUUGAAAAAAUACAUGGUCAUGAAUCGAGAACUUCAUCAAGCUACAACAACAACAACAACAACAAAGCCUUUUCCCACUAAGUGGGGUCGGCUAUAUGAAUCCUAGAACGCCAUUGCGCUCGGUUUUGUGUCAUGUCCUCCGUUAGAUCCAAGUACUCUAAGUCUUUUCUUAGAGUCUCUUCCAAAGUUUUCCUAGGUCUUCCUCUACCCCUUCGGCCCUGAACCUCUGUCCCGUAGUCACAUCUUCGAACCGGAGCGUCAGUCGGCCUUCAUCAAGCUAACAGCAAUAAAAUCUCAUAUAAUCUGUCAAAAACCAAAAAAGAGAGAGAGGUAAUUUCAAGACCUUGUAAUGCCGAGGCCUCGUACAAUUGUAGUAAUAAUAUAUGGUUGAUGCACCUGUUGCUCAAUCAAAUCCUUUGUCUGGCUAAAAAAAAUAAAAAUCUAUAAAUACAUUCAUGUCCAAUUUAUGAGAAAUCAUGGGAAAGCAAAUGCACUGAUAACGGAAUCAUGAAUAUGAAAAACUUGCCAAAAAGAAAAAGAAAACUUCUUAUAGUGUGCCAAGAACAUCCUCCUACUCCUAGCAAACUUUUUAUGGCAUUAUCCACUUCUCAAUUCAUAAUUCAACCACUAACUCAAAGUCUAUAGUGUAUGAAAAAGUGAUAUCUUAGUUGAUCACGAUGAUAAUUAAGCAGAUUAAAUGACAACCCAUAAAGCAUACAAAUUCAGAAAAGAAAAGGUUCAAAACUGCCAUAAGAAAACAUAGAAUAUAUAAACGGGAAAUCAAAAGAAGAGAGGCGAAAAAGGAAGAAAAAACCAAACAAAAUUAUUAGGUUUGGGAUAUACCUUUAUCUGAAACGCCACAAUCAUCAAAGUCAAACAUAAACAAUCCAAAAAGUUGUGGAAAAUAACAAUAAAUGCUCAACGAAAAACGAAAGAAACGUAGAAUAAGUUUACCUGUCCUCCCCCUAAUAAUACAAUUCACCACUUAUAUUCUCGUCAUCCUCUUCAGCCUGAAAAAUUUAGUAGAAAUAUUCAAUGAAGGCGCUUAAUGGAGACAGUAAUAUUAGCAAUGGAGGAAUUGAAUUGAUAACUAAAACUGCAAGACCAAUUGACUACGAUAGGUUCAAAACAGAAACUCAUCUGUUAGAUGUCUCAUCUUUAGGCAGUGCCUUGUUCUUUUCUUUUUUUUGUUCUUUUUUUUUUUUUGUUUUUGGUUGCACGUCUUGUGACGUUCAUGUAAAUGAACAAAAUUGAUACUUUUGACACAACCAACAAUGGAGAGGUAAAAAGUUAAAAACAGAAGGAAUGUCUUUUGUUAUGUAAUAGAUUUUGCAAGUCAGAAAUUCUGUUCGAGAAUUUGCAACCCAGAAAGUCCGCCAGCAAUUAUUAACAAUCACAGAUAAGCACCGAAUGAAGGCCAAUCUAAUAAGCCAAAAUAUGUAGGGCACUAAAGAAAUUAUUGCCCAGUAACAAAUGAUAGAUAAGCACAUGUGAAACUAAAGAAAUUUUUCCUUACUAUCAACUCCAAAAAAAUAACCUAUACAAUUCAAAAAAUGUUGAUACAUGCCUGAAAUUGGUAUUUGAACCACCAACUACCUCCGUGAAUAUGUUUGUUUGCUUAAUGGUUUGCGUUGAAGUUGUGAAAGGAAAUGCAAUUUCUUAAAAGAAGGAGAAUGCAGAGACAAAUACAGAAUGGUUCACGUGGCCACCCUCAAAACAAUAAUGUCGUAUACAUUAAGCCUGCCAAUUACUAAAAACAAAACAUUUUGCCAUGAGGAGAAGUAAGAACAUACCGAAACUUGUUUGCAAAUAGAUGAGAAAAAUUAUACCUCAAACAGAUGGGAAAUUUAUUAGGAAAGAUAGAUCAGCCCACAUGUGUGUAAUCUAUAUACAAAAAACCACUCUCUUCAUUAGCCAAAUCGUUUCAUAAAUCCAACAACACAUAAUUAUAUCUUGAACAAUGCCAAUUAAUGAUUUCCCAUUUACUUAAGCCGGACAACAAAGCCAAUGAACUGAUGAAAGAGCGAAAAAGAGAAACAAAAAACCUCAAUUAAGCAAUUAAAUGGAGUAUUACUUGAUAGAGCUGGAAAUUACCCAAUUCCUCAGAGAGAGGAUCAAGAGUGACUGAUGAGAGUGCAGAGAAACGAAUUAUUGAGAAAUUCAAGUUCUGAGCUCAAAGUUGGGGCCUCCACUUUCCAACUGGGGAAGAAAUAACAGAGAAAACACAGAGAGAGCCAAUCCACCAAAAAUAUUAAUCAAAUGGGUUUCUUCUAAUUCAAAAUUUGGACCACCCAAUUUCCGAUGAAGCAAUAACCAUUCAAAAUUCCAACAGAUUGAAGCCCUCACAGACUACAAAUUAUCAAUACCCAGCAAUAAAAAAUUUGAAAACAGUAAUAAUGAAGGAAAAAGAAAUUAAAGCUGCGAGCCAUUCUCUAAAUCUCAGGCACCAAUCCAAAUCACCAGUAAUUUGCACAUAAUGAUAAGAAUCUAGCGGUAUUUCCAUUGUUUAAAAACCCAAAUUCAAGAAAUCAUGAAAAAUGGAAACUUUAUUUGGAAAUUGAAGCUUUACCUGCAGAUCAGCAGCAGCAAACGGAAUCCAACGGCAUGUACCUCAAAAGUGAGAGAGAGAGAGAGAGUUGAGAGAUGAGUGAGAGAAUCGAUAAACAAAACCCCCCAAAAUCACAAAAGGAAAAUUGAACAGAAAACAAAUUUGCAAAUCCAAAAUCACAAAAACGAAAUUGAAACACCCACACUGAGAAAGCUGCAAUACUCACCAGGAAGCUAGCUUUUCUGGGUAAAAAAAUUGUUCGAAUCGAAUUGAAGAACCGAGGAAAAUUCUACUGGUUCAGUGGUUUUUCCAGCAAGAAAGCACCUUGUUUGUAAUUCGUGAGAGGUUGGACGGCGAGAGAGAAAAACGUAAAGGAAAGGAAAAGCGGAGAAGAAGUCACGAUUAUCGACGCGUGGGUUGCAUUCCACUGUGCCAAGUUCGAAAAUGAACGGGGAAUGGGGAGCUUGGCUGAGGGAGACAGAAUUCGAGAAGCAACGUUCUGAUUUUUUUUUUUAUAUGAGAGAGGGAAAGAGGAAUGAAGAGAAUCGACAAGAGGAGGAACCAUUUUAAGCGAUGAUGGACGCGUGGGAAUUGAGGGCAAAUUUGCCAUUUUGCUGUGAACCCAAAAGUCAAGACUUGGCUUGGUUUAUAUAAUUAAUCAAUAAUAUUUCAUAACAAGAGCUAGGUCCAUAUAUUAUACAAGGUUCUAAUAUAAUAGAUGUUGUGGCUAGGCGAGGCUUAUUGUCUAUGCGAAUUUAAGUAAAUUUACUCUAUAUUAAAUAAAUAAAUAUAUUUUUACACUUAAAAUGACACAUAAUUGUAUUGUGAUAUAUAAAUUAUAAAAUAAAAUGAUAUAUAUAUUAUAAAGUAUUGGAGACCCAAAUGUGAAAUGACAACUAUAAACAAUUAUUCAAGGUGGACGGUAAAUGAUUCAGCCAUUUACAAGAUUCAAAACGUAGGAUCACGAUCUACUGGAUGAUUGUAUUAACUAUUAGGCGGUGCUCUAAUAUAAUACAUCCAAAUGGGGGUGGACCACAUAAUACACCCAAUAGGUCGUUUUAAGCUACUCCACUGCUAAAACUAUUGCAAAAUGCGCAUUAGGAUUUAUACUUCUAUUAGCUACGCCUUUCCUUACUAGGCAAAUGAACCAUAUAGUACACCAAGAUGGAUGUUAUACACGUUGGAGUUUGAGCAGAAUUCUUUUUGUUAUCAUGUCUCACAUUGCUAGAAUUGAAAAGUUCAUAAUAUAAUAACAUUCACGUAUGAACUUGAGAAACAACAUACUACUGGUUGGCCUGGAAGGUGCAGUGAAGGAGAGGAAAGAAAGUAACAAACACGAAAGGAUAAGGACUAUCCAAUAGAUUAUAAACAAUGACUUCUUGGGGGUGAUUACAGCUAUUCAACCAUCAAUAAUGCAUUAUUUUAGUUUGGAAUUUGGAAGCAUUUGAGAAGUAACAUGACAACAACCACAUAAUAAACAAAGAUGAUUAGAAAAAAGACCCGAAUGUGAAAGAAUAAUUAAAAACAAUUAUUCAAGAUUAGUGAUAAAUGAUUCAACCAUUUACAAGAUAUGAACUUAGAACAACAAUCUAUUAGAUCGUUGUAUUAAUUAUUAAGUGGUGCUCUAAUAUAAUAGAUCCAAAUCGGAACGGACCACAUAAUACACCCAAAUGGAUCAUUUUUAGGCUCCACUGCUAAAAACUAAUGCACCAUGGGCAUUAGGAGUAGACUUUUAUAGCUAUCUUUCCUUACUAGUCAAAUGAACCAUACAAUACACCCAAAUGGAUGCCAUCAUGCCAUAUAUAAACAAUGUUUUGAAAGGACAAGGUAGCUAACGCUGUCUUUUUAUAUAUGUAAGCAACAACCCUAAAUGAAUCUUAUUGGAGCUAAUUAACUAAUGUAUUUAUUAGACAGUUGGAUUCCUUAGCAAGGGGUUAACUAUUUUUGUUUAGAUUAGUAGUCAGGUGGUAAUUAAUUAGUCAAAUGAACCAUAUAAUACACCCAAAUGGAUGUGCAUAUAUAAACAAUGUUUUCGAAGGAUGAAAUGACUUUCUUGCCGGUAUGGGGGAAGAGGAUUGCGCGAAAAUUUUCGCACUAAUCUAAAUAUUGUGUUUCAAGCUUUGAAAAACCAUUGAAGCUUUGAAAAGUUUGGUGAUUUUGUUAGGUUAUGUGUAUGAGUGACAUUAAUAAUUUUCAACUUCCCAAGCAAUUGUUACACAAAAUUAAAUUUAAAAUCCAAGAGGCCGUGGUUACAGCUAUUCAACUUUUGUAGAUUUUCCGGUUUUAUGAGAUUGGCAUUCUUUUUCAACACAACUUCUAUUGAGUUCAUAUAAACUAUUAUAUGAAGGAGAAAUGGUAAAAAGACUCCCUCAAAAUCCCAAAUGUGAUAGGAGAAAAGACACAAAUAUGAAACAAUUAAAAACAAUUAUUCAAGGUGGGUAGUAAAUGAUUCAGUCAUUUACAAGAUUCAAACAUGGGACCACGAUCUACUGGAUGACUGUAUUAACUAUUAGGCGGUGCUUUGAUAUAAUACAUCCAAAUGGGGGUGGACCACAUAAUACACCCCAAUGGUUCGCUAAAAACUAUUGCAAAAUGCGCGUUGGGCUUAUACUUCUAUUAGCUGCGCCUUUCCUUACUAGGCAAAUGAACCAUAUCCAAAAUGGAUGUUAUACACGUUAGAGUUUGACCAUAAUUUUUUUCGGUUAUCUCAUUGUCUCACAUUGCUAGAAUUGAAAAGUUUUAAUAACGUUUGUGUAUGAACUUGAGAGACGACAUACUAUCGGCCGGCGGGGAAGGUGCAGUGAAAGAGAGGAAAGGAAGAAAGAAGUCAACACGGAAUGACAAAGACUAACCAAUAGGUUAUAAGCAAUUACUUCUUGGGGUGAUUACAGCUAUUCAACUAUCAACAACGCAUUAUUUUAGUUUGGAAUUUGGAAGCAUUUGAGAAGUAACAUGGCAACAACCACAUACUAAACUAAAGUGAUUAGAAAAAAGACCCAAAAUGUGAAAGAAUAAUUAAAAACAAUUAUUUAAGAUAAGCGAUAAAUGAUUCAACUAUUUACAAGAUAUGAACUUAGAACAACAAUCUAUUUGAUCGUUGUAUUAACUAUUAAGUGGUGUUCUAAUAUAAUAGAUCCAAAUGGGGACCGACCAUAUAAUACACCCAAAUGGACCAUUUUUAGGCUCCACUGCUAAAAACUAAUGCAAAGUGGACAUUAGGAUUAAACUUGUAUUAGCUAUCUUUCCUUACUAGUCAAAUGAACCAUACAAUACACCCAAAUGGAUGGCAUCAUGCCAUAUAUAAACAAUGUUUUGAAGGGACAAGGUAGCUAACGCUGUCUUUUUAUAUAUGUAAGCAACAACCCUAAAUGAAUUUUACUGGAGCUAAUUAACUAAUGUAUUUAUUAGACAGUUGGAUUCCUUAGCAAGUGGUUAACUAGUUUUGUUUAGUUUAGUAGUCAGGUCGUAAUUAAUUAGUCAAAUGAACCUGCAUAUAACACACGCAAAUGGAUGCCAUAUAUGCAUACUAUUUUUGUUUAGUUUAGUAGUCAGGUCGUAAUUAAUUAGUCAAAUGAACCUGCAUAUAACACACCCAAAUGGAUGCCAUAUAUGCAUAUAUAAACAAUGUUUUCAAAGGAUGAAAUGACUUUCUUGCCGGUAUGGGGGGAAGAGGAAAGAAACUAGCACGAAACUGCAGACCCUAUCGAUCCAUUAUAAUAAAUUUCAAUGGUCCAAGUUGUAAGUUAAUUGUGUAACGUAAAAACUUAUUUACAGUUAUCAACUUAACCACGUACAUGUGGAAGACAUUAUCUCAGAAAACUAGAAAGUUCAAUUGCAACUCUACACAACUGAAAGCAAGGCUCGCUCAAUAGGGCUUGAGUUUUUUUGUAAACUUGCGUAUUUUUGUAAACGCAUCACAUAGUAGUUAAAACAUCCGGCCGUAAAUAAAGGGUUUGAGUGUCACAUCCUAGCUCGGGGCAGACCACUUCCCGGGCUCACUCCACUACCGUAGCAUGAUAUUGUCCGCUUUGGGCCCCGACCACGCCAUUACGGUUUUGUUUCUAGGAACUCACGAGCAACUUCCCAGUGGAUCACCCAUUAUGGGAGUGCUCUGGCCACCUUCUCGCUUAACUUCGGAGUUCCGAAGGAACCCGAAGCCAGUGAGCUCCCAAAAGGCCUCAUGCUAGAUAGGGAUGAGAAUAUACAUUUAAGGAUCACUCCCCUGGGCGAUGUGGGAUGUUACAAUCCACCCCCCUUAGGGGCCUGACGUCCUCGUCGGCACACUUCCGGCCAGGGAUUGGCUCUGAUACCAUUGUCACAUCCCGGCCCGGGGCAGAACACUUCCCGGGCCCGCUCCACCACCGUAGCACGAUAUUGUCCACUUUGGGCUUACCAUUCCCUCACGGUUUUGUUUUUGGGAACUCACGAGCAACUUCCCAGUGGGUCACCUAUCCUGGGAGUGCUCUGGCCCCCUUCUCGCUUAACUUCGGAGUUCCUACGGAACCCGAAGCCAGUGAACUCCCAAAAGGCCUCGUGAUAGGUAGGGAUGAGAAUAUACAUUUAAGUAUCACUCCUCUGAGCGAUGUGGGAUGUCACAAUCCAAUUGUAACAGUGUCAUGAUCAGACUUGUAAGACUGUCUUUAAUAAGAAGUUGUUGCGUUUUGUCAAAACUAGGUAUGGGCAACGGUUAUGGCGGGCGGGUAACCGCGGUUAAUUAUCCAUAACCGUUUAUUCUCAUACAUGCAUAACUGUUUACCCGUUGGGUAAUUGUCUAAACGGUUAUACCCAUACCCAUAACCGUUUAUAAACGGUUAACCAUAACCAUAACCGUGUACCCAUUUAACCGUAACCGUUUAGUACCCAUUUACCCAUUUAUCAUUUUUAAACCCGUUUAUCCUUUCUUUUUUACCAUUUACUCAUUUUUCACGCAUCUACGUGUUUUUUUAACAACUUGAAAAUUAAAAAAGAAAAAUUUGUCAUAAUUUUCUUUUUCUAACAAUUAAACACCGUUGUAGUAUUCAUCAUACAUUUCCGUAUUUUAAUUUUUAAGUCCUUAUACCAUUUCAAUAAUUGAAAUAAUAGUUUACAGACAAUAUUUUUAAUUGUUAGCAAUGAAGGUAAUAUAAAAUUUGCUAAGUAUUCUUUGGUUACGAAAACUGUUAAAAGACAGUAUUCUUGGGUUAUUUAACUCAGAAUGUAUAAUAUAUAUAAUGGACCAUGAAAUUUAAAGUGGUUAAGGAAAACUAUAUUAUAUUAGCUAUAGAAAUCAUGCACUAUAGUCAAUAGCAUUGAUCUAAGUUUUGUCCGAUAGUGAACAUGGUUUGUGUUAAUUUUACAUAUAUAAAAUAAAUGGGUAAAUGGUUACCCGUUUAUAACCACGGUUAAUACCCAUACCGCCCAUUUAAAUUUCACGAGUAAACGCCCAUAACUGUAACCGUGAAAUUUAAAUAGGCGGAUAACCGCAGUUACCCAUAACCAAUGAGUAUUUACCCAUCCCUAGUCAAAACCGGUCCAUCUAAUUACAAAUUGUAACCAUAUUAGUUGAGUGCAUAUGCUACAUCACAUUUAGUGAAUAUUCAGUACGGGUGACACAUGGUCAGACUUGUAGGUUGUUCAUUAAGAAGUUAGUUACCACGUUCUCAAGAGUGGAGCUAGAGGGGAGCACUUCCCUACCAAAGUGUUUUCCUUCUCCCCUUUGCAAGGGAUUUGUGUCACUAUUAGAUAGGAGAUUCAAACACAAGACCUUCAAUUGAGAGGUAAACGCUUUUACAAAGCUUCUACGAGCACCUUCUUGUUUACCAAACUUAUUGAGACUAAAGGAGGUCUUAACGCCAUUUUGGCUAAUACUAUUCUGUAUAUUUACGAAUGGUUUUAAGUUUGGGUUUAAUUGGAUAAUCAGAUAGUAGUGCAUCAAACUAUGGAUAUUCAGAAACCGAAAGCAUAAUUCAUAUUCCUCCAACAAGUCCACGCAAAUAACCACAAUCAGAAUGUUAGUUCAUAACUGGCCAUAUAGAACGCAGUACAAAAGCACUAAAAGCGUCCAAGUGAAAGUGCUUUCUCCUCAUGUAGUUUCAUUUAACUUAGUUUCACAUGCCACUCCGUCACACACUCAACUCCUCAACGUUCGGGCUCAAAGCAUUCUUUAUCCCUUCUGCACGAGAGACAAUAAGUUUAAAGUUCUUGUGAUGAAAUCAUGUAAAACAUUCAGAAAUCUUGAUUUAACCCUUUAUCAAGAUCAUAGGUUGUGUCAUCUCAACUUAUAUCUUAGGUCUUAUGAGUGCUCGUAAUACACUAAUAUGACACUUGUUUUCUGGCCAGGACAGAAACAAAAUCAUGCAGGAAAUUGUCAUGACAACUUCAGUGUAAAAUAAAGGUCGUACCCAGUGCACAAGGCUCCCGCUUUACGCAGGGUCUGGGAGAGGUGAAUGUCGGCUAACCUUACCCCCAUUUAUGGAGAGGCUGCUCCCAAACAACUUCAGUGUAAAAUGCGACCGGAAAAACACUAAACAAGAUUGCUAUGCUCUCUUAGUGUAAACCUUAACAACAAAGACUAUACCGUAUCUGUCACAGUGAUAUGCGACCAUAAGCCCAACUCCAAGAGCUUUGAAGGCUACAAAUCAAAAGUUACAUGCAGUGACGACAUAAUCAUGAAAAAAUACAAUCAUAAAUUAAAGGAAAACAUACCGACUUCUAGUUCUGGCAAUUCACUAUUGGGCCAUAUAUUUGAACCACAGUAUGAUGGAUACCUACAAUACAGAUCACAAAUAAAAUCUGAGCAGACACAAAGUAUUAUGUUCUGUUUACACAAAAUCUGUAAGUUCUCAAAUAGGAUAAAUAAAGAUAAACAUAUCCCAGCAUAAAGACGAUUUGUCCUGGCUAAUUCUAAGAAACCUUGUAUCAAAUGUAUGAUAGUUAUUCAUAACUAACACAAACAAUAGUUUUGCCGAACAUUUCUGGUCUGAGCCGUAUACUGUGUGACCUCAGACAAAACAGAUCCCACAUGGACCCAGAUUAUGAUUGAUGUCCCUAUAGACUUUUACCUUUGAAUUAGAGAUUCAUCUGUUGUAGGGCUUCCAAUAUUGGAUUUGCAUAAAACGAGCCUUUUAACGUAUCUGCAAAACCAGAACAGAAACGGAAAAUGAAUGAUCCUACGUUCUUAGAGUUUCCAAAGAAACAAAAUUUAAAACAAAGAACAUAAAGUGAUACCAGGCUUUCCAGAUUCCAGCUUCUCUUUUCCAUGACUCCAUCCAAAAUUGUACCUAAACAUGGAUGGCAGGUAAAAAGAAGAUAAGCAAUAAGACUUUGUAAAGAUUCCCAAGAAAAGCAAUAAAACUACGUAAAUAUUAGUUAAUAAUGCCAAGACCAUAGUCUGUGACAAAUCCAAGAGUUGAGAUGAGACUAUCUUUCAGGCAGGAAUUUUUGGAAUUUUUCUCUAUUGGGACUAAAAUGAAAGCAUAACAAUGGGACUAAAAUGACUUAGCUACUAUGAGGAUCUUCAAGUUCCUUCUUCACCUCUUCGGGCAGAUUGGCUAAUCUAAUAAACGAAAAGAAAACUCCCAUGAGCAGUGCUAUAACAAACUAUCUUCCUAAAUUCAUUAUGAAUUGCAGUUAAAACUUAAAAUGAACAUGAAAAUCCUACGUAGAAGGGAUAUACCUAGGUGACAAGCCUAGAAGAUUCUCACGCAAGGAAGAAUAUCCCGGAACCUACUGCCAUUAAGGUUGUUAUUAAUAUCAAUUCAUGUAUAUUUCCGCAUGUGUCAUAUUAUUAAGUUAGACAGUGAAAAAUAUAUAUCGGAUGUUAUGAGAAUAUGUGUGGCUGUCAAGCUUGACACGUGAAUAACAUGCUCUCUACUACUUUAUUACACUGUGAAGAUUUUAUCCAAAAUUAAUUGACGAUGAGCGAAUAAACUGAAAGAUUAUGCGCUACUUUGAUUAUGCAACGAGUGAAGAGGCAAUUUACGCCAACCUCCAGUCAAGAAUUUGGACUCACAAUCACUAGCCAAUAUGCUUUUUUCUCACAUUUCCCCUGACACGGCAAGUUCAUUGUUCAAUAUUCUGGUUCUGGUGUCCUAUGACCCUGACACGGCAAGUUCCACUUUUUGUUCAUUUUCUUGACGAAACCAUCACACUUACCCUUACGGCACGGCACGGUUCCGGGCAUAGAGCAUGGAUUGGGUUUCGUUGCAGUCCCGACACUACUUAGCACUGUAGAGAAGGAAAUACAAAGACAAGUUUGGAUUUCUUACAACGUAUUGAGUCUCUCGUCAUGGCUCUUGCUGUGUUGUUCUUAUUUCACAUCCUGUUUCUCGAGUUUGGUGUUUCCGGUUGCAAAUUUGGUUCGGCAGUGUAGUGCUCAAGAGAGGGGACUGUCUCACAUUGUUCCAAGCAGACACAGGCGGUUGACAACGAUUGCGAUAAUGUGUUUUUCUACUGGGAGAACAUACAGCAGUCAGCAGUCAUCUUUUCACAACCGUCUUCAGUAUUUGGAGGCACCUCAAGAAAUUAUCAAGGACAAACGAAUGUAGAAAAGAAGAAAUAUCGAAGUUAGUUGACAAAAGGGGCCGAAAAAUUGUGAGAUACAGAGAAGAAGAUUAGACGAAACUCGAUGCAAAUUUUAAGCUAGAUUAGUUAUUUUUCAUUAACGAGCGAUACAGAGAAGAAGAAACAGCUGCAUUUGGAGAAAGCUGCUUUAGUUGCCUAGUUUGUAACAUUAGCUUUCUGUAAUUCCGGGGAAGAAACAGGAGUAAAAAAAAAACACAAUCAGGCAGUACCAAAAAAGAAAAAUGUACAAUUAGGAACAAUCGCCACUUCUCAAACUUUGUAGUAGAUCCAGGUAUCUGAUGGACUCGGGGCUAAUGUACCUGCAUUAACAAGAAACAAAAAUCAGAUUUGUGGAAGGGAGUCACAUAGUGGUUAAAAUACUUGGCCGUGCAUGAAUGGUUUGAGAUACCAUCAUAGAGGCAUCCUCCAGGUGUGAGUUUCUCUCGUAUCUGAUCACUUAUUAUAAGAAUAUCAGUAGUGAAAGUGAAAUACCCGUGUCGGGAAAGGAAGUCAAUGAUGACAAAAGAGCAAUUUGGCUUGAAAUAUUGUGUCCUCCGUAUGAUGCUUGCAACAUGCAUCACCGAAUCCACUUGAAGCUCUCCACCUCUCCAUCUGUUAAAUGUUUCAUAAGCAGCAUUGUUAAAGUUCUCUCUAUUUGGGGGGAUAUUGCAGAUGGUUUUGAAUGAAGAAAGGCAAAAAUUCAUGCAGAAGGCAUAAUUUACAACUAGUUUUGUAAAAGCUAAGCUCUAAAGGUCUCACCUUGAUUCUUUGGCACAAAUAGCUAAAGUUUUGAGAUGGGACAAAAUGGGUCCCAAGACCCACAUACAGCGCAUCCGAUGGUGUUGAAAUCCUUUUCCCAGUAAGUCAAAGAUAAGCGCCAAGAAAGACAUGACAGUGUUAAACUUAAAACAAAUACAGAACUAAGAAUUGAUGCAUGAAUCAAACAGAGAAAUGGUACAGGCCAUUCUCUUUAUAUUCUUAUAAUCUAAACAUUUCUCCUUAUCAACACUGGAAAAACAGCUUGCUUCAGUCAUAGGAAAUAAAUUGCGCCUGGAGUAUAGAAAAGACAUACCUACAGAUCCUCCUCCUGGACUCUUUGCCGCUAUACGUGAAAACCCAACAUCUGGGAACAAACAAAUUACAUUCUCUGCCAUAGCAAGAACAGUCCUCUGAAAUGUAUCCAUACAAAGUUAAGACACAAAAAAUUCAAAAAGGCAAUGUAAUUCACAACAUUGACAAUCUCUGUCUGACAAGGCAAUAAUACCUCUGUAAUGAUCUGGUAGUGACCGUGACCUGAUAGGCCAACACCAAAGCCCAUUGUUAUGCCAUCCAUGAAGAUAGGGCUUCUUGUACUCAGAGAUUUUGCAUAUUAGAGAAUACUCAGCAGUGAAUACCUGAAAAACAUGCAGCACAAGUAUCAUACCGGUAGCCUCUCAAUCUUAAGAAAUGGUAGCUUAGAAAAGAUAUGAAUCCUAUCCAACCAAUACAAAUCAUAUUACCCAAGUUCAAGCAAAAUCACGACUAAACAAAUGAUCAGAUGUUGUAGGUUGCCCGAGAAUGUCAAACAUGAAAUUACAAAAGAAAAAAAAACAAUCGUAUGUAUUGAACAUUAAUAAAUACUUGCUGAAAGCACAAUCUUAGCUGCAAUUUAUGACAUUUAUACGAGAUUGAAUAGCCAAAGCAAUUAAAGAAGUAGCAGAACUCAUAUAAGUGAUUUUCACUUUGAACUUUUAGGCUUAUCAGCAAAUACAUCAUUACGAUUCUAACGCAUGAAUUUUGUUAAAAGGGGCUUGCUUGCUUGUAUUAAGGCUUAAUCAUCAAUGAUUUUGCAAGGGUCAAUCGUCUUGCUAGUUGUAAAUCCAUGCACUAUGAAAAUUACCAAAAUUACAUCUUAUAUGGUAGAGAAGGAAGUCAUCUUAUAUUAUCUGGAUUUUAGAAGACGGUGUAAGGUUAUAAGUCUGUUAUUCUAUAUAGUUUAAAGGACACAAUUAGACAACAAUCAUAUUCGGUGGUUGGUUUUUGGCCGUGAUCUGCUUCACAUCACCGCCCGCAGGUAAUCUAAAUCUGGGUUAUUACUUAUCAAUGAAUCAAAGUGCCAACUUAUCGGACACCAACUAUCUCUCUAUGGCAAAAAAAUAACACAAAAAGGAACAAUGAAGUGAAACAAUAAACAACAUGACAUGAAACAGCACAAACAUCAAAGACCAACAAUCUAUCACAUAAGCACCUAAACAAGAAACAACUUUAGUUCAAAGCAAAGCGUAAUGUAGAAACCUUCAGCACAAGAGGCGUGUUUUUGUCCUUUUGAAUUUCGGCAACAACAACUUUAAUAUCCUUACCUGCAUUUACCAUGAUUGGUCACUCUCAAAACCUUACCUAAGAGACCCAAAAACCAAAAUAACUGCUAAAAGAGCUGAACAUACAUAUCUAGAAAAACUUAUUCAACUACAUGCUAAAAUGGAAGUGUAAAAUUGCCAGGAAAGAUAAGAAACUAUUCAAAUACGAGUUCUGGGCGUUACCGCCACAAAAGGCACGAGCCGAGCGGCUAUCAACAAGAACACACUUCACAUUUGGGUCAGAUUCCCAUUCAUCCAGAUAGCUCUUGUAUUUCACAUCCAAAUCUGCAUUUUCCAACAAUUCCCACUUAAACAGAAACACAAAAUUCUUCCAAAAAGAGCUAACUUCUUUGAAAUUUGAAUCCAACGUUUCGUCUUAUAACAAAUGCAAUAACAUAGAUUUGUAAUCAAUACGAUGCCAUAAAGUUCAAGCUCAAAAAUUCAAAUCAUCUCCAAAUCAAAAGCAAUUACAGAUAUAUACAUAUAUACAUAUGCGUGUGUGUGUUUAUCUACAUACCUAGGUUUAUGGCGUUGAGAGCUCGGGGGGCGACCGAGGGUGAUGACGGCGACGCCAAAGGUGCGGAGAAGGCGAGGGGAUUUGGAGGGUUUUGUAAAGAGGGGAUUUGCUCAGAAUUUGGGUCGCUCGUCCCUCUUAUGAGAGUGAUUCAAAAAUCGAAAAAGUUGAAAUUUAUUGAUUGUGAUCUGACUCAAACAUGUGAUGAUGACGAUGCAUCACAACCUUGGUUGUGCCUCUGGAUCAAAAUCCUGUUCCAUCAAAUUCGUGCUCAUUUUCCUUCAUAGGUUUGUCCCAUACUAGAUUAACCCCUGUUCCCUUAAUUGUCACAUUACCAUAUUUACUGUAUGGCUCUGGCAUUUCAAAAGUUAUAUCAACUUUAUCCCCGCUUUGCAAAUUGAGCUUAUCAUUCGAUAUUUGUCCCUGCCAAAGAUAACAUUUUCCAGAUACAUUGCACAUUUUUAUAACCCAAUCUUCUUUGCCUAUGUAGGUCUGCAACUCAGUACGCUUGGUAUUAUUUAUAUCAAUAUUGGCACGAGGAUGACAUUCUCCACAACUGGCAUAAGGGCUUCUUGACUCAUUAGUAUUUGAGCAGUAAAAGCAUAAUAGAGUCAGUCCUUCCAAAUUACGACCAUCACUCGGGAGGAUAUCAAAACUGACUUUAUUACCAUCGUUGACAAACUCGAACCAAUCAGGAACAUAAUUCCCAUUGAGAAAAAUGCCAUCACUUGGGAGGAUAUCAAAACUGACUUUAUUACCAUCGUUGACAAACUCAAACCAAUCAGGAACAUCAGGAACAUAAUUCCCAUUGAGAAAAAUGCCAUCACUCGGGAGGAUAUCAAAACUGACUUUAUUACCAUCGUUGACAAACUUGAACCAAUCAGGAACAUAUUUCCCUUUGAAAAAAAUAUCCGCAAGAAGUCCAUCCCUACAUAUACAGUGCAAGUGUCAUAUUUAUAUAUAUACACACACACAAUGUACAUGUGCGUUGUGUGUGUGCAUGUGCGCAAUAGGAAGACAAUUAAAGAGAGAUACCUUUAGGACGUUACUCAUAAAACCAGCGGUGAGUUUGGGGCAGUACCUCAUAUUAAAAUGUCGUGGAGUUUAAUGACUUAUCCAAGUCUGGAACCUCAGUGAGUGCGCGUGAAUCACAUACAUGUAGCUCUCUCAUAUUCGACAUUUUCGAAAAAUUGGGCAUUGUUACCAAACGGGAGCAAUCAGACGCAUACAGAAAUUUCAAAUUUGUUGGUAAACCAUAGAUUGUAUGAAGGUUACGGCAGUAAUUUAACUGCAAACGUUCAAGCUUUGAAAAACCAAUGAGGCUGGGUAAGGUAUGAAAAUCAUUACAUGUGAGACACAAAUCUUGCAAAGAAAUUAGACUCCCAAAAUCUUUUGGGAAUGCAUCAUCGCUUAAGCGCUGGAAUGAGAGAUCUAAAUUUCUUAAAGAGUCUAAGCCGUGUAACGAAUUGGGAAAUUGUGUGACAUGCCCCCUUAAAAUGAAAUCAGUGGUAAACCAUGAUUUCCGUAGAAAUAAAUGAGUGAGAUUCUUCAAUCUUACUGUGGAACGCGGUACUUGUCUUAUGGCUGUUUCAGACGCUUUAAGUACUCUCAAUGAUAUCAUCUUCCCUAAAUCCUCGGGCAGUUCAUUGAAUCGCCUACAAAAAUCAAGAACAAGAGUCUGAACGGAUUUGGACUUGUAGAAAUCCCCAGGAAGAGAAAUAAGAUUAUGGCAGCAUGUGAGGUUCACCAAAGAAAGUUUUUUAAGCUGACCAAUGGAGGGGUGAAUCUCGAACAAACUCUCACACCUUCCCAAUAUCAACUCUUCAAGACUUGGGAGAUUUGAUAAGUCUGGUGAUUUUUUUAAGUCACAGCAAUUACUGAGAUUAAGGAUUUUCAAGUUUUCAAGCGACUGUUGCACAAAAUCCAAAAGGUCAUACCCAGUGCACAAGGCUCCCGCUUUACGCAGGGUCUGGGAGAGGUGAAUGUCGGCUAGCCUUACCCCCAUUUAUGGAGAGGCUGCUCCCAAGUCUCGAACCCGAGACCUACCGCUUAUGGGCGAAGGCAUUUGUCAUCGCACCAAGUGCGACCUCUUUGGGGAAAUCCAAGAAAAAUUAAAAUUAAUAUCCAAAAGGAAUAUCUCAUAAAAUAAAUAAAUAAAUAAAUAAAUAAAGAGAGAAGGAAAUCCAAAAACAAAUAGAAACUUAACAUCAUCAUGUGUAAUCGAUUGUACCUUGGAGCCCUCCCAAACUUGUACCAGUUUGCUAUGCUUUAUCUCUAAAAUAACUAGUGUUCUUGGUUGAUCAAAGAAGUCAUCUGGUAUGGACUCUAAAAGGUAUCCUUCCCAACGCAACCAUACUAACUCUUUGGGGAGAUGUUUGUAUUCUCCAUUGAGCUGCACGUUCUGGAGCAUGAGCAGUCUCAGUUUCUUCAUAUUAGCAAAUGCUUCUGUACUGAUACAACUAGACUUUAAAGGGAAUUCUCCACGGAGCUGCACGCGGUGGAUCAGUCCCAGUUCCCUCGAAUUGGUAGGGAAACUUACAACAAGUCCUUCAACUUCUUUAGUUCCCUGUUAACAACACAUUAUACUGGGUAAGAAAAGGAUUAUGUGCAUCUAUUUUACGUGAUUUUGCUAAUUGAGCUUCUUAAUGCAAAUACAUAUAUUUACACAUGAAUUUUUUAAUGUAUAAUAGGCAUACGUGGGUUACAUAUAUGCUUUUCUUGUACGAUGCAUUAAUACAAAUUUUUUUUGGGAAUCUACUUACAGAUUUAUUUGUUAGUACAUCAUAGACAUCUCCAGGGAUCCACAACCUGCUCCAUUCUCCAGGGGGACGAGUGGAUUUUUCAGAAAUGAUUAAUUUGGCCAUUUCUCGAAGCAAAUCAUGCAUAUUCAACUUCUUGUCUUCAACAGUUAUAAGGCAUCGUUCACGGAGGUUACUGAUUCCUAUUGUUGCAAAAAACUUACAUUCAUCUAAUAUUUUUGCGACAUCGUCCUUAUCCCAUCCAAUAAAGAAACAAGAUAUGUCAAGGAAUAUAUCCUUCUGCGUAGGAUCUAGCCUUUCAAAGCUUACUUUUAGCGGUUUCAUUAUUCCUUCAUCAUGAAAUUUUUUCAAUUUCUUCAAUUGACUUUUCCACUCUGCUGGGGUUCUUUCAGUCAUAGAAGAACCUAAAACUUCAAGGGCUAGUGGCAAACCACCACAGUAAGAAACCACCUCUUUUGAGAGUUCAAGAUAUCCUUCAUUAGGCCAACUAUUUCCAAAGGCAUGCCAACUAAAGAGCAUCAGGGCUUCUUCUUCAUUCAUUUCUUGAAGCGGAUAUGUCUUGUCCACUUUCAUGUUCACUUGCUUUAGUAAACGUUCAUCUCGUGUCGUUAUGAUAAUUCUACUUCCUGGGCCAAACCAAUCACGAUUUCCAGCCAUUGCAUUUAGUUGUUCCACUUUGUCUACAUUGUCAACAAUGACAAAUACGCUUCUACGUCGGAGAUGAUUUUUUAUCAGACUGAUACCUCCAUCAACACUGGUUAUCUUAUUAGACUCGGUCUGUUUCAAGAUGUCAGAAACAAGUUUUCUUUGCAAAUCAACCAGAUCAUAUUCGCUAACGUUGGCAAGGAAACUUUUGAACUGGAACUUAUGAUGAAUUUGGUUAUAAAUGGCUUUGGCAGCUGUUGUUUUACCCAAUCCACCCAUCCCCCAAAUUCCAACCAUGCGUACAUCUGAUCCACCAUUUGAAAGAUAAGUGAUGAUAUCUUGAAUGCGGGUAUAUAUUCCAACUGGGUGCUUGGCCACAUGUAAUUUUUCUGCGCUCGGAAGCCAUUCCGGGAUAAUCUUGUCAACAAUUUCUCUAAUAAGCUUUGCUUCGCGCCUGAAAAUUGAAUUCGUAAGCGUUAGUGGGACUCAAUGAACAGUAGGAGCUAUCAGUACAUAGACAAUUGUCUUUACUUCAUAAAAGAAAGAAAUUCAUUCACUAAAAUGUUUCAAAACUUGAAAAGCAGGUGAAUGAUUACCCAUUGUUAGUGAUUUGAAGAUGUUGGCCAAACAAAUUUGCAGCUUCUGUAAGAGCCUUUCUCCAUUGCUUUACCCUUUCUUGUUUAGCUUCACGUUCCUUGUCAUCUUUUUCUUCAUGGAUGCCCUCUUCGUGCUUCUGAAAUGCUUGAGCUAAAUCUCCGUUCUGCUUCCUAAUGUGAAGGAUCAACAUGAUAGAAUAUUGGCAAAACACGUCGCCCCAGUUUGUAUCUGCACUCCAUGAUCUUCACCAGCUCGUCAAGACACCAACUCGAGUCCGCAUAACUCUUUGAGAAGACAAUGAUAGAGAUCCUCGCCUCUUUGAUUGCCCGGACCAGUUCCUCUUUUAUUUCUUCCCCUCUUUCUAGAUCGUCCUCAUCGAUAUAAGCCUGGUAUCCCCUGUCAGUUAAUGCCGCAUGGAGGUGGCCCGUGAAACCAUUGCGUGUGUCUACACCGCUGAAUCUCAAGAACAUGUCGUAAUUCCAAAGUUUUGACUUGGAGGACGAUGAAGAGGAGGCUUCGUGGGUCGUCAUGGCGGUAUCCACCGUUAUGGCACUGCAGUGGUUCAGAUCACGACUGAAAAAUGGCAGUAGUUGUGCUCAUGCUGUCGAACGAAUGAUCCUGAAAUACCUAAAACCCAAGUCAAGCUCCUUCAGUCAACAAGAAUAAAGUUUUAAUAUAAUAAUGUUGGUGUAUGGACUUGAGAAACGACAUAAUGUUGGCCGGAAAGUGCAGAGAAAGAGAGAGGAAAAGAGGAACAAAAGGAGAAAGACUAUCCAAAUGAUUCUUGGCUGUGAUUACAGCUAUUCAUAGGAGAAACAACGUACAUAUUUUCAUAGGAGAAACAACUUGCCCAUCUUCAUAUAUAAUACAUUUCAACAGACAUAUUUUAAUAGGAGAAACUAGGGGUGGGCAAACGGGUCCAGGAACCGCAGGUCGGGGCGGGUAAUGGCGGUUCAGGGCGGGUACAGGCCGGGUCUUAUUUUUUUAAAGAAGAAACGGGGUGGGGGCGGGGAGGUGGUAUUUAUGGGGCGGGUCGAGUUCAAAUUUGUACAAGCAUGGGGCCCCGGGCCGACCCGUUCCUAAAAUGGACUGAUUGGAACCUGGACAAUAUGUUGUGGGCUUACUACACAAGGCAAUGGCCCAUGUGGGCUUACUGCUCGAAUACUCUAGAAACUAUGAUCCGACUCCUAUCUCUCCUGGAUCGAUCCCCAAAUCCCACUACUCUCUCUCCUCGUCGGCAUCACCGAACACAGAACCACCGAUUCACCACCAUCGUCACCCAUCACCGCCGUGGCGACCAUCACCAUCGCAGACGCUAUUAACCGUUAGUUUCACCCUAGGUCUCCCCUAUGUCUAUCACUCAAGUCCUCGAUCGUUUCUCUCCCGCGUGCGUCAUUCCCUCCACGGUUCUUCCACUACACUCUGUCACUCUCCGUCACUCUCCGUCAGUCACCUCCUCCACCACCCCGACAUCAACCCCGUCGCGAGUCUGGGCCCUGGCGACCACCACGACGAGCCAGCAACCUCGAUUGUCUUCCUCGAGUCCUCGAUGGCAUCCCAGAUUUAGAGAACUUUAGGGUUCUCUUUCUCCCUCCCACCCCUCGAAUCGACUGCGUCGACAUCAAAUCAGCCACCACACGAGUCACGAGGCUUCAAAUUCGGCUGGUGACUGCCCAAUCUGGUGCGACUCAACCGAUUCCGAGCGCUCUUGACUCUGUCGACGAAGAAGAAGAAGAGAAGAAAAAAAAAAAUAACCCGUGGACCCGGGCCGGGUUAGGUCAGGUUUCUGUGUUAAAAUUAGUUGUACCCGCCCCUGCCCGACCUGUUUCUUUUAAACCUGGGUCCGGCCGGUCCCUUCAAAAUUGGGCCCGGCCCUGGGCCCGGCCCGGCCCAUGCCCAGCCCUAGGAGAAACAACUUUAGUUUUUACUAGAAAUUUUUACCCACACGUUGCUACAGGAUUUGAAAUUGUAUAAAAGAUUAUCUUUGAAAUAUAUAAUAGAUUGUGUGAUUGAAGAUUAAUACUAUUUACACUGAAAACGUUGGGAAAAGUUUUACAUACAAAAGAUUUUACAAUACAAUCCACAUACAAAAGAUGGUAAAUUUUUUUCUAUCUACAUGCAUUAUGUUAUGGAAUGAUAUAUAUAUAACUAAGUUCCAGAAUACGUAAAUUUCAUAAUUUCGAAUUUUUUUGACAAAUUAAUCAGAUUCAACUGUGGGAUAGAAAGGUCGCCUAUAAAGUUGUGAAGUCGUGGAAGCAUAAAGGACAAAUAACAAAUGAGUUUUGAGAAAUUAUUCCACAAAAGUCAUUUUGCAAAAUGCAAAUGUAUUAAAGACGAUUGGUACAAGAUUAGUAAUCAUAAGUAGUGUAACAACAUCAACAAAAUAACUAUAAACCAUAGUUGAACAUAAUUCAAAUUUCGUUUGCAAAAACAAAAGAAAAAGAAAGAAAACAUACUUACAAUAAUUCAGCCUUUAAUCCUAAAGUCCUACUCAAAGAUCCAAACUUGAAUGCAAGCUUUCUGAAAUCUUCCAAACAAUACAGAUAAAAAGGUAACACCCUAGUCAGAAAUGAACCAAGGUGCGAGCUUUCUUAGAAACUCAGAUGAAAAAAUCAACAAAAUAGAAUGAAAAAAUGACUUACACUUUUAAGGCAUGCUCGAAUCGUGAUCUAAAAUUGGUGGUGGGUCGAUUGUUGGUCACCAACUCUAAAUGAAGAAUUCAUCAGAACCUAGAAAUUUAACAAAGAAUUUUCCAAAAUCAACAUUUACUAAAAACCAGUUACUUGGUUAUCAUGCAUGAUGGCUUGCCAAAGACUAAAUUAAGGAAUGCACAACUUUACCUUUAUGAUAUUUUCAAUGACAGCUAAAAGGUCAGAUUCAAAUGAAAAUAAAAGUUAGGACUUCACAAAACCAAUUAAAAAUCUAAUUCCAAAGUUACAAACACCAACCAAAUGAUUCCAGAUAAAGUUUUAAACUCAAAGUCAGACCCAAAUGAAAUUAAAAGUUAGGACUUCACAAAACCAAUUGAAAAUCUGAUUCCAAAGUUCCAAACACCCACCAAAUGAUUCUGGAUAAAGUUUAAACUCAAAAACCCAACAGAAACAAAAACCCAAAGUUCCAAACACCCACCAAUUGGUGUGACUUAAUUGUAUCUAAUUGAAGAAACUAAAACAAAAAUAAAGCAAAGUAUAUACCUCAAAAUAUCAACCAACUAAGUUCUUCCUCCGACAACCCAAAACUCUGAAAAUUCCACACAAAAAGGGUAAAUCCGUAAGCAAUUCAUAGCUUUCAAAAUUAACAAAAACUUGGGCAACAAUAAAGACACGUUGAGAACCAUCACUCUUUCUCCUUGUGUAUUUGAAAAUAUAUUUUAUAAGCAGUUUAUGUAGUCAUUCUGAUCAUGUUGCAGUUAAAUUCCUUUUCCACAGAGUUCAAAAUUAUAUGGCAGUUUAUGGCAUCUGUUGAACAACAUGGUUGAAAGAUUUAAAAUUGAUACAUUCAAUUUUUAUGUGUAAAACUAUAACAUAUACCUAAAGCUAUUUGGUCUAUAUAUCCAUAUCAAUCAUGUUGUAAUUAAAUGUUUAUCGAUGUAAAUAGAUGAUUUCAGUCAUGUGAUAACAUGUUUCUUGUUAGUAUACGCUGAAGUUUGGUCUAAGUUGGAUAAAAAUCGACCAAAAUCUUAGUAAGAGACUCUUUUAACUUUUAACCAAAAAAUGAGCACCACAAUACUACACUCAUAAGUUUUAUCAUGCACAAAAUAUACAACACUGAUAGCCACUUUUAGAGCAAGAACAAUACUUUACCAGACGAAAACAACAAAACACUCAAAACCCAGAAACAGAAACACACUUAGGACUCAAACUCCUCAAAAACAUAAGAAAGAGAGUGCAUGAGGAGAGAGAAUAAAAAAAAAUAUUAUUUUUCACAAACUCAAAAUUGCUUAUAAAAUUACAAAUCAAAACAAAUGAAUGCAAAUCCAAAAUUGCCCUAAAUUAAAUCUGUUUAGUUAAAUGUUUGUUGCCCUUCAAAUGUCAUUACACCUGACAAUUGCUUUGAAGUUGAUAUUUUGGUCAAUCCAGGGGAAAAGGAGUUAUUUCUUUUGGAGCAGUUGUCAUGGAGAAUCCCAUCUCCAUGUUGAAUGAUCUAAAAAAUUACUUACAUCUUCUGGUGGCCACAAUAAUUUAGGAGGCCCUUCUCUCCAGAUUUUCUCAAUAACUUUGCUUUUCGUAGCUGGUAAGAUUGCAACUCCAAGAAUUGCUCUGAAGAGAUAUAUACAAACAAAAUCAACCUAAAACUAAGCUAUUGGAACAAAUUUGGAAAACACAAACACCACUACAACUCAGAGUUAAAGUCAAUAGAAACCAAAUGGGAGAAGUUGAAAAAAUAUAUGGUCAUGAAUCGAGAACUUCAUCAAACUAACAGCAAUAAAAUCUCAUAUAAUCUGUCUAAAACCAAAAGAGAGAGAGAGGUAAUUUCAAGACCUUGUAACGCUAAGGCCUCGUACAGUUGUAGUAAUAAUAUAUGGUUGAUGCACCUGUUGCUCAAUCAAAUCCUUUGUCUGGCUAAAAAAAUAAAAAUCUAUAAAUACAUUCACGUCCAAUUUAUGAGAAAUCAUGGGAAAGCAAAUGCACUGAUAACGGAAUCAUGAAUAUGAAGAACUUGCCAAAAAGAAAAAGAAAACUUCUUAUAGUGUGCCAAGAACAUCCUCCUACUCCUAGCAAAUUUUUUAUGGCAUUAUCCACUUCUCAAUUCAUAAUUCAACCAGUAACUCAAAGUCUAUAGUGUAUGAAAAAGUGAUAUCUUAGUUGAUCACGAUGAUAAUUAAGCAGAUUAAAUGACGACCCAUAAAGCAUACAAAUUCAGAAAAGAAAAGGUUCAAAACUGCCAUAAGAAAACACAGAAUAUAUAAACGGGAAAUCAAAAGAAGAGAAGCGAAAAGGAAGAAAAAACCAAACAAAAUUAUUAGGUUUGUGAUAUACCUUUAUCCGAAACGCCACAAUCAUCAAAGUCAAACAUAAACAAUCCAAAAAUUUGUGGAAAAUAACAAUAAAUGCUUAACUAAAAACGAAAGAAAACGUAGAAUAAGUUUACAUGUUCUCCCCCUAAUUAAACUGGAAUACAAUUCACCACUAAUAUUCUCGUCAUCCUCUUCAGCCUGAAAAAUUUAGUAGAAAUAUUCAAUGAAGACGCUUAAUGGAGACAGUAAUAUUAGCAAUGGAGGAAUUGAAUUGAUAACUAAAACUGCAAGACCAAAUGACUACAAUAGGUUCACAACAGAAACUCGUCUGUUAGAUGUCUCAUCUUUAGGCAGUGCCUUGUUCUUUUUUUUUCUUUUUUGUCCUUUUGAAUUUCGGCAACAACAACUUUAAUAUCCUUACCUGCAUUUACCAUGAUUGGUCACUCUCAAAACCUUACCUAAGAGACCCAAAAACCAAAAUAACUGCCAAAAGAGCUGAACAUACAUAUCUAGAAAAACUUAUUCAACUACAUGCUAAAAUGGAAGUGUAAAAUUGCCAGGAAAGAUAAGAAACUAUUCAAAUACGAGUUCUGGGCGUUACUGCCACAAAAGGCACGAGCCGAGCGGCUAUCAACAAGAACACACUUCACAUUUGGGUCAGAUUCCCAUUCAUCCAGAUAGCUCUUGUAUUUCACAUCCAAAUCUGCAUUUUCCAACAAUUCCCACUUAAACAGAAACACAAAAUUCUUCCAAAAAGAGCUAACUUCUUCGAAAUUUGAAUCUAACGUUUCGUCUUAUAACAAAUGCAAUAACAUAGACUUGUAAUCAAUACGAUGCCAUAAAGUUCAAGCUCAAAAAUUCAAAUCAUCUCCAAAUCAAAAGCAAUUACAGAUAUACACAUGUAUACAUAUGCGUUUGUGUGUUUAUCUACAUACCUAGGUUUAUGGCGUUGAGAGCUCGGGGGGCGACCGAGGGUGAUGACGGCGACGCCAAAGGUGCGGAGAAGGCGAGGGGAUUUGCUCAGAAUUUGGGUCGCUCGUCCCUCUUAUGAGAGUGACUCAAAAAUCGAAAAAGUUGAAAUUUAUUGAUUGUGAUCUGACUCAAACAUGUGAUGAUGACGAUGCAUCACCACCUUGGUUGUGCCUCUGGAUCAAAAACCCACCAUCACCAUCAAAAUCGUGCUCAUUUUCCUUCAUAGGUUUGUCCCAUACUAGAUUAACCCCUGUUCCCUUAAUUGUCACAUUAUCUAAUGUAACGUAUGGCUCUGGCAUUUCAAAAGUUAUAUCAACUGUAUCCCCGCUUUGCAAAUUGAGCUUAUCGUUCGAUAUUUGUCCCUGCCAAAGAAAACAUUCUUUAUAUACAACAUCGCGCAUGAGGUUUUUUCUUUUUUUGGCGUAACAAUCGCGCAUUUUUAUAACCCAAUCUUCCUUGCUUAUGCAGGUCCGCAACUCAGUACGCUUGGUAUUAUUUAUAUCAAUCCUGGCAAGAGGAUGACUAUCUUUACAUCUGAUAUAAGGGCCGAACUGAGAAGGACUUGAGCAAUAAAAGCAUAACAGAGUCAGCCCUUCAAAAUUACAACCAUCACUCGGGGGGAUAUCAAAAGUGAUUUUAUUACCAUCGUUGACAAACUCGAACCAAUCAGGAACAUAAUUCCCAUUGAGAAAAAUGCCACCAUAUCCGCAAGAAGUCCAUCCCUAUAUACACAGUGCAAGUGUCAUAUAUAUAUACAUGUACAUGUGCGUUGUGUGUGUGCAUGUGCCCAAUAGGAAGACAAUUAAAGAGAGAGAUACCUUUAGGACUUUCCUCAUAAAAUCAGCGGUGAGUUCGGCGCAAUACGUCAUAUCAAUCCAUGUCAUGGAGUUUAAUGACUUAUCCAAGUCUGGAACCUCAGUGAGUGCAUGUGAAUCACGUACAUUUAGCUCUCUUAUAUUCGACAUUUUCGAAAAAUUUGGCAUUGUUAUCAAACGAUAGCAACGAGACGCAUCCAGAAAUUUCAAAUUUGUUGGUAAACCAUAGAUUGUAUGAAGGUUAUGGCAGUAACCUAACCACAAAUUUUCAAGCUUUGAAAGACCACUGAGGCUGGGUAGGGUAUGAAAAUCAUUAGAUGAGAGAUCUAAAUUUCUUAAAAAGUCUAAGCUGAGUAACGAAUCGGGAAAUUGCAAAUGAGUGAGAUUCGUCAAUCCUAGAGAUAAAUGAGUGAGAUUCUUCAAUCUUACUGUGGAACGCGGUACUUGUCUUAUGGCUGUCUCAUAUGCUUUAAGUACUCUCAAUGAUAUCAUAUUCCCUAAAUCCUCGGACAGUUCACUGAAUUGCCCACAAAAAAUCAAGAACAAGAGUCUGAACGGAUUUGGACCUGUAGAAAUCCCCAGGAAGAGAAAUAAGAUUCUUGCAGCCUGUGAGGUUCACCAAAGAAAGUUUUUUAAGAUGACCAAUGGAGGGGUGAAUCUCGGACAAACUCUCACACCAUUCCAAUAUCAACUCUUCAAGACUUGGGAGAUUUGAUAAGUCUGGUGAUUUUUCUAAGUCAGAGCAACCACUGAAAUCAAGGAUUUUCAAGUUUUUAAGCGACUGUUGCACAAAAUCCAAGAAAAAUUAAAAUUAAUAUCCAAAAGGAAUAUCUCAUAAAAUAAAUAAAUAAAGAGAGAAGGAAAUCCAAAAACAAAUAGAAACUUAACAUCAUCAUGUGUAAUCGAUUGUACCUUCGAGCCCUCCCAAACUUGUACCAGUUUGCUAUACUUUAUCUCUAAAAUAACUAGUCUUGGUUGAUCAAAGAAGUCAUCUGGUAUGGACUUUAAAGGGCAUUCAUUCCAACACAACCAUAUUAACUCUUUGGGGAGAUGUUUGUAUUCUCCAUUGAGUUGCACGUUGUAGAGCUGGAGCAGUCUCAGUUUCUUCAUAUUGGCAAAUGCUUCUGUACUGAUACUUGGAGACAGAAGAUCAGGGAAACCUACAACAAGUCCUUCAACUUCUUUAGUUCCCUGUUAACAACACAUUAUACUGGGUAAGAAAAGGAUUAUGUGCAUCUAUUUUACGUGAUUUUGCUAAUUGAGCUUCUUAAUGCGAAUACAUAUAUUUACACAUAAAGGUCGUACCCAGUGCACAAGGCUCCCGCUUUACGCAGGGUCUGGGAGAGGUGAAUGUCGGCUAGCCUUACCCCCAUUUAUGGAGAGGCUGCUCCCAAGUCUCGAACCCGAGACCUACCGCUCAUGGGCGAAGGCACUUGCCAUCGCACCAAGUGCGACCUCUGAAUACAUAUAUUUACACAUAAAUGUUUUUAAUGUAUGACAGCUAUACGUGGGUUACAUAUUUGCUUUUCUUGUACGAUGCAUUAAUACAAAAUUUUAUAGGGAAUGUACUUACAGAUUUAUCUCUCAAUACAUCAGUGACCUCCUGCUGGUUCCACAACCUACUCCAUUCUCCAGGGUGACGAGGGGAUUUUUCAGAAAUGAUUAAUUUGGCCAUUUCUCGAAGCAAAUCAUGUAUAUUCAACUUGUUGUCUUCAACAGUUAUAAGGCAUCAUUCACGAAGGACACUCAUUCCUAUUGUCGCAAAAAAGUCACAUCCAUCUAAUAUUUUUGUGACAUAGUCAUUAUCCCAUCCAAUGAAGAAACAAGAUAUGUCAAGGAAUAUAGCCUUCUGUUUAUCAUCUAGCCCUUCAAAGCUUAUUCUUAGUCGUUGUAUUAUUUCUCCUUCAGGAGUUGUUUUCAAUUUUACCAAUUGAUUUUCCCACUCUGCUAUGGUUCUUCCAAUUAAAAAAGUGCCUAAAACUUCAAGUGCUAGUGGCAAACCUCCACAGUAAGAAACGAUCUUCCUUGAGAGUUCAAGAUAUCCUUCAUUAGGCCAACAAUUUCUAAAGGCAUGCCAACUAAAGAGCUCCAGAGCUUCUUCUUCAUUCAUUUUAUGAAGCGGAUAUAUCUUGUCCACUCCAACUUGGCGUAGUAAAUGUUCAUCUCGUGUCGUUAUGAUAAUUCUACUUCCUAAGCCAAACCAAUCACAAUUUCCAGCUAUUGCAUUUAGUUGUUUCAUUUUGUCUACAUUGUCAAUAAUGACAAGUACGCUUCUACGUUGGAGAUGAUAUUUUAUCAGGCCGAUACCUUCAUCAACACUGGUUAUCUCAGGCUUGGUCUGUUUCAAGAUGUCAGAAACAAGUUUUUUUUGCGAAACAACCAGAUCUUUUUCACUAACGUUGUCAAGGAAACUUUUGAAUUGGAACUCAUGAUGAAUUUUGUUAUAAAUGGCUUUGGCAGCUGUUGUUUUACCCAAUCCACCCAUCCCCCCAAAUUCCAACCAUGCGAACAUCAUCUGAUCCACCACUUGAAAGAUAACUGAUAAUAUCUUGAACGCGAGAAUUGAUUCCAACCAGGUGAUUGGCCACAUGUAAUUUGUUUGCUCUCCGAAGCCAUUCCGGAAUAAUCUUGUCAACAAUUUCUCUAAUACGCUGUGCUUCGCAACUGAAAAUUGAAUUGGCAAGCUUAGUAAGCUCAGUAGGAGCUAUUAGUACACAAACAAUUUUCUUUCCUUCGUGUGUGUGUGUGUGUGUGUGUGUGUGUGUGUGUGUAUACACACUAACUAGCUACUAGCUAGUAUGUGAGUUUGUGAUCAACUUCAAUAAAAGAAACAAAUUCAUUCACUGAUAUAUUAAAGUUUGGUGUAUCAAUUAAACUCAUUAUGGUUUAGAUUUUAGAAGAAAUUGGAGAAAUGGUCCAUGAACUAUGAUCGAAUUGUAGCUUUGGUUCUUAAACUAAAAAUUCAUUAAAUCUCGUCCCUGAACUUAACAAAAUAUGGAACAUUGGUCCCUCCAUGUUAACACCGUAAGAUUUUCUGUUAAUUUGAUAACGUCGUCUUUGUGGGCUCCAUAUUUUUGUUUAUUAGAUGCCACGUUGCUUGAAAAUUCAAAUAAAAGAAAAUAAAUACAAGCAUUGAGAAACAAAGAGAAAAAAAAAUACUUUAAAUUAUAAAAGUUAACUCUCUCCCAUCCUCCCUUCCGCCUCACCUUCUCCAAACCCCAGCCACACCAUUGUAGCACUUUCCCAACAGCCAAAACAAAAGAAAAGUUCCUCAUCCAAAUUUGGAACACACCUCACCUUGCAAACGACUUCACAAUGACAUUCAUCUACGCUGUCUCGAAAGGUAAGAUUCAAGAAAUUUGUGGGAUGCGGGUUCGGGGUUCGGGUGAAGGCUGUGGUCCGUGGGCUAAAGGUUGGGGUCGGCUGGGGAGUGGGGAUUAGGGAUUGGGGGUUGGAAGUGGGAGGUUGACGGGGUGGGAAUCAACGAUUGAAGGUGAAGGGGUGGGCUGCGAGCCUGCGAGUGUUGGUGGGAUGAGGUAGGCCUGCAAUUAUAUAUAUAUAUGUAUGUAUGUAUGUAUGUAUGUAUGUAUGUAUAUAUAUAUGUAUGUAUGUAUAUAUGUAUAUAUAUGUAUGUAUAUAUAAUAUAGGUGAAACUAACAUGUAAAGUUGUAAACACUUUUAACUAAAACUGAAAGGAAUUGGUUACGAAGGACUAACGCUCCAUAUUUUAUCAAGUUCAAGGACAAAAUAUAAUGAAAUUUUAGUUUAGGAACCAAAGCUACAAUUUUCCUCUAGAUUUGAUAUGAGAUUUAAGGCGUAUUAAUUAAGCAUGUUAAUUAGAGUAAUGCAACUUAGAUAUUGAAAAGCACGUGAAUGAUUACCUAUUAUCAGUGAUUUGAAGAUGGUAGCCAGACAAAUUUGCAGCUUCUCUAAGAGCAUUUCUCCACUGCUUUACCCUUUCUUGUUUUUCUUCACGUUUCUUGUCAUCUUUUUCUUUACGAAUGUUCUUUUUGUGUUUCUUAAAUGCUUGGGCUAAAACUCCAUUCUGGUUCCUGACAUGUGAAGGAUCAACGUGAUAGAAUAUUGGCAAAACAUGGCGCUCCAGUUUGUCUCUGCACUCGAUGAUCUUCAUCAGCUCAUUAAGACACCAACUCGAACUCGCAUACCUCUUUGAGAAGACAAUGAUAGAGAUCUUCGAUUCUUCGAUUGCCUGGAACAGUUCUUUUUGUAUUUCUUCCCCUCUUUUUAGAUCGUCCUCAUCAAUAUAAGCCUGGUAUCCCCUGUCCGUUAAUGCCCUGUGGAGGUGGCCCGUGAAACCAUUGCGUGUGUCUACACCGCUGAAGCUCAAGAACACGUCGUAAUUCCAAAGUUUUGACUUGGAGGACGAUGAAGAGGAGGCUUCGUGGGUCGUCAUGGCGGUAUCCACCAUUAUGGCGCUGCAGUGGUUCAGAUCACGACUGAAAAAUGGCAGUAGUUGUGCUCGUGCUGUCGAACGGAUGAUCCUGAAAUACCUAAACCCAAGUCAAGCUCCUUCAGUCAACAAGAACAAAGUUUUAAUAUAAUAAUGUUGGUGUAUGGACUUGAGAAACGACAUAAUGUUGGCCGGAAAGUGCAGAGAAAGAGAGAGGAAAAGACGAAUGAAAGGAGAAAAGACUAUCCAAAUGAUUCUUGGCUGUGAUUACAGCUAUUCAUAGGAGAAACAAUGGACAUAUUUUCAUAGGAGAAACAACCUGCCCACUUCAUUUAUAAUAUAUUUCAACAGAGAUAUUUUAAUAGGAGAAACAACUUUCGUUUGUACUAGAAAUUUUUACCCGCGUGUUGCUACGUGAUUUGAAAUUGUAAGAAAGAUUAUCUUUGAAAUAUAUAAUAGAUUGUGUGAUUGAAGAUUAAUACUAUUUACAUUGAAAACGUUGGAAAAAGUUUUACAUACAAAAGAUUUUACGAUACAAUCCACAUCAAAAGAUGGUAAAUUUUUUUCUAUCUACAUGCAUUAAGUUAUGGAAUGAUAUAUAGAUAUAUAUAUAUAACUGAGUUCCAGAAUACGUAAACUUCAUAACUUGGAAAUUUUUUGACAAAUUAAUCAGAUUCAACUGUGGGAUAGCAAGGUCGCCUAUAAAGUUGUGAAGUCGUGGAAGCAUAAAGGACAAAUAACAAAUGAGUUUUGAGAAAUUAUUCCACAAAUGUCAUUUUGCAAAAUGUAUUAAAGACGAUUGGGUACAAGAUUAGUAAUCAUGAGUAGUGUAACAACAUCAACAAAAUAACUAUAAUCCAUAGUUGUUGAACAUAAUUCAAAUUUCGUUUGCAAAAACAAAAGAAAAAGAAAACAGACUUACAAUAAUUCAGCCUUCAAUCCUGAAGUCCUACUCAAAGAGCCAAACUUGAAUGCAAGCUUUCUGAAAUCUUCCAAACAAUACAGAUAAAAAGGUAACAUCCUAGUCAGAAACGAACCGAGGUGCAAGCUUUCUUAGAAACCCAGAUGACAAAAUCAACAAAAGAGAAUGGAAAAAUGACUUACACUUUUAAGGCAUGCUCAAAUCUUGAUCUAAAAUUUGUGGUGGGUCGAUUGUUGGCCACCAACUCUAAAUGAAGAAUUCAUCAGAAACUAGAAAUUUAAACAAAGAAUUUUCCAAAAUCAACAUUUACUAAAAACCAGUUACUUGGUUAUCAUGCAUGAUGGCUUGCCAAAGACUGAAUUAAGGAAUGCACAACUUUACUUUUUAUGAUUAUUUUCAAUGAUAGCUAAAAGGUCAGAUCCAAAUGAAAAUAAAACUUAGGACUUCACAAAACCAAUUAAAAAUCUAAUUCCAAAGUUACAAACACCCACCAAAUGAUUCCAGAUAAAGUUUUAAACUCAACGUCAGACCCAAAUGAAAUUAAAAGUUAGGACUUCACAAAACCAAUUGAAAAUCUGAUUCCAAAGUUCCAAACACCCACCAAAUGAUUCCGGAUAAAGUUUAAACUCAAAAACCCAACAGAAACAAAAGCAUUGGUGUGAAUUAACUGUAUCUAAUUGAAGAAACUAAAACAAAAGUAAAGCAAAGUACAUACCUCAAAAUGUCAAGCAACUAAGUUCUUCCUCCGACGACCCAAAAUUCUGAAAAUUCCACACAAAAAAAGAGUAAGCCCAUUAGCAAUUCAUAGCUUUCAAAAUUAGCAAAAACUUGGGCAACAAUAAAGACGCGUUGAGAACCAUCACUCUUUCUCCUUAUAUAUUUGAAAAGAUAUUUUAUAAGCAGUUUAUGUAGUCAUUCAGAUCAUGUUGCAUAUAAAUUCCUUUUCUACAGAGUUCAUAAAAGUAUGGCAGUUUAUGGUAUCUGUUGAAUGACAUGGUUGAAAGAUUUCAAAUUGAUAUAUUCAAUUUAUGUGUAAAACUAUAACAUAUAGCUAAAGCUAUUGGGUCUAUAUAUCCAUAUCAAUCAUGUCGUAAUUGAAUGUUUAUCAAUGUAAAUAGAUGAUUUCAGUCAUGUGAUAACAUGUUUCUUGAUAGUAUACGCUGAAGAUUGGUCUAAGUGGGAUAUGAAUCGACCAAAAUCUUAAGAAGAGACUCUUUUAACUUUUAACCAAAAAUGAACACCACAGUACUACACUAAGUUUUAUCAUGCAUAAAAUACACAACACUGAUUGCCACUUUUAGAAAACAACAAAACACUCAAAACCCAGAAACAGAAACACACUUUAGGACUCAAACUCCCCAAAAACAUAUGAGAGAGAUAGAGAGAUAGAGAGAGAGAGAGAGAGAGAGAGAGAGAGAGAGAAUAAAAACAAUAUUAUUUUUCACACAAACUCAAAAUUGCUUAUAAAAUUACAAAUCAAAACAAAUGAAAGCAAAUCCAAAAUUGCCCUAAAUUAAAUCUGAUUAGUUAAAUGUUUGUUGCCCUACAAAUGUCAUUACACCCGACAAAACUUGCUUUGAAGUUGAUAUUUUGGUCAAUCCGGGGGAAAAUGAGCUAUUGCUUUUGGAGCAGUUGUCAUGGAGAUUACCAUCUCCCUGUUGAAUGAUCUAAAAAAGGACUUACAGCUUCUGGUGGCCAUAAUAAUUUAGGAGGUCCUUCGCUCCAGAUUUUCUCAAUAACUUUCCUUUUCGUGGCUGGUAGGAUUGCAACUCCAAGAAUUGCUCUGAAGAGAUAUAUGCAAACAAAAUCAAACUAAAACUAAGCUGUUGGAAGAAAUUUAGAAAACACAAACACCACAACUCAGAGUUAAAGUCAACAGAAACCAAAUGGUAGAAGUUGAAAAAAAUAUAUGGUGAUGAAUCGAGAACUUCAUUAAACUAACAGCAAUAAAAUCUCAUAUAAUCUGUCAAAAACCAAAAAAGAGAGAGGUAAUUUCAAAACCUUGUAACGCUGAGGCGUCGUACAGUUGUAGUAAUAAUAUAUGGUUGAUGCACCUGUUGCUCAAUCAAAUCCUCUGUCUGGCUAAAAAAAUAAAAAUCUAUAAAUACAUUCACGUCCAAUUUAUGAGAAAUCAUGGGAAAGUAAAUGCACUGAUAACGGAAUUAUGAAUAUGAACUUGCCAAAAAGAAAAAGAAAACUUCUUAUAGUGUGCCAAGAACAUCCUCCUACUCCUAGCAAUUUUUAAUGGCAUUGUCCACUUCUCAAUUCAUAAUUCAACCAAUAACUCAAAGUCUAUAGUGUUUGAAAAAGUGAUAUCUUAGUUGAUCACGAUGAUAAUUAAGCAGAUUAAAUGAUGACCCAUAAAGCAUACAAAUUCAGAAAAGAAAAGGUUCAAAACUGUCAUGAGAAAAUACAGAAUAUAUAAACAGGAAAUCAAAAAAAGAGAAGUGAAAAAGGAAGAAACAACCAAACAAAAUUAUUAGGUUUGGGAUAUACCUUUAUCUGAAACGCCACAAUCAUCAAAGUCAAACUUAAACAACAACAACAACAACAACAACAACAAAGCCUUUUCCCACUAAGUGGGAAAGUCAAACUUAAACAAUCCAAAAAUUUGUGGAAAAUACCAAUAAAUGCUCAACUAAAAACGAAAGAAACGUAGAAUAAGUUUACCUGUUCUGCCCCUAAUUAAACUGGAAUACAAUUCACCACUAAUAUUCCUUGGUGUAUGCUUUUCGCAGACGAUAUAGUGUUGAUAGAUGAAACUCAGGAAGGGGUAAAUGCAAAGCUUAACCUUUGGAGAGAAGUGUUGGAAUCUAAAGGUCUUCGCCUAAGCCGAUCAAAGACAGAAUAUAUGGAGUGCAAGUUCAGUGCAAAUGGAGGCCAAAACGAGUUAGGGGUGAGGAUCGGAGAUCAAGAAAUACUAAAGAGCGACCGUUUUCGUUACCUAGGAUCUAUCUUGCAAAAGAACGGAGAAUUAGAUGGAGAUCUCAACCAUAGAAUACAAGCUGGAUGGAUGAAGUGGAAGAGUGCAUCCGGCGUGUUAUGUGACCGCCGUAUGCCACUGAAGCUCAAGGGAAAAUUUUAUAAGGACGGCAAUAAGGCCGGCGAUGCUGUAUGGCACAGAAUGUUGGGCGGUGAAACAUCAAACACGUACACAAAAUGGGUGUAGCGGAGAUGAGGAUGCUUCGUUGGAUGUGUGGGCACACGAGAAAGGAUAAGAUUAGGAAUGAGGAUAUCCGGGGUAAAGUAGGAGUAGCCGAAAUUGAAGGAAAGAUGAGAGAAAAUCGGUUACGGUGGUUUGGACAUGUGCAAAGAAAGGCCUACUGACGCUCCGAUUAGAAGAUGCGACUAUGGGACAGAGGUUCAGGGCCGAAGGGGUAGAGGAAGACCUAGGAAAACUUUGGAAGAGACUCUAAGAAAAGACUUAGAGUACUUGGAUCUAACGAAGGACAUGACACAGGAUCGAGCACAAUGGCGUUCUAAGAUUCAUAUAGCCGAUCCCACUCAGUGACUUGGAUUUUCCAAGUCUCCAACCGAGAAGUUUUCCUCACUCGGAAAAUUAAGGGAACACUACCCCAACCUACAUGCUCCACUCAGAAAGCUUCAACAUACAAGCUUCAACAAAAGAAAAUUCAAAGAACUUAGCGAAGAAGGCUUUGGUGUAUUAACACAAUACGUUGAAAUGAAGGAAAGCUUAUUUAUUGAUAUCCCCGAUAAGCUACAAAUAUGUACAUAUACAUGAGUCAAAAUAAACACACAAGAGGGAGCCUUCACAAAGGUUGCUUAGGAGAAGUCUCAGCAGUCGGUAGAGCCCCAGAAAGAGAAGGCACCGGAGGGGGAUCAUUUGGAGCCUCAGUACUGGACAGAACCCUAGAAGGAGGAGGCAUCAGAGGUUGAUCAUUUGGAGCUUCAUUACGCGGUACAGCCCCAGAAGACGAAGGCAAUAAAUGCCUUUGGAACAAACCCACAAAUCUCUGAUGAUCAAGUAAAACCUGACCAUCAGUUUCCUUCAUCUGGUCAAGCUUCCUCUUCAUGUUUGUAGCAUAGUCAUGUGCGAGCCGGUGCAACUGUUUAUUCUCAUGCUUGAGCCCUCUAAUCUCCUGUUUGAGACUCAUCACUUCAGCCGCCAAUGAUUCAACUUGGCGGGUUCGAGCAAAUAGGCGUUGGGCCAUAUUAGACACAGAACCUGCACACUGAACACUGAGAGCCAGCGAAUCCUUAACAGCUAACUCAUCAGACCGUUUGGAAAGUAGUCUGUUAUCUUUGGGAGUGAGAAGGUUCCUGGCCACCACCGCAGCGGUCAUAUCAUUCUUCAUCACGGAAUCCCCAACGGUAAGAGGACCAGUAGGGGAGACGAAGGAUGGGCGCCAUAUGUUGUCUGGAGAAGGCGGGGCUGCCUCUUCAACAAGGUUCAAGUCAAAACGACGGUCGGAGGGGCCAGACAUUUUCAAAGGUGUUGAAGAGAGAAGAGGUCGGACAAAUCAAGAUCUUAGAAGUGCAAGAAUGAAGCUUCUACUGGUGGAGAUUCAAGUGUGCUUUGGAACUUAAUGCCAGCCCCUAUAAAAAUCUGCACUCGACGGAGCUUCAGAAAAUCGAAGAGGCGCCUGCUCAGAAAUCGAAGAGGCGUUUGCUUUCUCAAAAGCUGGGCUGCUUAGAGAUCACGAGGGUUGAUCUCAGAAAUCGAAGAGGCGUUUGCUUUCUCAAAAGUUGGGCUGCUCAAAGACCACGAAGGCCGAUCUCAGAAAAUCGAAGAGGCGCUCGCUUUCUCAAAAGCUGGGCUCCCCAGAGACCACGAGGGCCGAUCUCAGAAAUCGAAGAGGCACCUACUUUUCCAGCCUUGUCAGCACCUGUCACACGCACACUCAGCUUUGCGGAAAUUAUGGGCAUUCUGUCGAAGACUUCUGGGGAAGUAGAAAACACAUGAAUCUUACUGUUCAAUCACCCACUUCCCACACGCAACAAUAGCUCAUGGGUACCACAGAUAACUUUGCCAAAGUUCUCUGCCAAAGUUGAGCACGUGAAGCUUGCAGCUCCCACUACAUCGCUCUGACCAAGAAGGGUAAAAGAAUAGCAAAGAAACAGCACUAACAAAGUUUAGACCCAUAAAUUUUGAAGGUCUAGCUACCAUAUUAUUACCCACAAGGGUAAAGGAACAGUACCACUGCUGGAUAAUUGGAAAGUCCCUGUGUGUCAACCUCUGUGCUUCGUGGCAAGGUAGACUAGCAAACAUGCCCAACCUUUACUCACAUUCGAGAAAACACUCCCAAUAAGAUUGCUUGCUCCAAAAUCGAAGAGGCACCGUCCUCCGAAUCUCGAGAGCCAGACUCCCAACAUGACUACUUUCUUAAAAAUCGAAGAGAGGGUAAAGGAACAGUACCAUUGCUGGAUAAUUGGAAAGUCCCUGUGUGUCAACCUCUGUGCUUCGUGGCAAGGUAGACUAGCAAACAUGCCCAACCUUUACUCACAUUCGAGAAAACACUCCCAACAAGAUUGCUUGCUCCAAAAUCGAAGAGGCACCCGCCCUCCGAAUCUCGAGAGCCAGACUCCCAACAUGAUUACUUUCUCAAAAAUCGAAGAGACACUGCUCCCCGAAUCUUCGAGAGCCAGACCCCCAGCAUGAUUGCUUUCUCAAAAAUCGAUGAGGCAUCGUUCUCCGAAUCAAUCGAAGAGGCGCUCGCUUUCUCAAAAGCUGGGCUGCUCAGAGACCACGAGGGCCGAUCUCAGAAAUCGAAGAGGCACCUACUUUUCUAGCCUUGUCAGCACCUGUCACACGCACACUCAGCUUUGCAGAAAUUAUGGGCAUUCUGUCGAAGACUUCUGGUGAAGUAGAAAGCACAUGAAUCUUACUGUUCAAUCACCCACUUCCCACACGCAACAAUAGCUCAUGGGUACCACAGAUAACUUUGCCAAAGUUCUCUGCCAAAGUUGAGCACGUGAAGCUUGCAGCUCCCACUACAUCGCUCUGACCAAGAAAGGUAAAAGAAUAGCAAAGAAACAGCACUAACAAAGUUUAGACACAUAAAUUUUUGAAGGUCUAGCUACCAUAUUAUUACCCACAAGGGUAAAGGAACAGUACCACUGCUGGAUAAUUGGAAAGUCCCUGUGUGUCAACCUCUGUGCUUCGUGGCAAGGUAGACUAGCAAACAUGCCCAACCUUUACUCACAUUCGAGAAAACACUCCCAACAAGAUUGCUUGCUCCAAAAUCGAAGAGGCACCGUCCUCCGAAUCUCGAGAGCCAGACUCCCAACAUGACUACUUUCUCAAAAUCGAAGAGAGGGUAAAGGAACAGUACCAUUGCUGGAUAAUUGGAAAGUCCCUGUGUGUCAACCUUUGUGCUUCGUGGCAAGGUAGACUAGCAAACAUGCCCAACCUUUACUCACAUUCGAGACAACACUCCCAACAAGAUUGCUUGCUCCAAAAUCGAAGAGGCACCCGCCCUCCGAAUCUCGAGAGCCAGACUCCCAACAUGAUUACUUUCCUCAAAAAUCGAAGAGACACUGCUCUCCGAAUCUCGAGAGCCAGACCCCCAGCAUGAUUGCUUUCUCAAAAAUCGAAGAGGCAUCGUUCUCCGAAUCUCGAGAGCCAGAUACCACAGACCACUUUUUCAAAGUGCUCUGACAGAGUUAAAACAUGUGAAACUGGCAGCUCCCACUACCGUGCUAUGACCAAGCAGGGUAAAGGAAUAGCAUUACUACUUGUUGUUAGGGAGACUCCUAUAUAUGUCGACCUCCAUCCCCAACGGACAGGCAGACCUGCAAAAAUGCUCAACCCUUCAUCAUAUCUGAGAGGGCACUCCCAACGAAGCCUUUCGAAAUAUUCAGCUUUCUUUCCCCCCGAUAAUACCUCUGCAAACAAGCUAUACUACUAGAGCAAGAAUAUCUCAUAUCAUCAGGGUUAAAAGCAAGAGUAUCCCAUAUCAUGCUUUUUCCCUGUCUUUUCCUUUGGCCUUGUUUUUUACCUGCAAGACAAGGAGAAAGAGAGAGCAAUCAGUCAGCACUUGGAAUCAAGCUUCCAGCCAGGAACUGACUGCCUGGAACCCCUUACCUGAUUACUUACCUGGCAUUGCUCUCGAGUACUCAUCUUCAACAUCUUAUGUUUCCAGGGAAGAUUCCGCAUCUGCUUGAGGAACAGAUAGGGCAAGUGCGAAGGAUACAAGGAAGCAUGUGGAGACAAGCGUAACAGCACACGUGCCGAUACAUCCAUUACUCUGUCAAAAGCAAAAGUAUCCCAUAUCAGCAGGGUGGAACGUACUCUAGAUUUGAUGGACUUGUUUUGACCCUCAAAUUCUUCAGUCGGCCUUAUACUCUGGAGGAAACCAGAAAACCCUCCAGCUCAGUUCAAGAAUAAGCCUGUGGAAAGUUACUUCUUCAAAAGCAAAAGUAUCUCUCAUAUCAUCUCUUCUCAUUUUUUCUUCUCUUUAUCCUUCAUGCUGCUGCAAGAUGGGGAGAAGGUGAACAAUCAGUCGGAGCUCUGAUUGCUUACCUUGUCUGUCACCUCUUUCAGCAGACCCCCUAGCUCGGCGACUUGGGGGACUCCUACUACAUGGUUUGUAUCGCGCUUGACCAAGCCUGAAACUACAAGUAAGCUUCAAGUGAAAUUGAUACAUUACCUUGUGCAUCUCCACCAGUUAAAGAUACCACCCCUGGAUGGAGGAAGAGUACUUCCAGAGAAGAUGCCACAUCUACCUAUGAGACAGAUAAGGCAAGUCAAGACGACACCACACUCCGAUACUUAGAAGUUUCGUGAUUACGAGAUCAUUCUCCCACAAUAUUUCCUAAUGUCAUUUGUACUAAAUCAUUCACUUGUACUCACUAAAGGAGAGCUUGAACCUAUGUACUUGUGUAAACCCUUCACAAUUAAUGAGAACUCUUCUAUUCCGUGGACGUAGCCAAUCUGGGUGAACCACGUACAUCUUGUGUUUGCUUUCCUAUCUCUAUCCAUUUAUAUACUUAUCCACACUAAUGACCGGAGCAAUCUAGCGAAGAUCACAAAAAAGCGACCGUUUUCGCUACCUAGGAUCUAUCUUGCAAGAGAACGGAGAAUUAGAUGGAGAUCUCAACCAUAGAAUACGAGCUGGAUGGAUGAAGUGUAAGAAUGCAUCCGGCGUGUUGUGUGACCGUCGUAGGCCACUGAAGCUCAAGGGAAAAUUUUAUAGGACGGCAAUAAGGCCAGCGAUGUUGUAUGGCACAGAAGAAUGUUGGGUGGUGAAGCAUCAACACGUACACAAAAUGGGUGUAGCGGAGAUGAGGAUGCUUCGUGGGAUGUGUGGGCACACGAGAAAGGAUAAGAUUGGGAAUGAGGAUAUCCGAGGUAAAGUAGGAGUAGCCGAAAUUGUAGGAAAGAUGAGAGAAAAUCGGCUCCGGUGAUUUGGACAUGUGCAAAGAAGGCUGAAUGACGCUCCGGUUCGAAGAUGUGACUACGGGACAGAGGUUCAGGGUUGAAGGGGUAGAGGAAGACCUAGGAAAACUUUGGAAGAGACUAUAAGAAAAGACUUAGAGUACUUGGAUCUAACGGAGGACAUGACACAAAACCGAGCGCAAUGGCGUUCUAGGAUUCAUAUAGCCGACCCCACUUAGUGGGAAAAGGCUUUGUUGUUGUUGUUGUUGUAUUCAAUGAAGAUGCUUAAAGGAGACAGUAAUAUUAGCAAUGAAGGAAUUUAAUUGAUAACUAAAACUGCAAAACAAAAUGACUACAAUAGGUUCAAAACAGAAACUCGUCCGAUAGAUAUCUCAUCUUUAGGCAAUGCCUUGUUCCCUUUUUUUUUUUUUUUUUUUUUUUUUUUUUUUGUUGCAUGUCUUGUGAACUUCAUGUAAAUCAACAAAAUUGAUACCUUAACCAACAAUGGAGAGGUAAAAAGUUAAAAACAGAAGGAAUGUCUUCAGUUUUGUAAUGGAUUUUGCAAGUCAAAUUCUGUUCGAGAAUUUGCAACCCAGAAAGUCCCAGCAAUUAUUAACAAUCACAGAUAAGCACCGAAUGAAGGCCAAUCUAAUAAGCCAAAAUAUGUAGGGCACUAAAGAAAUUAUUGCCCAGUAACAAUGAUAGAUAAGCACAUGUGAAACUAAAGAAAAUUUUCAUUACUAUCAACUCCAAAAAAAAUUACCUAUGCAAUCCAAAAAAUGUUGAUACAGAGUUGGAGUAUCGAUGCCUGAAAUUGGUAUUUGAACCACCAACUACCUCCGUGAAUAUGCUUGUCACUUAAUGGUUUGGGUUGAAGUUGUGAAAGGAAAUGUAAUUUCUUAAAAGGAAGGAGAGAAUGCAGAGAAGAAUACAGAAUGGUUCACGUGGCCACCGCAAAACAGGUUAAUAAUCAAGCUUCACUAUGAAUGGAAAGAUUAAUAGAUGAUAAUUAAGAAGGCCUGAUACCCAAGCCGAAAUCAGAGAUAUCCUUUGUAAACAAAGAGAUUGAACAUUUCCUCUCAAAAAAUAACUUUUUUUUUUGUUUUGGGGGGGAGGUUGGGAAGGCUCAGAAAAAGACAUCCAAUAUAAUACUUAUUGCAUGCAAGGUAUGAAACAGCCUCCCCCCGAGUAAAAUCACAGAAAUAAAAGAAAUCGAAUCAAGAAAAAAGAUAAUUACACAAGAAUUACACCUUCACUAAGAAAAUAAAUUAUAAAAACGAAGACUCUGAGAAUAAUUGCCUGUGAUUUGCUGCCAAAAACAAAAAUAAUGUCGUAUACAUUAAGCCUGCCGAUUACUAAAAACAAAACAUUUUUCCAUGAGAAGAAGUAAGAACAUACCGAAACUUGUUUGCUAAUAGAUGAGAAAAAUUUAUAACUGAAACAUAUAGGAAAUUUAUUAGGAAAAGAUAAACAAAACACCUAAAUUAAGCAAUUAAAUGGAGUAUUACUUGAUAGAGCUGGAAAAUUACCCAGUUCCUCAGAGAGAGGAUCAAGAGUGAAUGAUGAGAGUGCAGAGAAACGAAUGAUUGAGAAAUUCAAGCUCUGAGCUCACAGUUGGGGCUUCCACUUUCCAACUGGGGAAGAAAUAACAGAGAAAACACAAGGCCAAUCCACCAAAAAUAUUAAUCAAAUGGGUUUCUUCUAAUUCAAAAUUUUGACCACCCAAAUUCCGAUGAAGCAAUAAUUGUUCAAAAUUCCAACAGAUUGAAGGAAAAAGUAAUAAAUUUUUUUAAAACAGUAAUAAUGAAGGAAAAAGAAAUUAAAGCUGCGAGCCAUUCUCUAAAUCUCAGGCACCAAUCCAAAUCACCAGUAAUUUGCACAUAAUGAUAAGAAUCUAGCAAUACUUCCAUUGUUUAAAACCCAAAUUCCAGAAAUCAUGAAAAAUGGAAACUUUAUAUGGAAAUUGAAGCUUUACCUGCAGAUCAGCAGCAGCAAACGAAAUUCAAGAAGUCACGAUUAUCGACGCGUGGGUAGCAUUCCACUGUGCCAAGGACGAAAAUGAACGGGGAAUGUAGAGCUGGCUGACGAAGACAGGAUUCGCGAAGCGCUCUGAUUUUUUUUUUCACGAGAAUGCGGAAUGAAGAGAAGCGAGUAGAGGAGGAAUCAUUUUAAGCGAUGAUCGACGCGUGGAAAUUGAGGGCAAAUCUGCCAUUUUGCUGUGAACGAAAGUGAAAAAAGGCACAAUCAAAGAGUAAUUUGAGGGCAUUCUAGCCACUUUAAUAAACAGUAGCUUUGUGUUUGAGAUUUAAUAUAGGUAUAUAUAGAGCCCUACAGAGCAACUCCACCCAUGGAGCCCUCCUCUCUGACAAUCUACUAUUGAAUUCACCUUUUUGAACAGUAACUGCCUUUAAUAAAUAGUAACUACCAUUAAUGAACAAUAAUUGUCAUUUGCAUCUCCACCCUUGGAGCCCUCCCCCCUGGCAAUAGGCAAUAAAAUAUUAAUUUUUUUUGUUUGUUUAAAUAAUACAAAAUAAAAUUAUUUGUAAUUUUGGAUAAGAUUUUUUAAAUCGUUCUCGUUGCGCCACGUGUCAUUUUAUAAAAAAAACAAUUAUUUAGCGAUGGAUUUCGAUAAGAUUUUUAUCCAAUGUCAUCGUGUCACAUGUCGUUAUCUUUUGAUAAUCUUUGACGAUAUCUUUCGAUCAGAUUUUAACUCGUUCAAAAUUGCGUCACGUGUCAUUAUUCGAAAAGAUAAUUAUUGGAGAUCGAUUUCGAUAAGAUUUUUAUCCAAUACGAUCUUGUCACGUUUCAUUAUCUUUCAUAAUAUUUGAGGAUAGAUUUCGAUCAGAUUUUUAACGAAUGACGGCAUGCCACGUGGCCUUAUCUACAAUCCAAUCCUUUCUGAAUCAUCCAUAUAAUCCACCAUCCAUCCUCACAAAUCUCACACCAAAUUUCUCAACAUUUCUAUCUCAUUAUUCAUAGUUUCUGCUUCUUCUUCACCAUCCAUCAUUACAAUGUCUUCUUCUUCAUCAAGGAUGAUGUGGGAAAUCGAUCAGCAAGAGGAAGAAUUGUUUAACCAAUCUGAAGGAAUGUUCAACCUUCAGAUAGCCGAAAAUGAGAUGGAUGAGGAUGAGGAGCGUAGAAGGAGAGACGACGAAACAAGAAUGGCCAGAGCCUCACAUUCCCGUUGAGUCAUCCAGACUGUUGCUCAGAUAUGCAUGCCCAACCGUUCAAGAAACCUUGGUAGAAGCAGGCAACGAUGGGGUGAAGAGCUAUUGGACGAUUACUUUGUCCAUAACAGUGCAUUUCCUGAUACGUACUUCAGACGUCGUUUUAGAAUGGAACGACAUUUGUUCAACAGAAUCAUGACUGAUGUUUACAACCAUGAUUCUUACUUUGUGCAAAAGAAUGAUGCUUGUGGUGUUAUGGGUUUCCUGCCUGAGCAAAAAAUCACUGUUGCGUUGCGGAUGCUUGCGUAUGGAGCAUCUGUAGACCAAGUGGAUGAGAUAACGAGGAUGGGGAAAUCAACCAUUCUUGAGGCCCUUAUGAGGUUUUGCGGAGCAGUCGAAUCUUUGUACACCGCAUAGUACCUCCGAAAACCUACUUGUAGGGACUUGCAAAGGCUUCUGAAGAAGGGCGAGAUGCGAGGUUUUCCUGGGAUGAUAGGAAGCAUCAAUUGUAUGCACUGGACGUGGAAAAAUUGUCCAAGUGCAUGGCAAGGCGCAUAUGGGGACAUAAAAGGAUCAAAAACUAUCAUUUUGGAGGCAGUGGCAUCUUUUGAUACAUGGAUAUGGCACGCCUUUUUCGGGGUUCCGGGGGCUCAAAAUGAUCUCAACGUCCUUGCCCAAUCCCCAGCGUUCAACGACAUCCUGCAAGGAAAGGCACCAAAAGUCACGUACAUCGUCAACGGACGUAGGUACGACGGGCCAUACUAUCUAGCUGACGGCAUUUACCCACGGUGGGAAACAUUUGUCAAAACAGUGCCACGUCCGCGAAGUGCAAAGGAAAAACACUUUGCAAGCUGUCAAAAGGGGUGCAGGAAGGAUGUGGAGCGUUGUUUUGGUAUCCUUCAAGCUCGUUGGGCGAUCGUCAGGGGUGCUGCCAGAAUGUUCGAUGUAGAGUCACUUUGAUCCAUCAUGAUGACAUGCGUCAUUCUUCACAAUAUGAUUGUGGAAGAUGAGUUCGAUUAUGAUGCGGUUGAUGAAUAUGAGCCAGAGCCAGACACGAUGAACAAUUCAAGAACACGGAUAUAUUGUGCGCAUGAUGCCACCAAAGAACCCGUGCAACAUGAGCCAUUAGAAAGGGAUGAACGUUACAAUGAAAUGGUCAUUCAACGAUAUACUGCACUUCAAAUGUCAUCUAUGCACAAUGAUCGGCAAAUUGACUUGAUAGAGCACCAGUGGACAUUAAAACAAGCUGAAGAUACUUAAGUUUAUUUAGUAUGUUUGUUUGUAUUUGGUAUGUUUAUGUAAUUUUAUUUGGUGUGUUUUUUGUAGUGAGUUUUUUAUUAUUUCGUAUGUUUAUGUAAUUUUAUUUGGUGUGUUUAUGUAAUUCCAAUUGGUAAGAAAAUAUGAAAUUGUGGUGUAAGGUAGAUGGAGAAGAAGUGGUAUUUAUAGAAAAGUAAAAACAAUUUUUUACAAAUUUUUUUUUUUAGAUUUUUUACAAUUUUUUCGGAUUUUUUCCAUUUUUUUUAAUUUUUUUUUCAAAUAAUUAAUCUCUGCCGUUGGAUUUAAAAAAAAUUGAAUUCCAACACUCCAGAUUGUGCCACGUGUCACAACGGUAAUUUUUCUUAAUUUUAAAACUAUUUUUUCUUUAUUUAUAAAGCAUAUUAAUAUCGACCGUUGAUCUGAAAUCGAACGGUUGAUAUUAAAUAAGAUUUGUUUUAUUUUUUUUACCGUUGAGAUCCAACAGUCCAAAUGAAAGAGCCGUUGAGAUCGAACGGACCGUGGGAAACCACGUGGCUUCCCAAUGGUAACUGAGACAACUGCAAAAGUGGGCUGCUUUUCUGAAAAGCUGUCAGGCGACGCGCCCCCACGCGCGAGUGGGGUGCACGCGCCUGACAAAAAAAAAAAAAAUGGGUGAAGAGCUCGGGCUCACGGCUGUCACAAAUUGACAGGCCUUCUGCUCGGGCCUUCUCCACGAGCUCGGGCUCUUCAAGACUGGAGCUGAUUGACUAGCCCUCGGGCCUUUCUUUUCCCCUGUCCCCCGGCCUACAUGCAUGGGUGGAGUUGCUCUAAGAGAAGGGAUUUCCAUUCUUGUUUUUUUAAAUGUGGACACCUUUUUUACUGUUAGAUUUGACUUUAACGAAAUUUUGUGGUUGAGAUUAAAUCACAAACCACAGAAUCUCAACCAUAGAAUUUCAUUAAAGCUAUAUUUAACGAUCAAUAGGGUGUUCCCAUUUUUUUUGAAAAAUAGGAAUCCCUUCCCUUAAGGCUUUCAGUAUAUUAUAUACACUAAAACUCAAUUGAUGAACACUGUUCAUUAACAGUGAUUUUACGUUUUAGCCCCUGUUUUGCUGUUUGUUUGCCCUUUUAUUUUUCGAUCUUAACAGUAAAAUGACAGUUUUGCCCGUUCUUUCCACGCGUCAGUCAUCGUUGAGCUCUUCACUUCAAGAGUCUUCUUUUAGGUUUAGCCUUUUCUUUGCACUGGUGAUUCUCUGAUUUCGUCUCUUCGUCUCGCCCUCUGUUUUUUCUCAAAUCCUCCAUUCCUCUCAAAUAUUCCGUUCUUUAUUUCACAAAAUAUUCAGGAGAAAGUUCCUGAUUUUCGUGUUUUAAGGGAUAUAAUGAUUUGGUGUUGUUUAUCUCAAACAGCGGGCUUGCAGGUAAAAUGUUAAGCUUUAUGUCCAAAGCAAUCUUUCUCUGCAUGCUGACUGUGUGUUGAUUUGAAGGGGUGGUUUAGUGAAUGGGUGCUUCUUAUUUUUGGCCUUUCUCUAUUAUCAUAUAUGUUUCUCUAUUCUCAGGUAUCAGAUCAUUCGAAACAAAAACAUUUUAACGUUAUUUUUGCAGGUUAAUGUUGGGUUUGAGUCCAACACGAUAUACACUUGAACAGAGUAGAGUAGAAGACAGUAUGCAAACAUGAUUUAGGACACAGUUUACCUAAUUGUAAACACUCUGUGAAAUAUUAUUAGUUAUGAACAUCCAAUUUGAAUCCCCCACAUGCUAAAUUAGGUACCAUUAAAUUAGUUUUAUGUCUUUUUUUUAUUUGAAAGCUGCUUCUUAUUUCUGUCUCUAUUAAGAUUCUGGGGUGUGCUUUGGAUUUGCUACAUAUGGUCAUAUUUUUUGUCAUUGGCUUUUUGUUCUGCUUAGUUUUUUUUAAUCGAGUGUUUUAUCUGGUAUUUCAUUUUGUUUUGUUUAUUUGUUUCCUUUUUAUGUUUAAAUGUUUUUUGUUCUUUCUAAAUUUGGGCUUCUGGGAAAUUCUUGCUCACUGUUUGGAUUCCGAGAAAAUUUAGGGGAUGUCCAGUAAUAUUCACAUCCUGAAAACUCAGUGAAAAUAGAUACCAAUUUAUGUGCAGCUGAAAAUUUUGUUAUCUGAUUCUGUUCUAAAUAACAUGAUUUAUUUGUUUUUUAAACUUUUAAUUAUUUCGUAUUUAUUUUGUGAUUGCAGAUGUUUAAAUGAUGGAGAGUUUCGCAAAGCUGUUACUCGGAGGAGACAUGUCUAGAUGAGGGAAAGGUGUCUCCACUGCCCUUGCUAUCUCAAAUGCCAUCACCAAUCUCUCUGGUUAGUCACAUUCCUCUUGGAAUAUGCAUAUUCUUAUGUGAUGUUGGCUGAUACCUUGGUGAGUCAACUUAAUAAAAAAUGUGAGAUGGACAAAUUGAAAAGUCUAUUUUCUUCUCAUAUGCAUCCUUUAACAUAUGUCAGUUUUAAUUAUUGAUGAGCAAUUGAAAAUUUAGUUUUUCUUCUCAUGGUACACUUACAUUGGUAGUUCAACAUAUGUUUGUUUAACAUAUCUUAUUAAAUGCAUUUGAGAAUCGAUUGAAGAAACUCAGUUCUUUUAGCAAUUAAGAACAAGGUAAACAUAGUUGUAAAUAUGUGUAAAUAAGAUAGGAAUUUUGAUGAAUUUAUGUUUUUUCCUCCGUUUUUCAGUGUUUUCAGGCAUUGAAGCUAAAUAUGGAGAGGGUUUUGAGACUUUUAGACCUAUUGGACCUCUCAAGGUUUGCGUGGUAAGGAGUUUAUGGAGUUAUACGCAUAGUAGGCAUUAUAUUUUAUGUUCUGUUGAAUUUAAUUUAAUGGUUAUAUUUUAUGCUCCUAUGAGUUAUUACUGUUAUGUUUACUCUGAGUAGGAUUUGUUGAACGACAAACUGCAAGGAGGUUUUCUUAAACGAAUAUGAUAUGCUAUGAAACCGAAUGAAGCUUACUGUCUUCUAUUCUCUUUUGUUAAUUUCGUGGUAAGUUUCUAUAACACUGAUUAGUUAUGUCUUCGAGGUUCUAAUGGCUAGAUAUGCUAAUGUAAUGAACUAUGGAAUAUUGUAAUAGUUUAUGGUCAAUGUGAUCCCAUAUCUGUUUGAUUGAAAUAUUGUUCUAUAACAGGUUUAAACUUUGUUUUUCCAAUACCUUAUCACAAAAUAAUUCCACCUUGGACAAAUUACAAGGUAUGCUGCAACAUGUGCUUUGAUUAAUUGCAUUCAAAUUGAUACUGCUUAAGAAUGCAUUUGAACAUGUUGAAUUUCACGCCCGCAGCAUCGCGCGGGCAAUAUUGCUAGUAUAAUAUAUAAUUGGGUGAUAAAGAGAGUAGGUGAAAGAACACAAUUUGCUCUUAAAAAUGUUGUUUUUAAGAACGAGUGAUUUUUCUUUUCUGACUCUUUCUGUCUAACCCAAAAGCAUACUGGUAAUAGGGUCCAGUAAGAAAAUUAUUUUUAGAAAUUAAACAUGAAAAAAUACAAAAUUUACAAUUUCGAAUUAUACAAAAAAGACAAAAAAAGCGCAAAAUAAAAAGAGCAGGACAGAAAAACAGAAACAAAAGAAAGGAGACACUAAGAAUACAAAUAGCGUGAUUUGAGCCCUCAAUUUUGGCAGGCAACAUGAUUGUUAACGCAUGAUUGUGAACCCAUCCAUUGAAGAAAGAAGCAUCAUAAUACACAAGAGUCAAGACUGGGCUUGGUUUAUAUAAUGAAUAAUGUUAGGGAGAUCAAAUUUUUUAAACUAAAUUUGUAAAUUAAAUGAUGUAGUUAUAGAUGAUUGGGUUAUUACUAAGUGUCGAUUAAUAUGUUUAUUUCUUAUUGGUGACAUAUCAUUUGGUUUAAAAAUUUGGUCUCCCUAGCAUUAUCCUUAUAUAAUUAAUCAAUAAUAUUCCAUAACAAGAGCUAGGUCCAUAUAUUACGAGGUUAUAAAAUAUGCUAGGUGCUAGUCGAGAGGCGGGCGGGGCCUAAGCAGAUUUAAGUAAAUUUAUUAUAUAUUGUAUAAAUAAAUGCCUUUUUAUACUUAAAAUGACACACAAUUGUAUCGAAAUAUAUAAAUUGCAAAAUAAAAUGACAUAUAGAUUAUAAAUUACUAGAACAUAAUGAACAAUCAUAUAAUGAGGGUUUAUCCAAAUAUUUAUUGGAAAACAAAAAACAAAAUGAGUGUUAUCGAUUUUCUGUCUAAAUGAAAGUUGCGGGCUAGGCAGGUUUAAGUGGGUUAGGCGGACGCCUAAGCAAGUCUAGAGCACUUUCUUAAUUUUUAAAUGAUUAGGGACUAAUUAGGGUGGUGGACAACUGCCUAGCGCUAGACAUGGGUUUUUAGAACAGUAAUUACUUGUUCUCAUAGAUCUCUGGGUUCAAGAAAAUUAUGAUCACCUAUUGUUCGAUCUUAAUACCGUCGGUAAGCGGUUAUUUAACCAUUUUUUAUAUUGAGUAAUUUUCCUGGAUCCUGAAAUCUAGAAGAACAAAACUCUUAUGUCACAUGGAUAAACAUAAUCAGGCAUAAGAAAAAGGUUGAAGAAUUCAUAAGUCAUAUAGGGGGCGUUUGUUUGCCCUCACUAAGUAUCACUGGACUAACUAUUAGUCCAGUCCCGUGUUUCUUCUGUAGAGGGAUUAUGUUUCAUGAGACUAAAGGGGAGUCACACGGACAAACUCCUUCACUAGGAGUUCUUAGCGAGAUCCCCCAAUGCCCAUGGGAUUGCUAAGACCUCGUAUACUCCAUCUUUGUAUGCUAUGUCUCAUCCUCUCUAUGCUCUCUAUUAUCUUGAGCACCAUCACACCACAACUCACCAACUCCAGUGAGAUCACACCACCAACCCACCACCACUUUCUCCCUCUCUCUUCACAUGAACCCAAAAUUUCGAACUGAGGAAGAUCCCGUUCUUACAGUAAUUCGUCCAGCUCUAGCUGUCUGCUUCGCUUCGCUGCACUUCAAACUCGACCUUGGACUCGUCUGAUUCGCUUUGAACUCGACCUCGUAUUUGUCGACUUUACGCAAUUGACGAGAUCUUGUGAACUUGAUGAUGGGUGAGCCACCCAGUGCACUUGAAGGAAUAUGGGAGGCCAAGAACGCCAAAGCCUACGACGGCAAUGAAGACGUUGGCUGGAUUGGGAUGACAGCGACGUGUUCCACAUCAAGGGCAGCGGCUUGGGAUUCUUGUUUUCAUUUGGUUUUGAUUUAAAUUAGGUUUUGAUUUCGAAUUGGGUUUGAUGUGAUCUGGUAUUGGCAUUUGAUUUGCUCUGUAAUUGUUUGAAUGUGUGGAAUAAAUUUUGGGGAAAGAGGAAGAAAAUUUAGAAAAAGAAAAAUAGACUAAAUAAUAAAAUAUUAAUAUAUAUUAGAUUAAAUAAUAUCAUAUUAGAAUUUAUUAUUAUCCUACUUCUUGGUCCGACACUGCACCAAACGCUUUACUAAGCUAAUCCAACUUAGUCUAGUCUAAGUCAAUCCAGCUUAGUUCCUGAAGUUAGUCUAGUCCAAGACAAUCCGGUGCAACAAACACAUUCAUAGAGUAAUUAUAGGGAUACUAAAUUUGUAAAUAAAAUUUUGUAAACUAAAUGACAUGGAAGUUGAUCGUUGAAUUAUUACUUAAACGUUAAUAAAUGUACUCAUUAUCACUAAAGACACGUUAUUUAAUUUGUAAAUUUUAUUUAUAAAUCUAAAGCAUUACCCAAACUCAUAAUACAAAUAGCUACUUUGAGAGAAGAAAAGAUGGAGAGUGAUAUGAUUGCAUUCUUUUUUAAAGCAACUUCUGAAGAUUCCAUAAUAAACUAUUAUUAUAUAUGAAGAUGUGCCGUGGUAAAAGAGAGGAAAAAAUGAAUGGAAAGUUUAUCCAAAAGAUUCUUGACCGUGAUUACAACUAUUUAACUUUUGUAAAUUUUCAUGGACCGAGAUCCAAGAAAAGAUGGAGAGUGAGAUUGGCAUUCUUUUUUGUAAAGGGAUUUUUUUUCCGAUCCCUUCCAUCUAAUUCACCUGAGUCAACCAUUUGAGUUCUUGAAAUUUAUUUAAACAACUAAAAUUAUUAUAACUUUUAAUGAAGCCCCUAUUUGUAGUCGUUAAAUCAAAUUUUAAAGAUUCGAAUUAGUGAAUUAGGUGGAUUAGGUGGAAGGGAUCCGAAGAAUAUCAAUUUCCUUCUUUUUCAACACAACUUUUGUUGAGUCCAUAAUAAACUAUUAUAUGAAGAAAGAAUACUAAAAAGACUCUCUCAAAAUCGAAACUUUUUGCGAACUUUUUAGCAUCUCAUGUUUUUGAGAUUAAUAACUAACAUUAUCUGAGAUUUAUUAAGUUUUCACAAAAUUCCCUUACGUAUGAGAUAUUACGCUAACAACACUUUAGUGUAAUGUCUCAAACGUAAUGGGACCUUGUAAAAUUUGAUUAACUUCGACAGUAUUAGUAUAUUUUUAUGUAAAUAUUAUAAAAUAUUAUGUUAAAUACAUUAAAUAACAGAUAGUCUUUAAGAGAGAUUUCUUACAUCUUUCUAAUGGAUACGGACGGUGGAAAAAGAUCAUUCCAUAAUUAAAUAUUGUGCUGUUGAUUACGCGUCUCUCCAUUUGACUAAGUUCCUUUUCACAUUCUUCCCUAAAUAAAAUGGUUCACUUUUCACAUUAUUACAAUAUUUAUAUUUAUAUUUUUACAAAAGGGAUUCGUCUAAAUUAAAUUUUUCGAAAAAUUUCGUAUAGUGAGUGAAAGUGAAACACUCCCUUUGUUAUGAUUAUGACAAUAUUUAUAUUUUUACAAAAGGGAUUUAUCUAAAUUAAAAUUUUCAAAAUUCCGAACAAGAUUUGAACUUUCGUGUAUAUGAAUAUAUGGAGUAAAUUGAUCAUGGCUGAAAAUAUGGCAGUGGUUGUGUUUGUGUUGCCUAACGGAUGAUAUUGAAAUACCUAAACACAAGUCAAGCUCCUUCAGUUAACAAAAACAGAAGUUUAUAAUAUGAUAAUGUUGGCGCACGGACUUGAGAAACAACAUAGGCCGGGAAUGUGCACAAAAAGUAAGAGAGAGGUAAAGAGGAAAGAAACGAACAUGAAAGAACAAAGACUAUCGAAUACAUUAUAAAACAAUGACUUCUUGGUAGUCAUUACAUCUCAACCAUCAAUAAUGCAUUAAUUUUGGUUGAAAUGUAGAAGUAUUUGAGAAGUAGCAUGACAACAACCACAUAAUAAACAAAAGUGGACGCAAAUGUGAAAGGAUAAUUAAAAACAAUUAUUCAAGAUGGGCGGUAGUUGAUUCAGCCAUUUAGAAGAUUCAAACCUAGAAUCAUUAUUGUAUUAACUAUUAACAGGUGCUAUAAUAUAGUUCUUAGGGAUUUCAAGGAGGCAUAUGGGGGACUACAUAAUGUGCAAUAGGAUUAAACUUUUUUUGUUACUAGGCAAAUGAACCAUAUUGAAAAAAGUUGAGGUUUAACCAUAAAAUUAAUUGACGAUAUAAAAAGUAGCUCAACCUCUUAUAAGCGUUUGCAAGAUUUCUCUUUUGACCUAUACAAGACUCUUUUACUUUCACAUCCUCGAACAUAUAAUACACCCAAAUGGAUGCCAAUAUAUAAACAUUGUUUUGAAAGGACAAGGGAGCUAACAGUGUCUUUUUAUAUGACUUGGACUUGGAGUACGGGCUGCAAAUUGCAUGCAAUUGCAACGAGAGCCAAAGAUAAUUGCCUUGUCCUUCAAAUUUGUUGGUAAAUUGGGGAUUGCACGAAGAUUUUCGCACUAAUCUGAAUACAGUGUUUCAAGCUUUUAAAGACCACUGAAGCUUUGAAAACUCUGUUGAUUUUACUUCCCAAGUAAGUGACAUAAAACUAAAUUGGGCAGUUGCAUGACAACAACCACUUAAUAAUCAAAAGUGAUUCGAAAAAGACCGAAAGUGAGAUGACCGCAUUCUUUUUCAGACAACUUUGGUAGAUUCCAGAAUAAACUAUUAUACAUGAAGAUGGGCGGUGGUAAUUGUCCUUUUGAUUAAAGUUUUUUGAGUCGAAAAUCAUUUUUCUAUAAUUAAUUCUUAACUAGAAAUUUGUACCAGUACACCGUUGUGGGACUGAAAAUCUUAUGAAAUAUUUUAUAACUUUAAUUUUCAUAAAUAAUGUGCGAGUGAAAAACAAAAAAUUACGAAUGGUAAUGCAAUUUAUAUGUAACCUUAUCAUGAACGGAACAAAUUUAGAUACUAAAAGAAAAAUUAAAAAUCUAUUUUUUCAAAGUGCGAAGAGAUAAUUGUUUAUUAAAAAAGUUGGACCAAUGAUAACUGCAUAAAUUACAAAUGCAAUAUUAAGAGUAUACCAGUCAAACUAAGCUUGCUACAGGCUAAACAAUGUUGAAAAACAUCAUUAGCUUUUUCAAGUGUUAUAUGCAAUGAAUGUAAUUAGCACGAAACUAGCACGAAACUGCAGAGGCUUUCGAUCCAUUAUAAUAUAAAAUAAAUAAUAAUAUUUACGUAUAAAAUAUGAUAUGAUUAUAUGAAAGUAACGACCCAAAUCUUAUUGGAGCUAAUUAACUAAUGUAUGCUCAUCAGGCAGCUGGAUUCCUUGGCAAGUGUUUAACCCCUACUUUCUUCACGCUCACAGAAUCACCAUUUGCAAAGUCAAUCGGCCUCACACCAAUAAAAACUUAAUCCCCGGCUAGUAAACUGAUCAGCUUAUCGUCCGAUAUAUGUCACUGCAAAGAUAAUCACCUUGUCUUUCAAAUUUGUUGGUAAAUUGGGGAUUGCGAGAAGAUUUUCGCACUAAUCCAAAUAUAUUGUUUCGAGCUUUGAAUGACCACUGAAGCUUUGAAAAGUCUGAUGGUUUUGUUAGGUCAUGUGUAUGACUAACGUUAAUGAUUUUCAACUUCCCAAGCAACUGUUACACAACUAAAUUUAAAAUCCAAGAGGAGGAUAUGAUCAGAGAAGAAAGAAAUGCAAUCCACUAAUAAUCAACAUCGAUAUUGUCUUCAACUUAAUCAUGAAUAAGUUUUAAGGCACAAAAGACCUCAUGCUUUUGUAGUUGAGCCAUUUAAUGUAAGGAGAAUCACAAUGUUAGUUAACCACAUCACAGUACAAAAGCACUAAAAGCGUCCAAGUGAAAGUGAAAGUGCUUUCUUCUCAUGUAGUUUCAUUUAACUUAAUUUUCCACAAUGGUAAUUAUGUUUCAAUGGUUCUGUUUUCACAUGCCAGUCGGUCAGUCACAUACUCAACUCCUUAAUGUUCGGGCUCAAUGGCUCGAAGAGAGCUUCCACUUCACUCUGAUUCACCUCCUCUAACUUUGACGGAUUCCACUUCGGAUUCUGCAUUGACAAGAAACAGAAGCCAGAGAUAAAGAUUCGUUGAUAUACGGAAAGUAAGAUGAUUAUACAACCGUAGGUCUAGUAGAGGCUGUAAUGGUUUAUGUUGCAGCAACUGCGUCAGCAAGUGAUUUUAUAGCAAGGAAUCUUGAGCAUAAUUAACGAACCUGAUCCUUGUCCACCAAAACUGCCGUACACCUUCAGCAAAAUCAUUCCGUAAAGACGAUCUUAUAGCAACGUGAUAUUCAGUUUCAUCACACCAGUUAACUGGUAUUGGUCAAGUAAAGCACAUGUUACUUUCUGAAAAUUUGAAAUACUACAACGCAAAACCUAUCAAAAGGAUGCAACCAUGUGAUGCAAGAAACGAAAAGGUACAAAGUCCAGACUCACUCUGGAUAAUUGAUUGUCAUUUUUCCCAAGCACGGAUGCAACUUUAGCGAAAUAAUUUUGUGUCAAAAAAGUGAAAACAGAGCACCCUUUCCAAGACCUUAAAGAGCUUCGUUAGCCCACUCACCACUGCAAUACAAACAAUUUAUACAAAAUACUUGACAGCGACAUACAAGCUGCUCAAUAGACAAAUGGCAUUAAAAAACUUACCAGUAGCAUCUGAACUCUGAUGCUGCUUUUUAAGUUCAUCAAUUGUCUCAAGAACCAACUUAUCUGCACCAAAUGCUGAAGUUAUUUGAGGUAAAAGAGUCUUGAGUUGCGCUUCAGAAUCUGGGUAGCUGGUGAAUUUCACCACAAUUGUUUCAAUGUCCUGAUGGGGAUCCUGGGAACUGAUUCAACAAUGGAGUUGCUUUUAUCUCAAGAAACGCAUUGGACAAUGUGAUGAUGGCAACUAAAGUUAAACCCACUGAAGCAUUGGAAAUUGCGUCUGAGGAUAGAAAAGGCAUACCUGCAGAUACUCCUCCCAGACUCUUUGCCUCUAUAUGUGAAAACCCAUCUGGGAACAAACCAAUUCCAUUCUCUGGCAUAGCAAGAACAGUCCUCAGAAAUGUAUCCAUACAAAGUUUGACACACAAAAUUAAAAAAGCCAUUGCAAUGUAAUUGACAACAUUGACAAUCUCUGUCUGACCGGGCAAUAAUGCCUCUGUAAUGAUCCGGUAGCGACUGUGACCUGAUAGGCCAAUACCAAAGCCCACUGUUAUGCCAUCCAUGAAGCUUAUAUGGGCUUCUUGUACUCGGAGAUAUUGCAUAUUAGAGAAUACUCAGCAGUGAAUACCUGAAAAACGUGCAGCACAAAUAUCAUAUCGGUAGCCUCUCAAAUCUUAAGAAAACUACAAAUGGUAGCUUAGAAAAGAAAUGAAUCCUCUCCAACCAAUACAAAUCAUAUUACCCAAGUUCAAGCAAAAUCAAGACUAAACAAAUGACCAGAUGUUGUAGGUUGCCAGAGAAUGUCAAACAUGAAAUUACAAAAGAAAAAAAUAAUCGUAUGUAUUGAACAUUAAUAAAUACAUGCUGAAAGCACAAUCUUAGCCGCAAUUUAUGACAUUUAUACAAGAUUAAAUCGCCAAAGAAAUUAAAGAAAUUGCAGAGCUCAUAUAAGUGAUGUUCACUAUGAACUUUUAGGCUUAUCAACAAAUACACCAUAACGAUUCUAAUGCAUGAAUUUUGUUAAAGGGGGCUUGCUUGCUUGUAUUAAGGCUUAAUCAUCAAUGAUUUUGCAAGGGUCAAUCGUAUUGCUAGUUGUAAAUCUAUUCACUAUGAAAAUUACCAAAAUUACAUCUAAUAUGGUAGUGAAGGAAGUCAUCUUACAUUAUCUGGAAUUUAGAAAACUGUGUAAGGUUAUAAUAUAUGGUUACAAGGACACAAUUAGACCUCAAUCAUAUUCGGUGGUUGGUUUUUGGCCGUGAUCUGCUUCACAUCACCGCCUGCAGGUAAACUAAAUCUGGGUUACUACAUAUCAAUGAAUCAACGUGCCAACUUAACGGACACCAUCUAUCUCUAUAUGGCAAAAAAAACAACACAAAAAGGAACAUGAAGUGAAACAAUAAACAACAUGACAUGAAACAGCACGAACAUCAAAGACCAACAAUCUAUCACGUAAGCACCUAAACAAGAAACAACUUUAGUUCAAAGCAAAGCGUAAUGUAGAAACCUUCGGCACAACAGGUGUGUUUUUGUCCUUUCGAGUUUCGGCAACAACCACUUUAAUAUCCUUUCCUGCAUUUACCAUGAUUGGUCACUCUUAAAACCUUAACUCCGCCGUGUAAGUUUAUCUUACAUUGCCGGUCCCAAGCCCGGAUAAAGGAGGAGGGGGAGGGCGUCAGGUAGUCGACAGCCGGCACUCCAUGAUUACGUCGAAUCCUUACGAAAAUGAAUCCAGAACGAAAUCGCGCUAAAGCUAGGGCGUCACCCGUAAGUGGCGCGCUGUGUGGCCCGAGCACAGUGAUAAGUGAGCAAGGGUCGCUAUAUCUCCAUCGGCACCCGGAUGCAGUGUUAAAUGAGCAAGGGGGCUAUAGAAACUUCUUUUCGAACGACUCCACUCAAAGUUGUUUGGGAGCAUAUGCUCCUAUCAACUUUACACGGGACACACAAAAGAAGUACUUUGAUCCUAUUAGACGGGGAAGGGUGAAGAAGCUAGGACAGAAGGGUAGAGUUCAAGAGAGCAAAAUGCGUUUAGGAACGUGGAAUAUAGGAACCUUGACGGGAAAAUCUAUGGAAGUAGUAGCAGUUAUGGUGAGGAGAAGGAUAAAUAUUAUGUGCCUACAAGAAACUAAGUGGGUUGGGCGUAAGGCAAAGGAUCUAGAAAACUCAGGGUUUAAACUAUGGUAUUCGGGCACAAAUAGAACGAGAAACGGUGUUGGCAUCAUCGUGGACAAGACCUUGACACAAGAUGUUGUAGAUGUUAAGAGGGUAGGAGAUAGAAUCAUGUCAAUCAAGAUUGUAAUAGGACAAGAACUUAUCAAUGUGAUUAGUGCGUACGCACCUCAAGUAGGGUUGGAUACGAGUUCGAAGGAGAAAUUUUGGGAAGACCUUGGAGACUUGGUGCAAGGAAUUGCUCAGACGGAGAAGUUAUUUAUAGGAGGAGAUUUAAAUGGACACGUGGGCAGGGAGACAGACAACUAUGGAGGUUUUUAUGGUGGCCAUGGUUUUGGGGAGAGAAAUGAGGAUGGGGAAGCUAUCUUGAAUUUUGCAAUGGCAUAUGAUCUCUUCUUAGCCAACACCUUCUUUAAGAAGAGAGAAGAACAUGUGAUCACCUACAAGAGUGGGUCGUCAAAAACACAAAUAGAUUUUCUCCUAAUGAGGAAAGGGGAUCGUAUAACUUGUAAGGAUUGCAAAGUUAUACCAGGAGAGAGCGUGGCUAAUCAACAUCGCUUGUUGGUGAUGGAUGUAAAUAUCAAAAGAGUGAGAAAAAAGAACAAGACUUGGAAGUGCCCAAGGACUAGAUGGUGGAAUCUAAAAGAAGAAAAACAAGCCAUUUUCAAAGAGAAAGUAAUCACCCAGUGUGUGUGGGAUAGAGAGGGGGAAGCUAACCAAAUGUGGGAUUCCAUGGCUAGUUGUAUCCGAAAAGUAGCAAAAGAGGUAUUAGGAGAGUCCAAGGGCUUUGCCCCACACCAAAAGGAAUCUUGGUGGUGGAAUGAGGAGGUACAAACAAAGGUGAAGGCUAAGAAGGAAUGUUGUAAAGCCUUAUACAAGGAUAGGACCGAUGAAAAUGGUGAAAGGUAUAGAAAAGCGAAGCAAGAGGCGAAGAAAGCUGUGAGAGAAGCUAAGUUAGCGGCUUAUGACGAUAUGUAUAAGCGACUAGAUACCAAAGAAGGAGAGUUGGAUAUCUAUAAACUAGCUAGAGCAAGGGAAAAGAAAGACAAGGGACCUAAACCAAGUGAGGUGCAUCAAGGAUGAGGAUGGAAAGGUUCUUGCUACAGAGAACGCGGUUAAAGACAGAUGGAAAGGUUAUUUUCAUAAUCUUUUCAAUGAAGGACAUGAAAGGAGUGCUUCUUUAGGGGAGUUGAGUAACUCAGAAGAGUGUAGAAACUACUCUUUUUUAUCGUAGAAUUCGGAAGGAAGAAGUGGUUGUAGCUUUGAAGAAGAUGAAGCAUAGAAAAGCAGUAGACCUAGACGAUAUACCAAUUGAAGUGUGGAAAGUUUUGGGAGAGACAGGUAUAACAUGGCUCACUGACCUUUUCAAUAGGAUUUUGAAAACGAAGAAGAUGCCAAAUGAGUGGCGAACGAGCACUUUGGUGCCUAUCUACAAGAAUAAGGGUGAUGUACAAAAUUGCAUGAACUAUAGGGGUAUUAAGCUAAUGAGUCAUACAAUGAAGCUCUGGGAGAGAGUCAUUGAGCAUAGAUUGAGGCAAGAGACACGGGUUUCGGACAACCAAUUCGGGUUCAUGCCAGGGCGCUCAACCAUGGAGGCAAUCUAUCUCUUACGAAGAUUGAUGGAAAGAUAUAGAGAUGGGAAAAAGGAUUUACACAUGGUCUUUAUAGAUUUGGAAAAAGCGUAUGAUAGGGUCCCAAGAGACAUUCUUUGGAGGAUUUUAGAGAAGAAAGGAGUACGAGUAGCAUAUAUCCAAGCUAUACAGGAUAUGUAUGAAGGAGCAAAGACUGCCGUAAGAACUCAUGAAGGACAAACCGAAAGCUUUCCCAUAACUGUAGGAUUACAUCAAGGCUCAUCCUUAAGUCCUUACCUUUUUGCGUUGGUAAUGGAUGAGUUAACAGGACAUAUUCAAGAUGAUAUUCCUUGGUGUAUGCUUUUCGCAGACGAUAUAGUGUUGAUAGAUGAAACUCAGGAAGGGGUAAAUGCAAAGCUUAACCUUUGGAGAGAAGUGUUGGAAUCUAAAGGUCUUCGCCUAAGCCGAUCAAAGACAGAAUAUAUGGAGUGCAAGUUCAGUGCAAAUGGAGGCCAAAACGAGUUAGGGGUGAGGAUCGGAGAUCAAGAAAUACCAAAGAGCGACCGUUUUCGUUACCUAGGAUCUAUCUUGCAAAAGAACGGAGAAUUAGAUGGAGAUCUCAACCAUAGAAUACAAGCUGGAUGGAUGAAGUGGAAGAGAGUGCAUCCGGCGUAUUGUGUGACCGCCGUAUGCCACUGAAGCUCAAGGGAAAAUUUUAUAGGAACGGCAAUAAGGCCGGCGAUGCUGUAUGGCACAGAAUGUUGGGCGGUGAAGCAUCAACACGUACACAAAAUGGGUGUAGCGGAGAUGAGGAUGCUUCGUUGGAUGUGUGGGCACACGAAGAAAGGAUAAGAUUAUGGAAUGAGGAUAUCCGGGGUAAAGUAGGAGUAGCCGAAAUUGAAGGAAAGAUGAGAGAAAAUCGGUUACGGUGGUUUGGACAUGUGCAAAGAAGGCCUACUGACGCUCCGAUUAGAAGAUGCGACUAUGGGACAGAGGUUCAGGGCCGAAGGGGUAGAGGAAGACCUAGGAAAACUUUGGAAGAGACCCUAAGAAAAGACUUAGAGUACUUGGAUCUAACGGAGGACAUGACACAGGACAGAACACAAUGGCGUUCUAAGAUUCAUAUAGCCGAUCCCACUCAGUGACUUGGAUUUUCCAAGUCUCCAACCGAGAAGUUUUCCUCACUCGGGAAAUUAAGGGAACACUACCUCAACCUACAUGCUCCACUCACAAAGCUUCAACAAAAGAAAAAUUCAAAGAACUUAGCGAAGAAGGCUUUUGGUGUAUUUAACACAAUACGUUGAAAUGAAGGAAAGCUUAUUUAUUGAUAUCCCCGAUAAGUUACAAAUAUGUACAUAUACUUGAGUCAAAAUAAACAAACAAGAGGGAGCCUUCACAAAGGUUGCUUAGGAGAAGUCUCAGCAGUCGGUAGAGCCCCAGAAAGAGAAGGCACCGGAGGGGGAUCAUUCGGAGCCUCAGUACUGGACAGAACCCUAGAAGGAGGAGGCAUCAGAGGUUGAUCAUUUGGAGCUUCAUUACGCGGUACAGCCCCAGAAGACGAAGGCAAUAAAUGCCUUUGGAACAAACCCACAAAUCUCUGAUGAUCAAGUAAAACCUGACCAUCAGAUUCCUUCAUCUGGUCAAGCUUCCUCUUCAUGUUUGUAGCAUAGUCAUGUGCGAGCCGGUGCAACUGUUUAUUCUCAUGCUUGAGCCCUCUAAUCUCCUGUUUGAGACUCAUCACUUCAGCCGCCAAUGAUUCAACUUGGCGGGUUCGAGCAAAUAGGCGUUGGGCCAUAUUAGACACAGAACCUGCACACUGAACACUGAAGAGCCAGAGAAUCCUUAACAGCCAACUCAUCAGACCGUUUGGAAAGUAGUCUGUUAUCUUUGGGAGUGAGAAGGUUCCUAGGCCACUACCGCAGCGGUCAUAUCAUUCUUCAUCACGGAAUCCCCAACGGUAAGAGGACCAGUAGGGGAGACGAAGGAUGGGCGCCAUAUGUUGUCUGAAGAAGGCGGGGCUGCCUCUUCAACAAGGUUCAAGUCAAAACGACGGUCGGAGGGGCCAGACAUUUUCAAAGGUGUUGAAGAGAGAAGAGGUCGGACAAAUCAAGAUCUUAGAAGUGCAAGAAUGGAGCUUCUACUGGUGGAUAUUCAAGUGUGCUUUGGAACUUAAUGUCAGCCCCUAUAAAAAAUCUGCACUCGACGAAGCUUCAGAAAUCGAAGAGGCGCCUGCUCAGAAAUCGAAGAGGCGUUUGCUUUCUCAAAAGCUGGGCUGCUCAGAGACCACGAGGGUUUGAUCUCAGAAAUCGAAGAGGCGUUUGCUUUCUCAAAAGCUGGGCUGCUCAAAGACCACGAAGGCCGAUCUCAGAAAUCGAAGAGGCUUGCUUUCUCAAAAGCUGGGCUGCUCAGAGACCACGAGGGCCGAUCUUAGAAAUCGAAGAGGCACCUACUUUUCCAGCCUUGUCAGCACCUGUCACACGCACACUCAGCUUUGCGGAAAUUAUGGGCAUUCUGUCGAAGAUUUCUGGUGAAGUAGAAAGCACAUGAAUCGUACUGUUCAAUCACCCACUUCCCACACGCAACAGUAGCUCAUGGGUACCACAGAUAACUUUGCCAAAGUUCUCUGACAAAGUUGAGACACGUGAAGCUUGCAGCUCCCACUACAUCGCUCUGACCAAGAAGGGUAAAAGAAUAGCAAAGAAACAACACUAACAAAGUUUAGACACAUAAAUUUUGAAGGUCUAGCUACCAUAUUAUUACCCACAAGGGUAAAGGAACAGUACCACUGCUGGAUAAUUGGAAAGUCCCGGUGUGUCAACCUCUGUGCUUCGUGGCAAGGUAGACUAGCAAACAUGCCCAACCUUUACUCACAUUCGAGAAAACACUCCCAACAAGAUUGCUUGCUCCAAAAUCGAAGAGGCACCCGCUCCUCCGAAUCUCGAGAGCCAGACUCCCAACAUGAUUACUUUCUCAAAAAUCGAAGAGACAUCCGCUCUCCGAAUCUCGAGAGCCAGACCUCCAGCAGGAUUGCUUUCUCAAAAAUCGAAAAGGCAUCGUUCUCCGAAUCUCAAGAGCUGGAUCCCUGACAGGAUUGCUUGUUCGAAAACCAAAGAGGCACCACUUUCCCAACUUCAAGAGCUGGAUCUCCUUGGAUAAAGCUUGUCUGUAAUCUUCACACACGCAACAUCAGCUUUUCCAGAUACCACAGACCCACUUUUUCAAAGUGCUCUGACAGAGUUAAAACUUGUGAAGCUGGCAGCUCCCACUACCGUGCUAUGACCAAGCAGGGUAAAGGAAUAGCAUUAUUACUUGAUGUUAGGGAGACUCCUAUAUAUGUCGACCUCCAUCCCCAACGGACAGGCAGACCUGCAAAAAUGCUCAACCCUUCCUCUUAUCUGAGAGGGCACUCCCAACGAAGCCUUUCGAAAUAUUCAGCUUUCUUUCCCCCCGAUAAUACCUCUGUAAACAAGCUAUACUAGAGCAAGAAUAUCUCAUAUCAUCAGGGUUAAAAGCAAGAGUAUCCCAUAUCAUGCUUUUUUCCCGUCUUUUCCUUUGGCCUUGUUCUUACCUGCAAGACAAGGAGAAAGAGAGCAAUCAGUCAGCACUUGGAAUCAAGCUUCCAGCCAGGAACUGACUGCCUGGAACCCCUUACCUGAUUACUUACCUGGCAUUGCUCUCGAGUACUCAUCUUCAACAUCUUAUGCUUCCAGGGAAGAUACCGCAAUCGCCUGAAGAACAGAUAGGGCAAGUGAGAAGGAUACAAGGAAGCAUGUGGAGACAAGCGUAACAGCACACGUGCCGAUACAUCCACUACUCUGUCAAAAGCAAAAGUAUCUCAUAUCAGCAGGGUCGAACGUACUCUAGAUUUGAUGGACUUGUUUUGACCCUCAAAUUCUUCAGUCGGCCUUAUACUCUGGAGGAAACCAGAAAACCCUCCAGCCCAGUUCAAGAAUAAGCCUGUGGAAAGUUACUUCUUCAAAAGCAAAAAGUAUCCCAUAUCAUCUCUUCUCAUUUUUCUUCUCUUUAUCCUUCAUGCUGCAUGCAAGAUAGGGAGAAUGUGAACAAUCAGCCGGAGCUCUGAUUGCUUACCUUGUCUGUCAUCUCUUUCAGCAGAUCCCCUAGCUCGGCGACUUAGGGGACUCCUACUACAUGGUUUGUAUCGCGCUUGACCAAGCCUGAAACUACAAGUAAGCUUCAAGUGACAAUUGAUACAUUACCUUGUGCAUCUCCACCAGUUACAGAUACCACCCCUGGAUGGAGGAAGAGUACUUCCAGAGAAGAUGCCACAUCUACCUAUGAGACAGAUAAGGAAAGUCAAGACGAUACCACACUCCGGUACUUAGAAGUUUCGUGGUUACGAGAUCAUUCUCCCACAAUAUUUCCUAAUGUCAUUUGUACUAAAUCAUUCACUUGUACUCACUAAAGGAGAGCUUGAACCUAUGUACUUGUGUAAACCCUUCACAAUUAAUGAGAACUCCUCUAUUCCGUGGACGUAGCCAAUCUGGGUGAACCACGUACAUCUUGUGUUUGCUUUCCUAUCUCUAUCCAUUUAUAUACUUAUCCACACUAAUGACCGGAGCAAUCUAGCGAAGAUCACAAAAAGUGACCGUUUUCGCUACCUAGGAUCUAUCCUUGCAAGAGAACGGAGAAUUAGAUGGAGAUCUCAACCAUAGAAUACAAGCUGGAUGGAUGAAGUGUAAGAGUGCAUCCGGCGUGUUGUGUGACCGUCGUAGGCCACUGAAGCUCAAGGGAAAAUUUUAUUUUAUAGGACGGCAAUAAGGCCAGCGAUGUUGUAUGGCACAGAAUGUUGGGCGGUGAAGCAUCAACACGUACACAAAAUGGGUGUAGCGGAGAUAAGGAUGCUUCGUGGGAUGUAUGGGCACACGAGAAAGGAUAAGAUUGGGAAUGAGGAUAUCCGAGGUAAAGUAGGAGUAGCCAAAAUUGAAGGAAAUAUGAGAGAAAAUCGGUUCCAGUGGUUUGGACAUGUGCAAAGAAGGCCUACUGACGCUCCGGUUCGAAAAUGUGACUACGGGACAGAGGUUCAGGGCCGAAGGGGUAGAGGAAGACCUAGGAAAACUUUGGAAGAGACCCUAAGAAAAGACUUGAGUACUUGGAUCUAACGGAGGACAUGACACAAAACCGAGCGCAAUGGCGUUCUAGGAUUCAUAUAGCCGACCCCACUUAGUGGGAAAAGGCUUUGUUGUUGUUGUUGUUGUUGUGGUCACUCUUAAAACCUUACCUAAGAGACCCAAAAACAAAAAUAACCGCCGAAAGAGCUAAACAUACAUAUAUAGAAAAACUUAAUUAACUGCAUGCUAAAAUGGAAGUGUAAAAUUGCCAAGAAAGAUAAGAAACUAUUUAAAUACGAAUUCUGGGCAUUACCGCCACAAAAGGCAUGAGCCGAACAGCUAUCAACAAGAACACACUUCCCAUUCAUCCAGAUAGCCCUUGUAUUUCACAUCCAUAUCUGCAUUUUCCAACAAUUCCCACUUAAACAGAAACACAAAAUUCAUCGAAAAAAUGCUAACUUCUUCGAAAUUUGAAUCCAACGUUUCGUCUUAUAACAAAUGCAAUAACAUAGAUUUGUAAUCAAUUCGAUGCCAUAAAGUUCAAGCUCAAAAUUUCAAAUCAGCUCCAAAUCAAAAGCAUUUACAGAUACAUACAUAUAUACAUAUGCGUGUGUGUGUUUAUCUACAUACCCAGGUUCAUGGCGUUGAGAGCUCGGCAGGCGACGGAGGGUGAUGACGGCGACGCCAAUUGGGUGGACGCUGCCCUUCGAAUUGGGUCGCUCCUCGCAAUAAGCUUCCCAUUACUUCCGUUUGAGAGUGACUGUCAGUGUAGAGAGAGGGAUUUUUUUUUUGUGCUUCUGGACCGGACUACACUUGAUGUUUCGGUUAUAUUACCGGGAAAAAGAACUGCCGCGGUGGCUACGCAGGGAAACUUGAAAUUUGAAAGAAGUAUGAAGUAUGGACUUGCCUUCAUUUAUUGAACUGAGAAAUCGAAAUCUGAAAGAGGCGUUUGACGAAGUGAUUGUGAUCUGACUCAAACAUGUGAUGAUGACGAUGCAUCACCACCUUGGUUGUGCCUCUGGAUCAAAAACAUACCAUCACCAUCAAAAUCGUGCAUAUUUUCCUUCAUAGGUUUGUCCCAUACUAGAUUAACCCCUAUUCCCUUAAUUAUUGCAUAAUAAGAAUUAUAGCAUGUCUCUGGCAUUCCAACGGCUAUAUCAACUUUAUCCCCGCUUUGCAAAUUGAACUUAUCGUUGGACAUUUGUCCCUGCCAAAGAAAACAUUUUUCAGGUAAACCAUCGUGCAUUUUUAUAACCCAAUCUUCCUUGCCUAUGCAGGUUUGCAACUCAGUACGCUUGGUAUUAUUUAUAUCAAUACUGCCACGAGGAUGACAAUAUUUAAAGCUCAUAGAAGGGCUUGAGGGACAAGUUAAGUGAUAAAAGCAUAACAGAGUCAACCCUUCAAAAUUACGACCAUCACUUGGGGGGUAUCAAAACUGACUUUAUCACCAUCGUUGACAAACUCGAACCAAUCAGGAACAUAAUUCGCAUCGAGAAAAAUGCCAGCAUAUCCGUAAGAAGUCCAUCCCUAUAUAUACAGUGCAAGUGUCAUAUACAUACAUACAUACAUACAUACAUACAUAUAUGUAAAUGUGCAUUGUGUGUGCAUGUGCGCAAUAGGAAGACAAUUAAAGAGAGAGAUACCUUUAGGACCUUCCUCCUAAAAUCAGCUGUGAGAUUGGUGCACUUUUGCAUUACAAUCCAUUUCAUGGAGUUUAAUGACUUAUCCAAGUCCGGAAUCUCUGUGAGUGCGUGUGAACCAGUUACAUUCAGUUCUCUCAUAUUUGACAUUUUCGAAAAAUUGGGCAUUUUUACCAAACAACAGCAACCAUAAGCAUCCAGAAAUUUCAAAUUUGUUGGUAAAUCAUAGAUUGUAUGAAGCUGGGAACAAUAACUUAACCACAUACCUUCAAGCUUUGAAAGACCAUUGAGGCUGGGUAGGGUGUGUAAGAUACUGCAGUGACUUAACUCCAGAGUUUUAAGAUUUGAAAGACCAUUGAGGCUGGGUAGGGUGUGUAAGUUACUGCUGUGACUUAAUUCCAGAGUUUCAAGAUUUGAAAGACCAUUGAGGCAGGGAAGGGUGUGUAAGUUACCACAGUGAUUUAACCACAUAGUUUUAAGAUUUGAAAGACCAUUGAGGCUGGGUAGGGUGUGUAAGUUACUGCAGUGACUUAACCACAGAGUUUUAAGAUUUGAAAGAUCAUUGAGGCUGGGUAGGAUGUGUAAGUUACUGCAGUGACUUAACCCUAGAGUUUUAAGAUUUGAAAGACCAUUGAGGCUGGGUAGGAUGUGUAAGUUACUGCAGUGACUUAACUCCAGGGUUUUAAGAUUUGAAAGACCAUUGAGGCUAGGUAGGGUGUGUAAGUUACUGCAGUGACUUAACCAUAGAGUUUUAAGAUUUGAAAGACAAUUAAGGCUGGGUAGGGUGUGUAAGUUACUGCAUUGACUUAACCCCAGAGUUUUAAGAUUUGAAAGACCAUUGAGGCUGGGUAGGGUGUGUAAGUUACUGCAGUGACUUAACUCCAUACCUUCAAGCUUUGAAAGACCAUUGAGGCUGGGUAGGGUGUGUAAGUUACUGCAGUGACUUAACUCCAGAGUUUCAAGAUUUGAAAGACCAUUAAGGCUGGGUAGGGUGUGUAAGUUACUGCAGUGACUUAACUCCAGGGUUUUAAGCUUUGAAAGACCAUUGAGGCUGGGUAAGGUGUGUAAGUUACUGCAGUGACUUAACCACAGAGUUUUAAGAUUUGAAAGACCAUUGAGGCUGGGUAGGGUGUGUAAGUUACUGCAUUGACUUAACCCCAGAAUUUUAAGAUUUGAAAGACCAUUGAGGCUGGGUAGGAUGUGUAAGUUACUGCAGUGACUUAACUCCAAAGUUUUAAGCUUUGAAAGACCAUUGAGGCUGGGUAGGGUGUGUAAGUUACUGCAGUGACUUAACUCCAGAGUUUUAAGCUUUGAAAGACCAUUGAGGCUGGGUAGGGAGUGUAAGUUACUGCAGCGACUUAACCCCAGAGUUUUAAGCUUUGAAAGACCAUUGAGGCUGGGUAGGGUGUGUAAGUUACUGCAAUGACUUAACCCCAGAGUUUUAAGAUUUGAAAGACCAUUGAGGCUGGGUAAGGUGUAUAAGUUACUGCAGUGAUUUAACUCCAGAGUUUUAAGUUGUGAAAGACCACUCAGGCCGGGUAGGGUAUGAAGGUUACAGCAGUUACUUAACUGCAAAUUUUCAAGUUUUGAAAGACCACAUAGGCUGGGUAGGGUAUGAAAAUAAUGUUUUGAGAGAUCUAAAUUUCCGUCUAACGAAUUGGGAAACUGCAAAGUAAACUUCGAUUCCACAGACGCUAGAGAUAAAUGAGUGAGAUUCUUCAAUCUUACUAUGGAACAGGGUACUUGUCUUAUGGCUGUGGAAGAUGCUAUAAGUACUCUCAAUGAUGUCAUCUUCCCUAAAUCCUCGGGCAGUUCACUGAAUUGCUGACAUCCAUUAAGAACAAGAGUCUGAACGGAUUUGGACUUGUAGAAAUCCCCAGGAAGAGAAAUAAGAUUCUGGCAGCCUGUGAGGUUCACCAAAGAAAGUUUUUUAAGAUGACAAAUGGAGGGGUGAAUCUCGGACAAACUGUUACACCAUUCCAAUAUCAACUCUUCAAGAUUUAGGAGAUUUGAAAAGUCUGGUGAUUUUUUUAAGUCAAGGCAAUAACUGAGAUUAAGGAUUUUCAAGUUUCCAAGCGACUGUUGCACAAAAUCAAAGGAAAAUUAAAAUUAAUAUCCAAAAACAAAUGGAAACAUAACAUCAUCAUGUGUAAUCGAUUGUACCUUGGAGCCCUCCCAAACUUGUACAAGUCUGCUAUACGCUAUCUCUAAAAUAACCAGUGCUCUUGGUUGAUCAAAGAAGUGAUCUGGUAUGGACUUUAAAGGGCAUCCAAACCAACGCAACCAUAUUAACUCUUUGGAAAGAUGUUUGUAUUCUCCAUUGAGCUGCACGUUGUAGAGCUGCAGCAGUCUCAGUUUCUUCAUAUUGGCAAAUGCUUCUGUACUGAAGCUUCGAAGCCUUUGCAGCCAAUGAUCUCCAGAAAAAUUAAGAGCAAGUCCUUUAACUUCUUCAGUUCCCUGUUAACAAAAGGUUAUAUUCAUGUGUAAGAAACGGAAUAUUUGCAUAUGUUUACAUGUAUGAAUACAUGCAAGUACUAUUGUUGGCUAAUUGAGAUGAUGUUACUUAAUGUAUAAUACACAUCCGUGAGUUAUAUGUGCUUUUCAUGUACGAUGCAUCAAUUCAGAAUUUUAUUGGGACUAUACUUACAAAUUUAUCUCUCAAUACAUCAAUGACCUCUUGCUGGUUCCACAACCUACUCCAUUCUCCAGGGUGACGAGGGGAUUUUUCAGAAAUGAUUAAUUUGGCCAUUUCUUGAAGCAAAUCAUGCAUAUUCAACUUCUUGUGUUCAAUAGUGAUAAGGCAUCGUUCACAGAGGACAUUGAUUCCUAUUGUUGCAAAAAACUUACAUCCAUCUAAUAUUUUUGCGACAUAGUCCUUAUCCCAUCCAAUAAAGAAACAAGAUAUGUCAAGGAAUAUAUCCUUUUGUGUAGGAUCUAGCCUUUCAAAGCUUACUCUUAGUGGUUUCAUUAUUCCUUCAUCAGGAAAUUUUUUCAAUUUCUCCAACUGACUUUUCUACUCUGUUGGUGUUCUUUCAAUCAUAAAAGAAGAACCUAAAACUGCAAGGGCUAGUGGCAAACCACCACAGUAAGAAACAACCUCUUUUGAGAGUUCAAGAUAUCCUUCAUUAGGCCAACUCUUUCCAAAGGCAUGCCAACUAAAGAGCUUCAGAGCUUCUUCUUCAUUCAUUUCCUUAAGUGAAUAUGUCUUGUCCACUUUCAUGUUCACUUGCUUUAGAAAACGUUCAUCUCGUGUCGUUAUGAUAAUUCUACUUCCUGGGCCAAACCAAUCACGAUUUCCAGCUAUUGCAUCUAGUUGUUCCACUUUGUCUACAUUGUCAAUAAUGACAAGCACGCUUCUACGUUGGAGAUGAUUUUUUAUCAGACUGAUACCUCUAUCAACACUGGUUAUCUUAGACUCGGUAUGUUUCAAGAUGUCAGAAACAAGUCUUCCUUGCAAAUCAACCAGAUCACAUUCACUAACGUUGGCAAGGAAACUUUUGAAUUGGAACUUAUGAUGAAGUUGGUUAUAAAUGGCUUUGGCAGCUGUUGUUUUACCCAAUCCACCAAUCCCCCAAAUUCCAACCAUGCGAACAACAUAUGAUCCACCAUUUGAAAGAUAAGUGAUGAUAUCUUGAAUGCGAGUAUAUAUUCCAACUGGGUGCUUGGCCAAAUGUAAAUUUUCUGCGCUCGGAAGCCAUUUUGGGAUAAUCUUGUCAACAAUUUCUCUAAUAAGCUUUGCUUCGCGCCUGAAAAAUUGAAUUGGUAAGCUUAGUAAGUAGGCUCAGUAGGAGCUAUUAGUACUAAUAUAAACAAUUUUCUUUCCUUCUUUCCUUCGUGUGUGUGUGUGUGUGUGUACAUAUAUGUACACAAACUAGCUACUAGCUAGUACGUGAUUUUGUGACCAACUUCAAUAAAAGAAACAAGUUCAUUCAUUGAUAUAUUAAAGUUUGGUGCAUCAAUUAAACUCCAAUUAUGGUUUAGAUUUUAGAGGAAAUUAGAGAAAUGGUCCUUGAACUAUGAUCAAAUUGUGGCCUUGGUUCUUAAAACUAAAAAUUCAAUAAAUCUCCUCCCUGAACUUAACAAAAUAUGAAGCAUUGGUCCCUAAAUGUUAACACCGUAUGAUUUUCUGUUAAUUUGAUUAUGUCGUCUUUGUGGGCUCCAUAUUAUUGUUUACUAGAUGGCACGUGGCUUGAAAAGUCAAAAUAAAAGAAAAUAAAUACAAACAUAGAGAAAGAAAGAGAGAGAAAAAAAAACUUUAAAUUAUAAAAGUUAACUCUCUCUCCCAUCCUCCCUUCCGCCUCACCUCCUCCAAACCCCAACCACACCAUUGUAGCACUUUCCCAACAGCCAAAACAAAAGAAAGUUUCUAAUCCAAUUUUGGAACACGUCUCCGUUUGCAAACGAAUUCACAAUGACAUCCAUUCACGCUGUCUCGACAGGUAAGAUUCAAGAAAUUUGUGGGAUGCGGGUUCGGGGUUCGGGUGAAGGCUGUGGUCCGUGGGCUACAGUUUGGAGUCGGCUGGAGAGUGGGAUUAGGGAUUGGGGGUUGGAAGUGGGAGGUUGACGGGGUGUGAAUCAAAGAUUGAAGGUGAAGGGGUGGCUGCGAGUGUUGGUGGGAUGAGGUAGGUGAAACUAACAUGUAAAGUUGUAAACCCUUUUAACUAAAAUUUAAAGGAAUUGGUUACGAAGGACUAACGCUCCAUAUUUUAUCAAGUUCAAGGGCAAAAUGUAAUGAAUUUUUAGUUUAGGAACCACAGCUACAAUUUUCCUCUAGAUUUUAUAUGAGAGAUUAAGGCGUAUUAAUUAAGCAUGAUAAUUAGAGUAAUACAACUUAAAUACUGAAAGCACAUGAAUGAUUACCUAUUAUCAGUGAUUUGAAGAUGGUAGCCAGACAAAUUUGCAGCUUUUGUAAGAACCUCUCCCCACUGCUUUACCUCUUCUUGUUUAGCUUCACGUUUCUUGUCAUCCUUUUCUUCACCGACGCCUUCUUCGUGCUUUUGAAAUUCUUCGGCUGACUUUGCAGCUUCUGUAAGAGCCUUUAUCCACUGCUCUACCCUUUCUCGUUUUUCUUCACGUUUCUUGUCAUCUUUUUCUUCACUGAUGUCAUUUUUGUGCUUCUGAAAUGCUUGGGCUAAAACUCCGUUCUGCUUCCUGACAUGUGAAGGAUCAAUGUGAUAGAAUAUUGGCAAAACAUGUCGCCCCAGUUUGUCUCUGCACUCCAUGAUCUUCACCAGCUCGUUAAGACACCAACUCGAAUCCGCAUACCUCUCUGAGAAGACAAUGAUAGAGGUCUUCGAUUCUUCGAUUGCCUGGAGCAGUUCUUUUGGUAUUUCUUCCCCUCUUUUGAGAUCGUCCUCAUCAAUAUAAGCCUGGUAUCCCCUGUCUGUUAAUGCCGCGUGGAGGUGGCCCGUGAAGCCAUUGCGUGUGUCUACACCGCUAAAGCUCAAGAACACGUCGUAAUUCCAAAGUUUUGACUUGGAGGAGGAUGAAGAGGAGGCUUCGUGGGUUGUCAUGGCGGUAUCCACCGUUAUGGCACUGCAGUGGUUCAGAUCACGACUGAAGAAUGGUAGUAGUUGUGUUCGUGCAUUCAAACGGAUGAUCCUGAAAUACCUAAACGCAAGUCAAGCUCCUUCAGUCAACAAGAACAAAGUUUAUAAUAUAAUAAUUUUGGCGUAUGGACUUGAGAAACGACAUAGUGUUGGCCGGAAGGUGCAGAAAAAGAGAGAGGAAAAAAGAAAAGAAAGGAACGAAAGGACAAAGACCAUCCAAAAGAUUCUUGGCUGUGAUUACAGCUAUUCAUAGGAGAAACAACGGACAUAUUUUCAUAGGAGAAACAACCUUCCCAUCUUCAUAUAUAAUGCAUUUCAACGGACAUAUUUUAAUAGGAGAAACAACUUUAGUUUGUACUAGAAAUUUUUACCCGCACGUUGAUGCGGCAUUUGAAAUUGUAUGAAAGAUUAUCUUUGAAAUAUAUAAUAGAUUGUGUGAUUGAAGAUUAAUACUAUUUACAUUGAAAACGUUGGAAAAAGUUUUACAUAUAAAAGAUUUUAUGAUACAAUCCACGUAUAAAAGAUGGUAAAUUUUGUUCUAUCUACAUGCAUUAUGUUAUGGAAUGAUAUAUAUAUAUAUAUAACUAAGUUCCAGAAUAUGUAAACUUCAUAACUUGGAAAUUUUUUGACAAAUUAAUCAGAUUCAACUGUGGGUUAGCAAGGUCGCCUAUAAAGUUUGAAGUCGUAGAAGCAUAAAGGACAAAUAACAAAUGAGUUUUGAGAAAUUAUUCCACAAAUGUCAUUCUGCAAAAUGUAUUAAAGACGAUUGGUAUAAGAUUAGCAAUCAUGAGUAGUGUAACAACAUCAACAAAAUAACCAUAAACCAUAACAUAAUUCAAAUUUUGUUUGCAAAAACAAAAGAAAAAGAAAAGAGACUUACAAUAAUUCAACCUUCAAUCUUGAAGUCCAGCUCAAAGAGCCAAACCUAAAUGCAAGCUUUCUGAAAUUUCCCAAACAAUACAGAUAAAACGGUAACACCCUAGUCAGAAAUGAACCAAGGUGCGAGCUUUCUAAGAAACCCAGAUGACAAAAUCAACAAAAUAGAAUGGAAAAAUGACUUACACUUUGAAGGCAUGCUCGAACCUUGAUCUAAAAUUGGUGGUGGGUCGAUUGUUGGUCACCAACUCUAAAUGAAGAAUUCAUCAGAACCUAGAAAUUUAAAACAAAGAAUUUUCCAAAAUCAACAUUUACUAAAAACCAGUUGCUUGGUUAUCAUGCAUGAUGGCUUGACAAAGACUGAAUUAAGGAAUGCAAACUUUACUUUCAUGAUUAUUUUUAAUGACAGCUAAAAGGUCAGAUCCAAAUGAAAAUAAAAGUUAGGACUUCACAAAACCAAUUAAAAAUCUAAUUCUAAAGUUAUAAGCACCCACAAAAUGAUUCCAGAUAAAGUUUUACACUCAAGGUCAAACCCAAAUGAAAUUAAAAGUUAGGACUUCACAAAACCAAUUGAAAAUCUGAUUCCAAAGUUCCAAACACCCACCAAAUGAUUCCAGAUAAAGUUUAAACUCAAAAACCCAAUAGAAACAAAAGCACUGGUAUAAAUUAACUGUAUCUAAUUGAAGAAACUAAAACAAAAGUAAAGCAAAGUAUAUACCUCAAAAUGUCAAGCAACUAAGUUCUUCCUCCGACGACCCAAAACUCUGAAAAUUCCACACAAAAAAAAAGGCAAAUCCAUUAGCAAUUCAUAGCUUUCAAAAUUAGCAAAAACUUGGGCAACAAUAAAGAUGUGUCUAGAACCAUCAAUCUUUCUCCUUAUGCAUUUGAAAAGAUAUGUUAUAAGCAGUUUAUGUAGUCAUUCUGAACAUGUUGCAUAUAAAUUCCUUUUCUACAGGGUUCAAAAAAAUAUGGCAGUUUAUGGAAUCUGUUGAAUGACAUAGUUGAAAGAUUUAAAAUUGAUACAUUCAAUUUUUAUGUGUAAAACUAUAACAUAUAGCUAAAGCUAUUGGGUCCAUAUCAGUCAUGUCGUAAUUGAAUGUUUAUCGAUGUAAAUAGAUGAUUUCAGUCAUGGGAUAACAUGUUUCUUGAUAGUAUACGCUGAAGUUUGGUCUAAGUUGGAUAUAAAUCGACCAAAAUCUUAAUAAGAGACUUUUUUAACUUUUAACCAAAAAAUGAGCACCACAAUACUACACUUAUAAGUUUUAUCAUGCACAAAAUACACAGCACUGAUUGCCACUUUUAGAGCAAGAACAAUACUUUACCAAAAGAAAACAACAAAACACCCAAAACCCAGAAACAUAAACACACUUAGGACUCAAACUCCUCAAAAACAUGAGAAAGAGAGAGAGUGUGUGAGGAGAAAGAAUAAAAAAAAAAAUUAUUUUUCACACAAACUCAAAAUUGCUUAUAAAAUUACAAAUGAAUGCAAAUCCAAAAUUGCCCUAAAUUAAAUCUGAUUAGUUAAAUGUUUGUUGCCCCAGAAAUUUCGUUACACCUCACAAAACUUGCUUUGAAGUUGAUAUUUUGGUCAAUCCAGGGGAAAAGGAGUUAUUGGUUUUGGAGCAGUUGUCAUGGAGAAUACCAUCUCCCUGUAGAAUGAUCUAAAAAAGGACUUACAGCUUAUGGUGGCCAUAAUAAUUUAGGAGGCCCUUCUCUCCAAAUUUUCUCAAUAACUUUCCUUUUCGUAGCUGGUAAGAUUGCAACUCCGAGAAUUGCUUUGAAGAGAUAUACACAAACAAAAUACCAAAACUAAGCUAUUGGAAGAAAUUUAGAAAACACAAGCACCAUUACAACUCAGAGUUAAAAGUCAACAGAAACCAAAUGGUACAAGUUGAAAAAAUAUAUGGUCAUGAAUCGAGAACUUCAUCAAACUAACAGCAAUAAAAUCUCAUAUAAUCCGUCAAAAACCAAAAAAGAGAUUCAAGACCUUGUAACGUCGAGGCCUCGUACAGUUGUAGUAAUAAUUUAUGGUUGAUGCACCUGUUGCUCAAUCAAAUCCUUCGUCUGGCUAAAAAAAUAAAAAUCUAUAAAUACAUUCACGUCCAAUUUAUGAGAAAUCAUGGGAAAGAAAAUGUGAAUAUGAAGAACUUAACAAAAAGAAAAAGAAAACUUCUUAUAGUGUGCUAAGAACAUCCUCCUACUCCUAGCAAAUUUUUUAUGGCAUUAUCCACUUCUCAAUUCAUAAUUCAACCAGUAACUCAAAGUCUAUAGUGUAUGAAAAAGUGAUAUCUUAGUUGAUCACGAUGAUAAUCAAAAAGGAAGAAACAACCAAACAAAAUUAUUAGGUCUGGGAUAUACCUUUAUCUGAAACACCACAAUCAUCAAAGUGAAACACAAACAAUCCAAAAAUUUGUGGAAAAUACCAAUAAAUGCUCAACUAAAAACGAAAGAAAAAGUAGAAUAAGUUUACCUGUUCCUCCCCUAAUUAAACUGCAAUACAAUUCACCACUGAUAUUCUCGUCAUCCUCUUCAGCCUGAAAAAUUUAGUAGAAAAUAAUGGUAAGAAUCUAGCAGUAUUUCCAUUGUUCAAAACCCAAAUUCCAGAAAUCAUGAAAAAUGGAAACUUUAUAUGGAAAUUGAACCCCCAAAAUCACAAAAAGGAAAAUUGAACAGAAAAUAAAUUUGCAAAUCCAAAAUCACAAAAACGAAAUUGAAACACCCACACUGAGAAAGCUGUAAAACUCACAAGGAAACGCUAGCUUUUCUGGGUAAAAAAAAUUGUUCGAAUCGAAUUGAAGAACCGAGGAAAAUUCUACAGGUUCAGUGGUUUUUCCAGCAAGAAAGCACCUUGUUUGUAAGUCGUGAGAGGUUGGAGAGCGAGAGAAGCCGAUUUGGGAACCAAAGAAAGCGAGGUUGGAGACCGAAAGAGGCUGCGAAUUGCGAGAGAGAAAAACGAAAAGGAAAGGAAAAGCGGAGAAGAAGUCACGAUUAUCGACGCGUGGGUAGGAUUCCACUGUGAGAGGAUUGCAUUCUUUUAAGAGUGUUUCCUUAUUACAAUUUUAUGCUACUAGAUCCAUCCUAUUGUUCCAUUUCUAAACUUUAUAUUAUAAUAUCACCCAUCGUAAAAAAUUAAAAUCCUAUUAAUCCACCCCAAUUAUUUCUAAAAUAACCUCAAAUAUCUAAAUCCAUUUUUAUUUCACCCCAAUUGCAUGAUCAGGCCUCGAUUUGAAGCUAGUUGACGUUGGCCCAAAUGCCAAAUUGUUUGAAUUUCCAAUAAACAUAUUAUAAUUAUAAAAGGAUGGUGAAGAUAUGAAUCAAAUUUGAAAGAGAGAACAUUACUUGGUGAAGGAGGUGAUAGGUGAUGUUGGUAUGGGUUAUGCAGUCACCAUUGGACAUGAGAGGCUUUCUCCUCAAAAUUCCUUCUACAUCUACAGCAUGCAAAUCGAAUGAUGAUAGGUUUAUCGAAGCCCUAAUACCAACUUUAUGACAAAUCUGAACGGACCAAUAAACAACCAUGGAACGAUCUUGAGACGCGACCACUGCGCGUGAGACUCAACCAGGAAUAACUAGACCAUCAGCCGCCGUCGUCAAUAUUGUAGAGGUAGAUGGUGGGUCCGAGAACUCGAUUUUCUUGGAGCAGUUUGAGAUUGACGAAGGGACCUGACGAGGGGUUGGGGUUGUUGGUGACCGAGAGUAUAUGGGUUUGACGAUGGUGGUGGUGGUGGUGGUGGUUUGCAAUCUCUCUCUUUCCUUUUCUUGGGGUUGGACAUUCGGGUGACAGCCGCCUUGGGAUCGGAUGUCAAUGGGGACGUGCUUGAGAGCCAUGAUGACGACGCGAGCGUGGGUGGGGAGAAUUUUCCAGGUCCUUUGAUGUAAUUUUACAAAAGGGUAAAAAUGGAAGUAAAAAAAUUAUAAACUAGUGGGGUGGGAAGAUAAGACAACGGGGUUGUUGUGGUCUAUUUUUAUCUGAUAAAGCAAUAGGGCCGGCGGCAGGGGGAGAGAGAAAAGAGAGAUGUGUGUUUGUAGAAUUGUAGGGGAAUGUGUGUUGUUAUCUCUCAUACAUUGUGCCUUUAUUUAUAGUAGUAAAAGGAGAGAAGAUAUUCCUUCUUCUCCAAGUAAUAUAAGUUGUAAUAGGAAAGAAUAACUAGAAUCAAAUCUAAUAUAGGAUUUACACAAUUUACAAGUUGUUAUCCCUCCUACAUUGUGCCUUCUUCUUCAUAAGAGUUUGAAAGAAGUAUGAAAUAUUGACUUGUUGAUGAUGAAGUUGAUAGUGAAAUGUAGUAACGGUUAAUUUAACAGAAUUUUUAACGGAUGUAUGAAAUUAAAAAAUAAUAUAAGUAAAUGUAUGAAAUUAAAAUGUUUUAAAGAAAUUGUAUGAAGUUGCAAUUGACCCCAAAUACGAGAGAUAAAACAUAAUUUACACAAAAAACAAAGAUCAGAUUUGUAAAAAUGCACCACAUAGUAGUUAAAACAUCCGGACGUAAAUGAAUGGUUUGAGAUACCAUCAUAGUAGCAUCUUUCAGUGUAAGUUUUUCUCAUAUCGGAUCACUUACCAGUAGAAAAGUGUAAUACCGUGUCGGGAAAGGAAGUCAAUGAUGAAAAGAGAGCAAUUUAGCUUUAAAAAUAAGGAAAACUAAUGAAAAGAGUUUGAAAACUUUGCGUUUAAUGAUAAGGACAAAAUAAAAGGAUAAAGUGAAUAGUACUAUGAUUGAUUUUUUAGUGUAAAAAUAUGGUUUUUCGUUAAAGUUUCCUUAAAAAUAUUGCGUCCUCCGUAUGAUGUUUGCAACAUGUGUCGCCAGAGUAUCAACUUGAAGCUCUCCACAUCUCCGUCGUCAAAUGUUUUGUAAGCAGCAUUGUUUAAGUUCUCUCUGUCAGGGAAACUGCAGAUGGGUUUGAUGAAGAAGAAUGGAAAAUAUAAUUUUUAGAAAAUGAGAAAGAAAAUUAUAAAACUUCAUUAAUGAAAUUUCUUUAUCAACAAAAAAAGAUGAAAAUAUAUCUUUGUCUUCUAUCACAACAAAAAAGUUAAGGACAGUAACGUAAUUUUACAAGAUAAAAUUUUACUUUUUUUUUAAAUCUCACAUAUAUGUAAGUUUAUCAUCUUUAAUUUAAAAAAUAUAAAAAAACCUCUCUUCCACGUUCUCUCUCACUCUCUUCCUCUCCUUCAAAUUUAACAACCAAAGUAAAAAAAUUCAUACGCUUUGUGUGUGGACAUAUACUAGUUGAAAUUUAAAAAAGGAGACUUAAAAAGAGAGAUUUAAUAUUUUCUAGGUUGUCUUGGGAGUUGGCAAUGACAGUAAGAGAGGAGAAUCUCGGGUUCCACUGGAAAGGAGGAAAUUUUUCAAAGCGAGAAGGUAGGGGUUUUUUCACUUGCUCUCUUGGUCUUUGGGCUUUUGGAUUGGAUUGGGACAAUUCCAAUUACCCCAUCCCAACUUACGACUUUUUAUCGGUCUAUAUUGGCUAAAGUGAACGUACUAAAAUAGAAAUUUGAGAACUUGAAUUAAGGUCUUGAAUUAGCGAAUGAAUGUCCAGUAAGAAUGUCAUGUAGUCGGACUUGUAAGGCUACCCUUAAUAAGUAGUCACGUUUGUCAAAACUGGUCUAUCUGAUUAUAAUUGUAACCAUAUUAUGUGUGACACAUGAUCAAACUUGAAGGGUUGUCCAAUAAGAAGUUGUCAUGUUGUCAAGCGUAGGGCCAAAGGUGAGCACUUUCCUACCAAAGUGUUUUCUUUUUCCCCUUUUCAAGGGAUUUGUGUCACCAUUAGAUAGGAGAUUCAAACACAAGACCUUGAAUUUAGAGGCAAACGCUUUAAAAAAGCUUCUCUGAUUCAUCUCCUCUGACUUUGACGGGUUCCACUUCGGAUUCUGCAUUGACAGGAAACCGAAGCCAAAGAUAAAGAUCCGUUCUGAUAUACAGAAAGUAAGAUGAUUAUCAACUGUAGGUCUAGUAGAGGCUGUAAUUGUUCUGUCACUUUAUAGUAAGGAAUCUUGAGCAUAAUUAACGAACCUGAUCCUUGUCCACCAAAACUGCCGUACACCUUCAGCAAAAUCAUUCCGCAAAUACAAUCUUAUAGCAAUGCGAUAUUCAGUUUCAUCACACCAGUUAGUAUUGGUCAAGUAAAGCACAUGUUACUUUCUGAAAAUUUGAAAUACUACAACGCAAAACCUAUCAAAAAGAUGCAACCAUGUGAUGCAAGAAACGAAAAGGUAGAAAGUCCAGACUCACUGUGGAUAAUUGAUUGUCAUUUUUCCCAAGCGCAGAUGCAAUUUUAGCGAAUUAAUUUUGUCCCAAAGAAAGUGAGAACGGAGCUCCCUUUCCAAGACAUUAAAGAGCUUCAUUAGCCCACUCACCACUGCAAUAGAAACAAUUUGAUACAAAAUACUUGACAGCAACCAUACAAGCCGCUCAAUAGACAAAUGACAUUGACAAACAUACCAGUAGCAUCUGAACCUGCUGCUGCUUUUUAAGUUCAUCAAUUGUCUCAAGAACCGACUUAUUUGCACCAAACGCUGAAGUUAUUUGAUGUAAAAGACUUGAGUUGCGCUUCAGAAUCUGGGUUGCUGGUGAAUUUCGCCGCAGUUGUUUCAAUGUCCCCAUGGGGAUCCUAAGAACCGUAUCAACAAUGGAGUAUCUUUUAUCUCAAGAACGCAUUGGACAAUGGAGCAUCAGAAAUUGCGUCUGAGGAUAGAAAAGGCAUACCUGCAGAUCCUCCUCCCGUACUCCUUGCCGCUACAUGUGAAAACCCAUCUGGCAUAGCAAGAACAGUCCUCUGAAAUGUAUCCAUACAAAGUUAGACGCACAAAAUUUGAAAAGCCAUUGCAAUGUAAUUGACAACAUUGACAAUCUCUGUCUGACAGGGCAAAAUACCUUUGUAAUGAUCCGGUAGUGACCGUGACCUGAUAGGUCAACACCAAAGACCAUUGUUAUGCGAUCAAUGAAGCUUAUAAAGGGCUUCUUGUACUCAGAGAUUUUGCAUAUUAGAGAAUACUCAGCAGUGGAUACCUGAACGCAGCACAAAUAUCAUAUCGUUAGCCUCUCAAUAUUAAGAAAACUACAAAUGGUAGCUUAGAAAAGAAAUGAAUCCUCUCCAACCAAAUACAAAUCAUAUUACCCCAAGUUCAAGCAAAAUCAAGACUAAACAAAUGAUUAGAUGUUGUAGGUUGCCCGAGAAUGUCAACCAUGAAAUUACAAAAGAAAAAAAUAACUGUAUGUAUUGAACAUUAAUAAAUACAUGCUGAAAGCACAAUCUCAGCCGCAAUUUAUGACAUUUAUACGAGAUUGAAUCGCUAAAGCAAUUGAAGAAAUUGCAGAGCUCAUAUAAGUGAUUUUCACUUUGAAUUUUUAGGCUUAUCAACAAAUACAUCAUUACGAUUCUAAUGCAUGAAUUUUGUUAAAAGGGGCUUGCUUGCUUGUAUUAAGGCUUAAUCAUCAAUGAAUUUGCAAGAAGCAAUCGAUUUGCUAGUUGUAAAUCUAUUCACUAAUUACCAAAAUUACAUCUAAACGGUAGUGAAGGAAGUCAUCUUAUAUUAUCUGGAUUUUAGAAAACUGUGUAAGGUUAUAAGUCUGUUAUUAUAUAUAGUUAAAAGGGACACAAUUAGACCUCAAUCAUAUUUGGUGGUUGGUUUUUGGCCAUGAUCUGCUUCACAUCACCCCCUGCAAACAAAAAUGAACACUAAGAGAAACAAUAAACAAAUGACAUGAAACAACACGAACAUCAAAGACCAACAAUCUAUCACGUAAGUACCUAAACAAGAAACAACUUUAGUUCAAAGCAAAGCGUAAUGUAGAAACCUUCGGCACAAGAGGUGUGUUUUUGUCCUUUUGAAUUUCGGCAACAACCAUUUUAAUGUCCUUUCCUGCAAUUACCAUGAUUGGUCACUCUCAAAACCUUACCUAAGAGACCCAAAAACAAAAAUAACCGCCGAAAAAUUUAUUUAACUACAUGCUAAAAUGGAAGUGUAAUAUUGCCAAGAAAGAUAAGAAACUAUUCAAAUACAGAUUCUGGGCUUACCGCACAAAAGGCACGAGCCUAGCGGCUACCAAAAAGAACACACUUCACAUUUGGGUGAGAUUCCCAUUCAUCCAGAUAGCUCUUGUAUUUCACAUCCAUAUCUGCAUUUUCCAACAAUUCCCACUUAAACAGAAAUACAAAAUUCUUUGAAAAAAAGCUAACUUCUUCGAAAUGCGAAUCCAACGUUUCGUCUUAUAACAAAUGCAAUAACAUAGAUUUGUAAUCAAUACGAUGCCAUAAAGUUCAAGCUCCAAAAUUCAAAUCAGCUCCAAAUCAAAAGCAUUUACAGAUAUAUACAUAUAUACAUGUGUGUGUGUGUGUGUGUGUGUGUUUAUCUACAUACCUAGGUUCAUGGCGUUGAGAGCUUGGGGGCCGACCGAGGGUGAUGACGGCGACGCCAUUUGGGUGGACGCUGCCCUUGACGAACGCGUCGGCGGAGGCCAUGAUCCCGAAGGGGCGGAGGAGGCGAGGGGAUUUGGAUGGUUGGAAAAGAGAAAGCUUCGAAUUUGGAUUGAGGAAGAAGAAAGCGGACGACGAUUUGCUCAGAAUUUAGGUCGCUCCUCCCAAUAAGCUUCCCAUUACUUCCGGUCGGGAGUGACUGCAUCAGUGUAGAGAGAUAAAGAUAUUUUUGGUGCUUCUGGGCCGGACUACCCUUGAUGUUUCGGUUAAAUAACCGGGAAAAACAACUGCCGCAGGGAAAUUUGAAAGAGGCGUUUGACGAACUGAUUGUGAUCUGACUCAAACAUGUGAUGAUGACGAUGCAUCACCACCUUGAUUGUGUCUCUGGAUGAAAAACCUACCAUCAAGAUCAAAAUCGUGCAUAUUUUCCUUCAUAGGUUUGUCCCAUACUAGAUUAACCCCUAUUCCCUUAGCUUUCGCAUAAUUAAAUGCAUUAGUUUUCGCAUAAUUAAAUGCACCGCCUUUCAUUGGUAUUUCAAAAGUUAUAUCAACUUUAUCCCCGCUUUGCAAAUUGAGCUUAUCGUUUGAUAUUUGACCUUGCCAAAGAUAACAGCUUUCAAAUACAAUAUCGCGCAUUUUUGUAACCCAAUCUUCCUUGCCUAUGCAAGUCUGUAACUCAGUACGCUUGGUAUUAUUUAUAUCAAUACUAGCACGAGGAUGACCAUCUUUACCUCUCAUAUAAGGUCUUGGCCGAUCAAGAUAAGAGCGGUAAAAGCAUAACAGAGUUAGCCCUUCAAAACUACGACCAUCACCCGGGGGAAUAUCAAAGCUAACUUCAUUACCAUCAUUGACAAACUCGAACCAAUCAGGAACAUAAUUCCCAUUGAGAAAAAUGCCACCAUAUCCGCAAGAAGUCCAUCCCUAUAUAUAUAUUGCAAGUGUCAUAACUAUAUACAUACAUGUACAUGUGUGUUGUGUGUGUGCAUGUGCGCAAUAGGAAGACAAUUAAAGAGAGAGAGAUACCUUUAGGACGUUCCUCCUUAAAUCAGCCGUGAGUUUGGUGCACUUACUCAUAUCAAUCCAUGUCAUGGAGUUUAAUGACUUAUCCAAGUCUGGAACCUCAGUGAGUUCGUGUGAAUCACAUACAUUCAGUUCCCUCAUAUUUGACAUUUUCGAAAAAUUGGGCAUUGUUACCAAACGAUAGCAACUAGAUGCAUCCAGAAAUUUCAAAUUUGUUGGUAAAUCAUAGAUUGUAUGAAGCUGGGAGCAAUAACUUAACCACAAACUUUCAAGUUUUGAAAGACCACUGAGGCUGGGUAGGGUAUGAAAAUAAUUGACUGAGAGAUCUAAAUUUCUUAAAGAGUCUAAGCCGUGUAACGAAUCGGGAAAUUGCAAAGGAAACUUCGAUCCCACAAAAUUAUUGAGAGAUAAAUGAGUGAGAUUCUUCAAUCUUACUGUGGAACGCGGUACUUGUCUUAUGGCUGUAGUAGAUGCUUUAAGUACUCUCAAUGAUAUCAUCUUCCCUAAACCCUCGGGCAAUUCACUGAAUUGCCAACAAAAAUCAAGAACAAGAGUCUGAACGGAUUUGGACCUGUAGAAAUCCCCAGGAAGAGAAAUAAGAUUCUUGCAGCGUGUGAGGUUCACCAAAGAAAGUUUUUUAAGAUGACCAAUGGAGGGGUGAAUAUCGGACAAACUCCUACACCUUUCCAAUAUCAACUCUUCAAGAUUUGGGAGAUUUGAAAAGUCUGGUGAUUUUUUUAAGUCAGAGCAACUUCCAAGAUUAAGGACCUUCAAGUUUUCAAGUGACUGUUGCACAAAAUCAAAGAAAAAUUAAAAUUAAUAUCCAAAAGGACUAUCUCAGAAAAAAAGAAGGAAAUCCAAAAAACAAAUACAAACAUAACAUCAUCAUGUGUAAUCGAUUGUACCUUGGAGCCCUCCCAAACUUGUACCAGGUCGCUAGAUGUUAUCUCUAAAAUAACUAGUCUUGGUUGAUCAAAGAAGUCAUCUGGUAUGGACUUUAAAGGGCAUCUUUCCCAACACAACCAUAUUAACUCCUUGGGGAGAUGUUUGUAUUCUCCAUUGAGCUGCACGUUGUAGAGCUUGAGCAGUCUCAGUUUCUUCAUAUUGGCAAAUGCUUCUGUACUGAACCCAGGCAUGUUAGACCUUGGAGGCCAAGGAGGAGGGAUACCUAGAGCAAGUCCUUCAACUUCUUCAGUUCCCUGUUAACAAAAGGUUAUAUUCAUGUGUAAGAAACGGAUUAUUUGCAUACGUUUACAUGUAUGAAUACAAGCAAGUACUAUUGUUGGCUAAUUGAGAUGAAUGUUAAUGUAUAAUACACAUCCGUGAGUUAUAUGUGCUUUUCAUGUACAAUGCAUUAAUUCAGAAUUUUAUUGGGAAUGUACUUACAGAUUUAUCUCUCAAUACUUUAAUGACCUCUUGCCGGUUCCACAACCUACUCCACUCUCCAGGCUGACGAGGGGAUUUUUCAGAAAUGAUUAAUUUGGCCAUUUCUCGAAGCAAAUCAUGCAUAUUCAACACGUUGUCUUCAACAGUUAUAAGGCAUCGUUCACGGAGGUCACUGAUUCCUAUUGUUGCAAAAAAGUUACAUCCAUCUAAUAUUUUUGCGACAUAGUCCUUAUCCCAUCCAAUAAAGAAACAAGAAAUGUCAAGGAAUAUAUCCUUUUGUGUAGGAUCUAGCCUUUCAAAGCUUACUCUUAGCGGUUUCAUUAUUCCUUUAUCAGGAAAUUUUUUCAAUUUCUCCAACUGACUUUUCCACUCUAUUGGGGUUCUUUCAAUCAUAGAAGAACCUAAAACUUCAAGGGCUAUUGGCAAACCACCACAGUAAGAAACAACCUCUUUUGAGAGUUCAAGAUAUCCUUCAUUAGGCCAACUCUUUCCAAAGGCAUGCCAACUAAAGAGCUUCAGAGCUUCUUCUUCAUUCAUUUCCUUAAGCGGAUAUGUCUUGUCCACUUUCAUGUUCACUUGCUUUAGUAAACAUUCAUCUCGUGUCGUUAUGAUAAUUCUACUUCCUGGACCAAACCAAUCACGAUUUCCAGCUAUGGCAUUUAGUUGUUCCACUUUGUCUACAUUGUCAAUAAUGACAAGUACGCUUCUACGUUGGAGAUGAUUUUUUAGCAAACUGAUACCUCCAUCAACACUGGUUAUCUUAGACUCAGUCUGUUUCAAGAUGUCAGAAACAAGCUUUCCUUGCAAAUCAACCAAAUCAUAUUCACUAACGUUGGCAAGGAAACUUUUGAAUUGGAACUUAUGAUGAAUUUGGUUAUAAAUGGCUUUGGCAGCUGUUGUUUUACCUAAUCCACCCAUCCCCCAAAUUCCAACCAUGACAACGUCAUUUGAUCCACCACCUGAAAGAUGAUUGAUAAUAUCUUGAACGCGAGAAUUGAUUCCAACCGGGUGCUUGGCCACAUUUAAUUCGUUUGCACCCGGAAGCCAUUCCGUAAUGAUCUUGCCAACAAUUUCUCUAAUAAGCUUUGCUUCGCGCCUAGAUGUUGAAUUUGUAAGCAUUAGCGGGACUCAAUGAACAGUAGGAGCUAUUAGUACAUAGACAAUUUUCUUUCCUUCAUACAUAUUCUAACUAGCUACUAGCUAGCAUGUGAUUUUUUUACCAACUUGAUAAAAGAAAGAAAUUCAUUCAUUAAUUAAACUCCAAUUACGGUUUAGGUUUUAUAUGAGAGGUUAAGGUGUAUUAAUUAAGCAUGUUAAUUAUAUGAGAGAUUAAGUCAUUCACUAAAAUGUGUCAAAUCUUUAAAAGCAGGUGAAUGAUUACCCAUUGUCAAUGAUUUGAAGAUGUUGGCCAGACAAAUUUGCAGCUUCUGUAAGAGCCUUUCUCCAUUGCUUUACCCUUUCUUGUUUAGCUUCACGUUCCUUGUCAUCUUUUUCUUCACGAAUGCCCUCUUCGUGCUUCUGAAAUGCUUGAGCUAAAUCUCCGUUCUGCUUCCUAACAUGUGAAGGAUCAACAUGAUAGAAUAUUGGCAAAACACGUCGCCCCAGUUUGUAUCUGCACUUCAUGAUCUUCACCAGCUCGUCAAGACACCAACUCGAGUUCGCAUAACUCUUUGAGAAGACAAUGAUAGAGAUCCUCGCCUCUUCAAUUGCCCGGAACAGUUCCUCUUUUAUUUCUUCCCCUCUUUCUAGAUCGUCCUCAUCGAUAUAAGCCUGGUAUCCCCUCUCUGUUAAUGCCGCAUGGAGGUGGCCCGUGAAGCCAUUGCGUGUGUCCACACCGCUGAAGCUCAAGAACACGUCGUAAUUCCAAAGUUUUGACUUGGAGGAGGAUGACGAGGAGGCUUCGUGGGUUGUCAUGGGGGUAUCCACCGUUAUGGCACUGCAGUGGUUCAGAUCACGACUGAAUUAAGGAAUGCACAACUUUACUUUUAUGAUUAUUUUCAAUGACAGCUAAAGGUCAGAUCCAAAUGAAAAUAAAAGUUAGGACUUCACAAAACCAAUAAAAAAAUAUAAUUCCCAAGUUACAAAUACCCACCAAAUGAUUCCAGAUAAAGUUUUAAACUCAAGGUCCGGCCCAAAUGAAAUUAAAAGUUAGGACUUCACAAAACCAAUUGAAACAGAAACCAAAUGGUAGAAGUUGAAAAAAAUAUAUGGUCAUGAAUCGAGAACUUCAUCAAACUAAUAGCAAUAAAAUCUCAUAUAAUAUGUCAAAAACCAAAAAAGAGAAAGAGGUAAUUUCAAGACCUUGUAACGCCGAGGCCUCGUACAGUUGUAGUAAUAAUAUAUGGUUGAUGCACCUGUUGCUCAAUCAAAUCCUUUGUCUGGCUAAAAAAAUAAAAUCUAUAAAUACAUUCACGUCCAAUUUAUGAGAAAUCAUGGGAAAGCAAAUGCACUGAGAACGGAAUCAUGAAUAUGUAGAACUUGCCAAAAAGAAAAAGAAAACUUUUUAUAGUGUGCCAAGAACAUCCUCCUACUCCUAGCAAUUUUUUAUGGCAUUAUCCACUUUUCAAUUCAUAAUUCAACCAGCAACUCAAAGUCUAUAGUGUAUGAAAAGGUGAUAUCUUAGUUGAUCACGAUGAUAAUUAAGUAGAUUAAAUGACGACCCAUAAAGCAUACAAAUUCAGAAAAGAAAAGGUACGAAACUGCCAUAAGAAAACGCAGAAUAUAUAAACCGGAAAUCAAAAGAAGAGAAGCGAAAAAGGAAGAAAAAAAAAACCAAACAAAAUUAUUAGGUUUGGGAUAUACCUUUAUCUGAAACGCCACAAUCAUCAAAGUCAAACAUAAACAAUCCAAAAAUUUGUGGAAAAUACCAGUAAAUGCUCAACUAAAAACGAAAGAAAAUGUAGAAUAAGUUUACCUGUUCUCCCCCUAAUUAAACUGGAAUAACAUUCACCACUAAUAUUCUCGUCGUCAUCCUCUUCAGCCUGAAAAAUUUAGUAGAAAUACUCAAUGAAGACGCUUAAUGUAGACAGUAAUAUUAGCAAUGGAGGAAUUGAAUUGAUAACCAAAACUGCAAGACCAAAUGACUAUUUAGGUUCAAAACAGAAACUCGUCUGCUAGAUGUCUCAUCUUUAGGCAGUGCCUUGUUCUUGUUUUUUUUUCUUUUUUUUUUGUUGUUGCAUGUCUUGUGAAGUUCAUGUAAAUCAACAAAAUUGAUACUUUUGACACAACCAACAAUGGAGAGGUAAAAAGUUAAAAACAUUAGGAAUGUCUUCAUUUUUGUAAUGGAUUUUGCAAGUCAGAAAUUCUGUUCGAGAAUUUGCAACCCAGAAAGUCCGCCAGAAAUUAUUAACAAUCACAGAUAAGCACCGAAUGAAGGCCAAUCUAAUAAGCCAAAAUAUGUAGGGCACUAAAGAAAUUACCCAGUAACAAUAAUAGAUAAGCACAUAUGAAACUAAAGAAAUUUUUCAUUACUAUCAACUCCCAAAAAAAAAAAAAAAAAAAACUGUGCAAUCCAAAAAAUGUUGAUACAUAGUUGGAGUAUCAAUGCCUGAAAUUGGUAUUUGAACCACGAAUAUGUUUGUUAGCUUAAAGGUUUGGGUUGAAGUUGUGAAAGGAAAUGUAAUUUCUUAAAAGAAGGAGAGAAUGCAAAGAUGAAUACAGAAUGGUUCAUGUGGCCACCUUGUUAAGGCACAGAAAAAGACAUCAAAUUUUAUACUUGUUGCAUCCAAGGUAUGCAACAGCCUCCCACAGAAAUUACAGAAAUCAAAUCAAGAAAAAAGAUAAUUACACAAUAAUUACACCUUCACUAAGAAAAUAAAUUAUAAAAACGAAGACCGUGAGAAUAAUUACCUUACCUUUGUACGGUGAUUGGCUGCCAAAAAAAAAAAUAAUGUCAUAUACAUUAAGCCUGCCAAUUACUAAAAACAAAACAUUUUGCCAUGAGGAGAAGUAAGAACAUACCGAAACUUGUUUGCAAAUAGAUGAGAAAAACUUAUUCCUGAAACAGAUGGAAAAUUUAUUAGGAAAGAUAAAUCAGCCCACAUGUGUGUAAUCUAUAUACAAAAAACCACUCUCUUCAAUAGCCAAAUCGUUUCACAAAUCCAAAAACACAUAAUUAUAUCUUGAACAAUGCCAAUUAAUGAUUUCCCAUUUACUUAAGCCAACAACAAAGCCAAUGAACUGAUGAAAGAGCAAAACAGAGAAACAAAAAACCUCAAUUAAGUAAUUAAAUGGAGUAUUACUUGAUAGAGCUGGAAAAUUACCCAGUUCCUCAGAGAGAGGAUCAAGAGUGACUGAUGAGAGUGCAGAGAAAAGAAUGAUUGAGAAAUUCAAGUUCUGAGCUCGAAGUUGGGGCUUCCACUUUCCAACUGGGGAAGAAAUAACAGAGAAAACACAGAGAGCCAAUCCACCAAAUAUUAAUCAAAUGGGUUUCUUCUAAUUCAAAAUUUGGACCACCCAAAUUCCAAUGAAGCAAUAACCAUUCAAAAUCCAACAGAUUGAAGCCCUCACAGACUACUAAUUAUCAAUACCCAGCAAUAAAAAAUUUGAAAACAGUAAUAAUGAAGGAAAAAGAAAUUAAAGCUGCAAGCCAUUCUCUAAAUCUCAGGCACCAAUCCAAAUCACCAGUAAUUUGCACAUAAUGAUAAGAAUCUAGCAGUAUUUCCAUUGUUUAAAAACCCAAAUUCAAGAAAUCAUGAAAAAUGGAAACUUUAUUUGGAAAUUGAAGCUUUACCUGCAGAUCAGCAGCAGCAAACGGAAUCCAACGGCAUGUACCUCAAAAGUGAGAGAGAGAGAGUUGAGAGAUGAGUGAGAGAAUCGAUAAACAAAACCCCCCAAAAUCACAAAAGGAAAAUUGAACAGAAAACAAAUUUGCAAAUCCAAAAUCACAAGAACGAAAUUGAAACACCCACACUGAGAAAGCUGCAAUACUCACCAGGAAGCUAGCUUUUCUGGGUAAAAAAAUUGUUCGAAUCGAAUUGAAGAACCGAGGAAAAUUCUACUGGUUCAGUGGUUUUUCCAGCAAGAAAGCACCUUGUUUGUAAUUCGUGAGAGGUUGGACAGCGAGAGAGAAAAACGUAAAGGAAAGGAAAAGCGGAGAAGAAGUCACGAUUAUCGACGCGUGGGUUGCAUUCCACUGUGCCAAGUUCGAAAAUGAACGGGGAAUGGGGAGCUUGGCCGAGGGAGACAGAAUUCGAGAAGCAGCGUUCUGAUUAAUUUUUUUUUUUUUUUUUUUAUGAGAGAGGGAAAGCGGAAUGAAGAGAAUCGAGAAGAGGAUGAACCAUUUCAAUUUUUAAGCGAUGAUCGACGCGUGGGACUUGAGGGCAAAUUUGCCAUUUUGCUGUGAACCCAUGAAGCAUCAGAAUACACAAAAGUCAAGACUUGGCUUGGUUUAUAUAAUUAAUCAAUAAUAUUCCUAACAAGAGCUAGGUCCAUAUAUUAUACGAACAAUACUUAGCUGCUGAAUUCCUACUUUCAACCAAUCAAAUUUUGACACGUGUCCAAAUAAUGAAAUUAUAAAUACAAAUUGAACACGUGUCCAAAUAUGAUUGGGUGAAAAUAGGAAUGGCUGUUGAAUUUUCAGCCGCCAAGUAUUGUUCUUAUACAAGGUUCUAAAUCUAAUAGAUGUUGUGGCUAGACGAGGCUUAUUGACUAGACGGAUUUAAGUAAAUUUAUUCUAUAUUAUAAAUAAAUGUUUUUUUAUACUUAAAAUGACACAUAAUUGUAUUGAGAUAUAUAAAUUGUAAAAUAAAAUAACAUAUAUAUUAUAAAGUAUUGGAACAUGAGAGAAAAGACCUAAAUGUGAAACGACAACUAUAAACAAUUAUUCAAGAUGAACGAUAAAUGAUUCAACCAUUUACAAGAUUCAAAACAUGAGAUCACGAUCUACUGAAUGAUUGCAUUAACUAUUAAGCGGUGCCCUAAUAUAAUACAUCCAAAUGGGGGUGGACCACAUAAUACACCCAAUGGAUCGUUUUUAAGCUACUCCACUGCUAAAACUAUUGCAAAAUGCGUUAGGAUUAUACUUCUAUUAGCUGCGCCUUUCCUUACUAGGCAAAUGGGGGUGGACCACAUAAUAAUGUUAAAACUGCUAUGUCUAUUGGGUUUCUCUGUUUAUUUCAUGUACUAGUUUAUGUUCCUUUUAUUGUAUAAAUAACUUGUACUUGGGAUGUUGCAGAACAAGUUUGAUUUGAAUGAAAUUACUACUAUUGAGUUAGCUGUCAAGCUUCUCUUUAUUCCAAGCUUGCAUUUUGUUCUACCUUUUCCAAUUCUCUACAUCCCUAAGAGGACUGUAUCAGAUGUUAUACACAUUGGAGUUUGAGCAGAAUUCUUUUUGUUAUCUUGUCUCACAUUGCUAGAAUUGAAAAGUUCAUAAUAUAAUAACAUUCGCGUAUGAACUUGAGAAACAACAUACUACUGGUUGGCCUGGAAGGUGCAGUGAAAGAGAGGAAAGGAAGAAAGAAACAAACACGAAAGGACAAGGACUAUCCAAUAGAUUAUAAACAAUGACUUAUUGGGGAUGAUUACGGCUAUUAAAUCAUCAAUAAUGCAUUAUUUUAGUUUGGAAUUUGGAAGCAUUUGAGAAGUAAAAUGACAACAACUACAUAAUAAACAAAGGUGAUUAGAAAAAAGACCCAAAUGUGAAAGAAUAAUUAAAAACAAUUACUCAAGAUUAGUGAUAAAUGAUUCAACCAUUUACAAGAUAUGAACUUAGAACAACAAUCUAUUAGAUUGUUGUAUUAAUGAUUAAGUGAUGCUCUAAGAUAAUAGAUCCAAAUGGGGACGGACCAUAUAAUACACCCAAAUGGAUGCAAUCAUGCCAUAUAUAAACAAUGUUUUGAAAGGACAAGGUAGCUAAAGCUGCCUUUUUAUAUAUGUAAGCAACAACCCUAAAUCUUACUGGAACUAAUUAACUAAUGUAUUUAUUAGACAGUUGGAUUCCUUAGCAAGUGGUUAACUAGUUUUGUUUAGUUUAGUAGUCAGGUCGUAAUUAAUUAGUCAAAUGAAAAUGCAUAUAACACACCCAAAUGGAUGCCAUAUAUGCAUACUAUUUUUGUUUAGUUUAGUAGUCAGGUCGUAAUUAAUUAGUCAAAUGAACCUGCAUAUAACACGCCCAAAUGGAUGCCAUAUAUGCAUAUAUAAACAAUGUUCUCAAAGGAUGAAAUGACUUUCUUGCCGGUAUGGGGGAAGAGGAAAGAAACUAGCACGAAACUGCAGACCCUAUCGAUCCAUUAUAAUAAAUUUCAAUGGUCCAAUUUGUAAGUUAAUUGUGCAACAUAAAAACUUAUUUACAGUUAUCAACUUAACCACGUACCUGUGAAAGACAUUAUCUCAGAAAACUAGGAUUAAGAACCAAAGUUCUCCUGGAACUCUACACAACUUAAGGCUCGCUCAAUGGGGCUUGAGUUUUUUGUAAACUUGCGUAUUUUUGGAAACGCAUCAAAUAGUAGUUAAAACAUCCGGCCGUAAAUAAAGGGUUUGAGAUACCACCAUAGUGAUAUCCCUCAGAUGUGAGUUUCUCACGUAUCAAAUCACUUAUUGUAAGAAUAUUAGUAGUGAAAGUUAAAUACCCGUGUUGGGAAAGGAAGUCGAUGAUGACAAGAGAGAAAUUUGGCUUGAAAAAUGUAUGAUACUUGCAACAUGCGUCACCGGAGUAUCAACUUGAAGCUUUCCAUCUCUCCGUCGUUAAAUGUUUCGUAAGCAGCGUUGUUGAAGUUCUCUAUGUCAAGGGGAAACUGAAGAUGGUUUUAAAUGAAGAAGAAUGGAAAAUAUAAUUUAGAAAAUGAGAAAGAAAAUUAUAAUUGAAACUAAAAAAAUAAGAAAUAAAAAGAGAGAUUUACUAUUUUCUAUGAGGUCUUGGAGUUGGCCGUGACAGUAAGAGAGGAUAAGCGAAUGAAUUGGGCCAAUUACUUGCUCUCUUGGACUUUGGGCUUUUGGAUUGGAUUGGGCCAAUUACUUACUUGGGCCCCAUCCCAACUUAUGACUUUUUGUCGGUCGGUAUUGACUGAGGUGAACGUGCUAAACUAGAAAUUUGAGAUUUUGAAUUAGCAAAUGAAUGUUAAGUAAGAGCGUCAUGAUCAGACUUGUAAGACUGUCUUUGUUGCGUUUUGUCAAAACCGGUCCAUCUAAUUACAAAUUGUAACCAUAUUAGUUGAGUAUAUAUAUGCUACAUCACAUUAGUGAAUAUUCAGUACGGGUGACACAUGGUCAGACUUGUAGGUUGUUCAUUAAGAAGUUACCACGUUCUCAAGAGUGGAGCUAGAGGGGAGCACUUCCCUACCAAAGUGUUUUCCUUCUCCCCUUUACAAGGGAUUUGUGUCACUAUUAGAUAGGAGAUUCGAAUACAAGACCUUGAAUUGAGAGGUCACACUUUUACAAAGCUUCUACGAGCACCUUCUUGUUUACCAAACUCAUUGAGACUAAAGGAGGUCUUAACGCCAUUUUGGCUAAUACUAUUCUAUAUAUUUACGAAUGGUUUUAAGUUUGGGUUUAAUUGGAUAAUCAGAGAGUAGUGCAUCAAACUAUGGAUAUUCAGAAACCGAAAGCAUAAUUCAUAUUCCUCCAACAAGUCCACGCAAAUAACCACAAUCAGAAUGUUAGUUCAUAACUGGCCAUAUAGAACGCAGUACAAAAGCACUAAAAGCGUCCAAGUGAAAGUGCUUUCUCCUCAUGCAGUUUCAUUUAACUUAGUUUCACAUGCCAGUCCGUCACACACUCAACUCCUCAACGUUCGGGUUCAAAGCAUUCUUUAUCCUUUCUGUACGAGAGACAAUAAAUUUAAAGUUCUUGUGAUGAAAUCAUGUAAAACAUUCAGAAAUCUUGAUUUAAUCCUUUCUCAAGAUCAUAGGUUGUGUCAUCUCAACUUAUAUCUUAGGUCUUAUGAGUGCUCGUAAUACACUAAUACGGCACUUGUUUUCUGGCCAGGACAGAAACAAAAUCAUGUAGGAAAUUGUCAUGACAAUAAAGGUCGUACCCAGUGCACAAGGCUCCCGCUUUAAGCAUGACAAUAAAGGAAAUUGUCAUGUAGGAAAUUGUCAUGACAAUGUAAGUGUAAAAUGAGACCGGAAAAACACUAAACAGGAUGACUAUGCUCUCUUAGCGUAAACCUUAACAACAAAGACUAUACCGUAUCUGUCACCAAGGGCGGAGCCACCAUAGGCCUAGGGGGGCGGAUGCCCCCACUGAGAUUUUUCUGAUGCUGGCAUGAUGACCUUCAGAUGCUUGAGAUUCGGCAAUGGUGGAGAGCAGAUCUUUCUAAAUUUCUUUGGAAAGAAGAGAUCCUAAACCAAGCACACAAACAAAAAUUUGAGAACAGCAAAUACAAAAAUUCGACAGUGAUCAAACCCAUCAAGCAUGCAUAUAUAGAUACAUGUUAUAUUUAUAUACCAUAGCAUCAUGAACUUUUAGUGUAAUUUUUCUGAAGCAGUCAAAACUUUCAAGAUAAUCUCGUGCUGCUCAAAUUGAUAUGGUUCUACAGCAGCAAAGCCCACACUGCGAUUUUUCUGGUUCUACUCUCCGAUCUGGUUCUGUAGAAGCAGAGCUGGGUCUUAUUUUAUUUUUUUUCAAAACCAAGCCAAAACGACAUCGUUUUGGUCCUGGUAAAAAAAAAUUUAAAAAAUGUAAACGAAACGGUGUCGUUUCGUAUAUGUUUGAAAAAAUAUGUUCGAGGAUGCCCCCAUUCACCCAAAUGUCUGGCUUCGUCCCUGUCUGUCACAGUGAUAUGCGACCAUAAGCCCAACUCCAAGGAUCAGCUUUCCAAGAACUUUGAAGGCUACAAAUCAAAAGUUACAUGCAGUGAUGACAUAAUCAUGAAAAAAUACAAUCAUAAAUUAAAGGAAAACAUACCGACUUCUAGUUCUGGCAAUUCACUAUUGGCCCAUAUAUUUGAACCACAAUAUGAUGGAUACCCAAUACAGAUCACAAAUAAAAUCUGAGCAGACACAAAGUAUUAUGUUUUGUUUACGCAAAAUCUGUAAGUUCUCAAGUAGGAUAAAUAAAGAUAAACAUAUCCCAGCAUAAAGACGACUUGUCCUGGCUAAUUCUAAGAAAGCUUGUAUCAAAUGUAUGAUAGUUAUUCAUAACUAACACAAACAACAGUUUGGCCAAACAUUACUGGUCUGAGCCAUAUACUGUGUGACCUCAGACAAAACAGAUCCCACAUGUACUCAGAUUAUGAUUGAUGUCCCAAUAGACUUUUAGGCGGUGCUCUGAUAUAAUACAUCCAAAUUGGGGUGGACCAUAUAAUACACCCCAAUGGAUCGUUUUAAGCUCCUACACUGCUAAAGCUAUUGCAAAAUGCGCAUUAGGAUUAUAUUUCUAUUAGAAGCGCCUUUCCUUACUAGGCAAAUGAACCAUAUAAUACACCAAGAUGGAUGUUAUACACGUUAGCGUUUGGGCAGAAUUUUUUUGGUUAUCUCAUUGUCUCACAUUACUAGAAUUGAAAAGUUUAUAAUAUAAUAACGUUCGAAUAUGAACUUGAGAAACGACAUACUGCCGGUUGGCCGUAAAGGUGCAGUGAAAGAGCGAAAAGGAAGAAAGAAACAAACAUGCAUGAAAGGACAAAGACUAUCCAAUAGAUUAUAAACAAUGACUUCUUGGGAUGAUUACAGCUAUUCAACCAUCAAUAAUGCACUAUUUUAGUUUGGAAUUUGGAAGCAUUUGAGAAGUAACAUGACAUCAAUCACAUAAUAAACAAAAGUGAUUACAAAAAAACCCAAAUGUGAAGGAAUAAUUAAAAAAAAUUAUUCAAGAUAAGCGAUAAAUGAUUCAACUAUUUAUAAGAUAUGAACUUAGAACAACAAUCUAUUGGAUCGUUGUAUUAACUAUUAAGUGGUGCUCUAAUAUAAUAUAUCCAAAUGGAGACGAACCAUAUAAUACACCCAAAUGGACCAUUUUUAGGCUCCACUGCUAAAAACUAAUGCAAAACGGGCAUUAGGAUUAAACUAUAAGAACUAGGAUUGCAGGGAAGACAAAACACGCAGGAAAGCUAUAAGACUACACAAGGUUUUCACUGUGAUUGCAUACCCUCAACGUUGUAGGGAGCAACCUUUUUAUAAUCACUUUUCAGAUUACAUCAGGGUUUCAAAAACCCUAUUAACAAGCUUACAUUUUGAAAUUCAAAUACUAUAACUAAUUCUGACAAAACAAAUAUUUAAAAAUUCAAAUGAUUUUAACAGAAGCUCUACUUGAUAAGUGUUGUUGACUGAGUAAACCAACUGAAGAGUUUCUGUUUGAACAGGAAACUUGACUCCGUCUAACAUAAACUUGUAUUAGCUAGCUUUCCUAGUCAAAUGAACCAUAUGAUACACCCAAAUGGAUGCCAUCAUGCCAUAUAUAACCAAUGUUUUGAAAGGACAAGGUACCUUAACACUGUCUUUUUAUAUAAUGUAAGCAACAACCAUAAAUCUUACACAAAUCCUGGUAAGUCUACCACAAGUGUCAAUCCUUAUCUCCUUAUCAUUCCACAUCACCAAGUGUUUGCUCUCGUAUAGAACUUACAAAAAUCUCAUUUAGUUUCAUCUAACUUAUUUUUCACAACGGUGAAUAUAUUUCAAUGGCUUGGUUUUCACAUGCCAGUCAGUCACAUGCUCAACUCCUCAAAGUUCGGGCUCAAUGGCUCGAAGAGAGCUUCCACUUCACUCUGAUUCACCUCCCUCUUACUUUGACGGGUUCCACUUCGGAUUCUGCAUUGACAAAAAACAGAAGCAAAAGAUUGUUGAGAGUUGUCCCACGUUGGUGAGGGACAAGGCUUGCUAUGUACUUAUAUGAAUUUGGGCUACUUUCAAUAUUGUCAAUUGGUUUUAUGGUGGAACCUCAAUUUCAUCAUGGUAUCAGAGCCAAGUUGUUGACGUGUGAAGCCCAAUGGCCACACGCACUUCACGUCACCUAGCUGUUGUCCACGUGUAGGCUUGAAAAUCCGUCACACGUGCGGGGACGUGUUGAGAGUUAUCCUACAUUGGUGAGGGACAAAGUUUAGCUAUGUGCUUAUAUGAUAUUGGGCAACUUCCCAUAUUACCAAUUGAUUUUAUGAUGAACCUCAAUUUCAUCAAAGAUAACGACCUGUUCUCAUACAAGGAAAGUAAGAUGAUUAUAUAACUGUAGGUCUAGUACAGGCUGUAAUGGUUUAUGUUGCAGCAACUCCGUCAGCAAGUGAUUUUCAAGUAAGGAAUCUUGAGCAUAAUUAACGAACCUGAUCCUUGUCCACCAAAACUGCCCGCACACCUUCAGCAAAAUCAUUCCGCAAAGACGAUCUUCUAGCAACGCGAUAUUCAGUUUUCAUCACACCAGUUAGCUGGUAUGGAUCAAGUAAAGCACAUGUUACUCACUCAGAAAAUGUGAAAUACUACAACACAAAAUCUAUCAAAAGGAUGCAACCUUGAAGAGCUUCAUUUGCCCACUCCACCACUACAACAGAAACAAUUUGAUAGAAAAUACUUGACAGCCACGUACAAGCCUCUCAAUAGAAGAGUAAGACAGAUUUCAUUUCAUCAUCGAUAAACAAAUGGCAUUGACAAACUUACCAGUAGCAUCUGAACUCUGCUGCUGCUUUUUAAGUUCAUCAAUUGUCACAAGAACCGACUUAUUUGCACCAAAUGCUGAAGUUAUUUGAGGUAAAAGACUCCUGAGCUGCGCUUCGAAUCUGGGUUGCUGCUGAAUUUUGCCACAGUUGUAAUUGACAACAUUGACAAUUGUCUCUCUCGCAAUAGUACCUUCGUAAUGAUCCGCUACUGACCUUGGCCCGAUAGGCCAAUACCAAAGGCCAUUGUUAUGGCCACGAAGCUUAUACGUGGCUGUCAAGCCCGACACGUGAAUAGCAUACUCUACUACUGUGUUACAUUGUGAGAAUUUUAUCCAAAAUUAAUUGACAAUAAGUGAAUAAGUUGAAAGAUUAUGUAUGACUUUAAUUAUGCAAAGAGUGAAGAGGCAAUUUUCACCAAACCCCAGUAAAAAAUUUGGGCCUCACAAAUCACUAAACCCAAUAUGCUUUUCUCUUAUGCCUUUCGUUCAUGGUUUGAUAUUCUGGCGUCCGAGGACCCUGACAUGACAAGUUCCAACCUUUUUGUUCAAUUUCUUGACGAAACAAUCACAUUUACCCUUACGGCACGGCACGGUUCCGGGCAUAGAAUAUGGGUUGGGUUCCGCCACAGAUCCAACACUAAUUAGCACUGUAGAGAAGGAAGUAAAGACAACUAUUGAUUUCUUACAACGUAGCGAGUCUCUUGACAUGACUCCUGCUGUUUUGUUCUUAUUUCACGUCCUGUUUCUCGAGCUUGGUGUUUCCGGCAGGGCCGGUCUAAAGAUUUUUGAGGCCCGGAGCGACGUAAAAAAAUAUGCCCUCACUUAUAUAAGAAAAUUAUUUGUUUUCACAUGUAAGACAUCGAUAAAAUUAUACUUACAAAAACACUUAAAACUUAAUAAUUUAGAAACAAGGAAAAACUAAUUUAUUUUGUAUCGUGAGAAUGAUCCAAAAAAACUCUGGGUUUACAAGUAGAUAGAUAUGGGUUUACAAGUUGCGGAUUGCUUUGCUAACUAUGAUGUUGAUCUGGCUGGGGUUCAUUGGUGAGAUUCUUGAUUUCCUUGUGCUACUUUGACAUAUCACCAUAAGUUGUCUUUUUUGCCUUGUUAUAGUUUCGUGUGGGGUUUUUUUUCUUCUUCUAAUGCUGAUUGGGUUCUUUUCUUCCAACUCCUGCCCACUCAUUAUUGUCUGAACCACACCUAGUAUUACCCUCAUAUCCACUAAAACUUCAAGCUUUACCAAUUUGUCACAAGCGAAGAUGGUAGCUCCCAACACCAAUGAGGUUCCAAACAAUUACGAUCGAAAACGCGAAGUGAAAGCUUUUGAUGAGACAAGGGAAGGCGUUAAGGGUCUUGUUGAUGCCGGGGUAGCCGAGGUUCCUAGAAUUUUUCAUCAACCACCACAAUUGGACGAUCAGUACUCCAUCAACAAUACAAGCACUGACUCAGAAGCCACCCAGUUUAGCAUUCCGCUAAUAGACCUUGAAGACCAUGGUAAUCCAACUAAGCGCAAUGAGAUUGUUGCAAAGUUGGAGAGGCAUCAGAGACUUGGGGCUUCUUUCAAAUAGUGAAUCAUGGGAUACCUGUAGGUGUUCUGGAGGCGAUAAAGGAUGGGGUACGUGGGUUUUAUGAGCAGGACACUCGAGUCAAGAAAGAGUUUUUACACUCGUGAUCACUCUAAACCUUUGUUUUACAAUAGCAACUUUGAUCUUUAUAGUUCACUGGCAACGAAUUGGAGGGAUACUUUUAAGUGUUACAUGGCUCCAUAUCCUCCUAAGCCAGAAGACUUGCCAGAAGUAUGCAGGUAUUUGACAACCCAAUUCUCUGGUUUAAUUGGUGACAGUAACCUGGUGCAGAUUCCUUCCUUGAUGGAUUAGAUCAUUAAACUCCAUACUUUUGACAAGUUUAAUGUGCUUUCCUGGUUUUCAACUUGCAGAGACGUACUGAUCGAGUAUUCAAAGCGAGUAAUGGAGUUGGGGAAAUUGUUGUUUGAGUUGUUGUCGGAGGCCCUUGGGCUAAAGCCAAGCCACUUGAAUAGCAUAGAUUGUAGUAAGGGGCUACAGGUUUUAGGCCAUUACUAUCCUGCUUGUCCACAGCCAGAGUUAACUUUGGGCACAAGCAAGCACGCUGAUGAUUCCUUCCUUACGGUCCUUUCUGCAAGAUCAUAUUGGUGGUCUGCAAGUUGUUGAUCGUCAAAAUAAGUGGAUUGAUGUACCCCCUGUGCCUGGGGCUUUAGUGGUGAACAUUGGAGAUCUUUUACAAGUAAGCACACGUAUACAAUUGCCCUUUUUUUUUCUCCCUAAAAACUACUAUUAAAUUAAGAGAAUAGUAUCGUAAACUAAGCUAGUUUGUUAAUGACUAAUACUCGAGACAAGCUUUGGUCGCAUGUUAGCGUUCUCUUAGAAUAUGUCUUAGAAUUCUUCGAUUAUCAUAAUUAGGUCUUUUAUGUUCAAUUCUUUUUGGGAUUUUCAGCUCAUAUCAAAUGAUAGAUUCAAAAGCGUAGAACACAGGGUAUUGGCGAACCGUGAAGGUCCAAGGAUAUCCAUUGCCAGCUUCUUAGCACAGGUUUGCUACCAUUUACAAAUCUCUAUGGACCUAUUAAGGAGUUGGUAUCAGAAGACAACCCUCCAAAGUACAGGGAGACUACUGUGAGGGACUACGACACCCAUUUCUAUGACAAAGGCCUAGAUGGAACCUCUGCCUUAUCUCAUUUUAAGAUCCCAACUUAGACAUGGAGGAGCACAGAAGCAGAGACCGCAACGAACAAAUCCUGUCUACUAAAUAAUUUGGCAUGAAAAUAUAUAUUGGUUUGUUUAAUCUGAAAGCACUUUCGCACCACAAAAUUCUGGAUAUGCAUAUUAUUUUGUUUUCUGUUUGCAUAUGGUCUAAUAUACUUGUAGAAAGGGUUGGGUUUCUACCCUUGCGUCUCAGGUACGAAACUUCCCCUCCUAUAAAUUAUUGUAAUAGCUUCGAACUCUCUAUCUUCCGCAAAAAAAAAAAAAAAAAAGGGGGGUUUUCUAACACUUCUAUUCAUCAUGUUUACAGUUUUUGUGGCAUGCGCUUAACGAAUUCAACUGUGGUUGUGGUUGCGGUUGCGGUUGCAUAUCAAUACUAUUAUACCAUAAGUGUGGGCUUGUUUGAGAAUGUUUUUGUUUGUAAGAAGCGGUUUUACACAGUAGUUAAAAUAUAUAUAUGUAGAAAGAAAACAUACAAGUUGGUUGACAAAAGGGGAAGAAAAAUUGAGAGAUACAGAGAAUAAGAAAAGAAGAAAAUCGAUGCAAAUUUUAAUAUAUAUGUAGUAGAUCCAGGUAUCCAAAGGAUUCGGGGCUAAUGUACCUGCAUUGAUGAAAAAACAAAGAUGAGAUUUUUUGAAACGCAUCACAUAGUAGUUAAAAUACCUGGCGGUAAAUGAACGGUUUGAGAUAACGCCAUAGUGGCAUCCCUCAGGUGUGAGUUUCUCUCGUAUCGGAUCACUUAUUGUAAGAAUAUCAAUAGUGAAAGUUAAAUACCCGUGUCGGGAAAGGAAGUCGAUGAUGACAACUGACAAGAGAGAAAUUUGGCUUGAAAAAUGUAUGAUGUUUGCAACAUGCGUCAUGAAAACUUAAGUGUCAUGAAAACUUAAGUGUAAAAUGCGACCGGAAAAACACUAAACAGGAUAGCUAUGCUCUCUUAGUGUAAACCUUAACAACAAAGACCAUACCGUAUCUGUCACAGUGAUAUGCGACCAUAAGCCCAACUCCAAGGAACACCUUUCCAAGAGCUUUGAAGGCUACAGAUCAAAAGUUACAUGCAGUGAUGACAUAAUCAUGAAAAAAUACAAUCAUAAAUUAAAGGAAAACAUACUGACUUCUAGUUCUGGCAAUUCACUAUCGGGCCAUAUAUUUGAACCACAGUAUGAUGGAUACCUACAAUACAUAUCAUAUCACAAAUAAAAUCUGAGCAGACACAAAGUAUUAUGUUCUGUUUACGCAAAAUCUGUAAGUUCUCAAAUAGGAUAAAUAAAGAUAAACAUAUCCCAGCAUAAAGACGAUUUGUCCUGGUUAAUUCUAGGAAACCUUUAUCAAAUGUAUGAUAGUUAUUCAUAACUAACACAAACAACUGUUUGGCCAGACAUUACUGGUAUGAGCCAUAUACUGUGUGACCUCAGACAAAAUAGAUCCCACAUGUACUCAGAUUAUGAUUGAUGUCCCUAUUGACUUUUACCUUUGAAUUAGAGAUUCAUCUGUUGUAGGGCUAUCCAAUAUUGGAUUUGCAUAAAACGAGCCUUUUAACGUAUCUGCAAAACCAGAACACAAACGGAAAAUGAAUGAUCCUAAGUUCUUAGAGUUUCCAAAGAAACAAAAUUUAAAACAAAGAACAUAAAGUGAUACCAGGCUUUCCAGAUUCCAGCUUCUCUUUUUCCAUGACUCCAUCCAAAAUUGUACCUAAACAUGGAUGGCAGGUAAAAAGAAGAUAAGCAAUAAAACUUUGUAAAGAUUCCCAAGAAAAGCAAUAAAACUACGUAAAUUAUUAGUUAAUAAUGUCAAGACCAUAGUCUCUGAAAAUCCAAGAGUUGAGAUGCGGCAGGGAUUUUUGGAAUUUUUCUCUAUUGUAAGUAAAACAUAGAUUGAUGUUUGUGUUUACACGAAAAUUAUGCCAACGGCUUAAGAGAAAUCAAAGUAUAACAAUGGGACUAAAAUGACUUACCUACUAUGAGGAUCUUCAAGUUCCUUCUUCACCUCUUCGGGCAGAUUGGCUAAUCUAAUAAACAAAAAGAAAACUCCCAUGAGCAGUGCUAUAACAAACUAUCUUCCUAAAUUCAUUAUGAAUUGCAGUUAAAACUUAAAAUGAACAUGAAAAUCCUACGUAGAAGGGAUAUACCUAGGUGACAAGCCUAGAAGAUUCCCGCGCAAGGAAGAAUAUCCCGGAACCUGCAAUUGAAAACUCAAAGAAACAAUUACAAAGAUGCUAGAAAGAAAAUACGUAUCAGUUUACAACAAAACGCUAGCUCUCACAAGAAUCGAUUAGGUAUGAAGCAUCAAAACAACAGCAUGAGACAUCAUAAUUUAUGAGCUAUGAAUGGAAUAAUGGAGCAAAAUAUCGUUGCCCAAACAGCACAAUCUACAAUCUACAUGACGGAGAAAGUACCCCGACAUUACAUAUGCAAGUUCAUGUGGUUUAUGUGGUUUAUCUUUUUAACCGAUUCGUUAACAAAUUCUUUCUGCACAUAUAGUUUUAACUUACCAAAACUGGUAAUGGAAGAGAUAAUCAGUAAUUAACAACGGUAAUCGCAUAACGAAAUCAUACUUGAGUGAUUGAUAGGAUUCCCAACCCAUUUGGUCCAAAUCCUUCUUCAAUCUUCACUGACAAAUCUUUGUCCCUGUCCUGUAUCAAUCCAAAAUCAAAAAACGAUAAUUAGAAAAAUCGAAUUCUCGACAUGAUCGACGAGUUAAAACAUAGCAAUUAAACAAAACUAUGAAUAAAACAAUUAGAUUCUGUUUGGUUGCUGAGAAUGAAGAGAAUAACAACCACAAAGUCAACUGAAAUAAAAUUUUGCUCUAACUUCAACGAAUUCUCUUGAGUUUCUGAGCACCCAAACAGAAAAAAAAAAAUUAUAGGCAAUCAAACCAAACUCUCAUGCUCAAUUUUCUCGGCAACCACAAAAAGAACUUAGAGGAGGGGGAGAGAGAGAGUUACUUGGAGCUCGGAGUAGGAUAUGGUGACUGGUGUGACGGUGGGGACGACGGGGUCGGAGGACGGAGGCAUAGUUCGACAAUAAAUUUGGCGGGAAAGACGGCGGUUGGAGUGUGACGAUGGGGAAGAAUCCGUGGGAACGAAGAGGAAUUUUGGUGCGGAAGGAGGGUCUUUAUAUCGGAGGGAGGGAGGGAGGGAGAGAGGUUGAGAGCGAAAGGCGUGAUUGUCAAUUUCAAAUUUUUUUUUUUUAGGAAUAAAGAAAGAAAGAGAGGUUGAGUAUCAAUUCCCUUUCCCUCCAAACCAAAGAAUACAUUCACGAUCAUGAUGUGUGUGGCAAAAAUUAAAGGUGGAGACAAAUAAAUUAAAGAGAAUUUUCACGAAAAGUUCAUGGUACGAUUUAUUUUAAUGAAAAAUUAUAUUUUUAUACUAAAAAGUCAAUUUUGAUACUAUUUACUUUACAUUUUAUUUUUGUCAUUAUCGUUAAAACUAAAAACAAUUGAAGCAUUUUUUUACUAUUUUUCCUUAUAUUAAAUAGGUAUAAGUAUUAGUUAAAUUUAAAAUUAAUUGUGUACUAUUAAAAAUUUGUUUGAAAAUGUUUUUAAAAUGACUGAAAGCAUUUUUGAUUAAAAUGUUUUUUAAAUCAAUCCUUAGUAAAACCAAGUGGAUUCUAAAAAGUCAUUUGGAUUACUUUCUACAAAAACCACAUAUCUUGAGCACUUGAAGCACUUUUGGAAUCCAAAAUUAAUUUAACAAAGGUGUGUCUAGUCUUUUUAAUUUUUGAACAAACAAUAUUAUUUAUUUUAAGGGAGGAGAUGAGCUUAACCUCACAAUGGACUAUCAUAUUAAUAAUGUUGUUCAAAUCCACCUUUAUCCAAAAUCAAAUCUAAAACAUCUUACUCACAACUGAAGAGGAAUACCUUUACAUCGUAAUACUAAGCGACAUGUUUUUUUAUUUUUAAGAGACGUGUUUAUUCAUUUUUAAAAGACUUAAAAACCAGCACUAAUUUGUAUUAAAUUCUAAAACCUUUGAAUUGGGAUGUAAUAUGCAUUGGGUCUUUAAUAAUAUUUAAGUUGUUUUCGGCAAAAAAUAAGGGAUUCAAUUGGGAAAAAUAACAAAAUAUGAAAUAAGGAUAUUCUAAUUAAGGUUUUUAUUAAUUAUUUAAGGCGGAUGGUUCAUGUGAAGAUUAUGAAACGCUUUAAUUCUCUAAUGUGCGAUUCCAUUUCGAUCCAAAGUUAAACAGUGACAAAUACAAUUAAGGUUGUUAAUUUUUUUUGGUAAAAACAAUUAAGGUUGUUAUUAAUAUCAAUUCAUGUAUAUUUCCGCAUGUGCCACAUUAUUAAGUUAGGCAGUGAAAAAUAUAUAUCGGAUGUUAUGAGAACAUGUGUGGCUGUCAAGCCCUACACGUGAAUAACAUGCUCUCUACUGCUUUAUUACACCGUGAAGAUUUUAUCCAAAAUUAAUUGACGAUGAGCGAAUAAACUGAAAGAUUAUGCGCAACUUUGAUUAUGCAACGAGUGAAGAGGCAAUUUACACCAACCUCCAGUCAAGAAUUUGGGCUCACAAUCACUAGCCAAUAUGCUUUUUUCUCACAUUUACCCUGACACGGCAAGUUCAUAGUUCAAUAUUCUGGUUCUGGUGUCCUAUGACCCUGACACGGCAAGUUCCACUUUUUGUUCAUUUUCUUGACGAAACCAUCACAUUUACCCUUACGGCACGGCACGGUUCCGGGCAUGGAGUAUGGAUUGGGUUCCGUUGCAGUCCCGACACUACAUAGCACUGUAGAGAAGGAAAUACAAAGACAACUUUGGAUUUCUUACAACGUAUUGAGUCUCUCGUCAUGGCUCUUGCUGUGUUGUUCUUAUUUCACGUCCUGUUUCUCGAGUUUGGUGUUUCCGGUUGCAAAUUUUGGUUCGGCAGUGUAGUGCUCAGGAGAGGGGACUGUCUCACGUUGUUCCAAGCAGACAGAGGCGGUUGACAACGAUUGCGACAAUGUGUUUUUCUACUGGGAGAACAUACAGCAGUCAACAGUUAUCUUUUCACAACCGUCUUCAGUAUUUGGAGGCACCUCAAGAAAUUAUCAAGGACAAACGAAUGUAGAAAAGAAGAAAUAUCAAAGUUAGUUGACAAAAGGGGACGAAAAAUUGUGAGAUACAGAUAAGAAGAUAAGACGAUACUCGAUGCAAAUUUUAACGAGCGAUACAGAGAAGAAACAGCUGCAUUUGGAGACAGCUGCUUUAGUUGCCUUGUUUGUAACAUUAGCUUUCUGCAAUUCCGGGGAAGAAACAGGAGUAAAAAAAACAGAGUCAGGCAGUACCAAAAAAGAAAAAUAUACAAUUAGGAACAAUCGUCACUUCUCAAACUUUGUAGUAGAUCCAGGUUUCCGAAGGACUCGGGGCUAAUGUACCUGCAUUAACAAGAAACAAAGAUCAGAUUUGUGGAAGGGAGUCGCAUAGUAGUUAAAAUACUUGGCCGUGCAUGAAUGGUUUGAGAUACCAUCAUAGAGGCAUCCUCCAGGUGUGAGUUUCUCUCGUAUCUGAUCACUUAUUGUAAGAAUAUCAGUAGUGAAAGUGAAAUACCCGUGUCGGGAAAGGAAGUCAAUGAUGACAAAAGAGCAAUUUGGUUUGAAAUAUUGUGUCCUCGGUAUGAUGCUUGCAACAUGCAUCACCGAAUCCACUUGAAGCUCUCCACCUCUCCAUCUGUUAAAUGUUUCAUAAGCAGCAUUGUUAAAGUUCUCUUUAUUUGGGGGGAUAUUGCAGAUGGUUUUGAAUGAAGAAAGGCAAAAAUUCAUGCUGAAGGCAUAGUUUACAACUAGUAUUUGUAAAAGCUAAGCUCUAAAGUGAGCCUUGAUUCUUUGGCACAAAUAGCUAAAGUUUUGAGAUGGGACAAAAUGGGUCCACAUACAGCGCAUCCGAUGGUGUUGAAAUCCUUUUCCCAGUAAGUCAAAGAUAAGCACCAAGAAAGACAUGACAGUGUUAAACUUAAAACAAAUACAGAACUAAGAAUUGAUGCAUGAAUCAAACAGAGAAAUGGUACAGGCCAUUCUCUUUAUAUUCUUAUAAUCUAAACAUUUCUCCUUAUCAACACUGGAAAAACAGCUUGCUUCAGUCAUAGGAAAUAAAUUGCGCCUAGAGUAUAGAAAAGACAUACCUACAGAUCCUCCUCCUGGACUCUUUGCCGCUAUACGUGAAAACCCAACAUCUGGGAACAACCAAAUUACAUUCUCUGGCAUGGCAAGAACAGUCCUCUGAAAUGUAUCCAUACAAAGUUAAGACACAAAAAACUCAAAAAGGCAAUGUAAUUCACAACAUUGACAAUCUCUGUCUGACAAGGCAAUAAUACCUCUGUAAUGAUCCGGUAGCGACCGUGACCUGAUAGGCCAACACCAAAGCCCAUUGUUAUGCCAUCCAUGAAGAUAGGGCUUCUUGUACUCAGAGAUUUUGCAUAUUAGAGAAUACUCAGCAGUGAAUACCUGAAAAACAUGCAGCACAAGUAUCAUACCGGUAGCCUCUCAAUCUUAAGAAAUGGUAGCUUAGAAAAGAUAUGAAUCCUAUCCAACCACUACAAAUCAUAUUACCCAAGUUCAAGCAAAAUCACGACUAAACAAAUGAUCAGAUGUUGUAGGUUGCCCGAGAAUGUCAAACAUGAAAUUACAAGAAAAAAAACAAUCGUAUGUAUUGAACAUUAAUAAAUACUUGCUGAAAGCACAAUCUUAGCUGCCAUUUAUGACAUUUAUACGAGAUUGAAUAGCCAAAGCAAUUAAAGAAGUAGCAGAACUCAUAUAAGUGAUUUUCACUUUGAACUUUUAGGCUUAUCAGCAAAUACAUCAUUACGAUUCUAACGCAUGAAUUUUGUUAAAAGGGGCUUGCUUGCUUGUAUUAAGGCUUAAUCAUCAAUGAUUUUGCAAGGGUCAAUCGUCUUGAUAGUUGUAAUCUAUGCACUAUGAAAAUUACCAAAAUUACAUCUUAUAUGGUAGAGAAGGAAGUCAUCUUAUAUUAUCUGGAUUUUAGAAAACGGUGUAAGGUUAUAAGUCUGUUAUUCUAUAUAGUUUAAAGGACACAAUUAGACAACAAUCAUAUUUGGUGGUUGGUUUUUGGCCGUGAUCUGCUUCACAUCACCGCCCGCAGGUAAUCUAAAUCUGGGUUAUUACUUAUCAAUGAAUCAAAGUGCCAACUUAUCGGACACCAUCUAUCUCUAUAUGGCAAAAAAAAUAACACAAAAAGGAACAAUGAAGUGAAACAAUAAACAACAUGACAUGAAACAGCACGAACAUCAAAGACCAACAAUCUAUCACAUAAGCACCUAAACAAGAAACAACUUUAGUUCAAAGCAAAGCGUAAUGUAGAAACCUUCGGCACAAGAGGCGUGUUUUUGUCCUUUUGAAUUUCGGCAACAACAACUUUAAUAUCCUUACCUGCACUUACCAUGAUUGCUCACUCUCAAAACCUUACCUAAGAGACCCCAAAACCAAAAUAACUGCCAAAAGAGCUGAACAUACAUAUCUAGAAAAAACUUAUUCAACUACAUGCUAAAAUGGAAGUGUAAAAUUGCCAGGAAAGAUAAGAAACUAUUCAAAUACGAGUUCUGGGCGUUACCGCCACAAAAGGCACGAGCCGAGCGGCUAUCAACAAGAACACACUUCACAUUUGGGUGAGAUUCCCAUUCAUCCAGAUAGCUCUUGUAUUUCACAUCCAAAUCUGCAUUUUCCAACAAUUCCCACUUAAACAGAAACACAAAAUUCUUCCAAAAAAAGCUAACUUCUUCGAAAUUUGAAUCCAACGUUUCGUCUUAUAACAAAUGCAAUAACAUAGAUUUGUAAUCAAUACGAUGCCAUAAAGUUCAAGCUCAAAAAUUCAAAUCAUCUCCAAAUCAAAUGCAAUUACAGAUAUAUACAUAUAUACAUAUACGUUUGUGUGUUUAUCUACAUACCUAGGUUUAUGGCGUUGAGAGCUCGGGGGGUGACCGAGGGUGAUGACGGCGACGCCAAAGGUGCGGAGAAGGCGAGGGGAUUUGGAGGGUUUUGUAAAGAGGGGAUUUGCUCAGAAUUUGGGUCGCUCGUCCCUCUUAUGGGAGUGACUCAAAAAUCGAAAAAGUUGAAAUUUAUUGAUUGUGAUCUGACUCAAACAUGUGAUGAUGACGAUGCAUCACCACCUUGGUUGUGCCUCUGGAUCAAAAACCUACCAUCACCAUCAAAAUCGUGCACAUUUUCCUUCAUAGGCUUGUCCCAUACUAGAUUAACCCCUGUUCCCUUAAUUGUCACAUUAUCAGAUGUACUGUUUCAAAAGUUAUAUCAACUUUAUCCCCGCUUUGCAAAUUGAGCUUAUCGUUCGAUAUUUGUCCCUGCCAAAGAAAACAUUUUCCAGAUACAUUGUGCAUUUUUAUAACCCAAUCUUCCUUGCCUAUGCAGGUCUGCAACUCAGUACGCUUGGUAUUAUUUAUAUCAAUACUGGCACGAGGAUGACCAUCUUUGCAUGUGAAAUAAGGUUUGCUAUGAAUUGAAUAUUUAGGAAUAAAGCAGUAAAAGCACAACAGAGUCAACCCUUCCAAAUUACGACCAUCACUCGGGAGAAUAUCAAAACUGACUUUAUUACCAUCGUUGACAAACUCGAACCAAUCAGGAACAUAAUUCCCUUUGAAAAAAAUGCCACCAUAUCCGCAAGAAGUCCAUCCCUAUAUAUACAGUGCGAGUGUCAUAUAUAUAUAUACACACACAAACACAAUGUACAUGUGUGUGUGUGCAUGUGCGCAAUAGGAAGACAAUUAAAGAGAGAGAUACCUUUAGGACUUUCCUCAUAAAAUCAGCGGUGAGUUCGGCGCAAUCCGUCAUAUCAAUCCAUGUCAUGGAGUUUAAUGACUUAUCCAAGUCUGGAAUCUCAGUGAGUGCGCGUGAAUCACGUACAUUCAGUUCCCUCAUAUUGGACAUUUUCGAAAAAAUUGGGCAUUGUUAACAAACGAUGGCAACAAGACGCAUACAGAAAUUUCAAAUUUGUGUUGGUAAACCAUAGAUUGUAUGAAGGUUAAGGCAGUAAUCUAACCGCAAACUUUCAAGCUUUGAAAGAUCACUGAGGCUGGGUAGGGUAUGAAAAUCAUUAGAUGAGAGAUCUAAAUCUUGUAAAGAAAUUAGACUCCCAAAACCCUUUGAUAAUGGAUCAUCGCUUAACCUCUGGAAUAAGAGAUCUAAAUUUCUUAAAGAGUCAAAGCCCUGUAACAAAUCGCGAAUUUGCAAUGCAAAUUUGGCUCUUCUGGAAGGAAGACCCCCAAUUAGAGAUAAAUGAGUGAGAUUCUUCAAUCUUACUGUGGAACGCGGUACUUGUAUUAUGGCUGUCUCAGAUGCUUUAAGUACUCUCAAUGAUAUUAUAUUCCCUAAAUCCUCGGACAGUUCACUGAAUUGCCCACAAAAAUCAAGAACAAGAGUCUGAACGGAUUUGGACCUGUAGAAAUCCCCAGGAAGAGAAAUAAGAUUCUUGCAGCCUGUGAGGUUCACCAAAGAAAGUUUUUUAAGAUGACCAAUGGAGGGGUGAAUCUCGGACAAACUCUCACACCAUUCCAAUAUCAACUCUUCAAGACUUGGGAGAUUUGAUAAGUCUGGUGAUUUUUUUAAGUCAAGGCAAACACUGAGAUUAAGGAUUUUCAAGUUUUCAAGCAACUGUUGCACAAAAUCCAAGAAAAAUUAAAAUUAAUAUCCAAAAGGAAUAUCUCAUAAAAUAAAUAAAUAAAUAUAGAGAGAAGGAAAUAUAAAAACAAAUAGAAACAUAACAUCAUCAUGUGUAAUCGAUAGUACCUUGGAGCCCUCCCAAACUUGUACCAGUCUGCUGUGCGUUAUCUCUAAAAUAACUAGUGCUCUUGGUUGAUCAAAGAAGUCAUCUGGUAUGGACUUUAAAGGGCAUCCUUCCCAACACAACCAUAUUAACUCUUUGGGGAGAUGUUUGUAUUCUCCAUUGAGCUGCACGUUCUUGAGCAUGAGCAGUCUCAGUUUCUUCAUAUUAGCAAAUGCUUCUGUACUGAUACAACUAGACUUUAAAGGGAAUUCUCCAUGGAGCUGCACUUUAAUGCGCUGGAACAGUAUCAGUUGCCACGUAUCGGCAAAUGCUUCUGUACUGAUACUUGGAGACAGAAGAUCAGGGAAACCUACAACAAGUCCUUCAACUUCUUUGGUUCCCUGUUAACAACACAUUAUACUGGGUAAGAAAAGGAUUAUGUGCAUCUAUUUUACGUGAUUUUGCUAAUUGAGCUUCUUAAUGCAAAUACAUAUAUUUACACAUGAAUGUUUUUAAUGUAUAAUAGGCAUACGUGGGUUACAUAUAUGUUUUUCUUGUACGAUGCAUUAAUACAAUUUUUUUUUGGGAAUCUACUUACAGAUUUAUUUGUUAGUACAUCAUAGACAUCUCCAGGGAUCCACAACCUGCUCCAUUCUCCAGGGGGACGACGGGAAUUUCCAGAUAUGAUUACUUUGGCCAUUUCUCGAAGCAAAUCAUGCAUAUUCAACUUGUUGUCUUCAACAGUUAUAAGGCAUCGUUCACGGAGAUCACAAAUUCCUGCUGUUGCAUAAAAUUUACACCCAUCUAAUAUUUUUGCGACAUGGUCCUUAUCCCAUCCAAUAAAGAAACAAGAUAUGUCAAGGAAUAUAUCCUUCUGUGUAGGAUCUAGCCUUUCAAAGCUUACUCUUAGCGCUUUCAUUAUUCCCUCAUCAGGAAUUUUUUUCAAUUUCUCCAACUGACUUUUCCACUCUGUUGGGGUUCUUUCAAUCAUAGAAGAACCUAAAACUUCAAGGGCUAGUGGCAAACCACCACAGUAAGAAACAACCUCUUUUGAGAGUUCAAGAUAUCCUUCAUUAGGCCAACUAUUUCCAAAGGCAUGCCAACUAAAGAGCUUCAGAGCUUCUUCUUCAAUCAUUUCCUUAAGCGGAUAUGUCUUGUCCACUGUCAUGUUCACUUGCUUUAGUAAACGUUCAUCUCGUGUCGUUAUGAUAAUUCUACUUCCUGGGCCAAACCAAUCACGAUUUCCAGCUAUUGCAUUUAGUUGUUCCACUUUGUCUACAUUGUCAAUAAUGACAAGUACGCUUCUACGUUGGAGAUGAUUUUUUAUCAGACUCAUACCUCGAUCAACACUGGUUAUCUUAGACUCAGUCUGUUUCAAGAUGUCAGAAACAAGUUUUCCUUGCAAAUCAACCAGAUCAUAUUCACUAACGUUGGCAAGGAAACUUUUGAAUUGGAACUUAUGAUGAAUUUGGUUAUAAAUGGCUUUGGCAGCUGUUGUUUUACCCAAUCCACCCAUCCCCCAAAUUCCAACCAUGACAACGUCAUUUGAUCCACCACUUGAAAGAUGAUUGAUAAUAUCUUGAAUGCGAGAAUUGAUUCCAACCGGGUGCUUGGCCACAUUUAAUUCGUUUGCGCUUGGAAGCCAUUCCGGAAUGAUCUUGCCAACAAUUUCUCUAAUAAGCUUUGCUUCGGGCCUGAAAAUUGAAUUCGUAAGCAUUAGCAGGACUCAAUGAACAGUAGGAGCUAUCAGUACAUAGACAAUUUUCUUUCCUUCAUAUAUAUUCUAACUAGCUACUAGCUGGUAUGUGAUUUUUUGACCAACUUGAUAAAAGAAAGAAGUUCAUUCAUUAAUUAAACUCCAAUUACGGUUUAGGUUUUAUAUGAGUGGUUAAGGUGUAUUAAUUAAGCAUGUUAAUUAAUGUUUAAUUAGCUUCUGUAAAAUGUUAAUUAUAUGAGAGACUAAGUCAUUCACUAAAAUGUUUCAAAUCUUGAAAAACAGGUGAAUGAUUACGCAUUGUCAGUGAUUUGGAGAUGUUGGCCAGACAAAUUUGCUGCUUCUGUAAGAGCCUUUCUCCAUUGCUUUACCCUUUCUUGUUUAGUUUCACGUUCCUUGUCAUCUUUUUCUUCACGGAUGCCCUCUUCGUGCUUCUGAAAUGCUUGAGCUAAAUCUCCGUUCUGCUUCCUAACAUGUGUAGGAUCAACAUGAUAGAAUAUUGGCAAAACACGUCGCCCCAGUUUGUAUCUGCACUCCAUGAUCUUCACCAGCUCAUCAAGACACCAACGAGAGUCCGCAUAACUCUUUGAGAAGACAAUGAUAGAGAUCCUCGCCUCUUCGAUUGCCCGGAACAGUUCCUCUUUUAUUUCUUCCCCUCUUUCUAGAUUGUCCUCAUCAAUAUAAGCCUGGUAUCCCCUGUCUGUUAAUGCCGCGUGGAGGUGGCCCGUGAAACCAUUGCGUGUGUCUACACCACUGAAGCUCAAGAACACGUCGUAAUUCCAAAGUGUUGACUUGGAGGAGGAUGAAGAGGAGGCUUCGUGGGUUGUCAUGGCGGUAUCCACCGUUAUGGCACUGCGGUGGUUUAGAUAACGACUAAAAAAUGGCAGUAGUUGUGUUCAUGCUGUCGAACAGAUGAUCCUGAAAUACCUAAACCCAAGUCAAGCUCCUUCAGUCAACAAGAACAAAGUUUAUAAUAUAAUAAUGUUGGUGUAUGGACUUGAGAAACGACAUAAUGUUGGCCAGAAGGUGCAAAGAAAGAGAGGAAAAGAGGAAAGAAAGGAACGAAAGGACAAAGACUAUCCAAAAGAUUAUUGGCUGUGAUUACAGCUAUUCAUAGGAGAAACAACCUGCCCGUCUUCAUAUAUAAUACAUUUCAACAGACAUAUGUUAAUAGGAGAAACAACUUUAGUUUGUACUAGAAAUUUUUACCCGGGCGUUGCUACAGGAUUUGAAAUUGUAUGAAAGAUUAUCUUUGAAAUAUAUAAUAGAUUGUGUGAUUGAAGAUUAAUACUAUUUACAUUGAAAACGUUGGAAAAAGUUUUACAUACAAAAGAUUUUACGAUACAAUCCAUAUAGUCUCCUAUAAAGUUCUGAAGUCGUGGAAGCAUAAAGGACAAAUAACAAAUGAGUUUUGAGAAAUUAUUCCACAAAUGCCAUUCUGCAUAAUGUAUUAAAGAAGAUUGGUAUAAGAUUAGCAAUCAUGAGUAGUGUAACAACAUCAACAAAAUAACCAUAAACCAUAGUUGAACAUAAUUCAAAUUUUGUUUGCAAAAACAAAAGAAAAAGAAAACAGACUUACAAUAAUUCAGUCUUCAAUCCUGAAGUCCUACUCAAAGAGCCAAACUUGAAUGCAAGCUUUCUGAAAUUUUCCAAGCAACACAAAAAAAAAGGUAACAUCCUAGUCAGAAAUGAACCGAGGUGCGAGCUUUCUAAGAAACCCAGAUGACAAAAUCAACAAAAUAGAAAGGAAAAAUGACUUGCACUUUUUAAGGCAUGUCCAAUCUUGAUCUAAAAUUGGUGGUGGGUCGAUUGUUGGUCACCAAAUCUAAAUAAAGAAUUCAUCAGAACCUAGAAAUUUAAACAAAGAAUUUUCCAAAAUCAACAUUUACUAAAAACCAGUUACUUGGUUAUCAAGCAUGAUGGCUUGCCAAAGACUGAAUUAAGGAAUGCACAACUUUACUUUUAUGAUUAUUUUCAACGACAGCUAAAAGGUCAGAUCCAAAUGAAAAUAAAAGUUAGGACUUCACAAAACCAAUUAAAAAUCCAAUUCCAAAGUUACAAACACCCACCAAAUGAUUCCAGAUAAAGUUUUAUACUCAAGGUCAGACCCAAAUGAAAUUAAAAGUUAGGACUUCGCAAAACCAAUUGAAAAUCUGAUUCCAAAGUUCCAAACACCCACCAAAUGAUUCCGGAUGAAGUUUAAACUAAAAAACCCAAUAGAAACAAAAGCAUUGGUGUGAAUUAACUGUAUCUAAUUGAAGAAACUAAAACAAAAGUAAAGCAAAGUAUAUACCUCAAAAUGUCAAGCAACUAAGUUCUUCCUCCGACGACCCAAAACUCUGAAAAUUCCACACAAAAAAAAGGUAAAUCCAUUAGCAAUUCAUAGCCUUCAAAAUUAGCAAAAACUUGGGCAACAAUAAAGAUGCAUUGAUAAAUAUCACUCUUUCUCCUUAUGUAUUUGAAAAGAUAUUUUAUAAGCAGUUUAUGUAGUCAUUCUAAUCAUGUUGCAUAUAAAUUCCUUUUCUACGGAGUUCAAAAAUAUAUGGCAGUUUACGGCAUCUGUUGAAUAACAUGGUUGAAAGAUUUAAAAUUGAUACAUUCAAUUUUUAUGUGUAAAACUAUAACAUAUAGCUAAAGCUAUUGGGUCUAUACAUCCAUAUCAAUCAUGUCGUAAUUGUAUGCUUAUCAAUGUAAAUAGAUGAUUUCAGUCAUGUGAUAACAUGUUUCUUGAUAGUAUAUGCUGAAGUUUGGUCUCAGUUGGAUAAAAAUCAACCAAAAUCUUAGCAAUAGACUCUUUUAACUUUUUUUUUUUUUUGGCGAACAAAGGUGGGGGGGAUGCAACACGAGGACUUCCCAGGAGGUCACCCAUCCUAGUACUACUCUCGCCCAAACUCGCUUAACUUCGGAGUUCUGAUGGGAUCCGGUGCAUGUGAGUUGGUAUGAUCGCAUCCAAAAAAUGAGCACCACAAUACUACACUUAUAAGUUUUAUGCACAAAAUACACAGCACUGACUGGCAAAACAAUAAAACACUCAAAACCCAAAAACAGAAACACAAUUAGGACUCAAAACUCCUCAAAAACAUGAGAGAGAGAGAGAGAGAGAGAGAGUGUGUGUGUGUGAGAGAGAGGAGAGAGAAUAAAAAACAAUAUUAUUUUUCACACAAACUCAAAAUUGCUUAUAAAAUUACAAAUCAAAACAAAUGAAGGCAAAUCCAAAAUUGCCCUAAAUUAAAUCUGAUUAGUUAAAUGUUUGUUGCCCUACAAAUGUCAUUACACACGACAAAACUUGCUUUGAAGUUGAUAUUUUGGUCAAUCCAGGGGAAAAGGAGAGAUUGGUUUUGGAGCAGUUGUCAUGGAGAAUACCAUCUCCCUGUUGAAUGAUCUAAAAAAGGACUUACAGCUUCUGUGGCCAUAAUAAUUUAGGAGGCCCAUCUCUACAGAUUUUCUCAAUAACUUUCCUUUUCGUAGCUGGUAAGAUUGCAACUCCAAGAAUUGCUCUGAAGAGAUAUAUACAAAAAAAAAUCAAACUAAAACUAAGCUAUUGGAAGAAAUUUAGAAAACACAAACACCACUACAACUCAGAGCUAAAGUCAACAGAAAGCAAAUAGUAGAAGUUGAAAAAAUAUAAGGUCGUGAAUUGAGAACUUCAUCAAACUAACAGCAAUAAAAUGUCAUAUAAUCUGUCAAAAACCAAAAAAGAGAGAGAGGUAAUUUCAAGACCUUGUAACGCUGAGGCCUCGUACAGUUGUAGUAAAAAUAUAUGGUUGAUGCACCUGUUGCUCAAUCAAAUCCUUUCUGGCUGAAAAAAUAAAAAUCUAUAAAGACAUUCACGUCCAAUUUAUGAGAAAUCAUGGGAAAGCAAAUGCACUGAUAACAGAAUCAUGAAUAUGAAGAACUUGCCAAAAAGAAAAAGAAACUUUUUAUAGUGUGCCAAAGAACAUCCUCCUACUCCUAGCAAUUUUUUUUAUGGCAUUAUCCACUUCUCAAUUCAUAAUUCAACCAGUAACUCAAACUCUAUAGUGUAUAAAAAUGUGAUAUCUUAGUUGAUCGCGAUGAUAAUUAAGCAGAUUAAAUGACGACCCAUAAAGCAUACAAAAAUUAAGAAAAGAAAAGGUUCGAAACUGCCAUAAGAAAACGCAGAAUAUAUAAACGGGAAAUCAAAAGAAGAGAACCAAACAAAAUUAUUAGGUCUGGGAUCAUCAAAGUCAAACACAAACAAUCCAAAAAUUUGUGGAAAAUACCAAUAAAUGCUCAACUAAAAACGAAAGAAAACGUAGAAUAAGUUUACCUGUUCUUCCCCUAAUUAAACUGAAAUACAAUUCACCACUAAUAUUCUCGUCAUCCUCUUCAGCCUGAAAAAUUUAGUAGAACAUAAUGAUAAGAAUCUAGCAGUAUUUCCAUUGUUUAAACCCCAAAUUCCAGAAAUCAUGAAAAAUGGAAACUUUAUAUGGAAACUGAAGCUUUACCUGCAGAUCAGCAGCAGCAAACGGAAUCCAACGGCAUGUACCUCAAAAAUGAGAGAGAGAGCUGAGAGAUGAGUGAGAGAAUCGAUAAACAAACCCCCCCCCCCCAAAAUCACGAAAGGAAAUUUGAACGGAAAACAAAUUUGAAAAUCCAAAAUCACAAAAACGAAAUUGAAACACCCACACUGAGAAAGCUGUAUAACUCACCAGGAAACGCUAGCCUUUCUGGGUAAAAAAAUUAUUCGGAUCGAAUUGAAGAACGGAGGAAAGUUCUACUGGUUCAGUGGUUAUUCCAGUGUGUCAAGACUUGGCUUGGUUUAUAUAAUUAAUCAAUAAUAUUCCAUACCAAGAGCUAGGUCCAUAUAUUAUACAAUGUUCUAAGGGUUUAACGGAUAGGCGAGGCCUAGUGUCUAAGCAAAUUUAAGUAAAUUUAUUAUAUAUUAUAUAAACUUAAAAUGAUAAAUAAUUGUAUUAGGAUAUAUAAAUUACAAAAUAAAAUAAUAUAUAUUAUAAAGUAUUAAAACAUAGGAGAAAAGACCCAAAUAUGAAUGGGAGAAAAGACCCAAAUAUGAAAAGACAACUAUAAACAAUUAUUCAAGAUGGACGGUAAAUGAUUCAGUCAUUUACAAUAUUCAAAACGUAGGAUCACAAUCUACUGGAUGAUUGUCUUAACUAUUAGGCCAUGCUCUAAAUAUAAUACAUCCAAAUGGGGGUGGACCGCAUAAUACACCCCAAUGGACCGUUUUAAGCUACUCCACUGCUAAAACUAUUGCAAAAUGCGCAUUAGGAUUAUACUUCUAUUAGCUGCGCCCUUCCUCACUAGGCAAAUGAACCAUAUAAUAGUUUCCAAAAAAAAAAAAAAAAAAAAGAACCUUAUAGUACACCAAGAUGGAUGUUAUACACGUUGGAGUUUGAGCAGAAUUCUUUUUGUUAUUUCAUUGUCUCACAUUGCUAGAAUUGAAAAGUUUAUAAUAUAACAAUGUUCACGUAUGAACUUGAGAAACGACAUACUACCGGUUGGGCGGGAAAGUGUGAAGUGAAAGAGAGGAAAGGAAGAAAGAAACGAACACGAAAGGACAAGGACUAUCCAAUAGAUUAUAAACAAUGAUUUAUUGGGGUGAUUACAGUUAUUCAAUUAUCAAUAAUGCAUUAUUUUAGUUUGGAAUUUGGAAGCAUUUGAGAAGUAACAUGACAACAACCACGUAAUAAACAAAAGUGAUUGGAAAAAAGACCGAAAUGUGAAAUAAUAAUUAAAAACAACUAUUCAAGAUUAGUGAUAAAUGAUUCAACCAUUUACAAGAUAUGAAUUUAGAACAACAAUCUAUUAGAUCGUUGUAUUAAUUAUUAAGUGGUGCUCUAAUAUAAUAGAUCCAAAUGGGGACGGACCGUAUAAUACACCCAAAUGAACAACAAUCUAUUAGUUUUUAGGCUCCACUGCUAAAAACUAAAGCAAAAUAGGCAUUAGGAUUAAACUUGUAUUAUCUAUCUUUCCUUACUAGUCAAAUGAACCAUACAAUACACCCAAAUGGAUGCCAUCAUGCCAUAUAUAAACAAUGUUUUGAAAUGACAAGGUAGCUAACGCCGUCAUUUUAUAUUUGUAAGCAACAACCCUAAAUCUUAUUGGAGCUAAUUAACUAAUGUAUUUAUUAGACAGUUGCAUUCCUUAGCAAGUGGUUAACUAUUUUUGUUUAGUUUAGUAGUCAGGUCGUAAUUAAUUAGUCAAAUGAACCAUAUAAUACACCCAAAUGGAUACCAUAUAUGCAUAUAUAAACAAUGUUUUCAAAGGAUGAAAUGACUUUCUUGCCGGUAUGGGGGAAGAGGAAAGAAACUAGUGUUGUGUUUGACUCAUAUAUUUGUGUGUAAUUAUGAGUCAUGUGUUGACAACAAUUGAAGACCAUGUGAAUGCUACAAGGAAAUGGCAGCAACCUUGACUUUGUGUGCAUGCUUUCGGAGUAGUGGCCAAAUGUGGCCAAAUCUACCUUCGGCUAAUAGUGGAAGAUAGUGGAAGACAAUGAUGAUGUUUGCUUGAGAUUCUUUUCUUUGGCCUUUUUCUGUUUCCCAUUUGAAUGCCACGUGAGUGGCUAUGGGGUUUGAUUAAAAGGCAAAGCAGGGAGCAUGAUACAUCAUGAUUGUGUUUGUGAAAAAAGGGAAAGUUGAUUCCUUUUUGCUUUUGCUAUUUAUUUGCUAAGAACCGAAGAGAGCUAGAGUAAAGUGAGAAGCAUACAAGGGGAAGAGCAUUCGGCUCUCCCAUGGGAAAGGUUGAAUAUGAGUUGAGAGAAAAUCAAGAGAGCUAGAGUGAAAAGUAUUCUAGUGAAAGAACUCUUGGGGUAGAGUGAGGUUCUUGGGAAAAUUCUAUGAGUGGAUGUACAAGGGAUUUGGGAUUGGGUUAUGUCGAUUUAACUCAUGUGUACUUGUACUGUUAUUCUCAUAGUGAAGAGCAAUAUCUCUCCGGGGAUGUAGGCAGGUUUUUGCCGAACCUCGUAAAUUUCUCGGUGUCUUUAUUUUUUGUAUUUUAUUCUGUUCAACUGAGUGUGAUUAUGGUGAGGUUGUAAUUUGAAUAUCGAUUCCGCACUAACGAACGGGCCAAGGCACAACAACUAGCACAAAAUUGCAGACCCUAUCGAUCCAUUAUAAUAAAUUUCAAUGGUCCAAGUUGUAAGUUAAUUGUGCAAGAUAAAAACUUAUUUACAAUUAUCAACUUAACCACGUACCUAUGGAAGACAUCGUCUUGGAAAACUAGGAUUAAGAACUGAAGUUCUCCUGCAACUCUACACAACUGAAAGCAAGGCUUGCUCAAUGGGGCUUGAGUUUUCUAUAAACUUGCGUAUUUAGUGGAGAGAGCAGGGACCUCAUUUUUAUACAUGGAAUUCAAUAAGGAUCCCUCCCAUUAAGUGAUCCUUAUCAAAGAGUAGCAUUAUCACCGUAAAACACUUAUGCAUUAUAUCAGUUAAAAGAGUUUUAGUUUUAUUGGGAAUGUAUCUGAGUUGAAACUGUAAAGAUAUACAACUCCUGAUAAGUCUACCACAAGUGUCAAUCCUUAUCUCCUUAUCAUUCCACAUGUCUUUAAUCAAAUCACCAAGUGUUUGCUCUCAUAUAGAACUUACACAAGUCUCAUGUAAUUUCAUCUAACUUAUUUUCUACAACAGUAAAUAUAUUUUAAUGGCUCCGGUUUUCACAUGCCAGUCAGUCACACGCUCAACUCCUCAACGUUCGGGCUUAGUGGCUCGAAGAGAGCUUCCACUUCACUCUGAUUCACAUCCCUCUUACUUUGACGGGUUCCACUUCGGAUUCUGCAUUGACAAAAAACAGAAGCAAAAGAUAACGAUCUGUUCUGAUACAAGGAAAGUAAGAUGAUUGUAUAACUGUAGGUCUAGUAGAGGCUGUAAUGGUUUAUGUUGCAGCAACUCCGUCAGCAAGUGAUUUUAUAGUAAGGAAUCUUGAGCAUGAUUAACGAACCUGAUCCUUGUCCACCAAAACUGCCUGCACACCUUCAGCAAAAUCAUUCCGCAAAGACGAUCUUAUAGCACCGCGAUAUUCAGUUUUCAUCACACCAGUUAGCUGGUAUGGAUCAAGUAAAGCACAUGUUACUCGCUCAGAAAAAGUGAAAUACUACAACACAAAAUCUAUCAAAAGGAUGCAACCAUGCGAUGAAUGAAACGAAAAGGUAGAAAGUAAGACUCACUGGAUAAUUGAUUGUCAUUUUUCGCAAGCGCAGAUGCAACUUUGGAGAAGUAAUUUUGCGUCAAAUAAAGUGAAAGGGGAGCACCAUUUCCAAGACCUUGAAGAGGUUCUUUAGCCCACUCCACCGCUGCAACAGAAACAAUUUGAUAGAAAAUACUUGACAGCCACGUACAAGCCUCUCAAUAGAAGAGUAAGACAGAUUUCAUUUCAUCAUAGAUAAAUAAAUGGCAUUGACAAACUUACCAGUAGCAUCUGAACUCUGCUGCUGCUUUUUAAGUUCAUCAAUUGUCACAAGAACCGACUUAUUUGCACCAAAUGCUGAAGUUAUUUGAGGUAAAAGACUCCUGAGCUGCGCUUCGAAUCUGGGUUGCUGCUGAAUUUCGCCACAGUUGUAAUUGACAACAUUGACAAUUGCCUCUCUGACAAGGCAAUAGUACCUUCGUAAUGAUCCCGGUACCAACUGUGGCCCGAUAGGCCAAUACCGAAGGCCAUUGUUAUGCCCAUGAAGCUUAUACGUGGCCGUCAAGCCCGACAAGUGAAUAGCAUACUCUAGUGCUGUAGUACAUUGUGAGGAUUUUAUCCAAAAUUAAUUGACAAUGAGUGAAUAAGCUGAAAGAUUAUGUACUGACUUUAAUUAUGCAAAGACUGGAGACAAUUUUCACCAACCUCCAAUCAAGAAUUUGGACCUCACAAAUCACUACCCAAUAUGCUUUUCUCUCGUGCCCUUCAUUCAUGGAUCGAUAUUCUGGUGUCCUAGGACCCUGACAUGACAAGUUCCAACUUUUGUUCAAUUUCUCGACGGAACAAUCACAUUUACCCUUACGGAACGGCACGGCUCCGGGCAUAGAAUAUGGGUUGGGUUCCGUUACAGCUCCAUCACUAAUUAGCACUGUAGAGAAGGAAAUAAAAAGACAAGUUUGGAUUUCUUACAACGUUUGCGAUGAUGUGUUUUCUACGGGGAGAACAUACAGGAGUCAGCAGUUAUCUUUUCGCAACCGUCUUUGAUUAUGAAGGAAAGGAAAGAAAAGAAAAAAAACGAAUGUAGAAAGAAAACAUACAAGUUGGUUGACAAAAGGGGAAGAAAAAUUGAGAGAUACAGAGAAUAAGAAAGAAGAAAAUCGAUGCAAAUUUUAAUAUAAAUGUAGUAGAUCCAGGUAUCCAAAGGAUUCGGGGCUAAUGUACCUGCAUUGAUAAAAAACAAAUAUCAGAUUUUUGGAAACGCAUCACAUAGUAGUUAAAACACCCGGCCGUGAAUGAAAGGUCUGAGUUACCGCCAUUUUGGCUAAUACUAUUCUGUAUAUUUACGAAUGGUUUUAAGUUUGGGUUUAAUUGGAUAAUCGGAGAGUAGUGCAUCAAACUAUGGAUAUUCAGAAACCGAAAGCAUAAUUCAUAUUCCUCUAACAAGUCCACGCAAAUGACCACAAUCAGAAUGUUAGUUCAUAGCUGGCCAUAUAGAACGCAAUACAAAAGCACUAAAAGCAUCCAAGUGAAAGUGCUUUCUCCUCAUGUAGUUUCAUUUAACUUAGUUUCACAUGCCAGUCCGUCACACACUCAACUCCUCAACGUUCGGGCUCAAAGCAUUCUUUAUCCUUUCUGUACGAGAGACAAUAAAUUUAUAGUUCUUGUGAUGAAAUCAUGCAAAACAUUCAGAAAUCUUGAUUUAACCCUUUCUCAAGAUCAUAGGUUGUGUCAUCUCAACUUAUAUCUUAGGUCUUAUGAGUGCUCGUAAUACACUAAUAUGACACUUGUUUUCUGGCCAGGACAGAAACAAAAUCAUGCAGGAAAUUGUCACGACAACUUAAGUGUAAAAUGCGACCGGAAAAGCACUAAACAGGAUAGUUAUGCUCUCACAGUGUAAACCUUAACAACAAAGACUAUACCGUAUCUGUCACAGUGAUAUGCGACCAUAAGCCCAACUCCAAGGAUCAGCUUCCAAGAGCUUUGAAGGCUACAGAUCAAAAGUUACAUGCAGUGAUGACAUAAUCAUGAAAAAAUACAAUCAUAAAUUAAAGGAAAACAUACUGACUUCUAGUUCUGGCAAUUCACUAUUGGGCCAUAUAUUUGAACCACAGUAUGAUGGAUACCUACAAUACAGAUCACAAAUAAAAUCUGAGCAGACACAAAGUAUUAUGUUCUGUUUACGCAAAAUCUGUAAGUUCUCAAAUAGGAUAAAUAAAGAUAAACAUAUCCCAGCAUAAAGACGAUUUGUCCUGGUUAAUUCUAAGAAACCUUGUAUCAAAUGUAUGAUAGUUAUUCAUAACUAACACAAACAACUGUUUGGCCAAACAUUACUGGUAUGAGCCAUAUACUGUGUGACCUGAGACAAAACAGAUCCCACAUGUACUCGGAUUAUGAUUGAUGUCCCUAUUGACUUUUACCUUUGAAUUAGAGAUUCAUCUGUUGUAGGGCUAUCCAAUAUUGGAUUUGCAUAAAACGAGCCUUUUAACGUAUCUGCAAAACCAGAACACAAACGGAAAAUGAAUGAUCCUAAGUUCUUAGAGUUUCCAAAGAGACAAAAUUUAAAACAAAGAACAUAAAGUGAUACCCGGCUUUCCAAAUUCCAGCUUCUCUUUUCCAUGACUCCAUCCAAAAUUGUACCUAAACAUGGAUGGCAGGUAAAAAGAAGAUAAGCAAUAAAACUUUGUAAAGAUUCCCAAGAAAAGCAAUAAAACUACGUAAAUAUUAGUUAAUAAUGUCAAGACCAUAGUCUGUGACAAAUCCAAGAGUUGAGAUGAGACUAUCUUUCUGGCAGGAAUUUUUGGAAAUUUUCUCUAUUGUAAGGAGAUAGAUUGAUGUUUGUGUUUACACGAAAAUUAUGCCAACGGCUUAAGAGAAAUCAAAGUAUAACAAUGGGACUAAAAUGACUUACCUACUAUGAGGAUCUUCCAGUUCCUUCUUCACCUCUUCAGGCAGAUUGGCUAAUCUAAUAAACGAAAAGAAAACUCCCAUGAGCAGUGCUAUAACAAACUAUCUUCCUAAAUUCAUUAUGAGUUGCAGUUAAAACUUAAAAUGAACAUGAAAAUCCUAUGUAGAAGGGAUAUACCUAGGUUAAAAGCGUAGAAGAUUCCUGCGCAAGGAAGAAUAUCCCGGAACCUGCAAUUGGAAACUCAAUGAAACAAUUACAAAGAUGCUAGAAAGAAAAUACUUAUCAGUUUACAACAGAAUGCUAGCUCUCACAAGAAUCGAUUAGGUAUGAAGCAUCAAAACAAUAACAUGAGACAUCAUAAUUUAUGAGCUAUGAAUGGAAUAAUGGAGCAAAAUAUCGUAGCCCAAACAGCACAAUCUACGAUCUACAUGACGGAGAAAGUACCCCGGCAUUACAUAUGCAAGUUCAUGGGUUCACAUGUAAGCAUGUGGUUUAUCUUUUUAACCGAUUCGUUAACAAAUUCUUUCUGCACGUAUAGUUUCAACCCGAAACCUAAAAUUCCAUAGUCAAACAAAUAUGCAUAAUAGCAGAAUUAAGUAAAAAAACAACAUAUCACCAUACUGAUACUGAUGUGAUUCAGAAUUAAGCAUUUUAACUUACCAAAACUGGUAAUGGAAGAGAUAAUCAGUAAUUAACUAGGGUAAUCGCAUAACAAAAUCAUACUUGAGUGAUUGAUAGGAUUCCCAACCCAUUGGGUCCAAAUCCUUCUUCAAUCUUCACUGACAAGUCUUUGUCCUUGUCUUGUAUCAAUCAAUCCAAAAUAAAAAAACGAUAAUUAGAAAAAUCGAAUUCUCGACAUGAUUGACUGAGUUAAAACAUAGCAAUUAAACAAAACUAUGAAUAAAACAAUUAGAUUCUGUUUGGUUGCUGAGAAAAUGAAGAGAAUAACAACCAAAAAGUCAACUGAAAUAGAAUUUUGCUCUAAUUUCAACGAAUUCUCUUGAGUUUCUGAGCACCCAAACAGAAAAAAAAUUAAAGCCAAUCAAACCAAACUCUCAUGCUCAAUUUUCUCGCAACCACAAACAGAACUUAGAGGGAGAGACAGAGUUACUUGGAGCUCGGAGUAGGAUAUGGUGACUGGUGUGACGGUGGGGACGGCGAGGUCGGAGGACGGAGGCAUAGUUCGACAAGAAAUUUGGCGGGAAAGACGGCGGUUGGACUGUGACGGUGGGGAAGAAUCCGUGGGAACGAAGAGGAAUUUUGGUGCGGAAGGACGGCUUUUAUAUAGAAGGGAGGGAGAGAGGUUGAGAGCGAAAGGCGUGAUUGUCAAUUUCAAAUAUUUUUGAAGGAAUAAAGAAAGAAGGGAGGUUGAGCAUCAAUUCCCUUUCCCUCCGAACCAAAGAAUACACGCAACUUUAACGAAAAGUUUUCGGUACGGUUCAUUUUUACACUAAAAUGUCAAUCUUGAUACUAUUCACUUUACUCUUUAUUUUGUUCUUAUCGUUAAAACUCAAAGUUUUCAAGCCAUUUUCAUUAGUUUCCUUAAGAAUAUAUGCACGAUCACGAUGUGUGGCAAAACUUGAAGGUGGAGACGAAUAUAUUAAAUACAUAUAACUAUUACUGUAUUAGUUCAAUUUAAAAUUAAUUACAUACUUUAAGGAUUUGUUUGAAAGUAUUUUUCAAAUAAUUAAAAGUGUUUUUGAUUAACAUGUUUUUUAAAUCAAUCUUUAGUAUAACUAAGUGGAUCUUAAAAAAGAACUUGAGGUGCUUUCUACAAAAAAAUACAUGUCUGGAGCACUUGAAGUGUUUUUGGAACCCAAAAUCAAUUUAAUAAAAGUGGGUUUAAUCUUUUUUUUUUUUUUUUUUGAACAAACGAUAUCAUCUAUCUUUAAGGUGAGAAAAUAGGCUUAACCUCACAAUGGCCUAGCACAUAAAUAAUGUGAUUCAAAUUCGCUUUUGGUGAGAAUCGAAUCUAAGACUUCUCACUUACAAAUAAGGAGGAAUACCCUAAAUCAUAGUACUAAGUAAUGUGUUUAGUUAUUUUUAAAAGACUUCAAAACAAGCCCUAAUUUGUAUCAAAUUCAAAAAAUUUGAAUUGGGCGGAUGUAAUAUGUAUUGGGUAUUUCCUCAUUCAAUAAUAUUUACGUUGUUUUCGGCAAAAAAGAAAGAAUUCAAUUGGAAAAAAAUAAAAAAAUGGGAAAUAAGGAUAUUCUAGUUAAGGUUUUUAUUAAUUGUUUUAGGUGGAUGGUUCAUAUGAAGAUUAUGAAAACGCUUUAAUUCUCUAAUGUGAGGUUCCGUCUCGAUCCAAAGUUAAUCAGUGAAAAAUAUAAUUAAGAUUGUUAUUAAUUAUCAAUUCAUGUAUAUUUCCCCAUGUAUUACGUUACUAAGUUAGACAAUGAAAAAUACAUAUAAGGCGUUAUGAGAAUAUGCGUGGCUGUCAAGUCUGACACGCAAAUAGCAUGCUCAACUUGAAUUACUCUCUAAGGAUUUUAUCCAAAAUCGACGAUGAGUGAACAAGUUGAAAGAUUAUGCACGACUUUCAUUAUGUAACAAGUGAAGAGGCAAUUUUCGCCAACCCUGACACGACAAGUUCCACUUUUUGUACAUUUUCUUGACGAAACAAUCACAUUUACCCUUACGAUUCCGGGCAUAGAGUAUGUGUUGGGUUCCGUUACAGUUCCGACGCUACUUAGCACUGUAGAGAAGGAAAUAAAAAGACAACUUUGGAUUUCUUACAACGUAUUGAGUCUCUCUUCAUGGCUCUUGCUGUGUUGUUCUUAUCUCACGUCCUGUUUCUCGAGCUUGGUGUUUCCGGUUGCAAAUUUUGGUUCGCCGGUGUAGUGCUCAGGGGAGGGGACUGUCUCACAUUGUUCCAAGCAGACAGAGGCGGUUGACAACGAUUGCGAUAAUGUGUUUUUCUACUGGGAGAACAUACAGCAGUCAGCAGUUACCUUUUCACAACCGUCUUCAGUAUUUGGAGGCACCUCAAGAAAUUAUCAAGGACAAACGAAUGUAGAAAAGAAGAAAUAUCGAAGUUGAUUGACAAAGGGGGCCGAAAAGUUGAGAGAUACAGAGAAGAGGAAGAUAAGAAGAAACUCGAUGCAAAUUUUAAGCUAGAUUAGUUAUUUUUCAUUAACGAGCGAUACAGAGAAGAAGAAACAGCUGCAUUUGGAGAUAGCCGCUUUAGUUGCCUAGUUUGUAACAUUAGCUUUAUGUAAAUCCGGGGAAGAAACAGGAGUAAAAAAAACACAAUCAGGCAGUACCAAAGAAGAAAAAUGUACAGUUACGAACAAUCACCACUUCUCAAACUUUGUAGUAGAUCCAGGUAUCCGAAAGACUCGGGGCUAAUGUACCUGCAUUAACAAAAAACAAAGAUCAGAUUUGUGUAAGGGAGUCGCAUAGUAGUUAAAAUACUCGGCCAUGCGCGAAUGGUUUGAGAUACCACCAUAGAGGCAUCCUCCAGGUGUGAGUUUCUUUCGUAUCGGAUCACUUAUUGUAAGAAUAUCAGUAGUGAAAGUGAAAUACCAGCGUCGGUAUUGAAAAAUUGUGUCCUCCGUAUGAUGCUUGCAACAUGCAUCACCGAAUCAACUUGAAGCUCUCCACCUCUCCAUCUGUUAAAUGUUUCAUAAGCAGCAUUGUUAAAGUUCUCUCUGGUUGGGGCGAUAUUGCAGAUAGUUUUGAAUGAAGAAAGGCAAAAAUUCAUGCUGAAGGCAUAGUUUACAACUAGUAUUUGUAAAAGCUAAGCUCUAAAGGUCUCACCUUGAUUCUUUGGCACAAAUAGCUAAGUUUUGAGAUGGGACAAAAUGGGUCCCAAGACCCACAUACAGUGCAUCCGAUGGUGUUGAAAUCCUUUUCCCAGUAAGUCAAAGAUAAGCACCAAGAAAGACAUGACAGUGUUAAAACAAAUACAGAACUAAGAAUUGAUGCAUGAAGCAAACAGAGUAAUGGUACAGGCCAUUCUCUUUAUAUUCUUAUAAUCUAAACAGUUUCUCCUUAUCAACGUUGGAAAAACAGCUUGCUUCAGUCAUAGGAGGGAAAUUGCGCCCGAGUAUAGAAAAUACAUACCUACAGAUCCUCCUCCUGGACUCUUUGCCGCUAUACGUGAAAACCCAACAUCUGGGAACAAACAAAUUACAUUCUCUGGCAUUAGCAAGAACAGUCCUCUGAAAUGUAUCCAUACAAAGUUAAGACACAAAAAAUUCAAAAAGGCAAUGUAAUUCACAACAUUGACAAUCUCUGUCUGACAAGGCAAUAAUACCUCUGUAAUGAUCCAGUAGCGACCGUGACCUGAUAGGCCAACACCAAAGCCCAUUCUUAUGCCAUCCAUGAAGCUUAUAUAGGGCUUCUUGUACUCUGAGAUUUUGCAUAUUAGAGAAUACUCAGCAGUGAAUACCUGAAAAACGUGCAGCACAAGUAUCAUACCGGUAGCCUCUCAAUCUUAAGAAAUGGUAGCUUAGAAAAGAUAUGAAUCCUAUCCAACCAAUACAAAUCAUAUUACCCAAGUUCAAGCAAAAUCAAGACUAAACAAAUGAUCAGAUGUUGUAGGUUGCCCGAGAAUGUCAAACAUGAAAUUACAAAAGAAAAAAAAUAAUCGUAUGUAUUGAACAUUAAUAAAUACAUGCUGAAAGCACAAUCUUAGCCGCAAUUUAUGACAUUUAUACGAGAUCGAAUAGAAAAAGCAAUUAAAGAAGUAGCAGAACUCACAUAAGUGAUUUUCACUUUGAACUUUUAGGCUUAUCAACAAAUACAUCAUUACGAUUCUAAUGCAUGAAUUUUGUUAAAGGGGGCUUGCUUGCUUAUAUUAAGGCUUAAUCAUCAAUGAUUUUGCAAGGGUCAAUCAUCUUGCUAGUUGUAAAUCUAUUCACUAUGAAAAUGACCAAAAUACAUCUUAUAUGGUAGUGAAGGAAGUCAUCUUAUAUUAUCUGGAUUUUAGAAAACGGUGUAAGGUUAUAAGUCUGUUAUUCUAUAUAGUUAAAAGGACACAAUUAGACCUCAAUCAUAUUCGGUGGUUGGUUUUUGGCCGUGAUCUGCUUCACAUCACCGCCUGCAGGUAAACUAAAUCUGGGUUAUUACUUAUCAAUGAAUCAACGUGCCAACUUAAUGGACACCAUCUAUCUCUAUAUGGCAAAAAAACAACACAAAAAUGAACAAUGAAGUGAAACAAUAAACAACAUGAUGUGAAACAGCACGAACAUCAAAGACUAACAAUAUAUCACAUAAGCACCUAAACAAGAAACAACUUUGGUUCAAAGCAAAGCGUAAUGUAGAAACCUUCGGCAGAACAGGGGUGUUUUUGUCCUUUUGAAACAACCACUUUAAUAUCCUUUCCUGCAUUUACCAUGAUUGGUCACUCUUAAAACCUUACCUAAGAGACCCAAAAACAAAAAUAACCGCCGAAAGAGCUAAACAUACAUAUCUAGAAAAACUUAUUUAACUGAAUGCUAAAAUGGAAGUGUAAAAUUGCCAAGAAAGAUAAGAAACUAAUCAGAUACGAAUUCUGGGCGUUACCGCCACAAAAGGCACGAGCGGAGCGGCUAUCAACAAGAACACACUUCACAUUUGGGUCAGAUUCCCAUUCAUCCAGAUAGCUCUUGUAUUCCACAUCCAUAUCUGCAUUUUCCAACAAUUCCCACUUAAACAGAAUCACAAAUUUCUUAAAAAAAAAGAAGCUAGCUUCUUCGAAAUUUGAAUCCAACGUUUCGCCUUAUAAAAUGGAAGUGUAAAAACCUACUAUCACAAUCAAAUGCUUAUUUAACUGCAUGCUAAAAUGGAAGUGUAAAAUUGCCAAGAAACACACUUCACAUUUGGGUCAGAUUCCCAUUCAUCCAGAUAGCACUUAAACAGAAACACAAAAUUCUUAAAAAAAAAAGAAGCUAGCUUCUUCGAAAUUUGAAUCCAACAUUUCGUCUUAUAACAAAUGCAAGAACAUAGAUUUGUACUCAAUAAGAUGCCAUAAAGUUCAAGCUCAAAAUUUCAAAUCAGCUCCAAAUCAAAAGCAUUUACAGAUACAUACAUAUAUACAUAUACGUGUGUGUGUGUUUAUCUACAUACCUAGGUUCAUGGCGUUGAGAGCUCGGGGGGCGACCGAGGGUGAUGUCGGCGACGCCAUUUGGGUGGACGCUGCCCUUGACGAACGCCUCGGCGGAGGCCAUGAUCCCGAAUGUGCGGAGAAGGCGAGGGGAUUUGGAGGGUUUGUAAAGAGAGAGCUUCAAAUUUGGAAUGAGGAAGAAGAAAGCGGACGACUAUUUGCUCAGAAUUUGGGUCGCUCGUCAAUAAGCUUCCCAUUACUUCCGUUUGAGAGUAACUGUCAGUGUCGAGAGAGACAGAUAUUUUUGGUGCUUCUGGACCGGACUACCCUUGAUGUUUCGGUCAAAUUACCGGGAAAAGGAACCGCCGCAGUGGCUAUGGAGGGAAAGUUGGAAUUUGAAAGCAGUAAGUAUGGACUUGCCUUCAUUUAUUGAACUGAGAAAUCGAAAACUGAAAGAGGCGUUUGACGAACUGAGAAAUCGAAAACAUGUGAUGAUGACUAUGCAUCACCACCUUGGUUGUGCCUCUGGAUCAAAAACCAACCAUCACGAUCAAAAUCGUGGAUAUUUUCCUUCAUAGGUUUGUCCCAUACUAGAUUAACCCCUGUUCCUUGAAUUGUCGCAUAAUAAUUUUUAUAGUCCAUCUCUGGCAUUUCAAAAGUUAUAUCAACUUUAUCCCCGCUUUGCAAAUUGAGCUUAUCAUUCGAUAUUUGUCCCUGCCAAAGAAAACAUUCUUUAUAUACAACAUCGCGCAUUUUUAUAACCCAAUCUUCCUUGCCAAUGCAGGUCCGCAACUCAUUACGCUUGGUAUUAUUUAUAUCAAUACUGGCAUGAGGAUGAGCAACUUUACAUCUGAUAUGAGAGCUUGACUGAUGAAGAUCUGAGGAGUAAAAGCAUAACAGAGUCAGCCCUUCAAAAUUACGACCAUCACUCGGGGGGAUAUCAAAACUGACUUUAUCACCAUUGUUGACAAACUCGAACCAAUCAGGAACAUAAUUCCCAUUGAGAAAAAUGCCACCAUAUCCACAAGAAGUCCAUCCCUAUACAUACAGUGCAAAUGUCAUAUAUAUACAUGUGCGUUGUGUGUGUGCAUGUGCGCAAUAGGAAGGCAAUUAAAGAGAGAUACCUUUAGGACGUUCCUCCUAAAAUCAGCUGUGAGUUUGGGGCAAUCCCUCAUGUCAAUCCAUGUCAAGGAGUAUAAUGACUUAUCCAAGUCUGGAACCUCAGUGAGUGCGUAUGAAUUACAUACAAUCAGUUCUCUCAUAUUCGACAUUUUCGAAAAAUUGGGCAUUGUUACCAAAUGAAGGCAAUUAGGCGCACCCAGAAAUUUUAAAUUCGUUGGCAAAUCAUAAAUUGUACGAAGCUCCAAGCAAUCAUGUAACCAGAGACUUUCAAGCUUUGAAAGAUCACUUAGGCUGGGUAGGGUAUGAAGGUGAUGGAAGUUCCUUAACCGCAAACUUUCAAGCUUUGAAAGACCACUGAGGCUGGGUAGGGUAUGAAGGUGAUGGCAGUUACUUAACUGCAAACUUUCAAGCUUUGAAAGACCACUGAGGCUGGGUAGGGUAUGAAGGUGAUGGCAGUCACUUAACUGCAAACAUUCAAGCUUUGAAAGACCACUGAGGCUGGGUAGGGUAUGAAGGUGAUAGCAGUUACUUAACUGCAAACUUUCAAGCUUUGAAAGACCACUAAGGCUGGGUAGGGUAGGAAGGUGAUGGCAGUUACUUAACUGCAAACUUUUAAGCUUUGAAAGAUCACUGAGGCUGGGUAGGGUACGAAGGUGAUAGCAGUUACUUAACUGCAAACUUUUAAGCUUUGAAAGACCACUGAGGCUGGAUAGGGUAUGAAGGUGAUGGCAGUCACUUAACUGCAAACUUUCAAGCUUUGAAAGACCACUGAGGCUGGGUAGGGUACGAAGGUGAUAGCAUUUACUUAAUUGCAAACUUUCAAGCUUUGAAAUACCACUGAGGCUAGGUAGGGUACGAAGGUGAUGGCAGUCACUUAACUGCAAACUUUCAAGCUUUGAAAGAUCACUGAGGCUGGGUAGGGUACGAAGGUGAUGGCAGUCACUUAACUGCAAACUUUCAAGCUUUGAAAGACCACUGAGGCUGGGUAGGAUAUGAAGGUGAUAACAUUUACUUAACUGCAAACUUUCAAGCUUUGAAAGACCACUGAGGCUGGGUAGGGUUUCAAGGUGAUGGCAGUCACUUAACUGCAAACUUUCAAGCUUUGAAAGACCACUGAGGCUGGGUAGGGUAUGAAGGAGAUAGCAUUUACUUAACUGCAAACUUUCAAGCUUUGAAAGACCACUGAGGCUGGGUAGGGUAUGAAGGUGAUGGCAGUCACUUAACUGCAAAUUUUCAAGCUUUGAAAGACCACUGAGGCUGGGUAGGGUAUGAAGGUGAUAGCAUUGACUUAACUGCAAACUUUCAAGCUUUGAAAGACCACUGAGGCUGGGUAGGGUAUCAAGGUGAUGGCAGUCACUUAACUGCAAACUUUCAAGCUUUGAAAGACCACUGAGGCUGGGUAGGGUAUGAAGGAGAUAGCAUUUACUUAACUGCAAACUUUCAAGCUUUGAAAGACCACUGAGGCUAGGUAGGGUAUGAAGGUGAUGGCAGUCACUUAACUGCAAACUUUCAAGCUUUGAAAGACCAUUGAGGCUGGCUAGGGUAUGAAGGUGAUAGCAUUUACUUAACUGCAAACUUUUGAGCUUUGAAAGACCACUGAGGCUGGGUAGGGUAUGAAGGUGAUGGCAGUCACUUAACUGCAAACUUUCAAGCUUUGAAAGACCACUGAGGCUGGGUAGGGUAUGAAGGUGAUGGCAGUCACUUAACUGCAAACUUUCAAGCUUUGAAAGACCACUGAGGCUGGGUAGGGUAUGAAGGUGAUAACAUUGACUUAACUGCAAACUUUCAAGCUUUGAAAGACCACUGAGGCUGGGUAGGGUAUGAAGGUGAUGGCAGUCACUUAACUGCAAACUUUCAAGCUUUGAAAGACCACUGAGGCUGGGUAGUGUAUGAAGGUGAUAGCAUUUACUUAACUGCAAACUUUCGAGCUUUGAAAGACCACUGAGGCUGGGUAGGGUAUGAAGGUGAUGGCAGUCACUUAACUGCAAACUUUCAAGCUUUGAAAGACCAUUGAGGCUGGGUAGGGUAUGAAGGUGAUAGCAUUUACUUAACUGCAAACUUUCGAGCUUUGAAAGACCACUAAGGCUGGGUAGGGUAUGAAGGUGAUGGCAGUUACUUAACUGCAAACUUUCAAGCUUUGAAAGACCACUGAGGCUGGGUAGGGUAUGAAGGUGAUGGCAGUCACUUAACCGCAAACUUUCAAGCUUUGAAAGACCACUAAGGCUGGGUAGGGUAUCAAAAUCAUUGUUUGAGAGAUCUAAAUUUCUUAAAGAGUCUAAGCCGUGUAACGAAUCAGGAAAUCGCAAGGGAAACUCUGAUCCCACACCUGCUAGAGAUAAAUGAGUGAGAUUCAUCAACCUUACUGUGGAACGUGGUACUUGUCUUAUGGCUGUGAAAGAUGCUUUAAGUACUCUCAAUGAUAGCAUCUUCCCUAUAUCCUCGGGCAGUUCACUGAAUUGGCAACAUUCAUCAAGAACAAGAGUCUGAACGGAUUUUGACUUGUAGAAAUCUCCAGGAAGAGAAAUAAGAUUCUUGCAGCCUGUGAGGUUCACCAAAGAAAGUUUUUUAAGAUGACCAAUGGAGGGGUGAAUCUCGGACAAACUCACACACCAUUCCAACAUCAACUCUUCAAGAUUUGGGAGAUUUGAAAAGUCUGGUGAUUUUUUUAAGUCAAGGCAACUUCUGAGAUCAAGGAAUUUCAAGUUUUCAAGCGACUGUUGCACAAAAUCAAAGGAAAAUUAAAAUUAAUAUCCAAAAGGAAUAUCUCAUUAAAAAAAGAGAAGGAAAUCCAAAAGCAAAUAGAAUCAUAACAUCAUCAUGUGUAAUCGACUGUACCUUGGAACCCUCCCAAACUUGUACAAGUUUGCCAGACGUUAUCUCUAAACUAACUAGUCUUGGUUGAUCAAAGAAGUCAUCUGGUAUGGACUUUAAAGGGCAUCCAGACCAACUCAACCAUAUUAACUCUUUGGAAAGAUGUUUGUAUUCUCCAUUGAGCUGCACUUUGCAGAGCUGGAGCAGUCUCAGUUUCUUCAUAUUGGCAAAUCCUUCUGUACUGAAACAACUAAACUUAGAAGAAUGCUUCUGUACUGAAUCUGGAGCAAGUUCAACUUCUUCAGUUUCCUGUUAACAAAAGGUUAUAUUCAUGAGUAAGAAACGGAUUAUUUGCAAAUGCUUCUGUACUGAAAGAACUAGACUUGUUAGAGCUUUGUACCCGAGGAGGAGGGCCAUAUAGAGCAAGUCCUUCAACUUCUUCAGUUCCCUGUUAAGAAAAGGUGAUAUUCAUGUGUAAGAAACGAAUUAUUUGCAUACGUUUACAUGUAUGAAUACAUGCAAGUACUAUUGUUCGCUAAUUGAGAUGAAUGUUACUUAAUGUGUAAUACACAUCCGUGAGUUAUAUGUGCUUUUCAUGUACGAUGCAUUAAAUUCAAAAUUUUAUUAGGAAUGUACUUACAGAGUUAUCUCCUAAUACUUUAGUGACCUCUUGAUGGUUCCACAACCUACUCCAUUUUCCAGGGUGACGAGGGAAUUUUUCAGAAAUGAUUAAUUUGGCCAUUUCUCGAAGCAAAUCAUGCAUAUUCAACCUGUUAUGUUCAACAGUUACAAGGCAUCGUUCACGAAGGUCACUGAUUCCUACUGUUGCAAAAAACUCACAUCCAUCUAAUAUUUUUGCGACACGGUCCUUAUCCCAUCCAAUAAAGAAACAAGAUAUGUCAAGGAAUAUAUCCUUCUGUGUAGGAUCUAGCCUUUCAAAGCUUACUCUUAGCGGUUUCAUUAUUCCUUCCUCGGGAAAUUUUUUCAAUUUCUCCAACUGAUUUUUCCACUCCGUUGGGGUUCUUUCAAUCAUAGAACCACCUAAAACUUCAAGGGCUAGUGGCAAACCACCACAGUAAGAAACAACCUCCUUUGAGAGUUCAAGAUAUCCUUCAUUAGGCCAACUAUUUCCAAAGGCAUGCCAACUAAAGAGCUUCAGAGCUUCUUCGUCAUUCAUUUCCUUAAGUGGAUAUGUCUUGUCCACUUUCAUGUUCACUUGCUUUAGUAAACGUUCAUCUUGUGUCGUUAUGAUAAUUCUACUUCCUGGGCCAAACCAAUCACGAUUUCCAGCUAUUGCAUUUAGUUGUUCCACUCUGUCUACAUUGUCAAUAAUGACAAGUACACUUCUACGAUGGAGAUGAUUUUUUAUCGGACUGAUACCUUCAUCAACACUGGUUAUCUCAGGCUUGGUCUGUUUCAAGAUGUCAGAAACAAGUUUUUUUUACGAAACAACCAGAUCUUUUUCACUAACGUUGUCAAGGAAACUUUUGAAUUGGAACUCAUGAUGAAUUUUGUUAUAAAUGGCUUUGGCAGCUGUUGUUUUACCCAAUCCACCCAUCCCCCAAAUUCCAACCAUGCAAACAACAUCUGAUCCAGCAUUUGAAAGAUAAGUGAUGAUAUCUUGAAUGCGAGUAUAUAUUCCAACUGGGUGCUUGGCCAUUUGUAAUUCUUCUGCGAUCGGAAGCCAUUUCGGGAUAAUCUUGUCAACAAUUUCUCUAAUAAGCUUUGCUUCGCGCCUGAAAAUUAAAUUUGUGAGCAUUAGUGGGACUCGAUGAACACUAGGAGCUAUCAGUAUAUAGACAAUUUUCUUUCCCCCAUGGCCCCAUAUAUAUUCUAACUAGCUACUAGCUAGUAUAUGAUUUUUUGACCAACCUGAUAAAAGAAAGAACUUAAUUAAACUCCAAUUACGGUUUAGGAUUUAUAUGAGAGGUUAAGAUGUAUUAAUUUAAUUAAGCAUGUUAGCCAAUGUUUAAUUAGCUUCUGUAAAAUGUUAAUUAAGCAUGUUAAUUAUAUGAGAGAUUAAGUCAUUCACUAAAAUGUUUCAAAUCUUGAAAAGCAGGUGAAUGAUUACCCUUUGUCAGUGAUUUGAAGAUGUUGGCCAGACAAAUUUGCAGCUUCUGUAAGAGCCUUUCUCCACUGCUUUACCCUUUCUUGUCUAGUUUCACGUUCCUUGUCAUCUUUUUCUUCACGGAUGCCCUCUUCGUGCUUCUGAAAUGCUUGAGCUAAAUCUUCAUUCUGCUUCCUAACAUGUGAAGGAUCAACAUGAUAGAAUAUUGGUAAAACAUGUCGCCCCGGUUUGUAUCUGCACUCCAUGAUCUUCACCAGCUCAUCAAGACACCAACUCGAGUCCGCAUAACUCUUUGAGAAGACAAUGAUAGAGAUCCUCGCCUCUUUGAUUGCCCGGAACAGUUCCUCUUUUAUUUCUUCCCCUCUUUCUAGAUCAUCCUCAUCGAUAUAAGCCUGGUAUCCCCUGUCUGUUAAUGCCGCGUGGAGGUGGCCCGUGAAACCAUUGCGUGUGUCUACACCGCUGAAGCUCAAGAACACGUCGUAAUUCCAAAGUUUUGACUUGGAGGAGGAUGAAGAGGAGGCUUCGUGGGUUAUCAUGGCGAUAUCCACCGUUAUGGCACUGCAGUGGUUCAGAUCACGACUGCAAAAAUGGCAGUAGUUGUGUUCGUGCUGUCGAACAGAUGAUCCUGAAUUACCUAAACCCAAGUCAAGCUCCUUCAGUCAUCAAGAACAAAGUUUAAAAUAUAAUAAUGUUGGCAUAUGGACUUGAGAAACGACAUAAUGUUGCCGGAAGGUGCAGAGAAAGAGAGAGGAAAAGAGGAACGAAAGGACAAAGACUAUCCAAAAGAUUCUUGGCUGUGAUUACAGCUAUUCAUAUGAGAAACAACAGACAUAUUUUCAUAGGAGAAACAACCUGCCCAUCUUCAUAUAUAAUACAUUUCAAUGGACAUUUUAAUAGGAGAAACAACUUUAGUUUGUACUAGAAAUUUUUACCCGCGCGUUGCUGCGGUAUUUGAAAUUGUAUGAAAGAUUAUCUUUGAAAUAUAUAAUAGAUUGAGUGAUUGAAGAUUAAUACUAUUUACAUUGAAAAUGUUGGAAAAGUUUUACAUACAAAAGAUUUUACGAUACAAUCCACAUACAAAAGAUGGGAAAUUUUUUUCUAUCUAUAUGCAUUAUGUUAUGGAAUGAUAUAUAUAUAUAUAUAUAUAUAUAUAUAUAUAUAUAUAUAUAUAUAUAUAUAACUAAGUGCCAGAAUACGUAACUUCAUAACUUGGAAAUCUUUAGACAAAUUAAUCAGAUUCAACUGUGGGAUAGCAGCGUCGCCUAUAACGUUGUGAAGUCGUGGAAACAUAAAGGACAAAUAACAAAUGAGUUUUGAGAAAUUAUUCCACAAAUGUCAUUCUGCAAAAUGUAUUAAGAUUAGCAAUCAUGAGUAGUGUAACAACAUCAACAAAAUAACUAUAAACCAUAGUGGAACAUAAUUCAAAUUUCGGUUGCAAAAACAAAAGAAAAAGAAAACAGACUUACAAUAAUUCAGUCUCCAAUCCUGAAGUCCUACUCAAAGAGCAAAACUUGAAUGCAAGCUUUAAUCUUCCAAACAAUACAGAUAACAAGGUAACACUCUAGUAAAAAAUGAACCGAGGUGCGAGCUUUCUAAGAAACCCAGAUGACAAAAUCAACAAAAUAGAAUGGAAAAAUGACUUACAUUUUUAAGGCAUGCCCGAAUCUUGAUCUAAAAUUGGUGGUGGGUCGAUUGUUGGUCACCAACUCUAAAUGAAGAAUUCAUCAGAACCUAGAAAUUUAAACAAAGAAUUUUCCAAAAUCAACAACAACAACAACAACAACAAAGCCUUUUCCCACUAAGUGGGGUCGGCUAUAUGAAUCCUAGAACGCCAUUGCGCUCAUUUGUGUCAUGUCCUCCGUUAGAUCCAAGUACUCAAGUCUUUUCUUAGGGUCUCUUCCAAAGUUUUCCUAGGUCUUCCUCUACUCCUUCGGCCCCGAACCUCUGUCCCGUAGUCACAUUUUCGAACCGGAGCGUCAGUAGGCCUUCUUUGCACAUGUCCAAACCACCGGGACCGAUUUUCUCUCAUAUUUCCUUCAAUUUUGGCUACUCCUACUUUACCUCGGAUAUCCUAAUUCUCAAUCUUAUCCUUUCUCGUGUGCCCAUACAUCCCACGAAGCAUCCUCAUCUCCGCUACACCCAUUUUGUGUACGUUGAUGCUUCACCGCCCAACAUUCUGUGCCAUACAACAUCGCUGGCCUUAUUGCCGUCCUAUAAAAUUUUCCCUUGAGCUUCAGUGGCCUACGACGGUCACACAACACGCCGGAUGCACUCUUACACUUCAUCCAUCCAGCUUGUAUUCUAUGGUUGAGAUCUCCAUCUAAUUCUCCGUUCUCUUGCAAGAUAGAUCCUAGGUAGCGAAAACGGUCAUUUUUUUGUGAUCUUCGCUAGAUUGCUCCGGUCAUUAGUGUGGAUAAGUAUAUAAAAUGGAUAGAGAUAGGAAAGCAAACACAAGAUGUACGUGGUUCACCCAGAUUGGCUACGUCCACGGAAUAGAGGAGUUCUCAUUAAUUGUGAAGGGUUUACACAAGUACAUAGGUUCAAGCUCUCCUUUAGUGAGUACAAGUGAAUGAUUUAGUACAAAUGACAUUAGGAAAAAUUGUGGGAGAAUGAUCUCGUAGCCACGAAACUUCUAAGUACCGGAGUGUGGUAUCGUCUUGACUUGCCUUAUCUGUCUCAUAGGUAGAUGUGGCAUCUUCUCUGGAAGUACUCUUCCUCCAUCCAGGGGUGGUAUCUGUAACUGGUGGAGAUGCACAAGGUAAUGUAUCAAUUUCACUUGAAGCUUACUUGUAGUUUCAUGCUUGGUCAAGCGAGAUACAAACCAUGUAGUAGGAGUCCCCCAAGUCGCCGAGCUGGGGGAUCUGCUGAAAGAGGUGACAGACAAGGUAAGCAAUCAGAGCUCCGGCUGAUUGUUCACAUUCUCCCUAUCUUGCAGGCAGCAUGAAGGAUAAAGAGAAGAAAAAUGAGGAGAGAUGAUAUGGGAUACUUUUGCUUUUGAAGAAGUAACUUUCCACAGGCUUAUUCUUGAACUGGGCUGGAGGGUUUUCUGGUUUCCUCCAGAGUAUAAGGCCGACUGAAGAAUUUGAGGGUCAAAACAAGUCCAUCAAAUCUAGAGUACGUUCGACCCUGCUGAUAUGGGAUACUUUUGCUUUUGACAGAGUAGUGGAUGUAUCGGCACGUGUGCUGUUACGCUUGUCUCCACAUGCUUCCUUGUAUCCUUCUCACUUGCCCUAUCUGUUCCUCAGGCAGAUGCGGUAUCUUCCCUGGAAGCAUAAGAUGUUGAAGAUGAGUACUCGAGAGCAAUGCCAGGUAAGUAAUCAGGUAAGGGGUUCCAGGCAGUCAGUUCCUGGCUGGAAGCUUGAUUCCAAGUGCUGACUGAUUGCUCUCUUUCUCCUUGUCUUGCAGGUAAGAACAAGGCCAAAGGAAAAGACAGGGAAAAAGCAUGAUAUGGGAUACUCUUGCUUUUAACCCUGAUGAUAUGAGAUAUUCUUGCUCUAGUAUAGCUUGUUUACAGAGGUAUUAUCGGGGGGAAAAAAAGCUAAAUAUUUCGAAAGGCUUUGUUGGGAGUGCCCUCUCAGAUAAGAGAAAGGGUUGAGCAUUUUUGCAGGUCUGCCUGUCCGUUAGGGAUGGAAGGUCGACAUAUAUAGGAGUCUCCCUAACAUCAAGUAAUAAUGCUAUUCCUUUACCCUGCUUGGUUAUAGCACGGUAGUGGGAGCUGCCAGCUUCACAUGUUUUAACUCUGUCAGAGCACUUUGAAAAAGUGGUCUGUGGUAUCUGGAAAGCUGAUGUUGCGUGUGAAGAUUACAGACAAGCUGUCGGGGGUCUGGCUCUCGAGAUUCGGAGAACGAUGCCUCUUCGAUUUUUGAGAAAGCAAUCCUGCUGGGGGUCUGGCUCUCGAGAUUCGGAGAGCGGUGUCUCUUCGAUUUUUGAGAAAGUAAUCAUGUUGGGAGUCUGGCUCUCGAGAUUCGGAGGGCGGUGCCUCUUCGAUUUUGGAGCAAGCAAUCUUGUUGGGAGUGUUUUCUCGAAUGUGAGUAAAGGUUGGGCAUGUUUGCUAGUCUACCUUGCCACGAAGCACAGAGGUUGACACACAGGGACUUUCCAAUUAUCCAGCAGUGGUACUGUUCCUUUACCCUCUCUUCGAUUUUUGAGAAAGUAAUCAUGUUGGGAGUCUGGCUCUCGAGAUUCGGAGGGCGGUGCCUCUUCGAUUUUGGAGCAAGCAAUCUUGUUAGGAGUGUUUUUUUCUCGAAUGUGAGUAAAGGUUGGGCAUGUUUGCUAGUCUACCUUGCCACGAAGCACAGAGGUUGACACACCGGGACUUUCCAAUUAUCCAGCAGUGGUACUGUUCCUUUACCCUUGUGGGUAAUAAUAUGGUAGCUAGACCUUCAAAAUUUAUGUGUCUAAACUUUGUUAGUGUUGUUUCUUUGCAAUUCUUUUACCCUUCUUGGUCAGAGCGAUGUAGUGGGAGCUGCAAGCUUCACGUGUCUCAACUUUGUCAGAGAACUUUGGCAAAGUUAUCUGUGGUACCCAUGAGCUACUGUUGCGUGUGGGAAGUGGGUGAUUGAACAGUACGAUUCAUGUGCUUUCUACUUCGCCAGAAAUCUUCGACAGAAUGCCCAUAAUUUCCGCAAAGCUGAGUGUGCGUGUGACAGGUGCUGACAAGGCUGGAAAAGUAGGUGCCUCUUCGAUUUCUGAAAUCGGCCCUCGUGGUCUCUGAGCAGCCCAGCUUUUGAGAAAGCAAGCCUCUUCGAUUUUCUGAGAUCGGCCUUUGUGGUCUUUGAGCAGCCCAGCUUUUUGAGAAUCUCUGAGCAGCCCAGCUUUUGAGAAAGCAAACGCCUCUUCGAUUUCUGAGCAGGCGCCUCUUCGAUUUCUGAAGCUUCGUCGAGUGCAGAUUUUUAUAGGGGCUGACAUUAAGUUCCAAAGCACACUUGAAUAUCCACCAGUAGAAGCUCCAUUCUUGCACUUCUAAGAUCUUGAUUUGUCCGACCUCUUCUCUCUUCAACACCUUUGAAAAUGUCUGGCCCCUCCGACCGUCGUUUUGACUUGAACCUUGUUGAAGAGGCAGCCCCGCCUUCUCCAGACAACAUAUGGCGCCCAUCCUUCGUCUCCCCUACUGGUCCUCUUACCGUUGGGGAUUCCGUGAUGAAGAAUGAUAUGACCGCUGCGGUAGUGGCCAGGAACCUUCUCACUCCCAAAGAUAACAGACUAUUUUCCAAACGGUCUGAUGAGUUGUCUGUUAAGGAUUCUCUGGCUCUCAGUGUUCAGUGUGCAGGUUCUGUGUCUAAUAUGGCCCAACGCCUAUUUGCUCGAACCCGCCAAGUUGAAUCAUUGGCGGCUGAAGUGAUGAGUCUCAAACAGGAGAUUAGAGGGCUCAAGCAUGAGAAUAAACAGUUGCACCGGCUCGCACAUGACUAUGCUACAAACAUGAAGAGGAAGCUUGACCAGAUGAAGGAAUCUGAUGGUCAGGUUUUACUUGAUCAUCAGAGAUUUGUGGGUUUGUUCCAAAGGCAUUUAUUGCCUUCGUCUUCUGGGGCUGUACCGCGUAAUGAAGCUCCAAAUGAUCAAUCCUCUGAUGCCUCCUCCUUCUAGGGUUUUGUCCAAUACUGAGGCUCCGAAUGAUCCCCCUCCGGUGCCUUCUCUUUCUGGGGCUCUACCGACUGCUGAGACUUCUCCUAAGCAACCUUUGUGAAGGCUCCCUCUUGUUUGUUUAUUUUGACUCAAGUAUAUGUACAUAUUUGUAACUUAUCGGGGAUAUCAAUAAAUAAGUUUUUCCUUCAUUUCAACGUAUUGUGUUAAAUACACCAAAGCCUUCUUCGCUAAGUUCUUUGAAUUUUCUUUUGUUGAAGCUUGUAUGUUGAAGCUUUGUGAGUGGAGCAUAUAGGUUGAGGUAGUGUUCCCUUAAUUUCCCGAGUGAGGAAAACUUCUCGGUUGGAGACUUGGAAAAUCCAAGUCACUGAGUGGGAUCGGCUAUAUGAAUCUUAGAACGCCAUUGUGUUCUGUCCUGUGUCAUGUCCUCCGUUAGAUCCAAGUACUCUAAGUCUUUUCUUAGGGUCUCUUCCAAAGUUUUCCUAGGUCUUCCUCUGCCCCUUCGGCCCUGAACCUCUGUCCCAUAGUCGCAUCUUCUAAUCGGAGCGUCAGUAGGCCUUCUUUGCACAUGUCCAAACCACCGUAACCGAUUUUCUCUCAUAUUUCCUUCAAUUUCGUCUACUCCUACUUUACCCCGGAUAUCCUCAUUCCUAAUCUUAUCCUUUCUCGUGUGCCCACACAUCCAACGAAGCAUCCUCAUCUCCGCUACACCCAUUUUGUGUACGUGUUGAUGCUUCACCGCCCAACAUUCUGUGCCAUACAGCAUCGCCGGCCUUAUUGCCGUCCUAUAAAAUUUUCCCUUGAGCUUCAGUGGCAUACGGCGGUCACACAACACGCCGGAUGCACUCUUCCACUUCAUCCAUCCAGCUUGUAUUCUAUGGUUGAGAUCUCCAUCUAAUUCUCCGUUCUUUUGCAAGAUAGAUCCUAGGUAACGAAAACGGUCGCUCUUUGGUAUUUCUUGAUCUCCGAUCCUCACCCCUAACUCGUUUUGGCCUCCAUUUGCACUGAACUUGCACUCCAUAUAUUCUGUCUUUGAUCGGCUUAGGCGAAGACCUUUAGAUUCCAACACUUCUCUCCAAAGGUUAAGCUUUGCAUUUACCCCUUCCUGAGUUUCAUCUAUCAACACUAUAUCGUCUCUGCGAAAAGCAUACACCAAGGAAUAUCACCUUGAAUAUGUCCUGUUAACUCAUCCAUUACCAACGCAAAAAGGUAAGGACUUAAGGAUGAGCCUUGAUGUAAUCCUACAGUUAUGGGAAAGCUUUCGGUUUGUCCUUCAUGAGUUCUUACGGCAGUCUUUGCUCCUUCAUACAUAUCCUGUAUAGCUUGGAUAUAUGCUACUCGUACUCCUUUCUUCUCUAAAAUCCUCCAAAGAAUGUCUCUUGGGACCCUAUCAUACGCUUUUUCCAAAUCUAUAAAGACCAUGUGUAAAUCCUUUUUCCCAUCUCUAUAUCUUUCCAUCAAUCUUCGUAAGAGAUAGAUUGCCUCCAUGGUUGAGCGCCCUGGCAUGAACCCGAAUUGGUUGUCCGAAACCCGUGUCUCUUGCCUCAAUCUAUGCUCAAUGACUCUCUCCCAGAGCUUCAUUGUAUGACUCAUUAGCUUAAUUCCCCUAUAGUUCAUGCAAUUUUGUACAUCGCCCUUAUUCUUGUAGAUAGGCACCAAAGUGCUCAUUCGCCACUCAUUCGGCAUCUUCUUCGUUUUCAAAAUCCUAUUGAAAAGGUCAGUGAGCCAUGUUAUACCUGUCUCUCCCAAAAUUUUCCACACUUCGAUUGGUAUCGUCUGGGCCUACUGCUUUUCUAUGCUUCAUCUUCUUCAAAGCUACACCCACUUCUUCCUUCCGGAUUCUACGAUAAAAAGAGUAGUUUCUACACUCUUCUGAGUUACUCAACUCCCCUAAAGAAGCACUCCUUUCAUGUCCUUCAUUGAAAAGAUUAUGAAAAUAACCUUUUCAUCUGUCUUUAACCGCGUUCUCUGUAGCAAGAACCUUUCCAUCCUCAUCCUUGAUGCACCUCACUUGGUUUAGGUCCUAAAAUCAACAUUUACUAAAAACCAUUUACUUGGUUAUCAUGCAAGAUGGCUUGCCAAAGAUUGAAUUAAGGAAUGCACAACUUUACUUUUAUGAUUAUUUUCAAUGACAGCUAAAAGGUCAGAUCCAAAUGAAAAUAAAACUUUGGACUUCACAAAACCAAUUAAAAAUCUAAUUCCAAAGUUACAAACACCCACCAAAUGAUUCCAGAUAAAGUUUUAAACUCAAGGUCAGACCCAAAUGAAAUUAAAAGUUAGGACUUCACAAAACCAAUUGAAAAUCUGAUUCCAAAGUUCCAAACACCCACCAAAUGAUUCCGGAUAAAGUUUAAACUCAAAACACCAACAGAAACAAAAGCAUUGGUGUGAAUUAACUGUAUCUAAUUGAAGAAACUAAAACAAAAGUAAGCAAAGUACAUACCUCAAAAUGUCAAGCAACUAAGUUCUUCCUCCGACGACCCAAAACUCUGAAAAUUCCACACAAAAAAAAAGGUAAAUCCAUUAGCAAUUCAUAGCUUUCCAAAUUAGCAAAAACUUGGGCAACAAUAAAGAUGCGUUGAGAACCAUCACUCUUUCUCCUUAUGUAUUUGAAAAGAUAUUUUAUAAGCAGUUUAUGUAGUCAUUCUGAUCAUGUUGCAUAUAAAUUCCUUUUCUACAGAGUUCAAAAAUAUAUGGCAGUUUAUGGCAUCUGUUGAAUAACAUGGUUGAAAGAUUUAAAAUUGAUACAUUCAAUUUUCAUGUGUAAAACUAUAACAUAUAGCUAAAGCUAUUGGGUCUAUAUAUCCAUAUCAAUCAAGUCGUAAUUGAAUGUUUAUCGAUGUAAAAAGAUGAUUUCAGUCAUGUGAUAACAUGCUUCUUGAUAGUAUAGCUGAAGUUUGGUCUAAGUUGGAUACAAAUCGACCAAAAUCUAUAAGAGACUCUUUUAACUUUUAACCAAAAAAUAAGCACCACAAUACUACACUUAUAAGUUUUAUCAUGCACAAAAUACACAGCACUGAUUGCCACUUUUAGAGUAAGAACAAUACUUUACCAGAAGAAAACAACAAAACACUCAAAACCCAGAAACUAGAAACACACUUGGGAUUCAAACUCCUCAAAAACAUGAGAAAGAGAGAGAGUGUGUGUGAGGAAAGAGAAUAAAAAACAAUAUUAUUUUUCACACAAACUCAAAAUUGCUUAUAAAAUUAGAAAUCGAAACAAAUUAAUGCAAAUCCAAAAUUGACCUAAAUUAAAUCUGAUUAGUUAAAUGUUUGUUGCCCUACAAAUGUCAUUACACGUUGAUAUUUUGGUCAAUCCUGGGGAAAAGGAGUUAUUGGUGUUGGAGCAGUUGUCAUGGAGAAUACCAUCUCCCUGUUGAAUGAUCUAAAACAGGACUUACUGCUUUAGCUGGCCAUAAUAAUUUAGGAGGCCCUUCUCUCCAGAUUUUCUCAAUAACUUUCCUUUUCGUAGCUGGUAAGAUUGCAACUCUAAGAAUUGCUCCGAAGAUAUAUAUACAAACAAAAUCAACCUAAAACUAAGCUAUUGGAAGAAAUUUGGAAAACACAAACACCACUACACCUCAGAGUUAAAGUCAACAGAAACCAAAUGGUACAAGUUGAAAAAAUAUAUGGUCAUGAAUCGAGAACUUCAUCAAACUAACAGCAAUAAAAUCUCAUAUAAUCUAUCAAAAACCAAAAAAGAGAGAGGUAAUUUCAAGACCUUGUAACGCUGAGGCCUCGUACAGUUGUAGUACUAAUAUAUGGUUGAUGCACCUGUUGCUCAAUCAAAUCCUUUGUCUGGCUAGAAAAAAUAAAAUUCUAUAAAUACAUUCACGUCCAAUUUAUGAGAAAUCAUGGGAAAGCAAAUGCACUGAUAACAGAAUCAUGAAUAUGAAGAACUUGCCAAAAAGAAAAAGAAAACUUCUUAUAGUGUGCCAAGAACAUCCUCCUACUCCUAGCAAAUUUUUUAUGGCAUUAUCCACUUCUCAAUUCAUAAUUCAACCAGUAACCCAAAGUCUAUAGUGUAUGAAAUAGUGAUAUCUUAGUUGAUCAUGAUGAUAAUUAAGCAGAUUAAAUGAGGACCCAUAAAGCAUACAAAAAUUCAGAAAAGAAAAGGUCCAAAACUGCCAUGAGAAAACGCAGAAUAUAUAAACGGAAAAUCAAAAUAAGAGAAGCGAAAAAGGAAGACAAAACCAAACAAAAAGGCCACAAUCAUGAAAGUCAAACACAAACAAUCCAAACAUUUGUGGAAAAUACCAAUAAAUGCUCAACUAAAAACGAAAGAAAAUGUAGAAUAAGUUUACCUGUUCUUCCCCUAAUUAAACUGAAAUACAAUUCACCACUAAUAUUCUCGUCAUCCUCUUCAGCCUGAAAAAUUUAGUAGAACAUAAUGAUAAGAAUCUAGCAGUAUUUCCAUUGUUUAAAACCCAAAUUCCAGAAAUCAUGAAAAAUGGAAACUUUAUAUGGAAACUGAAGCUUUACCUGCAGAUCAGCAGCAGCAAACGGAAUCCAACGGGAUGUACCUCAAAAGUGAGAGAGAGAGGUGAGAGAUGAGUGAGAGAAUCGAUAAACAAAACCCCCCAAAAUCACAAAAGGAAAUUUGAACAGAAAACAAAUUUGAAAAUCCAAAAUCACAAAAACGAAAUUGAAACACCCACACUGAGAAAGCUGUAUAACUCACCAGGAAACGCUAGCCUUUCUGGGUAACAAAAUUAUUCCGAUCGAAUUGAAGAACGGAGGAAAGUUCUACUAGUUCAGAGGUUAUUCCAGUGUGCCAAGUACGAAUAUGAACGGGGAAUGGGGAGCUGGCUGAGGGAGACAGAAUUUGAGAAGCAGCGUUCUGAUUCUUUAUAUGAGAGAAAGCGGAAUGAAGAGAAUCGGGAAGGGGAGGAACCAUUUUAAGCGAUGACGGACGCGUGGGAAUUGAGGGCAAAUUUGCCAUUUUGCUGUGAACCCAAAAGUCAAGACUUGGCUUGGUUUAUAUAAUUAAUCAAGGGUAAAAGACUGUUUACUACCCUCAUGUUUUGUGGUUUUCAACAUUUAGUACAUCCUUCGUGGUUUUCAACAUUUAGUACAUCAUGUUUUUUUCGUCUCAGAGUCAUACCUAAAGUGUAAAUUUUGGGACAGUCUCAUACAUCCGUUAGUCAAACUGUUAAGUUUUUCGUUAACUGUGACGUGGCGCACUGGCUGGGCGCCACGUGUCAUCCACGUUUUCUUCUUCUUCUUCUUCUUCUUCUUCUUCUUCUUCUUCUUCUUCUUCUUCUUCUUCUUCUUCUUCUUCUUCUUCUUCUUCUUCCUCUUCUUCUUCUUCUUCUUCUUCUUCUUCUUCUUCUUCUUCUUCUUCUUCUUCUUCUUCUUCUUCUUCUUCUUCUUCUUCUUCUUCUUCUUUUUCUUCUUCUUCUUCUUCUUCUUCUUCUUCUUCUUCUUCUUCUUCUUCUUCUUCUUCUUCUUCUUCUCUUCUUCUUCUUCCUUCUUCUUCUUCUUCUUCUUCUUCUUCUUCUUCUCUUCUUCUUCUUCUUCUUUCUUCUUUUCUUCUUCUUCUUCUUCUUCUUCUUCUUCUUCUUCUUCUUCCUUCUUCUUCUUCUUCUUCCUUCUUCUUCUCUCUUCUUCUUUCUUCUUCCUUCUUUCUUCUUCUUUCUUCCUCCUCCGACUGUAACUUUUUUUUUUUUUUCUUCUUCCUUCGCCUUCUUCUUUUCUUCUUCUUCUUCUUCUUCUUCUUCUUCCUCUUCUUCUUCUUCUUCCUCCUUCUUCUUCUUCUUCCUUCUUCUUCUUUCUUCUUCUUCUUCUUCUUCUUCCUCUUCUUCUUCUUCUUCUUCCUCCUCCGACUGUAACUUUUUUUUUUCUUCUUCCUUCGCCUUCUUCCUUCCUUCCUACUUCCUUCCCUUUCUUCCCCUUCUUCCUUCUUCUUCCUUCUCAUUCUCCUUCUUCUUCCCGAAUCUGGGUCUCAGAGUCAUACCUAAAGUGUAAAUUUUGGGACAGUCUCAUACAUCCGUUAGUCAAACUGUUAAGUUUUUCGUUAACUGUGACGUGGCGCACUGGCUGGGCGCCACGUGUCAUCCACGUUUUCUUCUUUCUUCUUCUUCUUCCUCUUCUUCUUCUUCUUCCUCCUCCGACUGUAACUUUUUUUUUUUUCUUCUUCCUUCGCCUUCUUCCUUCCUUCCUACUUCCUUCCCUUUCUUCCCCUUCUUCCUUCUUCUUCCUUCUCAUUCUCCUUCUUCUUCCCGAAUCUGGGUCUCAGAGUCAUACCUAAAGUGUAAAUUUUGGGACAGUCUCAUACAUCCGUUAGUCAAACUGUUAAGUUUUUCGUUAACUGUGACGUGGCGCACUGGCUGGGCGCCACGUGUCAUCCACGUUUUCUUCUUCUUCUUCUUCUUCUUCUUCUUCCUUCUUCUUCUUCUUCUUCUUCCUCCUCCGACUGUAACUUUUUUUUUUUUUCUUCUUCCUUCGCCUUCUUCCUUCCUUCCUACUUCCUUCCCUUUCUUCCCCUUCUUCCUUCUUCUUCCUUCUCAUUCUCCUUCUUCUUCCCGAAUCUGGGGAAGCUUUUUUUUUUUUUUUUUUUUUUUUUUCUCUUCUUCUUCUUCUUUCUCUUUCCUCCUUCCUUCUUCUUCUUCUUCUUCUUCUUCUUCUUCCUCCGAAUCUGCCCAGAUUCAGUUUUUUUUUUUUCUUCCUCCUUCUUCUCCUUCUUCCUUCCCCUUCUUCGUUCUUCUUCUUCUUCCUCCGAAUUUGGGGGAAGAUGAAAGUGUUUUUUUUUUUUUUUUGAGGAAGAAGAAGAAGAAGAAGAAGGGGAAGGAAGAAGGAGAAGGAGGAAGAAAAAAUUGCAGUCGGAGGAAGAAGAAGAAGAAGAAGGAAGAAGAAGGAAGAAGGAGGAAGAAGAAGAAAGAAAGAAAAAAAAAAAAAACCAAACUUCCCCAGAUUUCGGAGGAAGAAGAAGAAGAAGAAGAAGGAGAAGGAAGAAGGGGAAGGAAGAAAAAGGAAGAAGAAGAAAGAACAAAAAAAAAAAAAAAAAAAAACAAACUUCCCUAGAUUUCGGAGGAAGAAGAAGGAGAAUGAGAAGGAAGAAGCAGAAGGGGAAGAAAGGGAAAAGAAGGAGGAAGGAAGGAAGAAGGAGAAGGAAGAAGAAAAAAAAAAAAAAAGUUGCAGUCGGAGGAAGAAGAAGAAGAAGAAGGAAUAAGAAAAGAAAAGAAAGAAAAAAAAAAAAGAAAAAAAAAAAAACAUGGAUGACACGUGGCGCCCAGUCAGUGCGCCACGUCACAGUUAACGAAAAACUUAACAGUUUGACUAAUGGAUGUAUGAGACUGUCCCAAAAUUUACACUUUAGGUAUGACUCUGAGACGAAAAAAACUUGAUGUACUAAAUGUUGAAAACCACGAAACAUUAGGGUAGUAAACAGUCUUUUACCCAUUAAUCAAUAAUAUUCCAUAACAAGAGCUAGGUCCAUAUAUUAUACAAUGUUCUAAUAGAUGAUAGACGCUCGUCGUGCGGUGAGUUAGGGUUUAACGGAUAGGCGAGGUCUAGUGUCUAGGCAGAUUUAAGUAAAUUUAUUAUAUAUUAUAUAAACUUAAAAUGAUAAAUAAUUGUAUUAGGAUAUAUAAAUUACAAAAUAAAAUAAUAUAUAUUAUAAAGUAUUAAAACAUAGGAGAAAAGACCCAAAUAUGAAUAGGAGAAAAGACCCAAAUGUGAAAAGACAACUAUAAACAAUUAUUCAAGAUGGACGGUAAAUGAUUCAGCCAUUUACAAGAUUCAAAACGUAGGAUCACAAUCUACUGAAUGGUUGUCUUAACUAUUAGGCCAUGCUCUAAAUAUAAUACAUCCAAAUGGGGGUGGACCGCAUAAUACACCCCAAUGGACCGUUUUAAGCUACUCCACUGCUAAAACUAUUGCAAAUUGCGCAUUAGGAUUAUACUUGUAUUAGCUGCGCCUUUCCUUACGAGGCAAAUGAACCAUAUAAUAGUUUCCAAAAAAAAAAAAAAAAACCUUAUAGUACACCAAGAUGGAUGUUAUACACGUUGGAGUUUGAGCAGAAUUCUUUUUGUUAUCUCAUUGUCUCACAUUGCUAGAAUUGAAAAGUUUAUAAUAUAACAAUGUUCACGUAUGAACUUGAGAAACGACAUACUACCGGUUGGGUGGGAAAGUGUGAAGUGAAAGAGAGGAAAGGAAGAAAGAAACGAACACGAAAGGACAAGGACUAUCCAAUAGAUUAUAAACAAUGAUUUAUUGGGGUGAUUACAGUUAUUUAAUUAUCAAUAAUGCAUUAUUUUAGUUUGGAAUUUGGAAGCAUUUGAGAAGUAACAUGACAACAACCACAUAAUAAACAAAAGUGAUUGGAAAAAAGACCGAAAAUGUGAAAUAAUAAUUAAAAACAACUAUUCAAGAUUAGUGAUAAAUGAUUCAACCAUUUACAAGAUAUGAAUUUAGAACAACAAUCUAUUAGAUCGUUGUAUUAAUUAUUAAGUGGUGCUCUAAUAUAAUAGAUCCAAAUGGGGACGGACCGUAUAAAACACCCAAAUGAACAACAAUCUAUUAGUUUUUAGGCUCCACUGCUAAAAACUAAAGCAAAAUAGGCAUUAGGAUUAAACUUGUAUUAGCUAUCUUUCCUUACUAGUCAAAUGAACCAUACAAUACACCCAAAUGGAUGCCAUCAUGCCAUAUAUAAACAAUGUUUUGAAGGGACAAGGUUGCUAACGCUGCCUUUUUAUAUAUGUAAGCAACAACCCUAAAUCUUAUUGGAACUAAUUAACUAAUGUAUUUAUUAGACAGUUGGAUUCCUUAACAAGUAGUUAACUAUUUUUGUUUAGUUUAGUAGUCAGGUCGUAAUUAAUUAGUCAAAUGAACCAUAUAAUACACCCAAAUGGAUACCAUAUAUGCAUAUAUAAACAAUGUUUUCAAAGGAUGAAAUGACUUUCUUGCCGGUAUGGGGGAAGAGGAAAGAAACUAGCACGAAAUUGCAGACCAUAUCGAUCCAUUAUAAUAAAUUUCAAUGGUCCAAGUUGUAAGUUAAUUGUGCAAGGUAAAAACUUAUUUACAAUUAUCAACUUAACCACGUACCUAUGGAAGACAUCGUCUCAGAAAACUAGGAUUAAGAACUAAAGUUCUCCUGCAACUCUACACAACUGAAAGCAAGGCUUGCUCAAUGGGGCUUGAGUUUUCUAUGAACUUGCGUAUUUAGUGGAGAGAGCAGGGACCUCAUUUUUAUACAUGGAAUUCAAUAAGGAUCCCUCCCAUUAAGUGAUCCUUAUCAAAGAGUAGCAUUAUCAAUGUAAAACACUUAUGCAUUAUAUCAGCUAGAAGAGUUUUAGUUUUACCGAGAAUGUAUCUGACUUGAAACUGUAAAGAAAUACAACCCCUGAUAAGUCUACCACAAGUGUCAAUCCUUAUCUCCUUAUCAUUCCACAUGUAUCAAAGCACCAAGUGUUUGCUCUCAUAUAGAACUUACACAAGUCUCAUGUAAUUUCAUCUAACUUAUUUUCUACAACGGUAAAUAUAUUUUAAUGGCUCCGGUUUUCACAUGCCAGUCAGUCACACGCUCAACUCCUCAACGUUCGGGCUUAGUGGCUCGAAGAGAGCUUCCACUUCACUCUGGUUCACAUCCCUCUUACUUUGACGGGUUCCACUUCGGAUUCUGCAUUGACAAAAAACAGAAGCAAAAGAUAACGAUCUGUUCUGAUACAAGGAAAGUAAGAUGAUUGUAUAACUGUAGGUCUAGUAGAGGCUGUAAUGGUUUAUGUUGCAGCAACUCCGUCAGCAAGUGAUUUUAUAGUAAGGAAUCUUGAGCAUAAUUAACGAACCUGAUCCUUGUCCACCAAAACUGCCCGUACACCUUCAGCAAAAUCAUUCCGCAAAGACGAUCUUAUGGCAACGCGAUAUUCCGUUUUCGUCACACCAGUUAGCUGGUAUGGAUUAAGUAAAGCACAUGUUACUCACUCAGAAAAUGUGAAAUACUACAACACAAAAUCCAUCAAAAAGGAUGCAACUACGCGAUGAAUGAAACGAAAAGGUAGAAAGUAAGACUCACUGGAUAAUUGAUUGUCAUUUUUCCCAAGCGCAGAUGCAACUUUGGAGAAGUAAUUUUGCGUCAAAUACAGUGAAAGAGGAGCACCCUUUCCAAGACCUUGAAGAGCUUCAUUAGCCCACUCCACCACUACAACAGAAACAAUUUGAUAGAAAAUACUUGACAGCGACGUACAAGCCUCUCUAUAGAAGAGUAAGACAGACUUCAUUUCGUCAUCGAUAAACAAAUGGCAUUGACAAACUUACCAGUAGCAUCUGAACUCUGUUGCUGCUUUUUAAGUUCAUCAAUCGUCACAAGAACCGACUUAUUUGCACCAAAUGCUGAAGUUAUUUGAGGUAAAAGACUCCUGAGCUGCGCUUCAAAUCUGGGUUGCUGCUGAAUUUCGCCACAGUUGUAAUUGACAACAUUGACAAUUGUCUCUCUGACAAGGCAAUAGUACCUUCGUAAUGAUCCGGUACUGACCGUGACCCGAUAGGCCAAUACCAAAGGCAAUUUUUAUGCCCAUGAAGCUUAUAAGUGGCUGUCAAGCCCGACACAUGAAAGAUUAUGUGCGACUUUAAUUAUGCAAAGAGUGAAGAGGCAAUUUUCACCAACCUCCAGUCAAGAAUUUGGGACUCACAAAUAACUACCCAAUAUGCUUUUCCCUCGUGCAUUUCGUUCAUGGUUCGAUAUUCUGGUGUCCUAGGACCCCGACAUGAAAAGUUCCAACUUUUGUUCAAUUUCUUGACGAAACAAUCACAUUUACCCUUACGGCACGGCACGGUUCCGGGCAUAGAAUAUGGGUUGGGUUCCGUUACAGCUCCACUAAUUAGCACCGUAGAGAGGGAAAUAAAAAGACAAGUUUGGAUUUCUUACAACGUAGUGAGUCUCUCGACAUGGCUCCUGUGUUGGAUGCUAAACACUUCCAGGUGGAUCGAGAAGGGAUGCAGCAGCAACAUCAAAUGAAGCUAACGGCUAGUUUUUUUAAUUUGUAACGGCUAGUAAGUUUUAGUAAUAGUUUUUGACAAGUGUAAAGCUUAGAUUAAAAGCUCCAAUGAAGGGCUUAGAUUAGCUUUGUACUAUCAGGUUGUUGUGGUUUUUGUCAGCUAGCUCCAAUGGAGAUAAGGGCUGACUGUACACACCAAAACCCUACUGACACCAUAUAUAUAUGAGUGUUAUGUGCUGCUGCAAUGAAAGACUGCAUAUAGCCGAAAUUCCCCUUCCAUAUUUCUGUGAAGAACAUUACCAUUCUCCAUAACACAAACCUUUCAAAACAAUCAUACAAAAUAUAAACCUUAUAAAACACUAACAUGGCCUCAGAGCUUAGUUCCUGAUCUCAGAAAUCUGGGCGUUGUGGAAUCUGUAUUUGGGGUUGUUCAGGUAGAGGCUGAAACCCUAGGUGUCAAUACAAGUCGAAGAUGAAAGGAUCUGUGAGUGGCGAUCUUAAAGCUCUAAUCUUUGAUGGAGAAAACUAUGACUAUUGGAGGAUCCGGAUGACAACCAUCUUCAAGUCGUAUGAUCUCUGGGAAAUGGUUCAACAUGGAUAUGAACUACCAGAAAUGGAGAUUGAUGCUCUAGAAGAGGAUCUUACAGAGAAGCAGAUAGCUACACUGAAGGAGAAUAGGAUGAAUGAUGCUAGAGCGUUGGGAAUCAUUCAAGGGGCUGUCUCAGACUUCAUAUUUCCCAGGAUAGCAAAUGAAGAAACUGCUAAAGCUGCUUGGGAUACUCUGCAACAAGAAUACAGAGGAGAUGUGAAGGUACGGAAAGUAAAACUCCAGUCUCUUAGACGUGAUUUUGAAUAUACACGCAUGAGAGAAGAUGAGCCACUUAAAGACUAUUUUUCUAGGCUGUUUGAUGUUGUGACUCAAAUGAAAACUUAUGGAGAAGAACUGCCUAAUGAAAGAAUAGUGCAAAAGCUUCUAAUUAGUUUGACUAAGCCUUAUGACUCUAUUGUGAGUGUAAUAGAAGAAACUAAGGAUACUGAUACACUCAGUGUGCAAGAUGUGAUGGCUUCCUUGAGAGCUUUUGACCAAAGGCUCGAAAGACAUGCUGAUGGGACAACUGAGAAGGCUUUCCAGUCACUUAACAUAGGGGCUUCUAGUCAUUCUAAUCAACAUCAAAAUAGACCGAGGAAAGAUUGGAAAGGAAAAAAAUAAGAAAUGGGAAGGAAGACCAAGUGGGGAGAAUAGACACAACAGUGGAAACAACAGUGGUGGUAAAAUUAAACCAUUGUGCAAAUACUGUGAUAAAGCACACUUUGGUGAAUGUUGGUUCAAGGGAAAACCAAAAUGUCACAAAUGCAAUAGAUUUGGUCACCUACAGAAAGAUUGCAGAUCAAAUACUACUCAGCAAGUGAACAUUGCAAAUCGAGUACAAGAUGAAACAAAUGUUUUUUUGUGCUUUUAGUGCCAGUGUUGUAAAAGAUAGUGAAGUUUGGUAUAUAGACAGUGGGUGCAAUAAUCAUAUGACUGCCCACGAGUCUCUAUUGACAGACACUGACACUACAUAUACUGGAAAAGUAAAAAUGGGAAAUGGCAAUAUUGUGGAAGCAACUGGCAGGGGCACUCUCAUCAUAGAAACCAAGAGAGGAAGAAGACACAUUAAGGAAGUCAUGUUGGUACCUGGUCUGGAGGAAAACCUUUUAAGUGUUGGACAGAUGAUGGAACAUGGUUAUUUCUUACUGUUUGGAGAUACUAUGGUUGAAAUAUAUGAUGAUAGAACUCUGUCGAAUCUGGUUGUGAAAGUUCAAAUGAAAAACAGAAGCUUCCCAUUAUUGCUAAAGUGCUUGGAAGAAGUGGCAAGAAAGGCAAGCACAAUUGACUCAGAGAGAUUAUGGCACAAAAGAUUUGGACACUUGAAUGUGCAAAGUUUGAAAAACCUGCAGAAACAUGAAAUGGUGCAAGGUUUGCCCCAACUGGAUGAAAUGAAUGAAGUUUGUGAAGGCUGUGCAUUUGGAAAACAACACAGGGACAAUUUCGAAAUUGGAAAGGGUUAGAGAGCUGCAAAACCACUAGAACUAAUUCACACUGAUGUGUGUGGUCCAAUGAAGAAUGCAUCCAUCAGUGGGAACAAGUAUUUUUUGACUUUCAUAGAUGACUACUCAAGAAUGUGUUGGGUAUAUUUUAUGAGAUUCAAAUCAGAAGUCUUUAAUAUUUUCAAGAAGUUUAAAGCAAUGGUGGAGCUGCAAAGUGGGUAUCAAAUCAAGAAGAUAAUGAGUGAUAGGGGAUGUGAGUAUACCUCACUGGAAUUCAAUGCUUUCUGUGAGGAAUUGGGUCUAGAAAGGCAACUCACAGUAGCAUACACUCCUCAACAAAAUGGCACUGCAGAGAGAAAUAACAGAACUAUAGUGGAGAUGGCAAAGUCCAUGCUGCAUGAAAAGAAAAUGCCCUAUUCAUUUUGGGGAGAAGUUGUGAACACUGCUGUGUAUAUCUUGAAUAGAUGUCCCACCAAGGCUUUGGAGAAAUGAACACCAUUUCAAGUGUUCAGUGGAAGAAAGCCUGGAGUCAAGCAUUUGAAAGUUUUUGGCUCUGUGUGUUAUGCACUUGUGCCAUCACAACUCAGACGUAAAUUACAAGAAUCCAGCAACAAGUGCAUCUUUGUUGGAUAUGGUACAAAUGAGAAAGGCUAUAGAUUGUACAACUUGAAAACUCAGAAAAUCAAUCUCUUAAGAGAUGUGAUUUUUGAUGAAGAAACAUUGUGGAAUUGGGAAACAAAAGCAGUGGAAGAAGACAAAGUAUUACUGCAAAUUGGUGUUACUGAACAAAGAAUUGCACAAAAUGGAAGUGGUGCAACUCAUGAAUUUGAAGAAGGAAGCAUACAAAGCUCUCAGAUUUCACCAUUUCAAACUUCUCAAAGUUCACAGAACUCAAGUGCAAGUUCAAUGUCUCAACAGGAAGAGCAACAAAGCUCAAGCUCUAGCUCGGGAUCAACACCAAUUAAGAUGAGAAGCUUGGAUGAAAUCUAUGCUGCUUGCAAUUUUUGUGUUACUGAACCAGAAACUUUUGAAGAAGCUGAAAGUGACAAGGCAUGGCAGAUAGCAAUGGAAGAUGAAAUCUCAAUGAUAAAGAAAAAUGGAACUUGGACUCUAGUUGAUAGACCAAGUGAUAAACCUGUGAUUGGUGUGAGAUGGGUUUAUAAAACCAAGUUGAACUUGGAUGGAUUUGUGCAAAAGAACAAGGCUAGAUUGGUGGCUAAAGGAUACUCCCAAAAGCCUGGAAUUGAUUUUAAUGAGACAUUUGCACCUGUGGCUAGACUAGAUACAAUUAGAACUCUAAUUGCAUUAGCUGCACAGAAAGGUUGGCAGCUAUAUCAGUUAGAUGUUAAGUUUGCAUUCCUAAAUGGUGUGCUAGAGGAAGAGGUCUAUGUGGACCAGCCACAAGGUUUUGAAGUCAAAAGGUCCGAGAGCAAGGUGUAUAGACUAAAGAAGGCACUCUAUGGCCUGAAACAGGCACCAAGAACCUGGUACAGUGAGAUUGAUGCACAUUUAACUAAGUGUGGGUUCAAGAAAAGCCUCAGUGAAGCAACACUUUACAUCAAGGUUGAAAACAAGUCAGAAAUUCUCAUAGUAUCUAUCUAUGUGGAUGAUGUGGUCUUCACUGGAAACAGUAAGAAAAUGAUGGAUGAAUUCAGAAAUGAAAUGAUGGGAAAAUAUGAGAUGACAGAUUUGGGGCUACUUCAUCACUUUCUUGGAAUGGGGGUGAUUCAAAAGUCGGAUUGCAUUUUCAUUCAUCAGAUGAAAUAUGCACAAACACUUCUAGAUAGAUUUGGUCUUAAGGGAUGCAAACCAGUAAGCACUCCCUUAAUUGCAAAUGAAAAACUCAAAAGUGAAGAUAGAAGUGAACCAGUAGAUGCAAAUCUCUACAGGAAAAUUGUUGGCAGCCUGUUAUAUCUCACAGCAACAAGAUCGGACAUCAUGUAUGCUGCAAGCCUACUAUCAAGAUUCAUGCACAAUCCUACCAAAACACAUUUGGGAACCGUUAAAAGGGUUCUUAGGUAUGUGCAAGGGACAAUCGAUUUUGGAAUCAAGUAUGAGAAAGGACAGACAACUAUAUUAGUCGGUUUCUGUGAUAGUGACUGGGGAGGCAAUGAAGAUGACAUGAGGAGCACAUCGGGGUAUGCAUUUACAUUUGGCUCUAGUGUAUUCUCGUGGGCCUCAGUUAAGCAACAAAGUGUUGCACUAUCAACAACCGAAGCUGAAUAUGUGAGUGCUGCAGAAGCAACAUUUCAAGCAAUCUGGCUAAGAUUUGUUCUCAAAGAUUUUGGGGAACUGCAGGUUGAACCAACUAAGCUAAUGUGUGAUAAUACCUCAGCAAUAGCAAUGACAAGGAAUCCAGUAUUUCAUCAGAAAACACGACACAUCAAAAGGAAGUAUCAUUUUAUCAGAGAUGCAAUACAAGAGAAUGUCAUUGAACUAAUGUACUGCAAAACUGAAGAUCAGGUAGCAGACAUCUUUACAAAAGCACUACCAAAAGAAAGGUUCACUUACCUCAGAAGCCUACUUGGAGUCAACACCAGGAAGAGUUUAGAGGGGAGUGUUGGAUGCUAAACACUUCCAGGUGGAUCGAGAAGGGAUGCAGCAGCAACAUCAAAUGAAGCUAACGGCUAGUUUUUUUAAUUUGUAACGGCUAGUUAGUUUUUUAGUGAUAGUUUUUGACAAGUGUAAAGCUUAGAUUAAAAGCUCCAAUGAAGGGCUUAGAUUAGCUUUGUACUAUCAGGUUGUUGUGGUUUUUGUCAGCUAGCUCCAAUGGAGAUAAGGGCUGACUGUACACACCAAAACCCUACUGACACCAUAUAUAUAUGAGUGCUAUGUGCUGCUGCAAUGAAAGACUACAUAUAGCCGAAAUUCCCCUUCCAUAUUUCUAUGAAGAACAUUACCAUUCUCCAUAACACAAACCUUUCAAAACAAUCAUAUAAAACAUAAACCUUAUAAAACACUAACAUCUUGCUGUUUUGUUCUUAUUUCCAGUCCUGUUUCUCGAGCUUGGUGUUUCUGGUUGCAAAUUUUGGUUCGCCGGUGUAGUGCACAGGGGAGGGGAUUGUCUCGCAUUGUUCCAAGCAGUUAGAGGCGGUUGACAACGGUUGCGAUGAUGUGUUUUUCUACAGGGAGAACAUACAGGAGUCAGCAGUUAUCUUUUUGCAAUCGUUUUCGAUUAUGAAGGACAAGAAAGAAAAAAAAAUGAAUGUAGAAAGAAAACAUACAAGUUUUAAUAUAUAUGUAGUAGAUCCAGAUCAGAUUUUUGGAAACGCAUCACAUAGCAGUUAAAACACCUGGCCGUAAAUGAAGGGUUUGAGAUACCGCUAUAGUGGCAUCCUAGGUGUGAGUUUCUCUCGUAUCGGAUCACUUAUUGUAAGAAUAUCAAUAGUGAAAGUUAAAUACCAAUGUCGGGAAAGGAAGUCGAUGAUGACAAGAGAGGUUUGGCUUGAAAAAUGUACAAAGUUUGCAACAUGUGUUAUCGGAGUAUCAACUUGAAGCUGUUUGGGAUAAAAUCUGAACUUUGGGCCAGAGAGAAAGUCGGCCCAAACCCAAGGCCCAGAGGAAAACUUAGGAGGCAGGAAAGAGGCUUUCGGCUGGGCACAAGUUACAAAGGCCACCUGCUUACCUGCUCAAAGACCACAGGGGGUAGGUUAUUCAGUCACUACACAGCCCAAUAAAGUACUUUAUUGGUGGCAUUCAUGUAAAAAAGCUAGUGAGUCAUCACCAAACCGCAUUCGGGCAACCGCUAUUGCUACAGGAACCCAAGCUGAAGUCGUCUAUAAAAGGAGGAAGAGAAGACAGAAUUAAAGACACUCAAUCAAACAAACAAAAGCCAAAACUCUGCUCAAGCUAGAUUUGCCUUCAACGAAGCUGUAGUCAGCACAAGCCUUCAUCCAUUCGGGAUAAACCUUCCCAAACCCCUGUAAUAGCUCUGCUACCUUGUUCAUGGUGGUAUCGAUUCAUUUUGUAUCCUCUUCUCCCCCGUCAACCCCUCUAAAAGCUUUCAGACCUUUGACAGAGCCACAAGGAUAGAUUUUGUAAGAAGUUCAGCCUUGGCCAAUAAGGUUCAAACUUACCCGACUAUCUUUGCUCUGUCUUUGUCUUUUCUUUCUUUUAAAAGCACAAUAACAUGUUAUAUAUUCCCAGUUAUAUACAAGUUAUUUCUAGCAAAGUCAUAAUGAAAGUAAGUCUUCAGCACUUGAAUCCGAUCUGAAUCGCGUCAGAGUUCAAAUCAGAUCUAAGUCUUAAGCCCGCGGGCAUGUAAUUUAAAGAUCAGUUUAAAAGUCCUUGGCCUCAAGGCAUAAAAAAGAACUCUAUGUGGACUCAACCCAUCCACGACAAUCCUUGAUAAGCGAGAAGUCCGAAGUUACUUGGGGCGCAAGUAAUCAACCUAUUUCUCCGUUUUGUUGCUAUUAUAUCUUGAUUCAUAGAAAAGGCUUAAGCAGGGAGUGAAUUCUGAUAGAAAGCCUCAAGGCCUACACCUAAGGCCCCACGAAGGCAUCUAUUUAGCUUCAUUUCAUGUUGUGGUCUAGUUGGUCCGAGUAUAAGGAUUAACUCUGAUGGGAAGCCUCAAGGCCUAUACCUAAGGCCCUACAAAGGCACUCAUUUGGGUUCGUCCUACCUCUUGGAUUCAGAUAAUCAAAAGUAUAAUAGUGAUAAGACUCUGGCAACCAUAAAAGACCAAAUAUGAUACAUCCAAGCGCUGGUUUAGUUUGACAGGAAGCCUCAAGGCCUAUACCUAAGGCCUCACAAAGGCACCUGUUAUAUCUAACUUGGUUUCUCGGGCGUAUACAUAUUCAAUCAAAGCUUAACACCCAUUCAACAUCUGCCAUACUGAAGAUGGCAGUGGCACGCCUGAGCACGACAAAGUUAAUCUUGAUUGUGAGCCUUAAGGCCUACAUCUAAGGCCCCACAAAGGCACCCUUUCAAAUUAACUCUGUCCUUCUCUUUCAGAACUGCCCGACGAGCCUUGCCCGAAGUGUGUCUUGCCCGACCAAGAUCUGCCCGACAAAGGCUUGCCCGAGCGAGCCCGAGAAGAAAGCAGAAGUACGACAGAUACCCUCAACCGACGCCAUUCUCCCAGGGGAGCUGUGUGCUCGUCCGCCAGGAGAUUGCGACGAACAGAAGCUCUUCAUCUCUCCGUCAUUAAAUGUUUCGUAAGCAGCAUUGUUAAAGUUCUCUACAGGGGGAAACUGAAGAUGGUUUUGAAUGAAGAAGAAUGGAAAAUAUAAUUUAGAAAAUGAGAAAGAAAAUUAUAAUUGAAACUAAUAAAAUGAGAGGAUAAGCUCGGGUUCCAAUGGAAAGGGGGAAAUUUUCAGAGCGAGAAGGAAGCGGUUUUUUCACUUGCUCUCUUGGGCUUUGGGCUUUGGGCUUUUGGAUUGGAUUGGGCCAAUUACUUACUUAGGCCCCAUCCCACCUGAUGACUAUUUGUCGGUCUAUAUUGACUAGAGUGAACGUGCUAAACUAGAAUUUUGAGGUCUUGAAUUAGCGAAUGUCAUGAGCCAGACCUAUAAGGCUGUCUUUAAUAAGAAGUUGCCGCGUUUUGUCAAAACUGAUCCAUCUAAUUGCAAAUUGUAACCAUAUUAGUUGAGUGCAUAUGCUACAUUACAUGUAAUGAAUAUUCAGUACGGGUGACAAGUGAUCAGACUUGUAGGGUUGUUCAAUAAGAAGUUAUCACGCUCUCAAGAGUGGAGCUAGAUGGGAGCACUUCCCUACCAAAGUGUUAUCCUUCUCCUUUACAAGGAAUUUGUGUCACCAUUAGAUAGGAGAUUCGAACACAAGACCUUGAAUUGAGAGGUAAACGCUUUUACAAAGCUUCUACAAGCACCUUCUUGUUUACCAAAAUUAUUGAGACUAAAGGAGGUCUUAACGCCAUUUUGGCUAAUACUGUUAUGUAUAUUUACGAAUGGUUUUAAGUUUGGGUUUAAUUGGAUAAUCAGAGAUUAGUGCAUCAAACUAUGGAUAUCAAAAACCAAAAGCACAAUUCAUAUUCCUCUAACAAGUCCACGCAAAUAACCACAAUCAAAAUGUUAGUUCAUAACUGGUCAUAUAGAACUCAGUACAAAAGCACUAAAAGCGUCCAAGUGAAAGUGCUUUCUCCUCAUGUAGUUUCAUUUAACUUAGUUUCACAUGCCAGUCCGUCACACACUCAACUCCUCAACGUUUGGGCUCAAAGCAUUCUUUAUCCUUUCUGUACGAGAGACAAUAAAUUUAAAGUUCUUGUGAUGAAACCAUGUAAAACAUUCAGAAAUCUUGAUUUAACCCUUUCUCAAGAUCAUAGGUUGUGUCAUCUCAACCUAUAUCUUAGGUCUUAUGAGUGCUCGUAAUACACUAAUAUGACGCUUGUUUUCUGGCCAGGACAGAAACAAAAUCAUGCAGGAAAUCGUCAUGACAACUUAAGCGUAAAAUGCGACCGGAAAAACACUAAACAUGAUAGCUAUGCUUUCUUCGUGUAAACCUUAACAACAAAGACUAUACCGUAUCUGUCACAGUGAUAUGCGACCAUAAGCCCAACUCCAAGGAUCACCUUUCCAAGAGCUUUGAAGGCUACAAAUCAAAAGUUACAUGCAGUGAUGACAUAAUCAUGAAAAAAUACAGUCAUAAAUUAAAGGAAAACCUACCAACUUCUAGUUCUGGCAAUUCACUAUUGGGCCAUAUAUUUGAACCACAGUAUGAUGGAUACCUACAAUACAGAUCACAAAUAAAAUCUGAGCAAACACAAAGUAUUAUGUUCUGUUUACGCAAAAUCUGUAAGUUCUCAAAUAGGAUAAAUAAAGAUAAACAUAUCCCAGCAUAAAGACGACUUGUCCUGGCUAAUUCUAAGAAAGCUUGUAUCAAAUGUAUGAUAGUUAUUCAUAACUAACACAAACAACAGUUUGGCCAAACAUUACUGGUCUGAGCCAUAUACUGUGUGACCUCAGACAAAACAGAUCCCACAUGUACUCAGAUUAUGAUUGAUGUCCCAAUAGACUUUUAGGCGGUGCUCUGAUAUAAUACAUCCAAAUUGGGGUGGACCAUAUAAUACACCCCAACGGAUCGUUUUAAGCUCCUCCACUGCUAAAGCUAUUGCAAAAUGCGCAUUAGGAUUAUACUUCUAUUAGAAGCGCCUUUCCUUACUAGGCAAAUGAACCAUAUAAUACACCAAGAUGGAUGUUAUACACGUUAGCGUUUGAGCAGAAUUUUUUUGGUUAUCUCAUUGUCUCACAUUGCUAGAAUUGAAAAGUUUAUAAUAUAAUAACGUUCGCAUAUGAACUUGAGAAACGACAUACUGCCGGCUGGCCAGGAAUGUGCAGUGAAAGAGAGGAAAGGAAGAAAGAAACAAACAUGCAUGAAAGGACAAAGACUAUCCAAUAGAUUUCAAACAAUGACUUCUUGGGGUGAUUACAGCUAUUCAACCAUCAAUAAUGCAUUAUUUUAGUUUGGAAUUUGGAAGCAUUUGAGAAGUAACAUGACAUCAACCACUUAAUAAACAAAAGUGAUUAGAAAAAAACCCAAAUGUGAAGGAAUAAUUAAAAAAAAUUAUUCAAGAUAAGCGAUAAAUGGUUCAACCAUUUACAAGAUAUGAACUUAGAACAACAAUCUAUUGGAUCGUUGUAUUAACUAUUAAGUGGUGCUCUAAUAUAAUAUAUCCAAAUGGAGACGAACCAUAUAAUACACCCAAAUGGACCAUUUUUAGGCUCCACUGCUAAAAACUAAUGCAAAACGGGCAUUAGGAUUAAACUAUAAGAACUAGGAUUGCAGGGAAGACAAAACACGCAGGAAAGCUACAAGACUACACAUGGUUUUCACUGUGAUUAAAUACCCUCAACGUUGUAGGGAGCAACCUUUUUAUAAUCACUUUUCAGAUUACAUCAGGGUUUCAAAAACCCUAUUUACAAGCUUACAUUUUGAAAUUCAAAUACUAUAACUAAUUCUGACAAAACAAAUAUUUAAAAAUUCAAAUGAUUUUAACAGAAGCUCUACUUGAUAAGUGUUGUUGACUGAGUAAACCAACUGAAGAGUUUCUGUUUGAAGAGGAAACUUGACUCCGUCUAACAUAAACUUGUAUUAGCUAGCUUUCCUAGUCAAAUGAACCAUAUGAUACACCCAAAUGGAUGCCAUCAUGCCAUAUAUAAACAAUGUUUUGAAAGGACAAGGUACCUAACACUGUCUUUUUAUAUAAUGUAAGCAACAACCAUAAAUCUUAUUGGAGCUAAUUAACUAAUGUAUUUAUUAGACAGUUGGAUUCCUUAGCAAGUGGUUAACUAUUUUUGUUUAGUUUAGUAGUCAGGUCGUAAUUAAUUAGUCAAAUGAACCAUAUAAUACACCCAAAUGGAUGCCAUAUAUGCAAUAUAAACAAUUUUUUCAAAGGAUGAAAUGACUUUCUUGCGGGUAUGGGGGAAGAGGAAAGAAACUAGUACGAAACUGCAGACCCUAUCGAUCCAUUAUAAUAAAUUUCAAUGGUCCAAGUUGUAAGUUAAAUGUGCAACGUAAAAACUUAUUCACAAUUAUCAAUUUAACCAUGUACUUGUGGAAGACAUCGUCUUUGAAAACUAAGAUUAAGAACUGAAGUUCUCCUGCAACUCUACACAAUUGAAAGCUCGCUCAAUGGGGUUUGAGUUUUCUGUAAACUUGCGUAUUUAGGGGAGAGAUCAGGGACCUCAAUUUUAUACAUGGAAUUUAAUAAGGAUCCCUCUCAUUAAUUGAUCCUUAUCAAAGAGUAGCCUUAUCACUGUGAAACACUAAUGCAUUAUAUCAACUAAAAGAGUUCUAGUUUUAUCGAAAAUGUAUCUGACUUGAAAUUGUAAAGAAAUACAACUCCUGGUAAGCCUACCACAAGUGUCAAUCCUUAUCUCCUUAUCAUUCCACAUCACCAAGUGUUUGCUCUCAUUUAGAACUUACACAAAUCUCAUGUAGUUUCAUCUAACUUAUUUUUCACAACGGUGAAUAUAUUUCAAUGGCUUGGUUUUCACAUGCCAGUCAGUCACAUGCUCAACUCCUCAAAGUUCGGGCUCAAUGGCUCGAAGAGAGCUUCCACUUCACUCUGAUUCACCUCCCUCUUACUUUGACGGGUUCCACUUCGGAUUCUGCAUUGACAAAAAACAGAAGCAAAAGAUUGUUGAGAGUUGUCCCACAUUGGUGAGGGACAAGGUUUGUUAUGUGCUUAUAUGAUCUUGGGCUACUUCCUAUAUUGCCAAUUGGUUUUAUGAUGGAACCUCAAUUUCAUCAAAGAUAACGAUCUGUUCUGAUACAAGGAAAGUAAGAUGAUUAUAUAAUUGUAGGUCUAGUACAGGCUGUAAUGAUUUAUGUUGCAGCAACUCCGUCAGCAAGUGAUUUUCAAGUAAGGAAUCUUGAGCAUAAUUAACGAACCUGAUCCUUGUCCACCAAAACUGCCCGCAUACCUUCAGCAAAAUCAUUCUGCAAAGACGAUCUUCUAGCAACGCGAUAUUCAGUUUUCAUCACUACCAGUUAGCUGGUAUGGAUCAAGUAAAGCACAUGACAACUCACUCAGAAAAUGUGAAAUACUACAACACAAAAUCUAUCAAAAGGAUGCAACCUUGAAGAGCUUCAUUUGCCCACUCCACCAAUACAACAGAAACAAUUUGAUAGAAAAUACUUGACAGCCACGUACAAGCCUCUCAAUAGAAGAGUAAGACAGAUUUCAUUUCAUCAUCGAUAAACAAAUGGCAUUGACAAACUUACCAGUAGCAUCUGAACUCUGCUGCUGCUUUUUAAGUUCAUCAAUUGUCACAAGAACCGACUUAUUUGCACCAAAUGCUGAAGUUAUUUGAGGUAAAAAACUCCUGAGCUGCGCUUCGAAUCUGGGUUGCUGCUGAAUUUCGCCACAGUUGUAAUUGACAACAUUGACAAUUGUCUCUCUCGCAAUAGUACCUUCGUAAUGAUCCGGUACUGACCUUGGCCCGAUAGGCCAAUACCAAAGGCCAUUGUUAUGGCCACGAAGCUUAUACGUGGCUGUCAAGCCCGACACGUGAAUAGCAUACUCUACUAUUGUGUUACAUUGUGAGAAUUUUAUCCAAAAUUAAUUGACAAUAAGUGAAUAAGUUGAAAGAUUAUGUAUGACUUUAAUUAUGCAAAGAGUGAAGAGGCAAUUUUCACCAAACUUCAGUAAAAAAUUUGGGCCUCACAAAUCACUAAACCCAAUAUGCUUUUCUCUUAUGCCUUUCGUUCAUGGUUUGAUAUUCUGGCGUCCGAGGACCCUGACAUGACAAGUUCCAACAUUUGUUCAAUUUCUUGACGAAACAAUCACAUUUACCCUAACGGCACGGCACGGUUCCGGGCAUAGAAUAUGGGUUGGGUUCCAUCACAGCUGCAACACUAAUUAGCACUGUAGAGAAGGAAAUAAAAAGACAACUAUUGAUUUCUUACAACGUAGCGAGUCUCUUGACAUGGCUCCUGCUGUUUUGUUCUUAUUUCACGUCCUGUUUCUCGAGCUUGGUGUUUCCGGCAGGGCCGAUCUAUAGAUUUUUGAGGCCCGGAGCAACGUAAAAAAAUAUGCCCUCACUUUAUAUAAGAAAAUUAUUUGUUUUCACAUGUAAGACAUCGAUAAAAUUAUACUUACACAAACACUUAAAACUUAAUGAUUUAGAAACAAGAAAAAACUAAUUUAUUUUGUAUCGUGAGAAUGAAACAAAAAAACUCUGGGUUUACAAGUAGAUAGAUAGAUAUGGGUUUACAAGUUGCGGAUUGCUUUGCUAACUAUGAUGUUGAUCUGGCUGGGGUUCAUUGGUGAGAUUCUUGAUUUCCUUGUGCUACUUUGACAUAUCACCAUAAGUUGUCUUUUUGCCUUGUUAUAGUUUCGUGUGGGGUUUUUUUUCUUCUUCUAAUGUUGAUUGGGUUCUUUUCUUCCAACUCCUGCCCACUCAUUAUUGUCUGAACCACACCUAGUAUUACCCUCAUAUCCACUAAAACUUCAAGCUUUACCAAUUUGUCACAAGCGAAGAUGGUAGCUCCCAACACCAAUGAGGUUCCAAACAAUUACGAUCGAAAAAGCGAAGUGAAAGCUUUUGAUGAGACAAGGGAAGGCGUUAAGGGUCUUGUUGAUGCCGGGGUAGCCGAGGUUCCUAGAAUUUUUCAUCAACCACCACAAUUGGACGAUCAGUACUCCAUCAACAAUACAAGCACUGACUCAGAAGCCACCCAGUUUAGCAUUCCGCUAAUAGACCUUGAAGACCAUGGUAAUCCAACUAAGCGCAAUGAGAUUGUUGCAAAAGUUGGAGAGGCAUCAGAGACUUGGGCUUCUUUCAAAUAGCGAAUCAUGGGAUACCUGUAAGUCUUCUGGAGGGGAUAAAGGAUGGGGUACGUGGGUUUUAUGAGCAGGACACUCGAGUCAAGAAAGAGUUUUACACUCGUGAUCACUCUAAACCUUUGUUUUACAAUAGCAACUUUGAUCUUUAUAGUUCACCGGCAACGAAUUGGAGGGAUACUUUUAAGUGUUACAUGGCUCCAAAUCCUCCUAAGCCAGAAGACUUGCCAGAAGUAUGCAGGUAUUUGACAACCCAAUUCUCUGGUUUAAUUGGUGACAGUAACCUGGUGCAGAUUCCUUCCUUGAUGGAUUAGAUCAUUAAACUCCAUACUUUUGACAAGUUUAAUGUGCUUUCCUGGUUUUCAACUUGCAGAGACGUACUGAUCGAGUAUUCAAAGCGAGUAAUGGAGUUGGGGAAAUUGUUGUUUGAGUUGUUGUCGGAGGCCCUUGGGCUAAAGCCAAGCCA